AUUGUUGGAUAUGGGCGACGCCCUUGCUUUGUGCCACACCGCCCCUGACUGCGCCGCAUUAGAUGUUUGGGUGUUGCAGGACUAUGAUGCCGGGACCUGGGGUUUUCGCUUCCAGAUUGACCUGUUAGGGAUGGAGGCAUCACCACCGAUUAAUUGGAUGUUCCAAUUUAUCCCUAGGAUGGCUCUGAUCAAUGAGCGUGAGCUGUUGAUCCAGCGGCAUAUUUACAGUCUGUUGCAUUGUGACAUUGAUGGUGUCUUUUUAGGUAAUGUGGAAAGCGAGGAGCGUUUAGCCUGCUGGACACUUACUCGGCAUUGCCUCCAAGAGAGCCUGAUUUCACUUCCAUUGUUUGAGAUGCAAGAAGAAGAAGCUGUGAACCAGGAGCCUCCAUUAUUCUCCAUUGUGUUAUAAAGAUGCCGCGCUGGCGUGCUCCAUGUUAAUGCUUUGGACUAGUUGUCGGCUGUGCCCUUAGAGUAUCUGUUCCAUAUGGGCCAUGCUUGUAUUCUUACCAUUCAGUACUUCAAUGUUGUAAUUUCUGAACAAUGGAGUAUAUCUAUAGAAUCGUUCUACUGUUCUCCCCUCCCCUGUUUACUUUUAGCUUGCAAUGUUAAAAACAACGAAUGGCGUGGUUGCAGUUUGGAAUGGCCGAUUCCUCAAUGAGAUGUUAUGGCAUUUUUGUUGUUGAAAUGGAUACUAUAGAUAUUCCUUUCUGUAGCUAAAUAUUUUGAUGUUUCAUGUUCAGUGCACACAUUGGUCCUAUUGCUUUUGGCAUCUGGUCGCGUGACUCUUUGUGUAGAUGUCUUUUUUCAGGUAUAUUUGAGAAGCUGGCUGUGAUUUUGUGCUCGCCAUGGUUUUCUCUCUGAUUGUUAGUUUGUUACACUACAGCAGCAAGUAAUUUGAUCACUACUACUGUUUUGUGUCUGAUGUUGCUGCUUCAAUUCAGCUAUUGUUAAAAAGAAACCGGCAAGAACUUUCUUUCAUUGACUAACCAUUCGGAGAAAGGAGCUUUGCUGUUGCUUUUGUGUCCAGGAUUUCCUUUCUUUUGGAAGGAAUAGUUUACAACAUGUGGUAUCUUAAUCAUCAUCUUGUAGUGAUGUAGUCUGCUGGAUGGCUGGUGAUAGUGGUGCCUUGAGGACCCGUGUUGCAGGUAAAAAUGUCCAUUCGGACUACCAAACGCAUCAAAGCUGCAUCUGCGCUCAUGCUGUGCGGACCCAUCAAUGGUUUUGUGUUUGAUUGUUAAUCCAGUAUACAUGCAUUGUCAAAAAAAAUUUGCUACGAACUACUCCCUCUGUUCCUAAAUAUUUGUCUUUUUAGAGAUUUCAAAUGGACUACCACAUACGGAUGUAUAUAGACAUAUCUUAGAGUGUAGAUUCACUCAUUUUGCUCCGUAUGUAAUCACUGUUAAACCACGUCCAUAUCUACAUGACCGGCGCAUAUCUACAUGGCUAGCGCAUCGUAGGAGUUGCUUAGGUAGUUAGAGUAUAAUGUUUAUCUCAUGUACUUCUUAUCUCUACCUCCUUUCUUUAUCUCCAAGUAUGUAAUCUCAACCGUAUGUAUGCGCUGUUAUGGGAGGUGCGCCCCAUCUAUAUAACACGUAACCAUCGGCCUGAGAGGGCAAGACGUUCCGCUAGUUCGCACAUGGUAUCAGAGCCUCAUCUCUUCCCAUCUACUGAGAUCCCAUCUACCGAGCCUAGCCAUGUCUUCCUCCUCCUCCUCUGGUGCUUCCCAAACCACCCUUAAUGGACAGGUCACCGAGAAGCUUACACGCACGAACUACGUGCUCUGGCGCACGCAGGUCACCCCUCAUCUGCGCGGCGCCGGCGUCUUCGGCUACGUCGACGGCACCACACCGGAGCCGGCCAUGCUUCAUGUCACCAAGGAUAAGGAUGGCAAAGAAAGCACUGCGCCCAACCCUCUCCACCCCAUCUGGGUUCGGGAGGAUCAAUAGGUGUUGGGCUACUUGCUCAGCACCCUCUCCAAGGAGGUUCUCAUCGCGGUGACCACGGUCACCACGGCGCACGCGCUCUGGACAGCGGUGGCAGGUAUGUUUUCCUCGCAGUCCAUGAGCCGCGUGAAUAAUAUCAGGACGGCGCUCAUCAACGCGCAGAAGGGCAACGAGUCGGUUGCCGCAUACUUCGCCUCCCUCCGUGGUCUCGUCCACGAGCUUGCCGCGGCCGGGAAGGCCAUCCAGGACGACGAACUCAUCUCCUACAUCAUCCACGACCCCGACAUCGACUACCAGCCCCUCGUCUCCGCCCUCGACGCACGCGUCACACCGGUCUCCCUCGACGAGCUCUACGCCAUGCUCAGCAACUUCGACCAGCGCAUGGCCCAGUUCAAUCACUCAGGCAGCGGCGGCUUCCGUUCCUCUGCCAACGCCGCGGUGCGUGGGCGUGGUGGCGGAUCACGUGGUCGUGGCUCCUCUCGCGCCAAAGGACGCCCUGGAGGUCACGGUGGUGGUGGAAACAGCGGCAGUGGCAACACCCGCUCUGGUGCAUCCCGCGGUCGUCGUGGCGGCGGUCCACCUCGGGCCCGACCAGAGCUGCCUCGCUGCCAAAUUUCUGGUAAGCCAGGGCACACCGCGAAGGACUGCUGGUAUCAUUAUGAUGAAGACAACGAGGACUCCCAAGAUGAAGAAAAAGUGACUGCCGCGACCGAUGGAUCCUACGGCAUCGACACAAAUUGGUACGUUGAUAGCGGAGCCACCAACCACAUCACCAAUGAGCUUGAGAAGGUCACGAUGAAGGAAAAAUAUCGUGGCAAAGAUCACAUCCACACGACAAGUGGAGAAGGUAUGCAGAUUUGUCACAUUGGUCAUUCUAUUUUUUGUACCCCUCACCAUACAAUUCAUCUCAAGAAAAUUUUGCAUGUUCCUAGUGCCGCUAAAAGUCUCCUCUCGGUUCACAGAAUUGCCCUUGACAAUCAUGUUUUCCUCGAAUUUCAUCCUUAUUUCUUUUUGAUCAAGGACCAGGCCACGAAGAAGGUUCUCUAUCGAGGUAGAUGUGUUCGAGGGCUUUACCCGUUGCUUCCGGAGCUUAGGAGACUCAAUAAACAAGCCAAUGGUGCUGUCAAAGUUUCGUCAACACGGUGGCACGAUCAAUUAGGGCAUGCUGCUUUUUCUUUAGUUGAAAGAUUGCUUAGGAAAAAUAAACUCCCAUUUGUUGGUGAGCGAAAUGUCGAAACUAUUUGUGAUUCCUGCCAAUGUGCUAAAAGUCAUCAAUUACCUUAUCCAGUAUCUACUAGUGUCUCUACCAAACCACUUCAAUUGAUUUUUUUCUGAUGUGUGAGGUCCUGCUCCCACUUCUGUUGGUAGACAUGAGUAUUAUGUAAGCUUCAUAGAUGACUAUAGCAAGUUUGUGUGGAUUUAUCUUCUCAAAAAGAGAUCUGAAGUCUUUCAAGUUUUCCAAAAUUUUCAAGCCUUGGUUGAACAAAAAUUUGAUAGCAAAAUUAUUGCAGUCCAAUCGGACUGGGGGGGGGGGGUAUGAAAAACUCAACUCCUUCUUCCAAACACUUGGCAUAUCACACCAUGUAUCAUGCCCUCAUGCCCAUCAACAGAAUGGCUCUGCUGAAAGAAAGCACAGACACAUAGUUGAGGUUGGGCUAGCUCUCCUGGCAGGAGCCUCCAUGCCUCUCAAAUUUUGUGAUGAGGCCUUUCUUACUGCUGUUCACAUUAUCAAUAUGCUCCCUAGUCAAGUCAUCAACAAUGAAACUCAAGUAGAAAGACUCCUUCAUGUCAAACCUGACUAUAAAUCUCUUCGUGUUUUUGGGUGUGCUUGUUGGCCCAAUCUUCGCCCAUAUAACAAAAGAAACCUCAUGCUUUGUUCCAAACAAUGUGUCUUUCUAGGGUAUAGCCCUCAACACAAAGGUGUCAAGUGUUUAGAUAUAUCCACUGGCCGUGUCUAUGUAUCUCGUGAUGUCGUUUUUGAUGAAACAAAUUCCCCUUCGCCACCCUACACCCAAAUGCCGGUGCUCGCCUCCGAGAAGAAAUUCUCCUCCUACCUACUCAUCUUGGUCAAGGGGGUCCGAAUUAUGAUGAUCAACUGUUGACUAAUCCUGCUAUUAAUGGUGUGCAUGAGUUUUCUGAUGAUGUUCCAGGAAAUAACAGUGAAAACAAUGGAGAAAUCAGUGAAAACAAUGCGCAGGCAGACCAAUAUCAGAUGUGUCUGCUUCCAGAGGGCAAAUCCUCCUCGGGAUCGGUUCUGCAGCAGCAGUUCAGUCGAUCCUACUCGGGAUCGGUUCUGCAGCAGCAGUUCAGUCGAUCCUACUCGGGAUCGGUGCCGGCAGAGGCGUCAGAUGCGCAGGAGACAACGCUAGCCGGCCGGGCGUCUGACUCCAGCUCAGCGAGCGCCGCGUGUCACGCUCCAACUGGCGGCGGCUCGAGCGCCUCCCCACGCCAACCUCCUUCCGCCACGCGGCAGCCCAUGGUUCGCCAGGACGGCACGCGCUUCCGUGACCAGCCAGUCACGUACAAGCGGUUCAACCAGAUUCGGCGGCCUGACACGGGGUCGGGGCCUGCCGCGGGUCCAGGCCCGGAAUUCUAUGCGCCCACGCGCACGCGGCAUCCUGGCGUUCGCCCCGAGGCUGAUACGCAAUCAUUUGGCAAUGAUGAGGCCCCAGGAUCUUCUGCGCCUCUGGAAGAUGCUACACCUGAUCAGCCUGCCACAGAGGAUCCAGCGGGGGCAGGUUCUGCUACAGGAGCUUCUGCUUCGGGAUUUUCUGUGGCAGAGGAUUCCGAUGCUGCACCAUCACGACGUACACGACUACAGCAUGGGGUAAUAUAGCCUGUUAAUUAUAAACACAUAACCAAAUACGGUAUGGUUUGUUCUACAGGUGAACCAGGUGAACCCCUGACACUUCAGGAAGCACUUGGUGAUGAAAGGUGGAAAAAUGCUAUGAAUGAAGAAUACAUGGCACUCAAGAAAAAUAAAACUUGGCAUUUGGUUCCCCCAUAGCAAGGUAAAAAUUUAAUUGAUUGCAAGUGGGUAUUCAUAAUAAAGAGGAAAUCUGAUGGAACUAUUGAUCGGUACAAAGCUAGGCUCGUUGCAAAGGAUUUCAAACAACGGUAUGGCAUAGAUUACGAGGACACGUUUAGUCCAGUUGUUAAAGCUGCCACUAUCCGUCUUGUUUUGUCUAUUACCGUUUCCAGGGGAUGGAGUCUCAGGCAACUUGAUGUUCAGAACGCGUUUCUUCAUGGUGUUCUGGAAGAGGAGGUAUAUAUGAAACAACCUCCUGGGUUUGUAAGUAAAAGUGCACCCUCUCAUGUCUGCAAGUUGGACAAAGCACUUUAUGGUUUGAAGCAAGCACCAAGAGCAUGGUACUCUCGUCUCUGUCACAAAAUGCAAACACUUGUUUUGUCCCUUCAAAGUCUGACACCUCUCUGUUCAUCUACAACAAGUCCAAUACAUGCAUAUUUGUCUUAAUAUAUGUUGAUGAUAUUAUUGUGACAAGCUCAUCUGAUGAAGCCAUCACAGGAUUGUUAAAAGAUUUGAGUGCAGAUUUUGCCUUGAAGGAUCUUGAAGAUUUGCAUUAUUUUCUUGGGACUGAAGUAAAAAGGCACAAGGAUGAACUUCAUCUCUCUCAAGAGAAAUGUGCAGUUGACUUGGUAAGAAAAGCUGGUCUACAGGGUUGUAAACCUACACCUACUCCAUUAUCCAGCUCAGAAAAAUUAUCUCUCACACAAGGGACUCUCUUGACUCAAGAGGAUAGCACCAAAUACAGAAGCUUGGUAGGAGAUCUUCAAUAUCUUACUCUUACCAGGCCUGAUAUUUCUUUUGUUGUCAACAAAGUAUGUCAGUUCCUUCAUGCACCUACAACUAUUCAUUUCACUGCUGCUAAACGCAUAGUCAGAUAUGUCAAAAAUACAUUAAGCAUGGGUCUCAAUUUUAGCAAGUCAUCUUCUACACUUGUCAGUGCCUUCUCUGAUUCUGAUUGGGCAGGCUGCCUUGAUGAUAGACGCUCUACUGGUGGUUUUGCUAUUUUCUUUGGAGCCAACUUAAUUUCAUGGUGUGCUCGUAUGCAAGCUACAGUCUCCAAAUCUAGUACAGAGGCAGAAUAUAAGGCAUUGGCUAAUGCCACAGCUGAAAUCAUAUGGGUUCAAUCCAUGCUCAAGGAACUUGGCAUAAAGAGUAAACAAGCUCCAUGUUUGUGGUGUGCUAACCUUGGUGCCACCUAUCUUUCAGCCAAUCCAGUGUUUCAUGCUAGGACCAAACACAUUGGGAUAGAUUUUCAUUUUGUCAGAGAGAGGGUGGCUCAUAAGAAACUUGAUAUUCGUUUUGUGCACUCCAAUGAUCAAAUUGCAGAUGGAUUCACAAAGGCAUUGCCGGUCAAGAGUUUUGAAAACUUCAAGUAUAAUCUCAACCUCAUGGAGUUGUGAUUAAGGGAGGGUGUUAAACCACGUCCAUAUCUACAUGACCGGCGCAUAUCUACAUGGCUAGCGCAUCGUAGGAGUUGGUUAGGUAGUUAGAGUAUAAUGUUUAUCUCAUGUACUUCUUAUCUCUAAGUAUGUAAUCUCAACCGUAUGUAUGCGCUGUUAUGGGAGGUGCGCCCCAUCUAUAUAACACGUAACCGUCGGUCUCAGAGGGCAAGACGUUCCGCUAGUUCGCACAGUCACUUGUUGAGUUCUCUAGAAAGACAAAUAUUUAGGAACGAAGGGAGUAUUAUUAGUUGAGUUUCACCUGUUGGGAGAAAAGGCUUGGUACUUUGGCGAUAACCUGGAAGCUUUCCAGGGGUCUUUUCUUUCCUGCUUGCAGCUUUUGGGUCUAGGAUUUGGUGCUAUCUUGAUCAGCAUGUUAUGGUUUGCUGGAAGGCGCUGCUGCUAGGUUGUUUUGGUUUCAAGCCUGUGUAUUGGUUCCAUUUUUAUCGGAAUGGAACCAACAUCAAUUUCAGUGAUUUCAUCAACAGAAAAUACAUCAAUUUCAGUGAUUUUCAAUGAUAUUUGGUGAAGCAUAUAUAAAGAUGAAUAUCAAUCAAUUGUUCAGGAAUGUAUGAUGGUGCAUGGUGCCAUGGUGGUGUAUCUGCAGUUUUUUUCCAGAUCGAACAAUUAGCACCGGAGAAUUACUAAGUGUCCAGGUUAAUGAUAAGUUUUAUCUCUGAGUUUUUUUUAUCCUCUCACGUCCUUCAGCGAGAUGCGAAUAUGUUGACGUCUGCUGUACAUUGCUAAUGUUUGCCUUUUCUUUUCUACUUAUCAGCAUGCUGAACAGCAGCGGCGCGACUCUGUUCGACAACCUACCCAUGUGGCUCGUUGUUGCAGAGAUCUUCAUCUGGCUGCUGUCUAGAAACGUACUCGGCUUCCCCGCAAAAGAAAAAGAAACCUACUCCGCUGCCGUGUGGUCUGCAAGUCGUGGCUCAGCAGUACUUCCACAGACGUGUUCAUCCUUGACCGCCAUUGCCGUCAGGCCUCGCUUCCCAUCAUCAAACAUGGAGAUGGCAUCUACCGCUUUUUCGUCCUUAGUGUUGCCAGUGCGGAGCCUCAAUUGGUCAAAACAUACGGCCGGUCAUCCGAUGCACAUUUGACACAAUUAUACACCAUGCCGUCUGUGAUGGCCUCCUCAUCUCGUCACAGCGAUCUGAUUUCUAUAUCUGCAACCCAGCCACCCACAAAUGUGCGUCCCUGCCACAUCCUCCACCACGGCCAGGCAUGUGCGGCCUCAACUUGGUCGGGUUCUACCCAAGAGUGGUUCUACCACACCACACAUCUGGAGAACACCGGGUGCUCUGUGUGUCAUACUCGAUAACCACCAGGAGCGACAUCACAGUUGAGUUACCUGAUUCGUGCUCACGGUUGGUUCGGACCAGCCAAGAUGCAUUAAAAAGCGGGUAGUUUCAGAAGAAGACUUUACCACUACCUGGUCUUCCCACUGUCCACCGGUCCACCAUCGUGGUAGUCUGCAUUGGGCAACGAACCUCAACAUAUUGGUAUUUGACACCGUAGCCGAGACAUUCUGGUAGAUGAGCUGCCCACGACAGUUGGGUGAUCUGGGUUCAUUGUUGGAUAUGGAUUGUGCCCUUCCUUUGUGCUGUGCCAUCCUUAAUUGUGUAACUUUAGAUGUUUUGGUACUGCAGGACUAUGAUGUCGAGACCUGUGGCUUUCAAUAUCGUAUUACCUUGUUAGAGACGGAGACAUCACCACCGAUUAAUUCGGGGAUGGGAUUUUACCCUAUGGUGGCUGUGAUUAACCAGCAUGAGAGAAGCAUCAUCGUCUGUUGCAUUGUGACAUUGAUGGUGUGUUUAUAGGAAAUGUGGGAUUCGAAGAGUAUGGGUACAGCUUGACUCUUACUGGGCAUCGCCUCCAAGAGAGCAUGAUUUCACAUCGAAUGUUUGAGAUGCGAGAAGACGUUGUACCUCCAUACCUCAUGGCGCUAUAAGAUGCCGUGCUCCAACUUAAUGUUUUGGACUACUUGUUCACUUGCUGCACCUUUGGAGCAUCUAUCUCAUAUGAACUCAACAAUUUGUACGGAGGAGCAGCACUUCUGCUAUCUUGAGCAUCAUGCUAAUGUUCUAAACAAUGGAUUAUCUAUGCCAUAGAACUGAUGUACUGUUCUCCCCUGAUUUUUUCAGUUUGCAUUGUUAAAGAGCACGAAUCACGCGGCUACAGUAUAGAUGUAUAAAAGAACUUAAACUUAUAAAAAAGGAAAAAAAUACGCAUCCAGGGAAUCGAACCCUGGUUAGUACCGUGGGAGGGUACUAUGAUAUCACUACACCAGAUGCGCUUCCAUGUUGGAUCCUCUUUCUUUGCUCUAGAGGAGUUGGAUACUAGUUCAGAUCUGCAAAGAAAAGAGGAAAAAAAAGACAAAAUGGAGAAGUGGGGUAUGGAUCCCCAUACCUCUCCCAUGCUAAGCGAGCGCUCUACCAUCUGAGCUACAUCCCCUUAUAUCACUAGUAGAAAAAUGGUCAAACGUGAAGCACAUUAGUGCCGGUUUGUAAAAAAACCGGCACUAAUGUGAUCAAUAGUGCCGAUUCGAAUGGCUAUGCAUUAGUGCCGGUUCGUAAUGAACCUUUAGUACCGGUUCGUGCCACGAACCGGUACUAAAGGGGUGGUGGCAGGCUGGCGUCAGGCCAGGGCCCCACGAGCCCCACGAGCCCCUUUGGUGACGGGUUGUGACACAAACCGGUAAUAAAGGUCUAACCUAUAGUACCGGUUUGCGUCACCAACCGGCACUACAGAGUCUUAACCUAUAGUCCCGGUUGAAGACACAAACCGGCAUUAUAGGGCAAUUUUCAAACUCUACCUCCCCCUGUAUCGCCAUUUCAGUUUUGAAAAAAUCAAAAGAAAAUGAUAAGAACUUCAGAAAAUAAAAUCUUUCGAGAGGUAGUUAUAUUACUACAUCUACUAGUUAGGAAAAUUUGAAAACUUAAAUAUGGACAUGUUUUGCAAAAAGUGUAGGGAAAAUGUAAAACGGCUAUAACUUUUGCAUACGAUGUCGGAAAAAAAAUGUAUAAUAUAUCAAAAAAUUCAGCACGAAAAUUCGCAUCCGAUGGAGACCGCCUACGGCCUGUUUGGAAUUUUUUAGAAUCCUCAAAUUCCAAAAGGAAAAAAAGAUAUGGUCAAAUUUCAGUUAUUCUAAAAUUUUUUGGUUAAAUCUGGUCAAACUACUUAUUCAAGAAGUAUUAAUGUUACUACAUAAUUAUUCAAGAAUAUUAGUGUUACUAAAUAAUUAUUUCAAUUUUUUGAAUUUUGGUCAAAUAUGGUCAAACUGUGGUCAAACUAUGGUCAAACUUAUUCAAGAAAUAUUAGCGUUACUAAAUAAUUACUGUUUUUUUAGAAUAAUAGUUUCAAACUCAAAUGGUGAAAUGUGUGACUUCAUGCUCAAGCUAAACUCCUGAGGGUUAAUAGGAUUAACAUCUUACUAUUGUCAGGAAAACAACAAGUGCAGACUUGGAAACGAAGGAGAAUAGAACCUGAAAGUUAAGCGUGCUUGGGCUGGAGUAGUGAGAGGGAUGGGUGACCGGUCGGGAAGUUAGAUGAUUUGGAAUGAGUGAUCCACACUUGAGCAGUUAAGAGAGGUGGUGAUUAGAGACUAAAUUAUCAAAUAAUUCAAAAAAAUUAAAAAUCGAAAAAAAAACAAUUUUUUCCCAAAAUUUUCAAAAAAAAUAAAAAAAACCUUUAGUACCGGUUGGUAACACCAACCGGUACUAAAGGUCCCCCAUACCAGGGCGUGAGCUCACGCCACGUGGUGGAACUUUAGCGCCGGUUCGUGCCGAACCGGUACUAAAGGGGGGGGCUUUAGUGCCCACACUUUAGUGCCGGUUCCAUAACCGGCACUAAAGGCCUUACAAACCGGUUUUAAAGGUCCGUUUUCUACUAGUGUAUGUUGUAUUCAGUAAUUCAAGGACUCAUGUAAGCAAUCUAAGGUCAAUGCAAGAACCAUGUUAACCAAAGCAGGUGCCAAACUGGAAAUGGAAACCCAUUUUUCGUUCAAGGCACAUUUAUGAUUAUAUGACAAUUGGCCGUUUGGGCCGCUUUAAAACCUACGGUGAUUAUUACUUCCUCCGUCUAGGUGUGUAAGUCAUCUUACGUUGCGCAUCGUGACCAAGGUGGAGGGGAAAACGAGAGAACUUAAUGUGUUUUUGCUAAUUAAUAGCAAUGCAUGCAACGAACUGACCAAUCCAUGUCGUGUUUGGUAGUCUCAAAUCAUUUAAAGCAUGCAUGAGUCACAUCUUUUAUUGGUUGAUAUGUCAUGAAACAUCAAACAAGAUGAGAGUUAAUGUAUCGCGCCUAAGUGUUUUGGGAUUAUUUGGAUUUCGUAAGAUGACCUACACACCUAGACGGAGGGAGUACCUGAUUUUAAAGCCUUCAAUAGUAUAUAUGCUGCGAGGAAGAUAAGAGACAAGUAAGACCAAAUGUGUUCUUUAUCAAAUUAUACAGGGCCAACACGGUCCUUAAGGGGAGACGCCAGUGAAUAGUUGCGUCCUUUGCCAGGUUCUACCUACUCUUGAAGGUUCCAUGCAAAUAUGGAUAAAUCAUAACUAAAAUGGGCUAACCCACCCUCCUACUCUAACUAAAAUGGGAUAAUCAUAACUAAAAUGGAAACAUGUUAUUAUGUAAACAUCAUAAAACCGUACCGACCUUUGUGUUUAGUUCAAAUAUACUUAAAAAGGGAAAAUACAAAAUGUUCACCUUGAUCGUAGUCAAAUUCUAUUAAGCAAACCAGAGUACAAACACACCUGAGAAAUAAAGAAACUACGUCGCAGUACCCAUGGGCUAACCAUAUUAAUCCUCUUGAACAAGACAACACGCAAGCGGCAUGCCGCUCCAAUGCUAGAGCUAGCUAGCUUAUCGAUGUUGAACACGGACAGGGAGUCAUGAAGACCACCAUAAUGCCAGCCAGUGCCCUAGAGAAGAAGGUAUCACUGUCUGAAGAGCUGCAGUACAAGGGCCUAACCUGGACUAUUUCUCACAGGUCUCAUGGGAACCCCUAAGGCCUCAGUGAAGUGAUGUGGAUGAGGUGGGAGGACCAAACUGCAAAGGGGAACCACCACUUUUAUCAAACCAUGAAAAUUGUAAUCUCACCGGGCAUAAGGCCGCAUCGAUGUUGCGUAGACGAGGUGGGAGGGUCAAAGGGAAGUCACAAUGCCAGCAGACCCUGCAAACCAUAACCCCACCAGGUAAAAGGUCCAGCAUGAAAAAAAACCCGCCAAUGAGACGUCGAUAAGACCAUCGAGAUGGGAAGGAUCCAAGAGACCUUAUUCGCUGGAUCGGAAAAAACUUACAACGGUUUAUCUAUUGUGUGUGGGGUGGAACGCGAGGACACCUUUCAUGCGCUUUGCAGACGCCCUCAGUGCCUAUCUGUGGCAGAAGAAUGGAUCCCUACUGAAUUAACGAAGUCAUCAACCCGUCAAGAAUUCCAUCGGGGCACAUAACUAACAAGAGGAAAAAGUAUAUAUGAUAGAUACAAGGUGCUUACAAACAAUCCAAAGACUACUACAAUACAAGCAUACCAAGACAGAACAAAAACACUCCAAAAUGAAAGCAUUUGACCCUAUGGCUAUCCGUUUGUGCCACUAAAGAGGACUCCCUCCUCUUGUCACGUCUCGAAGGAUGCCACAUCGUUGACAUAGACAAAGGUUUACACUGGAAACCGAAGAAGCCAUAUGCUGCUAGGAAGCACGGGAGGGUCCAGCAAAACAUCCUUUGCAAAUCAAGAACUCCACACUAGAUAGAUGUCGCCCACAGCCACAUGAGAGACUCAAAUUGCCGAAUGGAAAUGAUGCAAACCUGAGAAGACACAAUGCUAGUAGAACAACAACCAAGAGGACAUGAACCAGCCUUAAUGGAACACUAAGCUACCAACAUCCUUGACACAACACUAUGGUCGUAGAGGGGAAACCUCUCCCCUCUUGCCUAAGCUCGAAGGCGACGACCUUCCAAUGAACAGUCUGCAAGAAGGGAACACCAGAUACCAAAGCAAACCAAUUCCACCACGUAGCUGGUUUGAUCAUGACAAUAAGCAAUCUACAACAUCAACCUACGAAAUCGCACCAACUCAAACACUGACUCCUAUGUUCCAGAUAUGAAUCCUCCAAGGAGGGGAACAACGCUAGAGCGUUCUCGUCGUCCAAUGUACAACCAAGAUUUUCACCAAAGGAACGGGAAUGCAAGGUGGGGACUAGUACCUUGACAACAUCUUCAAGAGGAGAAGUGGCCCCUGUAGCACCGUCAUCGUUGUGGUCGUCAUUGACGGUCAAAAUAUUCCACCCACCGUGAUCCCCAAGACCUUCCUCCGACCAUCUUUAACCGACGACCGUCCAAAGUCCAAAUCGGAAGGACGAUAACACACAAAUUGUGACUGACCUCUUUCGGGAAGGUGCCUAGACAACGGAGAACCAGAGCACCGCACCUCCAAUCACCGGCUCCUCGCUGACACACAGACCGAAACAGCCGAUUGAAAAUCUCAAGGACGUUGCUGUCGUCACCACCUAGGGCAGCCGCCUUGACUUCUGAGCUCCCCCAAGACUCCUGAAGAAAGAAAGCUGGCUCCUUCUCAACUGCGAAAACCAAUUACGGCUGGUCGACAACCAUGAGCAAGAGCCUUGAUGCCAGCCGAGGAUCGGCAGAUGCCAAGAUGGCAAAACAAGGGGGAGGCGGAGGACACCACCAUCCCCGCAUUGUCCUUCAGGGCAGAACUCCCCACAUGAGUUUCCCUGGUCGAAUCGAGAGGUGAAGCCACCAUGAGUGUCACCAUCUCUAGGACGGUCAGAUCUAAGCCAAUGAACUUUCCCCACCGCCGGACGUGGGUGUGCCGUCCACUUCCUAACAAACCGCAUGUGGAGACCGCCUCACCGCCGCCGUCCUUCUGGCGCGUGAGCUUUCCGGCUGCCGCUUUGGCGGAGGAAAAGAUCGAGCUGAGAGGGGAGGGGAAGGACUGGCAGCGCUAGGGUUGGUCGCCUCCCGUGUGGGCCCGAACGGAGCGACACGGGUGUUGUGAAACGUUUUCUUCUACCCCCUCCGAUCCAUAUCAUUUGAGCGACAAGUAAUAUGUAUCGAAGGGAGCAUCAACACUCAUGCAUCCAGUCAAAAUUCACAACAUGGGUUACCAUAUGCAACGCUGUAUUGGCAAUGUUUAUGUUUUUCUCUUAAAAAAGGAUUUUUUUUACAGCACCUAAAGAGGACUUGAUAUGGCCCGUGUUGAGGUUAGGGUUUAGCAAAAGAUAAUUCAUCCUUUUCCGUCAAAGCGGCCGCUCCUCUCCUCCCCCGUCAGUUUCCAACCUGCACACAGCUCGUCUGGUCUCAUCUCAUCGACCGACACUGGCCGCUGCAGAGACGCCGCCCAUCCUCCUCCUCCUCCCUACAACUACGGCAAACACUCUGAAUUUCGCCCCAAGAAGGAAAACCAUAGGUAAGAUUUCGUCUUUGCGUGGCGAGUCUCUUGCUCCAGUGCCCCAACGGAUCGCCCCCUCGGAUCGUCCGAAGGCGCCGCCGGGAACAGGACACAUCGCGGCCCCGCUGGAAAUCGCCGCUCCACUGUCCUCCAGGGCAAAGUAAACCCCCUCGGCCCUCUCCCUCCAUUCUCUCCUUCUACUUCUUCAGGAUGUUCCUUUUUAGAUUUAGUGAAAUUUACAUUUUAGAUUUGUAUGAAUUUUACAAUAGAAAAUGUUAAUAGCAAAGUAUACAUUUUAGCCAGGCGUAAAUAUUAGUACGAUACAUCAGAAAUGCAAGUACUGCAAUCUAGUACAUUUUAGAUGUGUAAAUGCUAGUACUAUAAAAAUCAGCCAAGAUGCAUCGAGUGGCCGACAGUUUCACAACACACGCUUCAUGUCACCCAGUCCCCCUACUGUCCACCAGUCCACCAUCGUGGUAGCUUGCACUGGGCAUUUGGCCUCAACUUGACUGUAUUUGACAGCGUAGGUGAGACAUUCCGGCAGAUGAGCCGCCCAAUAGAGUUGGGUGCUUUGGUGUCAUUGUUGGACAUGGGUGGAUCCCUUGCUUUGUGGCACACCACCUAUGAUAGCAUCACUUUCGAUAUUUGGGUGCUGCAGGACUAUGAUGCUGAGACAUGGGGCUUUCAAUACCGGAUUAACUUGUUUGCGAUGGAGGCAUCACCACCGCUUAAUUUGGGGGUGAUAUAUCGCCCUAGUAUGGCUGUGAUCAAUGAGCAUGAGCUGUUGAUUGAGCAGCGUCCUGACCGUCUAUUGCAUUGCGACACUGAUGGUGUGUUUUUAGGAAAUGUGGAAAGUGAAGAACAUGGAAACCAGCUGAUACUUACCAGACAUCGUUUCCAAGAGAGCAUGAUUUCACUACCAUUGUUUGAGACACAAGAAGACGAUGAUGUGAAGGAGCCCCCAUUCCUCAUAGUGCUAUAAGUAGCCGUGUUCCAUCUUAUUUCCUUGGACAAGUUGUUGCUGUGCUCUAGGAGUAUCAAUGCCAUAUGAACCAUGUCUUUUGUUCCUACCUUUUAUUACUACUAGUAGAACUGAACACUUUAUAUGUAUGAAGUAGCACUUGAGCUAUCGUCACGUGGUGCUAGUUAUCCUACCGAUCUUGAGCAUCUUGCUAAUGCUCUAAACAAUGGAAUAUCUAUGGUAUAGAACUGCUCUACCGUUCUCCCCCAUUUUUACUUUAAGUUUGCACUAUUAAGAAGCACAAAAGGAAUGGUUGCAGUUUAAAAUGCUAAUUCUUUCAUGAGAAAUUAUGACAUUUAGUUGUUGGAAUGGUUAGUUAGAUGCUCCCUUCGCUCCUAUUGCGUUUGGCAGUUGGUUGGUCUUGCUUCUGCUCUUCAUCUGUAGAUGUCUUUUCUCAUACGUCUGGGGGAAGCUGCUUGUGUGUAUGAUUGUCACUACAGUGUUUUGUUUCUGAUUGCCAAUUCAAUACAGCCAUUGUAAAAAAAAAUUGGCAACACAGAUAUUUCUGCAGUGUUUUGUUUCUGAUAGAGAUGAAGAGGGAGUACUCUGUUUCAUUGACUUCCACUAUUUUGGAGAAAGAGGUUGGCUGUUGGUUAUGUGUCUAGAAAUAAGUUGGGAGAAAAAUAGUUGGUACUUUGGUGGUAUAUAAUCUUGUACAUGUUGCUGCCCAAGUUGGGAGAAAAAGGUAAGAAUACAUAAUUAAUCUGAGUCAUUGAUUUUGUUAGUUAAUGGGCCCAAGUCAUUAACAUGUGCAAAAUUAACCUAUCUCAGCUGGUCACUGCUACCAGUUGCUCGACAUACAGUACAUUCAAGGAAAAGCCCCAUCAUGAGUUCAUAAGGAAACCAAAAAUAGAUCAUCUGCCGGAUCACACUCUCUCGCAAUUAAUGCUCCGCUCAAAUGGCGUCACACUCGUUGGAGUAAAUAUACGGCGUAUGAACCAUGUCUUCUGUUCUUCGUUCUUACUUUUUCUGCUACAGUUCAUUGACUAAGACAUGUUAUAUGGAAAGAGCUUGGUACAACGGUGUAUUUUUUCCGUAAGGCUGCUGUUGUAUGUCUUGCGUUUUUUGUUUGUGUUUAACCGAUUUGCUGCUGGUGCUGAGCGAUGCUAUUAGGUUGUUAUGGUUUGAUCCGCUGAGAGUUGAAGACGAUAUAUUGUGUUCUUUUUUGCAUUUCCAUCGGGGUUGAACAUGGCCUUGUCCCAUUUACUUAAAAAGAACUGAACAUGUCUUCUCAUUUACCAGCUAAAUGAGCUAAUUCCAAGUUCAUGUUUGUCUGGAUGAAGAUUUGAAGUUUACAUGGUGACAGGUUGACCAUGAUGUCCCCUUCUGUAAAAACGAUGGUGAUCAUUUGACCUGUUUAUUUUUUGCAUGGUAUUCAUGUCACAUCAGAUGGACAAUCAAGUGAUUCGGUGUUGCAUGUGUGGUUGAGAUUUGGAGUGCUGCAUCAUCUUCUUCAGUAUGUGGAUCAACAAUUUAUAGUGAUGGUGACAAUUGAUGAAUGACGGUGAUAUUUGGUGAAGCAUAAUACUGAGGCCGCAGCUCAGCGUUCACCAUUUGUUUGGGAAUGUUCAACAUUUCAGGAACUGGAUUUAUUGAUAGGUGCCGUAAAUAGAAGCCUGUUUUGUAGAUAAGAUCUGUUUAUUUCCCUGAAAUGUUGUAACUGUGUCUUGAUGUCGAUGCUGCAUUGGCGAGUUUGUGCUUAUUAAGGAUUAUAUUGAUGGGUUGCCUUUUACCAUUGCACGUGAUGAUUUUGAUGAAUAUAAUAUGCAUGUGCUUGCUGCUCCUACUUGCAAUUAUUAUGAGAGAGGAACUAUAUCUCGACCUCUCUAUGUUUCCAAUAUGAUAAAAUUGCAAGAAACUGUUUAUACUAUGCAUUGGCCUUUAUAUGUGUGCAUGAAUUGUUCUUUUAUGACAUGCCGAUGUAUAGGAAGAGAGUUAGACUUCGUUGUUGCAUGAUAUAUGUUACUUUGUGCAUACUACUAAAUUAUAAAUCAUUGUUAAUUAAAAUUGGCUUUGAUAUACCUUGGGAUCUGGGUGGAUCCAUUACUUGAGCACUAUAUGCCUAGCUUAAUGGCUUUAAAGAAAGCGCUGCCAGUGAGACAACCUGGAAGUCUUAGAGAGUAAUUUAUUUCUGUUGAGUGCUUUUAUAUAGUUUAAAAACAAAAAAAUAAAGAGGGGAACCUAAAAACUUUUCAAAAAGGAAAGUGAAAGUGACAAAGACAAGCAUUGUUGAAGUGGGAGAGCUCCUUGAACUUUGUUCAUACUCACGGAAACUUUGUGAAUCUUGAUUACAGAAAAAAUUCAUUAAAAAUAACUAUCCCCUUGUACAAUUCCAUUGUAUUAUAAAAAUAAUGUGCCAAGGUUUGCCUUUUAGGAUGUUUACAAUGCUUGUUGGUUUGUACGGUGUAGGACAGAAACUUUGGCUGUAGUGCGUGAUUUUACAUUUUUAACUGGAACGUCAAUUAGUUCUGACUCCUUUUUCACUGUCUUUCUGUGCAAAUUUUUUAUUAUUCCUAAUUUUGGUAGAAGUUUUGGGGUACCAUAAGUAUGGUGAUUGUUCAGAUUGCUACAGACUGGUCUGUUUUUGACAGAUUCUGUUUUUGAUGCAUAGUUUGCUUGUUUUGAUGAAACUAUCAAUUUAUAUCAGUGGAUUAAGCCAUGAAAAAGUUAUAAUACAGUAGACACAAUGAAAAAAAAUAUGAAUUGGUUUGCUACGGUACUUAGAAUAGUGAUUUGCUUUAUUAUACUAACGGAUCUUACCGAGUUUUCUGUUGAAGUUUUUGUGGAUGAAGUGUCUAAUCGAGGAUGACUCGAUAUGAGGAAAAGGAAGAGAGACAAGAGAUCAAACUUGGGGAUGCCCGAGGCACCCCAAGUAAAUAUUCAAGGAGACUCAAGCGCCUAAGCUUGGGGAUGCCCCGGGAGGCAUCCCUUCUUUCUUCAACAAGUAUCGGUAUGUUUUCAGAUUCGUUUCGUUCGUGCAUUAUGUGCAAGUCUUGGAGCGUCUUUUGCAUUUAUUUUUCAUUUUUCUUUUAUGCACCAUGCUGGUAUGAGAUAGUCCUUGGUUGGUUUAUAGAAUGCUGAUUGCACUUCACUUAAAUCUUUUGAGUAUGGCUUUAUAGAAUGCUUCAUGUGCUUCACUUAUAUCAUUUGAAGCCUGGAUUGCCUAUUUCUCUUCACAUAGAAAACCGCCAUUUGUAGAAUGCUCUUUUUCUUCACUUAUAUUUGUUAGAGAGUGGGCAUAUCUUUUGUAGAAAGAAUUAAACUCUCUUGCUUCACUUAUAUCUAUUUAGAGAGAUGACAGGAAUUGGUCAUUCACAUGGUUAGUCAUAAAAUCCUACAUAAACUUGUAGAUCGCUGAAUAUGAUAUGUUUGAUUCCUUGCAAUAGUUUUGCGAUAUAAAGAUGGUGAUAUUAGAGUCAUGCUAGUGGGUGGUUGUGGAUUGUAGAGACACUUGUGUUGAGGUUUUCAAGUCCCGUAGCAUGCACGUAUGGUAACCGUUGUGUGAGAAAUUUGAAGCAUGGGGUGUUUCUUUGAUUGUCUUCCUUAUGAGUGGCGGUCAGGGACGAGCGAUGGUCUUUUCCUACCAAUCUAGCCCCCUAGGGGCAUGCGUAGAAGUACUUUGUUUCGAGGGAUAAUAAACUUUUGCAAUAAGUAUAUGAGUUCUUUAUGACUAAUGUUGAGUCCAUGUAUACACACUUUUACCUUUCCAUCAUUGCUAGCCUCUUCGGUACCGUGCAUUGCCCUUUCUCACCUCGAGAGUUGGUGCAAACUUCGCCAGUGCAUCCAAACCCCGUGAUAUGAUACGCUCUAUCACACAUAAGCCUCCUUAUAUCUUCCUCAAAACAGCCACCAUACCUACCUAUCAUGGCAUUUCCAUAGCCAUUCCGAGAUAUAUUGCCAUGCAACUUCCAUCAUCAUCAUAUACAUGACUUGAGCAUUUAUUGUCAUAUUGCUUUGCAUGAUCGUAAGAUAGAUAGCAUGAUGUUUUCAUGGCUUGUCCGUUUUUUGAUGUCAUUGCUAUGCUAGAUCAUUGCACAUCCCGGUACACCACCGGAAGCAUUCAUAUAGAGUCAUAUCUUUGUUCCAGUAUCGAGUUGUAAUAUUGAGUUGUAAGUAAAUAAAAGUGUGAUGAUCAUCAUUAUAGAGCAUUGCCCCAUGAAAAAAAAGAAAAAGAAAGAGGAAAGGCCAAAGAAGCCUAAAUAAAAAAGGGGGGCCAAAGAAGCCCACCGAAAAAAAAGAAAAAAAAGAAAAGAGAAGGGGCAAUGUUACUAUCCUUUUUCCACACUUGUGCUUCAGAAUAGCACCAUGUUCUUCAUAUAGAGAGUCUCCUAUAUUAUCACUUUCAUAUACUAGUGGGAAUUUUCAUUAUAGAACUUGGCUUGUAUAUUCCAACGAUGGGCUUCCUCAAAUGCCCUAGGUCUUCAUGAGCAAGCAAGUUGGAUGCACACCCACUUAGUUUUCAGUUUGAGCUUUCAUACACUUAUAGCUCUAGUGCAUCUGUUGCAUGGCAAUCCCUACUCCUCGCAUUGACAUCAAUUGAUGGGCAUCUCCAUAGCCCGUUGAUUAGCCGCGUCGAUGUGAGACUUUCUCCUUUUUUGUCUUCUCCACAUAACCACCAUCAUUAUAUUCUAUUCCACCUAUAGUGCUAUAUCCAUGGCUUGCGCUCAUGUAUUCUUGAGGGUUGAAAAAGCUGAAGCGCCUUAAAAAGUAUGAACCAAUUGCUCGGCUUGUCAUCGGGGUUGUGCAUGAUGGGAGCAUUUUGUGUGACGAAAAUGAAGCAUGGCCAAACUAUAUGGUUUUGUAGGGAUAAGCUUGCUUUGGCCUUGUUGUUUUGAAAAGACAUGAUUGCUUUAUUGGUAUGCUUGAAGUAUUAUUGUUUUUAUGUCAAAUAAUAGACUAUUUCUUUGAAUCACUCGUGUCUUAAUAUUCAUGUGAUGAUUAGACAUAUGAUCAAGAUUAUGCUAGGUAGCAUUCCACAUCGAAAAUUAUCUUUUUUAUCAUUACCUACUCGAGGACGAGCAGGAAUUAAGCUUGGGGAUGUUGAUACGUCUCCGUCGUAUCUAUAAUUUUUGAUUGUUCCAUGCCAAUAUUCUAGAACUUUCAUAUACUUUUGGCAACUUUUUAUACUAUUUUUUGGGACUAACAUAUUGAUCCAGUGCCGAGUGCCAGUUCCUGUCUGUUGCAUGCUUUAUGUUUCGUAGAAACCCCAUAUCAAACGGAGUCCAAACGGGAUAAAAACGGACGGAGAAUUAUUUUGGAAUAUUUCUGAUUUUUGGGAGGAAGAAUCAACGCGAUAUGAUGCCCGAGGUGGCUACGAGAUAGGGGCCCACGCCCACUUAAAGUGGGCGCCCCCACCCUCGUGGGCCACUCGUAAGGCGGUUGAUGCCCUUCUUUGGCCGAAGAGAAAGCUAAUUUUUGGAAAAUGAUCUGGGCGAAGGUUUCAAUCCAAUCGGAGUUACGGAUCUCUAGAUAUAAAGGAAACGAUGCCAGGGCAGAAUUACAGAAUGCAGAAACAGAGAGAUAGAUCCAAUCUCGGAGGGGCUGUCGCCCCUCCCAAGCCAUGGGGGCCAAGGACCAGAGGGGAAACCCUUCUCCCAUCUAGGGAGGAUGUCAAGGAAGAAGAAGAAGAAGGGGCCUCUCUCCCCCUUGCUUCCGGUGGCGCCGGAGCGCUGCCGGGGACCAUCAUCAUCACCACGAUCUUCACCAACACCUCCGCCAUCUUCACCAACAUCUCCAUCACCUUCCCCCUUCUAUAUCCAGCGGUCCACUCUCCCGCAUCCCGUUGUACCCUCUACUUGAACAUGGUGCUUUAUGCUUCAUAUUAUUUUCCAAUGAUGUGUUGCCCUCCUAUGAUGUCUGAGUAGACUUUCGUUGUCCUAUCGGUGAUUGAUGAAUUGCUAUGAUUGGUUUGAGUUGCAUGUUUUAUUAUUGGGGCUGUGCUAUUGUGCCCUCCAUGUCACGCAAGUGUGAGGUAUUCCCGCUGUAGGGUGUUGCAAUACGUUCAUGAUUCUUUUAUGGUGGGUUUCUUGAGUGACAGAAGCAUAAACCCGAGUAAGGGGAUUGUUGCGUAUGGGAUAAAGGGGACUUGAUGCUUUAAUGCUAUGGUUGGGUUUUACCUUAAUGAAUCUUUAGUAGCUGCGGAUGCUUGCUAGAGUUCCAAUCAUGUUAGCUUAUGCCUCUCCCUCAAAUAAAAUUGCAAUAGUGAUUAUGUUGGAAAUAUGCCCUAGAGGCAAUAAUAAAAGUAUUAUUAUAUUUCAUUGUUCAUGAUAAUUGUCUUUUAUUCAUGCUAUAACUGUAUUAUCCGGAAAUCGUAAUACACGUGUGAAUACAUAGACCUCAAUAUGUCCCUAGUGAGCCUCUAGUUGACUAGCUCGUUGUGAUCAACAGAUAGUCAUGAUUUCCUGGCUAUGGACAUUGGAUGUCGUUGAUAACGGGAUCACAUCAUUAGGAGAAUGAUGUGAUGGACAAGACCCAAUCCUAAGCAUAGCACAAAGGUCGUUUAGUUCGUUUGCUAGAGCUUUGCCAAUGUCAAGUAUCUCUUCCUUAGACCAUGAGAUCGUGUAACUCCCGGAUACCGUAGGAGUGCCUUGGGUGUAUCAAACGUCACAACGUAACUGGGUGACUAUAAAGGUGCAUUACAGGUAUCUCCGAAAGUAGCUGUUGGGUUGACACGGAUCGAGACUGGGAUUUGUCACUCGGUAUGACGGAGAGGUAUCUCUGGGCCCACUCGGUAAUGCAUCAUCAUAAUGAGCUCAAGGUGACCAAAGUGUUGGCCACGAGAUCAUGCAUUACGGUACGAGUAAAGUGACUUGCUGGUAACGAGACUGAACAAGGUAUUGGGAUACCGACGAUCGAGUCUCGGGCAAGUAACGUACCGAUUGACAAAGGGAAUUGUAUACAGGGUUUGAUCGAAUCCUCGACAUUGUGGUUCAUCCGAUGACAACAUCGAGAAGCAUGUGGGAGCCAACAUGGGUAUCCAGAUCCCGCUGUUGGUUAUUGACCGGAGAACGUCUCGGUCAUGUCUACAUGUCUCCCGAACCCGUAGGGUCUACACACUUAAGGUUCAAUGACGCUAGGGUUAUAAAGGAAGUUUGUAUGUGGUUACCGAAUGUUGUUCGGAGUCCCGUAUGAGAUCCCGGACGUCACGAGGAGUUCCGGAAUGGUUCGGAGGUAAAGAUUUAUAUAUGGGAAGUCCUAUUUUGGCCACCGGAAAAUGUUCGGGAUUUUUCGGUAUUGUACCGGCAAGGAUCUAGAAGGUUCCGGAGUGGGGCCCACCUGCAUGGGGGGACCCACAUGAACGUGAGUAGUGGGGGAAAGGACCCACACCCCUGGUCAAGGUGCACCAAGAUCCCCCCUUAGAAGGAAUAAGAUCAUAUCCCGAAGGGAUAAGAUCAAGAUCCCUAAAAAGGGGGGAUAACAAUCGGUGGGGAAGGAAAUGAUGGGAUUUCUUUCCUCCCACCUUGGCCAACGCCCCAAUGGACUUGGAGGGCAAGAAACCAGCCCCUCCACCCCUAUAUAUAGUGGGGAGGCGCAUGGGAGCUUAAUACAAGCCAAGGCGCAGCCCCUCCCCUCCCCAACACCUCUCCUCCUCCGUAUAUGCUUGGCGAAGCCCUGUCGGAGUACUGCUGCACCAACUACACCACGCCGUCGUGCUGCCGUUGGAGCAAUCUUCCUCAACCUCUCCUUCCCCCUUGCUGGAUCAAGAAGGAGGAGACGUCUCCCGUCCCGUACGUGUGUUGAACGCGGAGGUGCUGUCCGUUCAGCACUUGGACAUCGGUGAUCCGAAUCACGUUCGAGUACGACUCCAUCAUCACCAUCCCCUUGGCUAGCUUCCGCUCGUGAUCUACAAGUGGUAUGUAGAUGAAAACUCUCUCCCUUGACUCGUUGCUUAGAUGAACUCAUAGAUGGAUCUUGGUGAAACCGUAGGAAAAAUUUUAAUUUUCUGCAACGUUCCCCAACAGUGGCAUCAUGAGCUAGGUCUAUGCGUAGUUCUCUUUUUGCACGAGUAGAACACAAUUUUGUUGUGGGCGUGGAUUUUGUCAUCUUACUUGCCUCUACUAGUCUUUUCUUGCUUCGGCGGUAUUGUGGGAUGAAGCGGCCCGGACCAACCUUACACGUACGCUUACGUGAGACCGGUUCCACCGACUGACAUGUACUAGUUGCAUAAGGUGGCUGGCGGGUGUCUGUCUCUCCCACUUUAGUUGGAGCGGAUUCGAUGAAAAGGGCCCUUAUGAAGGGUAAAUAGAAGUUGACAAAGUCACGUUGUGGUUAUUCGUAGGUAAGAAAACGUUCUUGCUAGAACCCAAUUGUAGCCACGUAAAAGAUGCAACAACAAUUAGAGGACGUCUAACUUGUUUUUGCAGCGAUUGAUCAUGUGAUGUGAUAUGGCCAGAAGUUGUGAUGAAUGAUGAAUUGUGAUGUAUGAGAUCAUGUUCUUUGUAAUAGGAUUCACGACUUGCAUGUCGAUGAGUAUGACAACCGGCAGGAUCCAUAGGAGUUGUCUUUAUUUUUUGUAUGACCUGCGUGUCAUUGAAGAACGCCAUGUAACUCACUUUACUUUAUUGCUAAACGCGUUAGCCAUAGAAGUAGAAGUAGUCGUUGGCGUGACAACUUCAUGAAGACACGAUGAUGGAGAUCAUGAUGAUGGAGAUCAUGGUGUCAAGCCGGUGACAAGAUGAUCAUGGAGCCCCGAAGAUGAAGAUCAAUGGAGCUAUAUGAUAUUGGCCAUAUCAUGUCACAACUAUAUAAUUGCAUGUGAUGUUUAUUAUGUUUAUGCAUCUUGUUUACUUAGGACGAUGGUAGUAAAUAAGAUGAUCCCUUGAAGUAUUCUCCCCUAACUGUGCACCGUUGCUAUAGUUCGUCGCUUCUAAGCACCACGUGAUGAUCGGGUGUGAUGGAUUCUUACGUUCACAUACAAUGGGUGUAAGACAGUUUUACACAGCGAAAACACUUAGGGUUAACUUGACGAGCCUAGCAUGUGCAGACAUGGCCUCGGAACACGGAGACCGAAAGGUCGAACACGAGUCGUAUGGAAGAUACGAUCAACAUGAGAAUGUUCACCGACGAUGACUAGUCCGUCUCACGUGAUGAUCGGACACGGCCUAGUCGACUCGGAUCGUGUAACACUUAGAUGACUAAAGGGAUGUCUAAUCUGAGUGGGAGUUCAUAAUUUGAUUAGAACUUAAUUAUCAUGAACUUAGUCUAAAACCUUUGCAAAUAUGUCUUGUAGAUCAAAUGGCCAACGCUCAUGUCAACAUGAACUUCAACGCGUUCCUAGAGAAAACCAAGCUGAAAGAUGAUGGCAGCAACUAUACGGACUGGGCCGGAACCUGAGGAUCAUCCUCAUUGCUGCCAGGAAACAAUAUGUCCUAGAAGGACCGCUAGGUGAUGCUCCCGUCCCAGAGAACCAAGACAUUAUGAAUGCUUGGCAAACUCGCGCUGAUGAUUACUCCCUCGUUCAGUGCGGCAUGCUUUACAGCUUAGAACCGGGGCUCCAAAAGCGUUUUGAGCAUCACGGAGCAUAUGAGAUGUUCGAAGAGCUGAAACUAGUUUUCCAAGCUCAUGCCCGGGUCGAGGGAUAUGAUGUCUCCGACAAGUUCUACAGUUGUAAAAUGGAGGAAAACAAUUCUGUCAGUGAGCACAUCCUGAAGAUGUCUGGGUUGCACAACCGUAUGACCCAGCUGAACAUUAACCUCCCAGAUGAGGCGGUCAUUGACAGAAUCCUCCAGUCGCUCCCACCAAGCUACAAGAGCUUUGUGAUGAACUACAACAUGCAGGGGAUGGAAAAGACCAUUCCUGAAGUGUUCUCGAUGCUGAAGUCAGCAGAGGCUGAAAUCAAGAAAGAACAUCAAGUGUUGAUGGUCAAUAAGACCACUAAGUUCAAGAAGGGCAAGGGUAAGAAGAACUUCAAGAAGGACGGCAAGGAGGUUGCCGCGCCUGGUAAGCCAGUUACCGGGAAGAAGUCAAAGAAUGGACCUAAGCCUGAGACUGAGUGCUUUUAUUGAAAGGGGAAGGGUCACUGGAAGCGGAACUGCCCCAAAUACUUAGCAGAUAAGAAGGCCGGCAAAACCAAAGGUAUAUUUGAUAUACAUGUAAUUGAUGUGUACCUUACCAGUACUCGUAGUAACUCCUGGGUAUUUGAUACCGGUGCCGUUGCUCAUAUUUGUAACUCACAGCAGGAGCUGCGGAAUAAACGGAGACUGGCGAAGGACGAGGUGACGAUGCGCGUCGGGAAAGAUUCCAGAGUCGAUGUGAUCGCCGUCGGCACGCUGCCUCUACAUGUACCUACGGGAUUAGUUUUGAACCUUAAUAAUUGUUAUUUAGUGCCAAGUUUGAGCAUGAACAUUGUAUCUGGAUCUCGUUUAAUACGAGAUGACUACUCAUUUAAGUCUGAGAAUAAUGGUUGUUCGAUUUAUAUGAGAGAUAUGUUUUAUGGUCAUGCUCCGAUGGUCAAUGGUUUAUUCUUAAUGAAUCUCGAGCGUAAUAUUACACAUCUUCAUAGUGUAGAUGCCAAAAGAUGUAAAGUUGAUAACGAUAGUCCCACAUACUUGUGGCACUGCCGCCUUGGUCACAUUGGUGUCAAGCGCAUGAAGAAGCUCCAUGCCGAUGGACUUUUAGAGUCUCUUGAUUAUGAAUCGUUUGACACGUGCGAACCAUGCCUCAUGGGCAAGAUGACCAAGACUCCGUUCUCCGGAACAAUGGAGCGAGCAACCAACUUAUUGGAAAUCAUACAUACCGAUGUGUGCGGUCCAAUGAGCGUUGAGGCUCGCGGAGGAUAUCGUUAUGUUCUCACUCUCACUGAUGACUUAAGUAGAUAUGGGUAUUUCUACUUAAUGAAACACAAGUCUGAGACCUUUGAAAAGUUCAAGGAAUUUCAGAAUGAGGUGGAGAAUCAACGUGACCGAAAGAUAAAGUGCCUACGAUCAGAUCGUGGAGGAGAAUAUUUAAGUCACGAAUUUGGCACACACUUAAGGAAAUGUGGAAUCGUUUCACAACUCACGCCGCCUGGAACACCUCAGCGAAACGGUGUGUCCGAACGUCGUAAUCGCACUCUAUUGGAUAUGGUGCGGUCUACGAUGUCUCUUACUGAUUUACCGCUAUCAUUUUGGGGAUACGCUCUAGAGACAGCUACAUUCACUUUAAAUAGGGCACCGUCUAAAUCCGUUGAGACGACACCGUAUGAAUUAUGGUUUGGGAAGAAACCUAAGCUGUCGUUUCUAAAAGUUUGGGGAUGCGAUGCUUAUGUCAAGAAACUUCAACCUGAAAAGCUCGAACCCAAGUCGGAAAAAUGCGUCUUCAUAGGAUACCCUAAGGAAACUGUCGGGUAUACCUUCUACUUAAGAUCCGAGGGCAAAAUCUUUGUUGCCAAGAACGGAUGCUUUCUGGAAAAAGAGUUUCUCUCGAAAGAAGUAAGUGGGAGGAAAGUAGAACUCGAUGAAGUACUACCUCUCGAACGGGAAAGUGGUGCAGCUCAGGAAAAUGUUCCUGUGAUGCCCACACCAACUGAAGAGGAAACCAAUGAUGAUGAUCAAGGUACUUCGGAUCAAGUUGCUACUGAACUUCGUAGGUCCACAAGGACACGUUCCGCACCAGAGUGGUACGGCAACCCCGUCCUGGAAAUCAUGCUGUUAGACAACGGUGAACCUUCGAACUAUGAAGAAGCGAUGGCGGGCCCAGAUUCCAACAAAUGGCUUGAAGCCAUGAAAUCCGAGAUAGAAUCCAUGUAUGAAAACAAAGUAUGGACUUUGACAGACUUGCCCGAUGAUCGGCGAGCGAUAGAAAACAAAUGGAUCUUUAAGAAGAAGACAGACGCGGAUGGUAAUGUCACCAUCUAUAAAGCUCGACUUGUCGCUAAGGGUUAUCGACAGGUUCAAGGGAUUGACUACGACGAGACAUUCUCUCCCGUAGCGAAGCUAAAGUCCGUCUGAAUCAUGUUAGCAAUUGCCGCAUACUAUGAUUAUGAGAUAUGGCAGAUGGACGUCAAAACAGCAUUCCUUAACGGGCAUCUUAAGGAAGAACUGUAUAUGAUGCAGCCGGAAGGUUUUGUCGAUCCUAGGAACGCUAACAAAGUAUGCAAGCUCCAGCGAUCCAUUUAUGGGCUGGUGCAAGCAUCUCGGAGUUGGAAUAUUUGCUUUGAUGAGAUGAUCAAAGUGUUUGGGUUUAUGCAGACUUAUGGAGAAUCCUGCGUUUACAAGAAAGUGAGUGGGAGCUCUGUAGCAUUUCUCAUAUUAUAUGUAGAUGACAUACUCUUGAUGGGAAAUAAUAUAGAAUUUCUGGACAGCAUUAAGGCCUACUUGAAUAAGUGUUUUUCAAUGAAGGACCUUGGAGAAGCUGCUUACAUAUUAGGCAUCAAGAUCUAUAGAGAUAGAUCGAGACGCCUCAUAGGUCUUUCACAAAGCACAUACCUUGAUAAGAUUUUGAAGAGGUUCAAAAUGGAUCAGUCCAAGAAGGGGUUUUUGCCUAUGUUACAAGGUGUGAGAUUGAGCUCGGCUCAGUCACCGACCACGGCAAAAGAUAAAGAAGAGAUGAGUGUCAUCCCCUAUGCUUCAGCCAUAGGAUCUAUUAUGUAUGCCAUGCUGUGUACCAAACCUGAUGUAAACUUUGCCGUGAGUUUGGUAGCUAGAUACCAAAGUAAUCCCGGCAAGGAACACUGGACAGCAGUCAAGAAUAUCCUGAAGUACCUGAAAAAGGACAAAGGACAUGUUUCUCAUUUAUGGAGGAGACGAAGAGCUUGUCGUAAAGGGUUACGUCGACGCUAGCUUCGACUCAGAUCCGGAUGACUCUAAGUCACAAACCGGAUACGUGUAUAUGUUGAAUGGUGGAGCAGUAAGCUGGUGCAGCUGCAAGCAGAGCGUCGUGGCGGGAUCUACGUGUGAAGCGGAGUACAUGGCAGCCUCGGAGGCAGCGCAUGAAGCGAUUUGGGUGAAGGAGUUCAUCACCAACCUAGGAGUCAUACCCAAUGCGUCGGGGCCAAUCAAACUCUUCUGUGACAACACUGGAGCUAUUGCCCUUGCCAAAGAGCCCAAGUUUCACAAGAAGACCAGGCACAUCAAGCGUCGUUUCAACUCCAUCCGUGAAAAUGUUCAAGAUGGAGACAUAGAAAUUUGCAAAGUACAUACGGAUCUGAAUGUCGCAGAUCCGUUGACUAAACCUCUCUCGCGAGCUAAACAUGAUCAACACCAGAACUCUAUGGGUGUUCGAUUCAUCACAAUGUAACUAGAUUGGUGACUCUAGUGCAAGUGGGAGACUGUUGGAAAUAUGCCCUAGAGGCAAUAAUAAAAGUAUUAUUAUAUUUCAUUGUUCAUGAUAAUUGUCUUUUAUUCAUGCUAUAACUGUAUUAUCCGGAAAUCGUAAUACACGUGUGAAUACAUAGACCUCAAUAUGUCCCUAGUGAGCCUCUAGUUGACUAGCUCAUUGUGAUCAACAGAUAGUCAUGAUUUCCUGGCUAUGGACAUUGGAUGUCGUUGAUAACGGGAUCACAUCAUUAGGAGAAUGAUGUGAUGGACAAGACCCAAUCCUAAGCAUAGCACAAAGGUCGUUUAGUUCGUUUGCUAGAGCUUUGCCAAUGUCAAGUAUCUCUUCCUUAGACCAUGAGAUCGUGUAACUCCCGGAUACCGUAGGAGUGCCUUGGGUGUAUCAAACGUCACAACGUAACUGGGUGACUAUAAAGGUGCAGUACAGGUAUCUCCGAAAGUAGCUGUUGGGUUGACACGGAUCGAGACUGGGAUUUGGCACUCGGUAUGACGGAGAGGUAUCUCUGGGCCCACUCGGUAAUGCAUCAUCAUAAUGAGCUCAAGGUGACCAAAGUGUUGGCCACGAGAUCAUGCAUUACGGUACGAGUAAAGUGACUUGCCGGUAACGAGACUGAACAAGGUAUUGGGAUACCGACGAUCGAGUCUCGGGCAAGUAACGUACCGAUUGACAAAGGGAAUUGUAUACAGGGUUUGAUCGAAUCCUCGACAUCGUGGUUCAUCCGAUGACAACAUCGAGAAGCAUGUGGGAGCCAACAUGGGUAUCCAGAUCCCGCUGUUGGUUAUUGACCGGAGAACGUCUCGGUCAUGUCUACAUGUCUCCCGAACCCGUAGGGUCUACACACUUAAGGUUCGAUGACGCUAGGGUUAUAAAGGAAGUUUUUAUGUGGUUACCGAAUGUUGUUCGGAGUCCCGGAUGAGAUCCCGGACGUCACGAGGAGUUUGAAUGGUCCGGAGGUAAAGAUUUAUAUAUGGGAAGUCCUAUUUUGGCCACCGGAAAAUGUUCGGGAUUUUUCGGUAUUGUACCGGGAAGGUUCUAGAAGGUUCCGGAGUGGGGCCCACCUGCAUGGGGGGACCCACAUGAACGUGAGUAGUGGGGGAAAGGCCCCACACCCCUGGUCAAGGCGCACCAAGAUCCCCCCUUAGAAGGAAUAAGAUCAUAUCCCGAAGGGAUAAGAUCAAGAUCCCUAAAAAGGGGGGAUAACAAUCGGUGGGGAAGGAAAUGAUGGGAUUUCUUUCCUCCCACCUUGGCCAACGCCCCAAUGGACUUGGAGGGCAAGAAACCAGCCCCUCCACCCCUAUAUAUAGUGGGGAGGCGCAUGGGAGCUUAAUACAAGCCAAGGCGCAGCCCCACCCCUCCCCAACACCUCUCCUCCUCCGUAUAUGCUUGGCGAAGCCCUGUCGGAGUACUACUGCACCAACUACACCACGCCGUCGUGCUGCCGUUGGAGCAAUCUUCCUCAACCUCUCCUUCCCCCUUGCUGGAUCAAGAAGGAGGAGACGUCUCCCGUCCCUUACGUGUGUUGAAUGCGGAGGUGCUGUCCGUUCAGCACUUGGAAAUCGGUGAUCCGAAUCACGUUCGAGUACGACUCCAUCAUCACCAUCCACUUGGCUAGCUUCCACUCGUGAUCUACAAGUGGUAUGUAGAUGAAAACUCUCUCUCUUGACUCGUUGCUUAGAUGAACUCAUAGAUGGAUCUUGGUGAAACCGUAGGAGAAAUUUUAAUUUUCUGCAACGUUCCCCAACAGAUUACCGGUCUAGUAACGUAGUCAAUUGCUUAGGGACAAUUUCACAACUCCUACCACCACUUUUCCAGACUCACUUUAUUUAAUUUAUUGCUUUUUUAUCUAAACAACCCCUAGUUUUUAUUUACGUGUUCUUUAUUAUCUUGCAAACAUAUCCUAUCACACCUACAAAGUACUUCUAGUUUCAUACUUGUUCUAGGUAAAGCGAACGUCAAGCGUGCGUAGAGUCGUAUCAGUGGCCGAUAGGACUUGAGAGAGCAUUUGUUCUACCUUUAGCUCCUCGUUGGGUUCAACACUCUUACUUGUUGAAAGAGGCUACAACCAUCCCGUAUACUUGCAGGUCAUCAAGACCUUUUUCUGGCGCCGUUGCCGGGGAGUCAUACCGUGGGGUCAAUAUUCUUUGUGUGCUUGUUUGCUUUAUCACUAUGUAAUUUUUAUUUGUUGUUCUUAGUUGUUUUCUAUCUUUAGUUAUGGGUAGGAAACGCAAAAUACCAAAAAAAUAGUUGUACCUAUUGAACCAAUGGUUGAAGAACCACUCAAAAUCUAUCACACUCCUGAAGCUUUUUACUUGGAUCAUCUUCGAUCCCUUUGUGCUCGUGCUGAAACCCCAACUAGUUUAGUUGAGGGCAAAUCUUUAGAUGAGCAUGCUUGUUAUGUGCGACACCGUAUAUCUGAAAAAGGGAAACUUUUACUAGAUCAAAUCCAUCGUUUGCAAUGCUAUGCUUGGAAUUUAUGUGAAAUUUAUGAUCUACUUGUUGUUCUAAAAACCCUAAGAAACACCUUCCCUACCAAUGUGAGUUUAUUGAUAAUGGAAUCAUAUCUUCGUAUGCUAAGGGUGUUUAUAAUUACUAUGAUGUUCAACAAAUUGAAGAAUUUGUUGCUUUUAAGGGUGCUUACGAAAUUGCUUAUUUGAUUGAAAAGUAUGAUGCUACUCUCUAGAAAUCUGAAAUUUUUUCCAUACUUGAAUAUUGUUAUGAUAAUUAUGCUUCUAAUGCAUAUGUUAAACUAUAUAUUGAGAAAUUCUCCGCUAUCCAAGAAGAGACUAAUAUUUUGCAGGAAGCUAUGGAAGAAGAAAUUGAUGAAACUAUGAGCUCAUUGGAUGAAAAAGAUGAUGAGGAGAGUGAAGAACAAAAGAAGGAAGAGCGGAUUGAUCAGCCGUGCCCACCUUCUAGUGAGAUUAACUCUUCAACUCAUACAUUGUUUAAUUCCCCUUCGUGCUUACCGAAGGAUGAUUGCUAUGAUGAUUGCUAUGAUCCCGUUGAUUAUCUUGAAAUAUCCCUUUUGAUGAUGCUUGCUAUGCUUGUGGCCGAGAUGCCAAUAUGAAUUAUGCUUAUGGAGAUGAACUUGCUAUAGUUACUUAUGUUAAACAUGAAAUUGUUGCUAUUGCACCCAGGCAUGAUAGUCCUAUUAUGUUUUUGAAUUCUCCCUACUACACUAUAUCGGAGAAUUUUGUGCUUAUUAAGGAUUAUAUUGAUGGGUUGCAUUUUACUACUACACAUUGUGAUUUUGAUAGAUAUAAUAUGCAUGUGCUUGCUGCUCCUACUUGCAAUUAUUAUGAGAGAGGAACUAUAUCUCCACCUCUCUAUGUUUCCAAUAUAAUAAAAUUCCAAGAAAUUGCUUAUACUAUGCAUUGGCCUUUACUAUGUGUGCAUGAAUUGUUCUUUUAUGACAUGUCGAUGCAUAGGAAGAGAGUUAGACUUUGUUGUUGCAUGAUAUAUGUUAUUUUGUGCUCACUACUAAAUCACAAAUCAUUGUUAAUUAAAAUUGUCUUUGAUAUACCUUGGGAUCCGGAUGGAUUCAUUACUUGACCACUAUAUGCCUAGCUUAACGGCUUUAAAGAAAGCACUGCCAGGGAGACAACCCGGAAGUUUUAGGGAGUCAUUUAUUUCUGUUGAGUGCUUUUAUAAAGUUUAAAAACAAAAAAAAUAAAGAGGGGAACUAAAAACUUUUCAAAAAGGAAAGUGAAAGUGAGAGACACAAGCAUUGUGGAAGUGGGAGAGCUCCUUGAACUUUGUUCAUGCUCACGAAACUUUGUGAAUCUUAAUUACAGAAACUUUUCAUCAAAAAUAAUUAUCCCCUUGUACAAUUCAAUUGUAUUAUAAAAAUAAUGUGCCAAGGUUUGCCUUUAGGAUGUUUACAAUGCUUGUUGGUUUGUACGGUGCAGGACAGAAACUUUGGCUGUAGUGCGCGAUUUUAAAUUUUUAACUGGAACGUCAAAUGGUUCUGAUUCCUUUUGAAAUGUCUUUCUGUAAAAAUUAUUUAUUUUUCUUGAUUUUCGUAGAAUAUUUGGGGUACCAGAAGUAUGGUGAAUGUUCAGAUUGCUACAGACUGUUCUGUUUUUAACAUAUUCUGUUUUUGAUGCAUAGUUUGCUUGUUUUAAUGAAACUAUCAAUUUAUAUUAGUGGUUUAAGCCAUGAAAAAGCUAUAUUACAGUAGACACAAUGCAAAAACAAAAUAUGAAUUGGUUUUCUACAGUACUUAGAGUAGUGAUUUGCUUUAUUAUACUAGCGGAUCUUACCGAGUUUUCUGUUGAAGUUUGUGUGGAUGAAGUGUCUAAUCGAGGAUGUCUCGGUAUGAGGAAAAGGAAGAGAGGCAAGAGCUCAAGCUUGGGGAUGCCCAACGCACUCCAAGUAGAUAUUCAAGGAGACUCAAGUGUCUAAGCUUGGGGAUGCCCCGGAAGGCAUCCCCUCUUUCUUCAACAAGUAUCGGUAUGUUUUCGUAUUCGUUUCGUUCAUGCGAUAUGUGCAAAUCUUGAAGCAUCUUUUACAUUUAGUUUUCACUUUUAUUUUAUGCACCAUGCUGGUAUAAGAUACUCAUUGGUUGAUUUAUAUAAUGCUCUUUCCACUUCACUUAAAUCUUUUGAGUAUGGCUUUAUAGAAUGCUUCAUGUGCUUCACUUAUAUCAUUUGAAGUUUGGAUGGCCUCUUUCUCUUCACAUAGAAAACCGCCAUUUGUAGAAUAUUCUUUUGCUUCACUUAUAUUUGUUAGAGCGUGGGCAUAUCUUUUAUGGAAAGAAUUAAACUCUCUUGCUUCACUUAUAUCUAUUUAGAGAGAUGAGAGGAAUUGGUCAUUCACCUGGUUAGUCAUAAAAUCCUACAUAAACUUUUAGAUCGCUGAAUAUGAUAUGUUUGAUUUCUUGCAAUAGUUUUGCGAUAUCAAGAUGGUGAUAUUGGAUUCAUGCUAGUGGAUGGUUGUGGAUUGUAGAGACACUUGUGUUGAGGUUUGCAAGUCCUGUAGCAUGCACGUAUGAUAACCGUUGUGUGACAAAUUUGAAGCAUGGGGUGUUUCUUUGAUUGUCUUCCUUAUCAGUGGCGGUCGGGGACGAGCGAUGGUCUUUUCCUACCAAUCUAGCCCCCUAGGGGCAUGCAUAGUAGUACUUUGUUUUGAGGGAUAAUAAACUUUUGCAAUAAGUAUAUGAGUUCUUUAUGACUAAUGUUGAGUCCAUGGAUUAUACACACUUUUACCUUUCCAUCAUUGCUAGCAUCUUCGGUACCGUGCAUUUCCCUUUCUCACCUCGAGAGUUGGUGCAAACUUCGCCGGUGCAUCCAAACCCCGUGAUAUGAUACACUCUAUCACACAUAAGCUGAUGGGGAACGUAGUAAUUUCAAAAAAUUUCCUACGUACACGCAAGAUCAUGGUGAUGGCUUAGCAACGAGAGGGGAGAGUGUUGUCCACGUACCCUCGUAGACCGUAAAUGGAAGCGUUAUGACAACGCGGUUGAUGUAGUCGUACGUCUUCACGAUCCGACCGAUCCAAGUACUAAACAUACGGCACCUCCGAGUUUAGCACACGUUCAGCUCGAUGACGAUCGUCGGGCUCCGAUCCAGCAAAGCUCCGGGGAUGAGUUCCGUCAGCACGACAGUGUGGUGACGAUGAUGAUGCUCUACCGGCGCAGGGCUUCGCCUAAACUCCGCGACGAUAUGACCGAGGUGAAAUAUGGUGGAAGGGGGCACCGCACACGGCUAAGGAACGAUCCGUAGAUCAACUUGUGUGUUAUGGGGUGCCCCCUGCCCCCGUAUAUAAAGGAGCAAGGGGGCGGGGGCGACCGGCCAAGGGAGGGCGCGCCAGGGAGGAGUCCUACUCCCACCGGGAGUAGGACUCCCUCCUUUCCUAGUCCAACUAGGAGACCUUCCAUGUAGUAGGAGUAGGAGAGAAGGAAAGGGAAGAGAGAAGGGAAGGAAGGAGGGGGUGCGGCCCCUCCCGCUAGUCCAAUUCGGACUAGGCCUUGGGGGGGCGCGCGGCCUGCCCUAGGCAGCCCCUCUCUCUUUCCCGUAUGGCCCAAUAAGGCCCAAUACUUCUCCCGGCGAAUUCCCGUAACUCUCCGGUACUCCGAAAAAUACCCGAAUCACUCGGAACCUUUCCGAACUCCGAAUAUAGUCGUCCAAUAUAUCGAUCUUUACGUCUCGACCAUUUCGAGACUCCUCGUCAUGUCCCCGAUCUCAUCCGGGACUCCGAACUCCUUCGGUACAUCAAAACUCAUAAACUCAUAAUAUAACUGUCAUCGUAACGUUAAGCGUGCGGACCCUACGGUUUCGAGAACUAUGUAGACAUGACCUAGAACUAUUCUCGGUCAAUAACCAAUAGUGGAACCUGGAUGCCCAUAUUGGUUCCUACAUAUUCUACGAAGAUCUUUAUUGGUCAAACCGCAUAACAACAUACGUUGUUCCCUUUGUCAUCGGUAUGUUACUUGCCCGAGAUUUGAUCGUCGGUAUCCAAUACCUAGUUCAAUCUCGUUACCGGAAAGUCUCUUUACUCAUUCCGUAAUGCAUCACUCUGUAACCAACUCAUUUGGUCACAUUGCUUGCAAGGCUUAUAAAGAUGUGCAUUACCGAGAGGGCCCAGAGAUACCUCUCUGACAAUCGGAGUGACAAAACCUAAUCUCGAAAUACGCCAACUCAACAUGUACCUUCGGAGACACCUGUAGUACUCCUUUAUAAUCACCCAGUUACAUUGUGACGUUUGGUAGUACCCAAAGUGGUCCUCCGGUAAACGGGAGUUGCAUAAUUCUCAUAGUUACAGGAACAUGUAUAAGUCAUGAAGAAAGCAAUAGCAACAUACUAAACGAUCAAGUGCUAGGCUAACGGAAUGGGUCAUGUCAAUCACAUCAUUCUCCUAAUGAUGUGAUCCCAUUAAUCAAAUGACAACUCUUUUGUCCAUGGCUAGGAAACAUAACCAUCUUUGCUAAACGAGCCAGUCAAGUAGAGGCAUACUAGUGACACUAUGUUUGUCUAUGUAUUCACACAUGUAUUAUGUUUCCGGUUAAUACAAUUCUAGCAUGAAUAAUAAACAUUUAUCAUGAAAUAAGGAAAUAAAUAAUAACUUUAUUAUUGCCUCUAGGGCAUAUUUCCUUCAGUCUCCCACUUGCACUAGAGUCAAUAAUCUAGUUCACAUCGCUAUGUGAUUUAACACAAUAUUCACAUCUGCAUGUGAUUAAUACCCAUAGUUCACAUCAUCAUGUGAUCAACACCCAAAGGGUUUACUAGAGUCAAUAAUCUAGUUCACAUCGCUAUGUGAUUAACACCCAAAGGGUUUACUAGAGUAUGAUCAUGUUUUGCUCGUGAGAGAAUCUUAGUCAACGGGUCUGUCAUAUUCAGAGCCGUAUGUAUUUCGCAAAUAUUCUAUGCCCACAAUGCUCUGCACGGUGCUACUCUAGCUAAUUUCUCCCACUUUCAAUAUGUAUCCAGAUUAAGACUUAGAGUCAUCUGGAUUGGUGUAAAAGCUUGCAUCAUUGUAACUUUUACGACGGGCUCUUUUAUCACCUCCAUAAUUGAGAAACGUCUCCUUAGUCCUCACUAAGGAUAUUCUUGACCCAUGUCUAGUUAUCUACUUAUUAGAUCAAAAUUGUAUUCCUUUGCCAAACACAUAGCAAGGUAUACAAUAGGUCUGGUUCACAGCAUAGCAUACUUUAUAGAACCUAUGACUGAAGCAUAGGGAAUGACUUUUCAUUCUCUUUCUAUUUUCUGCAAUGGUCGGGUCUUGAGUCUUACUCAACUUCACACCUUGUAACACAGGCAAGAACUCCUUCUUUGACUGUUCCAUUUUGAACUAUUUCAAAAAUUUAUCAAGGUAUGUACUCAUUGAAAAAUCUUAUCAAGCGUCUUGAUCUAUCUAUAUAGAUCUUGAUGCUCAAUGUGUAAGCAGCUUCACCGAGGUCUUGCUUUGAAAAACUCUUAUUCAAGUAUCCUUUCAUGCUAUCCAGAAUUUCCAUAUCAUUUCCAAUUAACAAUAUGUCAUCCACAUAUAAUAUUAGAAAUGCUACAGAGCUCCCACUCACUUUCUUGUAAAUACAGGCUUCUUCAAAAGUCUGUAUAAAACCAUAUGCUUUGAUCAACUCAUCAAAGCGUAUAUUCCAACUCCGAGAUGCUUGCACCAGUCCAUUGAUGGAUUGCUGGAGCUUGCACACUUUGUUAGCAUCUUUAGGAUUGACAAAAACUUUCUGGUUGCAUCAUAUACAACUCUUCUUUAAUAAAUCCAUUAAGGAAUGCAGUUUUGACAUCCAUUUGCCAGAUUUCAUAAAAUGUGGCAAUUGCUAACAUGAUUCAGACAGACUUAAGCUUCGAUACGAGUGAGAAAAUCUCAUCGUAUUCAACACCUUGAACUUGUUGAAAACAUUUCGCAACAAGUCGAGCUUAGUAGACAGUAACACUACUAUCAAUAUUCGUCUUCCUCUUGAAGAUCCAUUUCUUUAACAUGGCUUGCUGAUCAUCGAGCAAGUCAAUCAAAGUCCAUACUUUGUUCUCAUACAUGGAUCAUAUCUCAGAUUUUAUGGCCUCAAGCCAUUUCGUGGAAUCUGGGCUCAUCAUCGCUUCCUCAUAGUUCGUAGGUUCAUCAUGGUCUAGUAACAUGACUUCCAGAACAGGAUUACCAUACCACUCUGGUGCGGAUCUUACUCUGGAAGACCUACAAGGUUUGGCAGCAACUUGAUCUGAAGUUUCAUGAUCAUCAUCAUUAACUUCCUCACUAAUUGGUGUAGUAAUCACUGGAACUGAUUUCUGCCAUGAACUACUUUCCAAUAAGGGAGAAGGUACAAUUACCUCAUCAAGUUCUACUUUCCUCCCACUCACUUCUUUUGAGAGAAACUUCUUCUCUAGAAAGGAUCCAUCUUAGCAACGAAUAACUUGCCUUCGGAUCUGUGAUAGAAGGUGUACCCAAUAGUUACCUUUGGGUAUUCUAUGAAGACAUACUUCUCCGAUUUGGGUUCGAGCUUAUCAGGUUGAAAACCUUUUUCAUAUAAGCAUCGCAACUCCAAGCUUUAAGAAACGACAGCUUAGGUUUACUGCUAAACCAUAGUUCAUACGGUGUCAUCUCAACGGAUUUAGAUGGUGCCCCAUUUAAACGUGAAUGCAGCUGUCUCUAAUGCAUAACCCCAAAACGAUAAUGGUAAAUCAGUAAGAGACAUCAUAGAUCGCACCAUAUCCAAUAAAGUGCGGUUACGACGUUCGGACACACCAUAACGUUGUGGUGUUCCAGGUGGCGUUAGCUGUGAAACUAUUCCACAUUGUUUUAAUUGAAGACCAAACUCGUAACUCAAAUAUUCGUCUCCGCGAUCAGAUCGUAGAAACUUUAUUUUCUGGUUACGAUGAUUUUUCCACUUCACUCUGAAAUUCUUUGAACCUUUCAAUUAUUUCAGCCUUAUGUUUCAUCAAGUAGAUAUACCCAUAUCUGCUCAAAUCAUUUUGUGAAGGUCAGAAAAUAACGAUACUUGCCACGAGCAUCAACACUCAUUGGAUCGCAUACAUCGGUAUGUAUUAUUUCCAAUAAGUCAGUAGCUUGUUCCAUUGUUCCGGAGAACGGAGUUUUUAGUCAUCUUGCCCAAAAGGCACGGUUCGCAAGCAUCAAAUGAUUCAUAACCAAGUGAUUCCGAAAAUCCAUCUUUAUGGAGUUUCUUCAUGCGCUUUACACCGAUAUGACCCAAACGGCAGUGCCACAAAUAAGUUGCACUAUCAUUAUUAACUUUGCAUCUUUUGGCAUCAAUAUUAUGAAUAUGUGUAUCACUACGACCGAGAUCCAACAAACUAUUUUCAUUGGGUGUAUGACCAUCAAAGGUUUUAUUCAUUUAAACAGAACAACAAUUAUUCUCUAAUUUUAAAUGAAUAACUGUAUUGCAAUAAACAUGAUCAAAUCAUAUUCAUGCUCAACACAAACACCAAAUAACAUUUAUUUAGGUUCAACACUAAUCUCGAAAGUAUAGGGAGUGUGCGAUGAUGAUCAUAUCAAUCUUGGAACCACUUCCAACAUACAUCGUCACUUCACCAUCAACUAGUUUCUGUUUAUUCUGUAACUGCUGUUUCGAGUUACUAAUCUUAGCAACCGAACAAGUAUCAAAUACUCAGGGGUUACUAUAAACACUAGUAAGGUACACAUCAAUAACAUGUAUAUCAAAUAUACCCUUGUUCACUUUGCCAUCCUUCUUAUCCACCAAAUAUUCAAGGCAUUUCCGCUUCUAGUGACCAUUUCCUUUGCAGUGUAAGCACUCAGUUUCAGGCUUUGGUUCAGCUUUGGGCUUCUUCAUGGGAGUGACAACUUGCUUGUCAUUCUACUUGAAGUUCCCCUUUCUUUCCCUUUGCCCUUUUUCUUGAAACUAGUGAUCUUGUCAACCAUCAACACUUGAUGCUCUUUCUUGAUUUCUAACUUCGUUGAUUUCAACAUCACGAAGCGCUCGGGAAUCUUUUUCUCAUCCCUUGCAUACUAUAGUUCAUCACAAAGUUCUACUAACUUGGUGAUGGUGACUAGAGAAUUCUGUCAAUCACUAUCUUAUCUGGAAGAUUAACUCCCACUUGAUUCAAGCGAUUGAAGUACCCAGACAAUCUAAGCACAUGCUCACUAGUUGAGCGAUUCUCCUCCAUCUUUUAGCUAUAGAACUUGUUGGAGACUUCAUAUCUCUCAAAUCGGGUAUUUGCUGGAAAUAUUAAUUUCAACUCUUGGAACAUCUCAUAUGGUCCAUGACAUUCAAAACGUCUUUGAAGUUCCGAUUCUAAGCCUUUAAGCAUGGUGCACUAAACUAUCAAGUAGUCAUCAUAUUGAGCUAGCCAAACGUUCAUAACGUCUGCAUCUGCUCCUGCAAUAGGUCUGUCACCUAGCGGUGCAUUAAGGACAUAAUUCUUCUGUGCAGCAAUGAGGAUAAACCUCAGAUCACGGAUGCAAUCCGCAUCAUUGCUACUAACAUCUUUCAACACAAUUUUCUCUAGGAACAUAUCAAAAUAAACAUAUGAAAGCAACAACGCAAGCAAUUGAUCUACAACAUAAUUUGCAAAAUACUACCAGGACUAAGUUCAUGAUAAAUUUAAGUUCAAUUAAUCAUAUUACUUAAGAACUCCCACUUAGAUAGACAUCUCUCUAGUCAUCUAAGUGAUCACGUGAUCCAAAUCAACUAAACCAUGUCCAAUCAUCACGUGAGAUGGAGUAGUUUCAAUGGUGAACAUCAUUAUGUUGAUCAUAUCUACUAUAUGAUUCAUGCUCGACCUUUCGGUCUCCGUGUUCCGAGGCCAUAUCUGUAUAUGCUAGGCUCGUCAAGUUUAACCCGAGUAUUCCGUGUGUGCAACUAUUUUGCACCCGUUGUAUUUGAACAUAGAGCCUAUCACACCCGAUCAUCACGUGGUGUCUCAGCACGAAGAACUUUCGCAACGGUGCAUACUCAGGGAGAACACUUCUUGAUAAUUAGUGAGAGAUCAUCUUAAAAUGCUACCGUCAAUCAAAGCAAGAUAAGAUGCAUAAAGGAUAAACAUCACAUGCAAUCAAUAUAAGUGAUAUGAUAUGGCCAUCAUCAUCUUGUGCUUGUGAUCUCCAUCUUCGAAGCACCAUCGUGAUCACCAUUGUCACCGGCGCGACACCUUGAUCUCCAUCAUAGCAUCGUUGUCGUUACGCCAUCUAUUGCUUCUACGACUAUCGCUACCGCUUAGUGAUAAAGUAAAGCAAUUAUAGGGCGUUUGCAUUCAUACAAUAAAGCAACAACCAUAUGGCUCCUGCCAGUUGCCGAUAACUUCGGUUACAAAACAUGAUCAAAUCACACAAUAAAAUAUAGCAUCACGUCUUGACCAUAUCACAUCACAACAUGCCCUGCAAAAACAAGUUAGACGUCCUCUACUUUGUUGUUGCAAAUUUUACGUGGCUGCUACGGGCUUAGCAAGAACCGUUCUUACCUACGCAUCAAAACCACAAUGAUAGUUCGUCAAGUUAGUGCUGUUUUAACCUUCGCAAGGACCGAGCGUAGCCACACUCGAUUCAGCUAAAGUGAGAGAGACAGACACCCGCCAGCCACCUUUAAGCAUGAGUGCUCGUAACGGUGAAACCAGUCUCGCGUAAGCGUACGCGUAAUGUCGGUCCGGGCCGCUUCAUCUCACAAUACCGCCGAACCAAAGUAUGACAUGCUGGUAAGCAGUAUGACUUGUAUCGCCCACAACUCACUUGUGUUCUACUCGUGCAUUAACAUCAACGCAUAAAACCUAGGCUCUGAUACCACUGAAGGGGAACGUAGUAAUUUCAAAAAAUUUCCUACGUACACGCAAGAUCAUGGUGAUGGCAUAGCAACGAGAGGGGAGAGUGUUGUCCACGUACCCUCGUAGACCGUAAGCGGAAGCGUUAUGACAACGCAGUUGAUGUAGUCGUACGUCUUCACGAUCCGACUGAUCCAAGUACCGAACGUACGGCACCUCCAAGUUCAGCACACGUUCAGCUCGAUGACGAUCCCCGGGCUCCGAUCCAGCAAAGCUUCGGGGAUGAGUUCCGUCAGCACGAUGGCAUGGUGACGAUGAUGAUGCUCUACCGGCGCAGGGCUUCGCCUAAACUCCGCGACAAUAUGACCGAGGUGGAAUAUGGUGGAAGGGGCACCGCACACGGCUAAGGAACGAUCCGUAGAUCAACUUGUGUGUUAUGGGGUGCCCCCUGCCCCUGUAUAUAAAGGAGCAAGGGGGAGGGGGCGACCGGCCAAGGGAGGCGCGUCAGGGAGGAGUCCUACUCCCACCGGGAGUAGGACUCCCUCCUUUCCUAGUCGAACUAGGAGACCUUCCAUGUAGUAGGAGUAGGAGAGAAGGAAAGGGAAGAGAGAAGGGAAGGAAGGAGGGGGUGCGGCCCCUCCCCCAAGUCCAAUUCGGACUAGGCCUUGGGGGGGGGGGGGCGCGCGGCCUGCCCUAGGCAGCCCCUCUCUCUUUCCCGUAUGGCCCAAUAAGGCCCAAUACUUCUCCCGGCGAAUUCCCGUAACUCUCCGGUACUCCGAAAAAUACCCGAAUCAAAAGGAACCAUUCCGAACUCCGAAUAUAGUCGUCCAAUAUAUCGAUCUUUACGUCUCGACCAUUUCGAGACUCCUCGUCAUGUCCCCGAUCUCAUCCGGGACUCCGAACUCCUUCGGUACAUCAAAACUCAUAAACUCAUAAUAUAACUGUCAUCGUAACGUUAAGCGUGCGGACCCUACGGGUUCGAGAACUAUGUAGACAUGACCUAGAACUAUUCUCGGUCAAUAACCAAUAGUGGAACCUGGAUGCCCAUAUUGGUUCCUACAUAUUCUACGAAGAUCUUUAUUGGUCAAACCGCAUAACAACAUACGUUGUUCCCUUUGUCAUCGGUAUGUUACUUGCCCGAGAUUUGAUUGUCGGUAUCCAAUACCUAGUUCAAUCUCGUUACCAGAAAGUCUCUUUACUCGUUCCGUAAUGCAUCACUCUGUAACCAACUCAUUUGGUCACAUUGCUUGCAAGGCUUAUAAAGAUGUGCAUUACCGAGAGGGCCCAGAGAUACCUCUCUGACAAUCGGAGUGACAAAACCUAAUCUCGAAAUACGCCAACUCAACAUGUACCUUCGGAGACACUUGUAGUACUCCUUUAUAAUCACCCAGUUACAUUGUGACGUUUGGUAGUACCCAAAGUGUUCCUCCGGUAAACGGGAGUUGCAUAAUUCUGAUAGUUACAGGAACAUGUAUAAGUCAUGAAGAAAGCAAUAGCAACAUACUAAACGAUCAAGUGCUAGGCUAACGGAAUGGGUCAUGUCAAUCACAUCAUUCUCCUAAUGAUGUGAUCCCAUUAAUCAAAUGACAACUCUUUUGUCCAUGGCUAGGAAACAUAACCAUCUUUGCUAAACGAGCUAGUCAAGUAGAGGCAUACUAGUGACACUAUGUUUGUCUAUGUAUUCACACAUGUAUUAUGUUUCCGGUUAAUACAAUUCUAGCAUGAAUAAUAAACAUUUAUCAUGAAAUAAGGAAAUAAAUAAUAACUUUAUUAUUGCCUCUAGGGCAUAUUUCCUUCAGUCUCCCACUUGCACUAGAGUCAAUAAUCUAGUUCACAUCGCUAUGUGAUUUAACACAAUAUUCACAUCUGCAUGUGAUUAAUACCCAUAGUUCACAUCAUCAUGUGAUCAACACCCAAAGGGUUUACUAGAGUCAAUAAUCUAGUUCACAUCGCUAUGUGAUUAACACCCAAAGGGUUUACUAGAGUAUGAUCAUGUUUUGCUCGUGAGAGAAUCUUAGUCAACGGGUCUGUCAUAUUCAGAGCCGUAUGUAUUUCGCAAAUAUUCUAUGUCCACAAUGCUCUGCACGGAGCUACUCUAGCUAAUUUCUCCCACUUUCAAUAUGUAUCCAGAUUGAGACUUAGAGUCAUCUGGAUUGGUGUAAAAGCUUGCAUCAUUGUAACUUUUACGACGGGCUCUUUUAUCACCUCCAUAAUUGAGAAACGUCUCCUUAGUCCUCACUAAGGAUAUUCUUGACCCAUGUCUAGUUAUCUACUUAUUAGAUCAAAAUUGUAUUCAUUUGCCAAACACAUAGCAAGGUAUACAAUAGGUCUGGUUCAUAGCAUAGCAUACUUUAUAGAACCUAUGACUGAAGCAUAGGGAAUGACUUUUCAUUCUCUUUCUAUUUUCUGCAAUGGUCGGGUCUUGAGUCUUACUCAACUUCACACCUUGUAACACAGGCAAGAACUCCUUCUUUGACUGUUCCAUUUUGAACUAUUUCAAAAAUUUAUCAAGGUAUGUACUCAUUGAAAAAUCUUAUCAAGCGUCUUGAUCUAUCUAUAUAGAUCUUGAUGCUCAAUGUGUAAGCAGCUUCACCGAGGUCUUGCUUUGAAAAACUCUUAUUCAAGUAUCCUUUCAUGCUAUCCAGAAUUUGCAUAUCAUUUCCAAUUAACAAUAUGUCAUCCACAUAUAAUAUUAGAAAUGCUACAGAGCUCCCACUCACUUUCUUGUAAAUACAGGCUUGUUCAAAAGUCUGUAUAAAACCAUAUGCUUUGAUCAACUCAUCAAAGCGUAUAUUCCAACUCCGAGAUGCUUGCACCAGUCCAUUGAUGGAUUGCUGGAGCUUGCACACUUUGUUAGCAUCUUUAGGAUUGACAAAAACUUUCUGGUUGCAUCAUAUACAACUCUUCUUUAAUAAAUCCAUUAAGGAAUGCAGUUUUGACAUCCAUUUGCCAGAUUUCAUAAAAUGUGGCAAUUGCUAACAUGAUUCAGACAGACUUAAGCUUCGAUACGAGUGAGAAAAUCUCAUCGUAUUCAACACCUUGAACUUGUUGAAAACAUUUCGCAACAAGUCGAGCUUAGUAGACAGUAACACUACUAUCAAUAUCCGUCUUCCUCUUGAAGAUCCAUUUCUUUAACAUGGCUUGCUGAUCAUCGAGCAAGUCAAUCAAAGUCCAUACUUUGUUCUCAUACAUGGAUCAUAUCUCAGAUUUUAUGGCCUCAAGCCAUUUUGUGGAAUCUGGGCUCAUCAUCGCUUCCUCAUAGUUCGUAGGUUCAUCAUGGUCUAGUAACAUGACUUCCAGAACAGGAUUACCGUACCACUCUGGUGCGGAUCUUACUCUGGAAGACCUACAAGGUUUGGCAGCAACUUGAUCUGAAGUUUCAUGAUCAUCAUCAUUAACUUCCUCACUAAUUGGUGUAGUAAUCACUGGAACUGAUUUCUGCCAUGAACUACUUUCCAAUAAGGGAGAAGGUACAAUUACCUCAUCAAGUUCUACUUUCCUCCCACUCACUUCUUUUGAGAGAAACUUCUUCUCUAGAAAGGAUCCAUCUUAGCAACGAAUAACUUGCCUUCGGAUCUGUGAUAGAAGGUGUACCCAAUAGUUACCUUUGGGUAUUCUAUGAAGACAUACUUCUCCGAUUUGGGUUCGAGCUUAUCAGGUUGAAAACCUUUUUCAUAUAAGCAUCGCAACUCCAAGCUUUAAGAAACGACAGCUUAGGUUUACUGCUAAACCAUAGUUCAUACGGUGUCAUCUCAACGGAUUUAGAUGGUGCCCCAUUUAAACGUGAAUGCAGCUGUCUCUAAUGCAUAACCCCAAAAAAAUAAUGGUAAAUCAGUAAGAGACAUCAUAGAUCGCACCAUAUCCAGUAAAGUGCGGUUACGAUGUUCGGACACACCAUAACAUUGUGGUGUUCCAGGUGGCGUUAGCUGUGAAACUAUUCCACAUUGUUUUAAUUGAAGACCAAACUCGUAACUCAAAUAUUCGUCUCCGCGAUCAGAUCGUAGAAACUUUAUUUUCUGGUUACGAUGAUUUUUCCACUUCACUCUGAAAUUCUUUGAACCUUUCAAUUAUUUCAGACUUAUGUUUCAUCAAGUAGAUAUACCCAUAUCUGCUCAAAUCAUUUUGUGAAGGUCAGAAAAUAACGAUACUUGCCACGAGCAUCAACACUCAUUGGAUCGCAUACAUCGGUAUGUAUUAUUUCCAAUAAGUCAGUAGUUUGUUCCAUUGUUCCGGAGAACGGAGUUUUUAGUCAUCUUGCCCAAAAGGCACGGUUCGCAAGCAUCAAAUGAUUCAUAACCAAGUGAUUCCGAAAAUCCAUCUUUAUGGAGUUUCUUCAUGCGCUUUACACCGAUAUGACCCAAACGGCAGUGCCACAAAUAAGUUGCACUAUCAUUAUUAACUUUGCAUCUUUUGGCAUCAAUAUUAUGAAUAUGUGUAUCACUACGACCGAGAUCCAACAAACUAUUUUCAUUGGGUGUAUGACCAUCAAAGGUUUUAUUCAUUUAAACAGAACAACAAUUAUUCUCUAAUUUUAAAUGAAUAACUGUAUUGCAAUAAACAUGAUCAAAUCAUAUUCAUGCUCAACACAAACACCAAAUAACAUUUAUUUAGGUUCAACACUAAUCUCGAAAGUAUAGGGAGUGUGCGAUGAUGAUCAUAUCAAUCUUGGAACCACUUCCAACAUACAUCGUCACUUCACCAUCAACUAGUUUCUGUUUAUUCUGUAACUGCUGUUUCGAGUUACUAAUCUUAGCAACCGAACAAGUAUCAAAUACUCAGGGGUUACUAUAAACACUAGUAAGGUACACAUCAAUAACAUGUAUAUCAAAUAUACCCUUGUUCACUUUGCCAUCCUUCUUAUCCACCAAAUAUUCAAGGCAUUUCCGCUUCUAGUGACCAUUUCCUUUGCAGUGUAAGCACUCAGUUUCAGGCUUUGGUUCAGCUUUGGGCUUCUUCAUGGGAGUGACAACUUGCUUGUCAUUCUACUUGAAGUUCCCCUUUCUUUCCCUUUGCCCUUUUUCUUGAAACUAGUGAUCUUGUCAACCAUCAACACUUGAUGCUCUUUCUUGAUUUCUAACUUCGUUGAUUUCAACAUCACGAAGCGCUCGGGAAUCGUUUUCUCAUCCCUUGCAUACUAUAGUUCAUCACAAAGUUCUACUAACUUGGUGAUGGUGACUAGAGAAUUCUGUCAAUCACUAUCUUAUCUGGAAGAUUAACUCCCACUUGAUUCAAGCGAUUGAAGUACCCAGACAAUCUAAGCACAUGAUCACUAGUUUAGCGAUUCUCCUCCAUCUUUUAGCUAUAGAACUUGUUGGAGACUUCAUAUCUCUCAACUCGGGUAUUUGCUGGAAAUAUUAACUACAACUCUCGGAACAUCUCAUAUGGUCCAUGACAUUCAAAACGUCUUUGAAGUUCCGAUUCUAAGCCGUUAAGCAUGGUGCACUAAACUAUCAAGUAGUCAUCAUAUUGAGCUAGCCAAACGUUCAUAACAUCUGCAUCUGCUCCUGCAAUAGGUCUGUCACCUAGCGGUGCAUUAAGGACAUAAUUCUUCUGUGCAGCAAUGAGGAUAAACCUCAGAUCACGGAUCCAAUCCGCAUCAUUGCUACUAACAUCUUUCAACACAAUUUUCUCUAGGAACAUAUCAAAAUAAACAUAUGAAAGCAACAACGCAAGCAAUUGAUCUACAACAUAAUUUGCAAAAUACUACCAGGACUAAGUUCAUGAUAAAUUUAAGUUCAAUUAAUCAUAUUACUUAAGAACUCCCACUUAGAUAGACAUCUCUCUAGUCAUCUAAGUGAUCACGUGAUCCAAAUCAACUAAACCAUGUCCGAUCAUCACGUGAGAUGGAGUAGUUUCAAUGGUGAACAUCAUUAUGUUGAUCAUAUCUACUAUAUGAUUCAUGCUCGACCUUUCGGUCUCCGUGUUCCGAGGCCAUAUCUGUAUAUGCUAGGCUCGUCAAGUUUAACCCGAGUAUUCCGUGUGUGCAACUAUUUUGCACCCGUUGUAUUUGAACGUAGAGCCUAUCACACCGGAUCAUCACGUGGUGCCUCAGCACGAAGAACUUUCGCAACGGUGCAUACUCAGGGAGAACACUUCUUGAUAAUUAGUGAGAGAUCAUCUUAAAAUGCUACCGUCAAUCAAAGCAAGAUAAGAUGCAUAAAGGAUAAACAUCACAUGCAAUCAAUAUAAGUGAUAUGAUAUGGCCAUCAUCAUCUUGUGCUUGUGAGCUCCAUCUUAGAAGCACCAUCGUGAUCACCAUUGUCACCGGCGCGACACCUUGAUCUCCAUCGUAGCAUCGUUGUCGUUACGCCAUCUAUUGCUUCUACGACUAUCGCUACCGCUUAGUGAUAAAGUAAAGCAAUUAUAGGGCGUUUGCAUUUCAUACAAUAAAGCGACAACCAUAUGGCUCCUGCCAGUUGCCGAUAACUUCGGUUACAAAACAUGAUCAAAUCACACAAUAAAAUAUAGCAUCACGUCUUGACCAUAUCACAUCACAACAUGCCCUGCAAAAACAAGUUAGACGUCCUCUACUUUGUUGUUGCAAAUUUUACGUGGCUGCUACGGGCUUAGCAAGAACCGUUCUUACCUACGCAUCAAAACCACAAUGAUAGUUCGUCAAGUUAGUGCUGUUUUAACCUUCGCAAGGACCGGGCGUAGCCACAUUCGAUUCAGCUAAAGUGAGAGAGACAGACACCCGCCAGCCACCUUUAAGCAUGAGUGCUCGUAACGGUGAAACCAGUCUCGCGUAAGCGUACGCGUAAUGUCGGUCCGGGCCGCUUCAUCUCACAAUACCGCCGAACCAAAGUAUCACAUGCUGGUCAGCAGUAUGACUUGUAUCGCCCACAACUCACUUGUGUUCUACUCAUGCAUUAACAUCAACGCAUAAAACCUAGGCUCUGAUACCACUGAAGGGGAACGUAGUAAUUUCAAAAAAUUUCCUACGUACACGCAAGAUCAUGGUGAUGGCAUAGCAACGAGAGGGGAGAGUGUUGUCCACGUACCCUCGUAGACUAUAAGCGGAAGCGUUAUGACAACGCAGUUGAUGUAGUCGUACGUCUUCACGAUCCGACUGAUCCAAGUACCGAACGUACGGCACCUCCGAGUUCAGCACACGUUCAGCUCGAUGACGAUCCCCGGGCUCCGAUCCAGCAAAGCUUCGGGGAUGAGUUCCAUCAGCACGAUGGCGUGGUGACGAUGAUGAUGCUCUACCGGCGCAGGGCUUCGCCUAAACUCCGCGACGAUAUGACCGGGGUGGAAUAUGGUGGAAGGGGCACCGCACACGGCUAAGGAACGAUCCGUAGAUCAACUUGUGUGUUAUGGGGUGCCCCCUGCCCUUGUAUAUAAAGGAGCAAGGGGGAGGGGGCGACCGGCCAAGGGAGGGCGCGUAAGGGAGGAGUCCUACUCCCACCGGGAGUAGGACUCCCUCCUUUCCUAGUCCAACUAGGAGACCUUCCAUGUAGUAGGAGUAGGAGAGAAGGAAAGGGAAGAGAGAAGGGAAGGAAGGAGGGGGUGCGGCCCCUCCCCCAAGUCCAAUUCGGACUAGGCCUUGGGGGGGCGCGCGGCCUGCCCUAGGCAGCCCCUCUCUCUUUCCCGUAUGGCCCAAUAAGGCCCAAUACUUCUCCCGGCGAAUUCCCGUAACUCUCCGGUUCUCCGAAAAAUACCCGAAUCAAACGGAACCUUUCCGAACUCCGAAUAUAGUCGUCCAAGAUAUCGAUCUUUACGUCUCGACCAUUUCGAGACUCCUUGUCAUGUCCCCGAUCUCAUCCGGUACUCCGAACUCCUUCGGUACAUCAAAACUCAUAAACUCAUAAUAUAAUUGUCAUCGUAACGUUAAGCAUGCGGACCCUACGGGUUCGAGAACUAUGUAGACACGACCUAGAACUAUUCUCGGUCAAUAACCAAUAGCGGAACCUGGAUGCCCAUAUUGGUUCCUACAUAUUCUACGAAGAUCUUUAUCAGUCAAACCGCAUAACAACAUAUGUUGUUCCCUUUGUCAUCGGUAUGUUAUUUGCCCGAGAUUUGAUCGUCGGUAUCCAAUACCUAGUUCAAUCUCGUUACUGGCAAGUCUCUUUACUCGUUCUGUAAUGCAUCAUUCCAUAACCAACUCAUUUGGUCACAUUGCUUGCAAGGCUUAUAAAGAUGUGCAUUACCGAGAGGGCCCAGAGAUACCUCUCUGACAAUCAGAGUGACAAAACCUAAUCUCGAAAUACGCCAACUCAACAUGUACCUUCGGAGACACCUGUAGUACUCCUUUAUAAUCACCCAGUUACAUUGUGACAUUUGGUAGUACCCAAAGUGUUCCUCUGGUAAACGGGAGUUGCAUAAUUCUCAUAGUUACAGGAACAUGUAUAAGUCAUGAAGAAAGCAAUAGCAACAUACUAAACGAUCGAGUGCUAGGCUAACGGAAUGGGUCAUGUCAAUCACAUCAUUCUCCUAAUGAUGUGAUCCCAUUAAUCAAAUGAAAACUCUUUUGUCCAUGGCUAGGAAACAUAACCAUCUUUGAUAAACGAGCUAGUCAAGUAGAGGCAUACUAGUGACACUAUGUUUGUCCAUGUAUUCACACAUGUAUUAUGUUUCCGGUUAAUACAAUUCUAGCAUGAAUAAUAAACAUUUAUCACGAAAUAAGGAAAUAAAUAAUAACUUUAUUAUUGCCUCUAGGGCAUAUUUCCUUCAUAAGCCUCCUUAUAUCUUCUUCAAAACAGCCACCAUACCUACCUAUCAUGUCAUUUCCAUAGCCAUACCGAGAUAUAUUGCCAUGCAACUUCCACCAUCAUCAUAUACAUGACUUGAGCAUUUAUUGUCAUAUUGCUUUGCAUGAUCGUAAGAUAGCUAGCAUGAUGUUUUCAUGGCUUGUCCGUUUUUUGAUGUCAUUGCUAUGCUAGAUCAUUGCACAUCCCGGUACACCACCGGAAGCAUUCAUAUAGAGUCAUAUCUUUGUUCCAAUAUCGAGUUGUAAUAUUGAGUUAUAAGUAAAUAAAAGUGUGAUGAUCAUCAUUAUAGAGCAUUGCCCCAUGAAAAAAAAGAGGAAAGUCCAAAGAAGCCCAAAUAAAAAAAGGGGGCCAAAGAAGCCCACCGGAAAAAAAGGAAAAAAAGGGGGAAAUGUUACUAUCCUUUUCCACACUUGUGCUUCAAAGUAGCACCAUGUUCUUCAUAUAGAGAGUCUCCUAUAUCGUCACUUUCAUAUACUAGUGGGAAUUUUCAUUAUAGAACUUGGCUUGUAUAUUCCAACGAUGGGCUUCCUCAAAUGCCCUAGGUCUUCAUGAGCAAGCAAGUUGGAUGCACACCCACUUAGUUUUCAGUUUGAGCUUUCAUACACUUAUAGCUCUUAGUGCAUCCGUUGCAUAGCAAUCCCUACUCCUCGCAUUGACAUCAAUUGAUGGGCAUCUCCGUAGCCCGUUGAUUAGCCGCGUCGACGUGAGACUUUCUCCCUUUUCGUCUUCUCCACAUAAACCCCCAUCAUCAUAUUCUAUUCCACCUAUAGUGCUAUUUCCAUGGCUUGCGCUCAUGUAUUGCGUGAGGGUUGAAAAACCUGAAGCGCGUUGAAAGGUAUGAACCAAUUGCUCGGCUUGUCAUCAGGGUUGUGCAUGAUGGGAGCAUUUUGUGUGAUGAAAAUGAAGCAUGGCCAAACUAUAUGAUUUUGUAGGGAUAAGCUUGCUUUGGCCUUGUUGUUUUGAAAAGACAUGAUUGCUUUAUUAGUAUGCUCGAAUUAUUAUUGUUUUUUAUGUCAAAUGAUAGACUAUUGCUUUGAAUCACUCAUGUCUUAAUAUUCAUGCCAUGAUUAGACAUAUAAUCAAGAUUAUGCUAGGUAGCAUUCCACAUCAAAAAUUAUCUUUUUUAUCAUUUACCUACUCAAGGACGAGCAGGAAUUAAGCUUGGGGAUGUUGAUACGUCUCCGUCGUAUCUAUAAUUUUUGAUUGUUCCAUGCCAAUAUUAUUCAAAUUUCAUAUACUUUUGGCAACUUUUUAUAUUAUUUUUGGGACUAACAUAUUGAUCCAGUGCCCAGUGUCAGUUCCUGUCUGUUGCAUGUUUUAUGUUUCGCAGAAACUGCUGGGGAACGUAGUAAUUUCAAAAAAAAAUCCUACGCACACGCAAGAUCAUGGUGAUGCAUAGCAACGAGAGGGGAGAGUGUUGUCCACCUACCCUCGUAGACUGAAAGCGGAAGCGUUAGAACAACGCGGUUGAUGUAGUCGUACGUCUUCACGGCCCGACCGAUCAAGCACCGAAACUACGGCACCUCCGAGUUAUAGCACAUGUUCAGCUCGAUGACGUCCCUCGAACUCCGAUCCAGCCGAGUGUCGAGGGAGAGUUCCGUCAGCACAACGGCGUGGUGACGAUCUUGAUGUUCUACCGUCGCAGGACUUCGCCUAAGCACCGGUACGAUAUUAUCAAGGUGGACCAUGGUGGAGGGGGGCACCGCACACGGCUAAGAGAUCCAAGGGAUCAAUUGUUGUUGUGCCUAGAGGUGCCCCCUUGCCCCUGUAUAUAAAGGAGCCAGGGGAGGGGGUCGGCCGGCCAGGAGGGGCGCACCAGGAGGAGUCCUCCUCCCACUGGGAGUAGGACUCCCCCCUUCUUUAUUGGAGUAGGAGAGAAGGAAAGAGGUGGAGAGGAGGAAGGAAAAGGGGGCUGCACCCCUUGUCCAAUUCGGACCAGAGAGGAGGGCUGCAUGCCUCCUUCCUUUCGGCCUCUCUCCUCUAUUCCCGUAUGGCCCAAUAAGGCCCAUAUACUCCCCGGCGAAUUCCCGUAACUCUCCGGUACUCCGAAAAAUACCCGAAUCACUCGGAACCUUUCCGAAGUCCGAAUAUAGUCGUCCAAUAUAUCGAUCUCUACGUCUCGACCAUUUCGAGACUCCUAGUCAUGUCCCCGAUAUCAUCCGGGACUCCGAACUCCUUCGGUACAUCAAAACUCAUAAACUCAUAAUAUAACUGUCAUCGAACACUACUAGGGAAAAGCCUAGCAGCAGCGCGGGUUUUGGCCCUCUCAGUAGCGCGGGUACCGGCGCUACUAAUAAGGUGCUACAGCUAACGUAUAGCAGUAGCGCCUGUUGACCCACGCUACUGCUACUUAUGAAUAGCUGUAGCGCUCUUUGGAAAACGGCGCUACUGAUAUUAUCUGCAGCGCUUUUCAGCAGGAAGCACUACUGGUAAGUCGGCGCUACUACUAAAUUCCCCCCCUCGCUACUACUAGUUUUAUUAGUUUUUUUUCCUGCAUAUUUGUUUUUUAUUUGUUUUGUAUUUGAAUAGGCUUUAUACAAUAAUCUUUAGCAUAUCAUCCACAUACAAAUGUAAUCAUAGCAUAUACAUACAAUUAGUCUCAUCAAAUCAUUUCAUCAUCAUAAUCACGGUAGUACUUCUUCCACGUGGCACCGUCUCCGACACCGUGCACGCGUCCAUACGACGGUCGAGUAUCCACCGGUUGUUGUUUCAAUAUGUUCAACGCCCGGUUGAAUGGAGUGUCCCACUUGGGCCUCGCCAAUGCCUCAGACGGCGAGUCGCUUUCGGCCGCAAUCCGGUGCUGCUCUCUCUGCAAAAGUCACAAGGAUCGUUUACAAAUAUGACUAACGUGUGCAGUCAAAUUGAUCAGAAACUAAAAUUACCAGCAGUCUCAUGAACUCCGUAAUGACCGGUGUUGUCUCGUAAACCUUCUUCACGCUCCUGCGGGACGGUGAAAUCCACCAAGGGGUCUGGGAUGCCCAGACUCGUGGCUUCCGCGUCCUCCUUGGCCCAUUUGGACCUCUUUCCGCCGUAACCACGGCUUCCGAGGUGGUGGGUCCCAAUGUUCCUCUUUUGAAGCCCCUUCAUGUACUUAGACUUUUCUUUGGCAGCUUCGGCCUUGCAAGCCUCCUUGAAUAUUUGAAACUGCUCUUCUGUGAUUGUCGGACUAUCCUUUACAAUCUCGGAGUAGGGUUGCCCGUCGUUGAUCUUUGCUUUCACUCGAUUUUUCCAGGCGGCCAACGCGUUGCUAAACUUGGUCAAGGCGUGUUUGUUUAUCUUCUUCAUUGCUGGGUCCUUGUCUGGAUCUUCAUAAUGCUUCUCAUUCCGGCCCAGGAACAAGAAUAUCUGGUGAAACUUCUUUAGGAGGGAGCUCCUCAUAUUUUCUAUCUUCUUUAGAUUCUCAUCGUUGAUGGUGGCGGUUGUCCGUAUGAUGCAGCCUAUUUGAUUGCCGUAGCACGCGCGCGCUUCCUCGGGCGCCUUUGGCUCAAAAUUGCCGUCGUCCACCUCCGUGACCACCAAUCUAGUAGUCCUAAGUUUGUUAGGAACCCGUUGCCUCUUUGCUUUCGGUUCUACACCGGCUCCGCUCCCCGAGGCAGCACCGGUCUCAGCGCCGGUCUAGAUGCCGGUCUGAAUCUCAGUGCCGGUCUCAGUCUCAGCACCGGUCUGCGUGUCGGUCUCAGCACCGGUCUGCGUGUCGGUCUUAGUCCCCGAUGCCACCGGUGGGCCCAGCAAGAACAUCUGUUGAUCGUCGGUAAGGCUAAAAAAUUCGUCUACCGCCCGGUAGACGUCGUCGCAAUCACCAGAACCCUGUCCUUCAUCGUUGCUAGCCAUGUUUCCUAUGAUUAAAACUAGUCAAUUAAUUCUAGACCUAAUAAAAUGAAUAAUUACAUAAAAAGGACUAUUGUUUUGCAGGAAUGUUGACUCCUUCCUGGUGCGGCAAAUCCCUGGCACUCGAUAUGUCCUAGUUUGUAGCACAAGUCAUGCCGAAAUUCACGGGAAAUUUCGGCAUGACCUUUGCUAAAAAGUGGACAAAUCGAGAACCUGAAAUUUGCCGGAACAGAAAUGAAUCAACAUUCCGGCAACACAUAGGCCACUCAGCAUCAUUCCCUGGAAACAACAAAGCCACUUGGGCACAAUCGAACAACUUCAAUGAAAAGAUAUAACAUGACCACUUCAAUGAAAAAUAAAAUUUGCCUAAAUUCUUUUCCUUGAAAAAUAGUGGUCUUUUUAAAAAUCAAAAACCUUUGCCAAUCUACUUAACCUAGCUUGUUAAUCCAACGAACCUAAUUAACCUACCUAUUUAACCUAGUUAGUUAAUCUAGUUUACCUAGAUAAUUAACCCUAAUUAAACUAGUUAACAUAGCUAGUUCUCUUUCAAAGCCUAAAAUAAAUUUUUGCACUAAUUAUCCUGGAUAAUUAACCUAAUUAAACUAGUUAACCUGACUAGUUCUCUAUCAAAGCCCAAACUAAGUUUUUGCACUAACCUAGAUAAUUAACCUAAUUAAACUAGUUAACCUAACUACUUCUCUGUCAAAGCCCUAACUAAAUUUUUGCCCUAACCUAGAUAAUUAACCUAAUUAAACUGGCUAGCCUAUAUGCAUGAGAGAGAGAGAGGACGGGUGGGGGCUUACAGAUGAUCGCUCUGGUGGUGGCGACGGAGGCAAUGGUGGCGAGGGAGGCAGGGGCGUCUCCGGUGACGGCGAGGGAGGCAGGGGCGUCUCCGGUGACGGCAAGGAAGGUGGCGUCGACGGCGGCUCCGGUGGCGUUGACGAGGCCGCACGGAUUCGUGGCGUUGGGGGCCGCUCCGGUGUUGUCGACGGCGCACGGCUCUGGUGGCGUCGACGUCGGCAGCGAAGUGGGGCGACGGUGAAUCGGGGAGACGGCGGCGCGCGGGGUGGGUUGAGGGAUUUGGGGGAGAAGUGGCCGGGGGGAAAUGGUUUUUUGGUUAAGUCAAACUUAGCGGUAGUGCGUUUCGCAAAACGCGCUAUCGCUAAGAUAGCUAUAUCGGUUUUUGCAAAACGCGCUGCUGCUAUAGCUAUGUAAAUUUCUUCCUUUUUAAUUUCCUUUUCUGUUUCUAUAGCGGGGGUCUAGGACACGCGCUGCAGCUACGUUAGCUAUAGCGCCUCUUACAAACACACGCUGCUGCUAUGCCUUCCUCCGAUUUUUCGCUUUUUCGUUAAUUUUGCUUUACAUUUUAUUUUUUCCUUUCUCCUUUUUCUAUUUCUUUCAUUUCAUUUACUUUUCUAUUUGUUUUUCAUCUUAUUUUAUUUCCGUUAGUAGUAGCGCUCUUCCCUAGAAACGCACUACUAAUUAUGCCCUAGCGGUAGCGCGUUUCAUCUAAGCCCGCUACUGCUAUGUGUAGCCUAUCAUUCUUCCAAUGGGAAUAUUAGUAGUAGCGCUUUCGCGACUACCAGUGCUACUGCUAAGUUUGUAUCUGUAGCGCGGUUUCUCUUAAAUCGCUACUGCUAUAUAGCACUAGCGCACUUUUUUGACCCGCGUUGUUGCUAAAUUUCCGUGUAUAAGGUUUUCCCUAGUAGUGGAAACCUUAAGCGUGCGGACCCUACGGGUUCGAGAACAAUGUAGACAUGACCGAGACACGUCUUCGGUCAAUAACCAAUAGCAGAACCUGGAUGCUCAUAUUGGCUCCCACAUAUUCUACGAAGAUCUUUAUCGGUCAAACCGCAUAACAACAUACGUUGUUCCCUUUGUUAUCGGUAUGUUAUUUGCCCGAGAUUCGAUCGUCGGUAUCUCAAUACCAAGUUCAAUCUCGUUACCGGCAAGUCUCUUUACUCGUUCCGUAAUACAUCAUCUCGCAACUAACUCAUUAGUUGCAAUGCUUGCAAGGUUUAAGUGAUGUGUAUUACCGAGAGGGCCCAGAGAUACCUCUCCUACAAUCGGAGUGACAAAUCCUAAACUCGAAAUACGCCAACCCAACAUGUACCUUCGGAGACACCUGUAGAGCACCUUUAUAAUCACCCAGUUACGUUGUGACGUUUGGUAGCACACAAAGUGUUCCUCCCGUAAAUGGGAGUUGCAUAAUCUCAUAGUCACAGGAACAUGUAUAAGUCAUGAAGAAAGCAGUAGCAACAUACUAAACGAUCAAGUGCUAAGCUAACGGAUUGGGUCAAGUCAAUCACAUCAUUCUCCUAAUGAUGUGAUCCCUUUAAUCAAAUGACAACUCUUUGUCCAUGGCUAGGAAACAUAACCAUCUUUGAUUAAUGAGCUAGUCAAGUAGAGGCAUACUAGUGACACUCAGUUUGUCUAUGUAUUCACACAUGUAUCAUGUUUCCGGUUAAUACAAUUCUAGCAUGAAUAAUAAACAUUUAUCAUGAAAUAAGGAAAUAAAUAAUAACUUUAUUAUUGUCUCUAGGGCAUAUUUCAUUCAGUCUCCCACUUGCGCUAGAGUCAAUAAUCUAGUUCACAUCACCAUGUGAUUUCACACCAAUAUUCACAUGUGUAUGUGAUUAAUACCCAUAGUUCACAUCAUUAUGUGAUCAACACCCAAAGGGUUUACUAGAGUCAAUAAUCUAGUUCACAUCGCUAUGUAAUUAACACCCAAAGGGUACUAAGGUAUGAUCAUGUUUUUCUCGUGAGAGAAGUUUAGUCAACGGGUUUGUCACAUUCAGAGCCGUAUGUAUUUUGCAAAUAUUCUAUGUCUGCAAUGCUCUGCACGGAGCUACUCUAGCUAAUCGCUCCCACUUUCAAUAUGUAUCCAGAUUGAGACUUAGAGUCAUCUGGAUUUGUGUAAAAGCUUGCAUCGAUGUAACUUUUUACGACGAACUCUUUUAUCAACUCCAUAAUCGAGAAACAUCUCCUUAGUCCUCACUAAGGAUAUUCUUGACCGCUGUCCAGUGAUCUACUCUUAGAUCAAAAUUGUAUUCCUUUGCCAAACUCGGAGGAAGCACUACAGGAAUCAGCUAAUUUGCCGUCAGUAGAGCUCUUUGCCGUCAGCUUUUCUUCGGGCCAGACGGCAAAGACCACUUUUACCGUCAACUACUAACGGCAAAGAAUAACUUACAGCAAAGACAUACUUUGCCGUCUAUUUUUUUAUUAGAGACGGCAAAGGCAUACUUUGCCAUUUACUUUUUUUCUACAGACGGCAAAGAUGUUACUUUGCCGUCUGGAAUAAAAUUGAAGACGGCAAAUCAUGUCUUUGUUGUCUAUAAAAGAAUUGCAGACAGCAAAGACAUACUUCACUGUCUCUGUUUUUUUCACAGACGGCAAAGAAGAAAUACAGCACGCGGAUUCAUCUCGCGGAUUGAUGACAUGGCAAGAUCUAGGACGCCCACACCCGCCUCUUCUCUCACCACGCGCUCCCACCCGUUGGCCCACCAACACCGCACGCAGCCCGUGCCUUGUCCUCUCCCUCUCGUUCGUCUCUCACCUCUCCUCUGUUCGUGGUCGGCCCACACCCGCCUCUUCUCUCCCCACCACCACCACCACCCGCAGUCCGUGCUCCCUCCAUGCGCUGCUGUGUUCGCGCGCUGACUACCUCCAGCCGAUUCCGCCAGUCCCCACCCACCUCACGCUCCUCUCUGCUCGUGGCGGGCGGCGGCGCAGCGGGCAGCCACGCAGAGAGCAGGCCUUUUGGCCCCUUGGUGAGCGCCAUCGACCUCGCGCCUCCUCUGUUUGUGGGUGGCCGCGCGACGAGCAGGACGGGAAUCGGCUCGUGCGAGCAAGGCCUUGCGACACCUCGUCUAGGCGCGGCAAGCUGGCAACAGGACGGGCGAGGAGCGGCUCGGCGACCAAGGGGGCGGCGCAGCAAGCACUACUGGGCGGCUCUUCGGCGGGCCAGGCCGGCGAGCAGGGUUGGGCGGCGUGUCAGCGACCAGGGCGGCCGGCGCGGCAAGCAUGGCCGGGCGGCAGUAGUGGAGUCCCUGUUGCGGCACCUCAUCUAGGGGCAGCGAGCUGGCGACAGGGACGGGUGAGGAGCAGCUCGGCGACCAAGGGGGUGAUGCAACGAGCACGGCUGGGUGGCGCUUCGGCGAGCCAGGCCGGCAAGCUACGUUGGGCGGCGCGUCGGCGACCAGGGCGAGCGGCGCGGCAAGCACGGCUAGGCGGCGCCUCGGCGAGCAGGGCCGGGCAGCAGUAGUGGAGUCCCUGUGGUUUUGUCCACGGCGAUGAACUCUCUGUUCUGCAGUCGAGAAGGACCUGAUUGCUUUUUAGAUUUAGUUUUUAGGGUCCUUUGUGUAAACUUUCAAGACUGUUGUGUAACAACUCUGUAACUCCACCGAUGAUGAAUGAAAGGCAGCAUGGCCAGGCCUUUCCCUUUUCUUUGUCAGCCUAGCCUUCAUAUCUUGUUUUGAUGUUGACUCUGUCCAGCGUAUUUUUUGGAAAAUAAAAAAAAUUCUUUGGCGUCUGAAAAAGGUUUGGCUGACAGCAAAGAUUAUGUUUAGCUAACGGCAAAUAGGUUUCUUUGCUGUCUCCUAUUUUUGUGGCAGACGGCAAAUUCACAGUUUGGCUGACAGCAAAAUCUUUACCGUCUGUCCGAUGAAAAGCUGACGGCGAAUUUUUCUUUGCUGACUUAUCUUUGCCAUCUGACUUUGUUGUCUGCUUCCUGACGGCAAACUCUUUGCCGUUUGGAUUUAGGUCUUUGCCGUCUGUAAUCCACAGACGGCAAAUUACCUAUUUCCCGUAGUGAAGGUAUACAAUAGGUCUGGUACACAACAUAGCAUACUUUAUAGAACCUAUGACGGAGGCAUAGGGAAUGACUUUUCAUUCUCUUUCUAUUUUCUGCCAUGGUCGGGUUUUGAGUCUUACUCAACUUCACACCUUUGCAUCACAGGCAAGAACUCUUUCUUUGACUGUUCCAUUUUGAACUACUUCAAAAUCUUGUCAAGGUAUGUACUCAUUCAAAAAACUUAUCAAGCGUCUUGAUCUAUCUCUAUAGAUCUUGAUGCUCAAUGUGUAAGGAGCUUCACCGAGGUCUUUCUUUGAAAAACUCCUUUCAAACACUUCUUUAUGCUUUCCAGAAAAUUCUACAUCAUUUCCGAUCAACAAUAUGUCAUUCACAUAUACUUAUCAGAAAGGCUGUAGUGCUCCCACUCACUUUCUUGUAAAUACAGGCCUUUCCAAAAGUCUGUAUAAAACCAUAUGCUUUGAUCAACUCAUCAAAGCGUAUAUUCCAACUCCGAGAUGCUUGCACCAGUCCAUCGAUGGAUCGCUGGAGCUUGCACAUUUUGUUAGCACCUUUUCGGAUCGACAAAACCUUCUGGUUGCAUAAUAUACAAGUCCUCUUCCAGAAAUCCAUUCAGGAACACAGUUUUGAUAUCCAUUUGCCAGAUUUCAUAAAAUGUGGCAAUUGCUAACAUGAUUCGGACAAACUUAAGCAUCGUUAUGAGUGAGAAAAUCUCAUCAUAUUCAACACCUUGAACUUGUCGAAAACCUUUCGCAACAAGUCGAGCUUUGUAGAUAGUAACACUACUAUCAGUGCCCGUCUUCUUAUUGAAGAUCCAUUUAUUUAAUAUGGCUUGCUGAUCAUCGAGCAAGUCAACCAAAGUCCAUACUUUGUUCUCAUACAUGGAUCCGAUCUCAAAUUUUAUGGCCUCAAGCCAUUUCGCAGAAUCUGGGCUCACCAUCGCUUCCUCAUAGUUCGUAGGUUCAUCAUGGUCUAGUAACAUGACUUCCAGAACAUGAUUGCCGUACCACUCUGGUGCGGAUCUUAGUCUGGAACACCUACGAGGUUUGGUAGCAACUUGAUCCGAAGUUUCAUGAUCAUCAUCAUUAACUUCCUCACUAAUUUGUGUAGGAAUCACUGGAACUGAUUUCUGUGAUGAACUACUUUCCAAUAAGGGAGAAGGUACAAUUACCUCAUCAAGUUCUACUUUCCUCCCACUCACUUCUUUUGAGAGAAUAUUCUUCUCUAGAAAGGAUCCAUCUUAGCAACGAAUAACUUGCCUUCGGAUCUGUGAUAGAAGAUGUACCCAAUAGUUACCUUUGGGUAUUCUAUGAAGACGCACUUCUCCGAUUUGGGUUCGAGCUUAUCAGGUUGAAACUUUUUCACAUAAGCAUCACAGCCCCAAAAUUUAAGAAACGACAACUUUGGUUUCUUGCCAAACCACAGUUAAUAAGGCGUCGUCUCAACGGAUUUUUGAUGGUGCCCUAUUUAAAGUGAAUGCAGCUGUCUCUAAUGCAUAACCCCAUAAUGAUAGUGGUAAAUCGAUAAGAGACAUCAUAGAUCGCACCAUAUCCAAUAAAGUGCGGUUACGACGUACGGACACACCAUAACGCUGUGGUGUUCCAUGUGGCGUGGGCUGUGAAACUAUUCCACAUUGUUGUAUAUGAAGGGCAAACUCGUAACUCAAAUAUUCUUCUCCACAAUCAGAUCGUAGAAACUUUAUUUUCUUGUUACGAUGAUUCUUCACUUCACUCUGAAUUUUUUUGAACAUUUCAAAUGUUUCAGACUUGUGUUUUAUUAAGUAGAUAUACCCAUAUCUGCUCAAAUCAUCUUUGAAGGUCAGAAAAUAAUGAUACUCGCCACGAGCAUCAACACUCAUUGGAUCGCAUACAUCGGUAUGUAUUAUUUCCAAUAAAUCAGUAGCUCAUUCCAUUAUUCUGAAGAACGGAGUUUUAGCCAUCUUGCCCAAAAGGCACGGUUUGCAGUACCAAAUGAUUCAUAAUCAAGUGAUUCCAGAAGUCCAUCAGUAUGGAGUUUCUUAAUGCACUUUACACCAAUAUGACCCAAACGGCAGUGCCACAAAUAAGUUUCACUAUCAUUAUCAACGUUGCAUCUUUUGGCAUCAAUAUUAUGAAUAUGUGUAUCACUAUGAUCGAGAUCGAACAAACUAUCUUCAUUGGGUGUAUGACCAUUGAAGGCUUUAUUCAUGUAAAUAGAACAACAAUUAUUGUCUGACUGUAAAUGAAUAACUGUAUUGCAAUAAACAUGAUCAAAUCAUAUUCAUGCUCAACGCAAACGCCAAAUAACAUUUAUUUAGGUUCGACACUAAUCUCGAAAAUGUAGGGAGAGUGUGAUGAUGAUCAUAUCAAUCUUGGAACCACUUCCAACACACAUCGUCACUUCACCCUCAACUACUCUCUGUUUAUUAUGUAACUCCUAUUUCGAGUUACUAAUAUUUAGGAACCGAACAAGUAUCAAAUACUCAGGGGCUACUAUAAACAAUAGUAAAGUACACAUCAAUAACAUGUAUAUCAAAUAUACCCUUGUUCACUUUGCCAUCCUUCUUAUCCACCAAAUAUUCAGGGCAUUUCCGCUUCUAGUGAUCAUUUCCUUUGCAGUAUAAUCACUCAGUUUCAGGCUUUGUUCCAGCUUUGGGCUUCUUCGCGGGAGUGACAACUUGCUUGCCAUUCUACUUGAAGUUCCCUUCCUUUGCCCUUUUCUUGAAACUAGUGGUCUUGUCAAUCAUCAACACUUGAUGCUCUUUUCUUGAUUUCUACCUUCAUCGAUUUCAGCAUCACGAAGAGCUCGGGAAUCGUUUUCGUCAUCCCUUGCAUUAUAGUUCAUCACGAAGUUCCAGUAACCUGGUGAUGGUGACUAGAGAACUCUGCCAAUCACUAUCUUAUCUGGAAGAUUAACUCCCACUUGAUUCAAGCGAUUGUAGUAUUCAGACAAUCUAAGUACUUGCUCACUAGUUGAGAAAUCCUCCUCCAUCUUUUAGGCGAAGUAUUUGUCAAAGGUCUCAUACCUCUUGACACGGGCAUGAGUCUGAAAUACCAAUUUCAUCUCUUGAAACAUCUUAUAUGUUCCGUGACGUGUCAAAAACAUUUUGUAGUCCCGGUUAUAAGCCAUAAAGCAUGGUGCACAAAACUAUCAAGUAGUCAUCAUAUUGAGCUAGCCAAACGUUCAUAACGUCUGCAUCUGCUCCUGCAAUAGGUCUGUCACCUAGCGGUGCAUAAAGGACAUAAUUCUUCUAUCCAGCAAUGAGGAUAAACCUCGGAUCACGGACCAAGUCCGCAUCAUUUCUACUAACAUCUUUCAACUUAGUUUUCUCUAGGAACACAUAUAAAACAUAGGGAAGCAACAACGCGAGCUAUUGAUCUACAACAUAAUUUGCAAAAUACUACCAGGACUAAGUUCAUGAUAAAUUAAAGUUCAAUUAAUCAUAUUACUUAAGAACUCCCACUUAGACAGACAUCUCUCUAGACAUCUAAGUGAUCACAUGAUCCAAAUCAACUAAACCUUGUCCGAUCAUCACGUGAGAUGGAGUAGUUUUCAAUGGUGAACAUCACUAUGUUGAUCAUAUCUACUAUAUGAUUCAGGUUCGACCUUUCGGUCUCUGUGUUCCGAGGUCAUAUUUGUAUAUGCUAGGCUCGUCAAGUUUAACCUGAGUAUUCCGCGUGUGCAACUGUUUUGCACCCGUUGUAUUUGAACGUAGAGCCUAUCACACCCGAUCAUCACGUGGUGUCUCAGCACGAAGAACUUUCGCAACGGUGCAUACUUAGGGAGAACACUUCUUGAUAAUUAGUGAGAGAUCAUCUUAAAAUUCUACCGUCAAACAAAAUAGAAUAAGAUGUAUAACAGAUAAACAUCAUAUGCAAUCAAAAUAUGUGACAUGAUAUGGCCAUGAUCAUCUUGUGCCUUUGAUCUCCAUCUCCAAAGUACUAUCAUGAUCUCUAUCGUCACUGGCACGACACCAUGAUCUUCAUCAUCUUGAUCUAUAUCAAUGUGUUGUCACAUGGUCGUCUCGCCAACUAUUGCUCUUGCAACUAUUGCUAUCGCAUAGCGAUAAAGUAAAGUAAUUAUUUGGCACUUGCAUCUUAUGGAACAAAGAGAAAACCAUAGGGCUUCUACCAGUUGCCGAUAACUUCAACAAAACAUGAUCAUCUCAUACAACAACUUAUAUCUCAUCACGUAUUGAUCAUAUCACAUCACAACAUGCCCUGCAAAACCAAGUUAGACGCCCUCUACUUUGUUGUUGCAAAUUUAACUUGGCUGCUACGGGCUGAGCAAGAACCGUUCUUACCUACGCAUCAAAACCACAACGAUAGUUCGUCAAGUUAGUGCUGUUUUAACCUUCUCAAGGACCAGGCGUAGCCACACUCGGUUCAACUAAAGUUGGAGAAACAGACACCCGCCAGCCAACUUUGUGCAAAGCACGUCGGUAGAACCAGUCUCGCGUAAGCAUACGCGUAAUGUCGGUCCAGGCCGCUUCAUCCAACAAUACCGCCGAACCAAAGUAUGACAUGCUGGUAAGCAGUAUGACUUGGAUCGCCCACAACUCACUUUUGUUCUACUUGUGCAUAUAACAUCAACGCAUAAAACCUAGGCUCGGAUGCCACUAUUGGGGAACGUAGUUAUUUCAAUAAAAAAUCCUACGCACACGCAAGAUCAUGGUGAUGCAUAGCAACAAGAGGGGAGAGUGUUGUCCAUGUACCCUCGUAGACCAAAAGCGGAAGCGGUAGAACAACGCGGUUGAUGUAGUCGUACGUCUUCAUGGCCCGACCGAUCAAGCACCGAAACUACGGCACCUCCGAGUUCUAGCACACGUUCAGCUUGAUGACGUCCCUCGAACUCCGAUUCAGCUGAGUGUGGAGGGAGAGUUCCGUCAGCAUGAUGGCGUGGUGAUGAUCUUGAUGUUCUACCAUCGCAGGGCUUCGCCUAAGCACCGCUACGAUAUUAUCGAGGUGGACUAUGGUGGAGGGGGCACCGCACACGGCUAAGAGAUCCAAGGGAUCAAUUGUUGUUGUGCCUAGAGGUGCCCCCUUGCCCCCGUAUAUAAAGGAGCCAGGGGAGGGGGUCGGCCGGCCAGGAGGGGCGCGCCAGGAGGAGUCCUCCUUCCACCGGGAGUACGACUUCCCCCCUUCCUUGUUGGAGUAGGAGAGAAGGAAAGAGGGGGAGAGGAGGAAGGAAAAGGGGGCUGCACCCCUUGUCCAAUUCGGACCAAAGGAGGGCUGCGCGCCUCCUUCCUUUCGGCCUCUCUCCUCUAUUCCCGUAUGGCCCAAUAAGGCCCAUUGAGGGAGUCCUGGACUAGGGGGUGUCCGGAUAGCCGAACUAUCAUCAUCAGCCGGACUCCAAGACUAUGAAGAUACAAGAUUGAAGACUUCGUCCCGUGUCCUGAUGGGACUUUCCUUGGCGUGGAAGGCAAGCUUGGCGAUACGGAUAUGUAGAUCUCCUACCAUUGUAACCGACUCUAUGUAACCCUAGCCCUCUCCGGUGUCUAUAUAAACUGGAUGGCUUUAGUCCGUAGGACGAACAACAAUCAUACCAUAGGCUAGCUUCUAGGGUUUAGCCUCCUUGAUCUCGUGGUAGAUCUACUCUUGUAACACACAUCAUCAAUAUUAAUCAAGCAGGACAUAGGGUUUUACCUCCAUCAAGAGGGCCCGAACCUGGGUAAAACAUCGUGUCCCUCGUCUCCUGUUACCAUCCGCCUAGACGCACAGUUCGGGACCCCCUACCCGAGAUCCGCCGGUUUUGACACCGACAUUGGUGCUUUCAUUGAGAGUUCCUCUGUGCCGUCGCCGAUAGGCUCGAUGGCUUCUCCGAUCAUCAUCAACGACGCAGUCCAGGGUAAGACCUUCCUCCCCGGACAGAUCUUCGUAUUCGGCAGCUUUGCACUGCGGGCCAAUUCGCUUGGCCAUCUGGAGCAGAUCGAAAGUUACGCCCCUGGCCGUCAGGUCAGAUUUGGAAGUUUGAACUUCACGGCUGACAUCCAUGGGGACUUGAUCCUCGGUGGAUUCGAGCCACAGCCGAGCGUGCCGCACUGUCACGACGAGCAUGAUUUAGCUCUGCGGUCGGACAGUACCCUGGAGGCCGCACUUGAGCCCGCUCCGAUCUCCAAUUCAGAGCCGGCUGCGUAGAUCGAGGACGUUAGACGCCACCUCGGGGGCUGCAACCUCUACGGCGAUAGAGCCGAACACUGAUCUUGUCCCUCACGAAGGUCGUGACUCUGAGGUGGCGGACUCCUUGCCGGACUCCGAACCUCCCGCGCCCCCACCAAUCGAAUCCGGUUGGGCGCCGAUCAUGGAGUUUAGUGCCUCAGACAUCUUUCAACACUCACCUUUUGCCGACAUCCUGAGUUCGCUAAAGUAUCUCUCAUUAUCAGGAGAGCCCUGGCCGGACUGCAGCCAGGACGGUUGGGAUGCGGACGACGAAGAAAUUCAAAACCCACCCACCACCCACUUGGUAGCCACUGUCGAUGAUCUAACCGACAUGCUAGACUACGACUCCGAAGACAUCGACUGUAUGGACGACGAGGCCGGAGACGACCAAGAACCAGCUCCUACCGGGCACUGGAAAGCCACCUCAUCAUAUGAUAUAUACAUGGAGGAUAUCCCAAAGGAUGGGAAUGGCGAAGGGGCAGCGGAGGAUGACCCCUCCAAGAAACAACCCAAGCGCCGGCGUCAGCGGCGCCGCUCUAAAUCCUGCCAUAGCAAGAAUGAAGAUUCCGACACCGGAGAUAAUAACACCCCAGAUAGUGCCGAAGACAACCCACUCCAGCAAGAUUCAGCACAGGAGGACAGGGACGCCAGCCCUCAUGAGAGAGCGGCAGAAGAAGAGGUAGAGGACUACAUGCCUCCCUCCAGAGACGAGGCAAGCCUCGAUGACGACGAAUUCGUCGUGCCUGAGGAUCCCGUCAAACAAGAGCGUUUUAAACACAGGCUUAUGGCCACAGCAAACAGCCUCAAGAAAAAGCAGCAACAGCUUAGAGCUGAUCAAGAUCUGCUAGCCGACAGAUGAACUGAAGUCCUUGCGGCCGAAGAGCAUGAGCUCGAACGCCCCUCCAAAAGUUACCCUAAACGCAAGCUGCUCCCCCGGUUAGAGGAGGAGGCGUAUGAACCUGCAUCACCAGCAGACAAUACGGCUGACCGACCACCCCGUGGUCGUGAAAGAGAGGCCCCUAGGCCCUUCACUAGAACCGUACCCCGGCAUCGCUCGAAGAGCACAAAGCCACACGGGAACCCUCCGGACUUGCAAGAUAUAUUGGAGGAUAAGGCAAGACAAUCAAGAUCGAUCUAUGGAUCGCGUGGGCCCCAUGAUACGUGACGACAACCGUCGUGCCGGACACAGUAAGUCCGGCCGGGCCGAACAAAAUAGACAAAGCUCUUUCGAGCUCCGUCGUGAUAUCGCCCAGUACAGAGGCGCCGCACACCCACUAUGCUUCACAGACGAAGUAAUGGAUCAUCAAAUCCCUGAAGGGUUUAAACCCGUGAACAUUGAAUCCUACGAUGGCACAACAGACCCCGCGGUAUGGAUCGAAGACUAUCUCCUCCAUAUCCACAUGGCCCGCGGUGAUGAUCUUCACGCCAUCAAAUAUCUCCCACUCAAACUUAAAGGAUCAGCCCGGCAUUGGCUGAAUAGCUUGCCAGCAGAGUCAAUCGGGAGUUGGGAAGACCUGGAAGCCGCAUUCCUCGAUAACUUCCAAGGCACGUAUGUGCCACCAGACGUCGAUGAUCUAAGCCACAUAAUUCAGCAGCCAGACGAAUCGGCCAGACAAUUCUGGACACGGUUCCUAACAAAGAAGAACCAAAUCGUCGACUGUCCGGAUGCAGAGGCCCUAGCGGCCUUCAAGCACAACAUCCGCGACGAGUGGCUGGCCCGGCACCUAGGACAGGAAAAGCCGAAAUCAAUGGCAGCCCUCACAUCACUCAUGACCCGCUUCUGCGCGGGUGAGGACAGCUGGCUAGCAUGCAGCAAUAACUUCAGCAAAAAUUCUGGCAGUCCGGAUUUCAAGGACCGUAAUGGCAGGUCGUGUCGCAACAAAAACAAACGCCGCAUUAACGGAGAUAACAGUGAAGAUACGACAGUCAAUGCCGGAUUCAGAGGCUCUUAACCCGGUCAGCGGAAAAAGCCAUUCAAAAGAACUACUCCGGGUCCAUCCAAUUUGGACAGAAUACUCGACCGCUCGUGCCAGAUACAUGGUACCUCGGAAAAGCCAGCCAACCGCACCAACAGGGACUGUUGGGUAUUCAAAUAGGCGGGCAAGUUAAUUGCCGAAAACAAUGACAAGGGGCUGCACAGCGAUGACGAGGAAGAGACCCGGCCGCCGAACAAUAGAGGACAGAAGGGUUUCCCCCCACAGGUGCGGACGGUGAACAUGAUAUACGCAACGCACAUACCCAAAAGGGAGCGGAAGCGUGCACUCAGGGAUGUAUACGCGAUGGAGCCAGUUGCCCCGAAGUUCAAUCCAUGGUCCUCCUGCCCGAUCACUUUUGACCGGAGGGACCACCCCACCAGCAUCCGCCAUGGCGGAUUCGCCGCAUUGGUUCUAGACCCAAUCGUCGAUGGAUUUCACCUCACCAGAGUCCUGAUGGACGGCGGCAGCAGCCGGAACCUGCUUUAUCAGGACACAGUGUGCAAAAUGGGCAUAGACCCCUCAAGGAUUAAACCUACCAAGACGACCUUUAAAGGCAUCAUACCAGGUGUAGAAGCCAAUUGUACAGGCUCAGUUACACUGGAAGUGGUCUUCAGAUCCACGGAUAACUUCCGGAGCGAGGAGUUAAUCUUCGACAUAGUUCCAUUCCGCAGCGGCUAUCAUGCUCUACUCGGACGUACCGCGUUUGCAAAGUUCAACGCGGUGCCGCACUACGCAUACCUCAAGCUCAAGAUGCCAGGCCCUCGAGGAGUCAUCACGGUCAACGGAAACACUGAACAUUCUCUCCGCACGGAGGAACAUACAGCGGCUCUCGCGGCAGAAGUACAAUGCAGCCUCUUAAGGUAAUUCUCGAGUCCGGCCGUUAAGCGGCCGGACACAGCUAAGCGCGCCCGGAGUAACCUACAACAAGACCACCUGGCACAUGCCGAGCACGCGUAGCAGUGCAGCCCCAACCCCAGCCCUUGUAAAACGGCAAGACAGGUCCUUCGCGUACACCAUUACACUCUGAAGAUACCAUGGGCAUGGGGAGAGGGGCACGACCACGAUAGGCCCAGACUGCAGCUCAACCACACCAGGGGCUCUCAAGUGUGUCGUUCUUUUUUUUUCUCUUUUUCUUUUCUAUUUUUUCCCACAGGACUCCGUUCGUCAGAGGCCCUGUCUGGCAGUAGACCUGCCGAACUCACGAUGCAACAGCCAGGGAAGAAGAAAGGCUACAACGAAUAUCCAGGUGGUCUCCAUUACGAGCAUUAAAUCUGUUUUAUGCACCAUUCCGCAGCCUACCCCUGGAGGGGGACAUGUUUAACAGUCCCAUCCCUUGCUUAUCGCACCAUUUGUAUCGUUCUGCACUUACAGCAGUUUUUCUUGAAUAAGUAAUGCAGCACCUUUUUGCUUGCAAUUGCAUUUCUCUUUUAUACAUAUGUUCAUUUGUGACAUUACGCAUCCGUACGUUUUGGUAUGGCUAAAUACACCAGGGGCUUAUGUUUCCCGCAUCAUGGUGUGAUAAGUCCGAACACUUUCACAAGUGCGUCACCCCGAACUUAUAGCAUUAUAUGCAUCAGCUCCGAAUCAUGUCUUGGGUCAAUAGUUGGGUUUGCCUGGCUCCCAUGUUUUGAUACCUUAUGUUCCGUUGUAUCGGCUAAGGUAGCACUGGGAGAACCACUGCGAUUACGCCCUAGUUGAGCUGGGUUAACCCCUUAGUGGAGAAAGCUAAAACUGACCGUCAUGAUGAGGCGAGAGCUGGUCGCUGUUCGAGAGGUUUUUUGCGAGUCCCUAAAGACUUAUGCCGCUUAGAGUGAGGAGCCGGUUUUUGUCUGGCCCAGGCGUGGAUAGCGCCCCAAAUUCGGCCUUCCGAAGACUAGGGGCUUCGCCGAAAUUUAAAAUUAUAGAAUUCUAUGGCUAAGUAAGAGUGUUCAAGCAUUAUAAGUCUGGUUGCCUUGUUCGUUGUGUUGAGCGGCUCCUUAGAUGGACCCAAAUAUGGGAACAAGAGUGCUCAAAUUUAUCCCGAACACCCCAGCACUCGUGGCAUGGGGGCUGAAGCCGACGACUUGCCAUCUCUCAGAUUUGAUAAACAGGCGCACAGAAGGUAAUAUUUUAAAUUAAAAUGCGUUGCUUAGCGCAAAUGAACUAAGUUUUCAGUGCACAGGAUAACAAAAUGCGAGUCCACUCAAAUAUUACAUCUUUGGAGCACUCACCCGCAAUAGUGCGGGCGCCCUUCAGCACACUCUUAUAAUACAUCUCGGGCAUGCGAUGCUCCUUGCCCUCCGGUGGUGGGUCCGUCACGAGCUUCUGGGCAUCCAUCUUGCCCCAGUGCACCUUUGCGCAGGCAAGGGCCCGACGGGCACCUUCAAUACAGGCGGAGUGCUUGAUGACUUCAACCCACGGGCACGCAUCCACUAGCCGCCGCACCAGGCCGAAGUAGCUCCCAGGCAUGGCCUCCUUAGGCCACAGCCGAACUAUGAGGCCCUUCAUGGCCUAUUCGGCCACCUUGUGGAGCUCGACCAGCUGCUUUAGCUGGUCGCUAAGGGGCACCGGAUGUCCGGCCUCAGCAUACUGAGACCAGAAGACCUUCUUCGUUGAGCUCCCCUCCUCGGCCCGGUAGAACGCGGCAGCAUCGGACACACUGCGAGGAAGAUCUGCAAACGCUCCUGGAGAGCUCCGAAUUCGGGUAAGCAACAGGUAAUUAACACUCAGAUGCCUACUUUGCAUGAAAAAUGGCUUACCCGCUGCCAUUUUCUUCAACGCCUCGAUUUCCUGGAGGGCCUUGUAGGCUUCGGCCUUAGCGGCUUUGGCACUCUCAAGAGCCGUUGCAAGCUCAGACUCUCGAGUCUUCGAGUCACGCACCAGGCUCUCAUGUUUUUUCACGAGAUUCUGGAGCUCUUGCUGUACCUCCGCCACCCGCGCCUCCUGCUUCUCUCGCUCGGUGCGCUCCGCGGCCGCAUUGCGUUCGGCCAUGGCCACCGCCUCCUUCAGGGUCGCCACCUCGUUAUUGGCCCCUGCAAUACCCACGUUACCCUUGUCUUUCAUUUUGCAACCAAAAUCCUUUUCUGUAAGGUACAAUUUUAAUAAGGUGUUACUCACCUUCCUUGUCCUCGAGCUGCUUCUUGGCACGGCCGAGCUCGUUCUCGGACCGCUCGAGGCCUUCCUUCAAAGUAUUGACCUCCACAGUCAGUGCGGCAGAGGUCACCAGCGCAGCUUGCAAUCCCAUAUUGACAUAUUUUUUAAGACUCCUGCGUAUAUCUUCUUAGAUCCUCAGUCCGGCUUUUCUUUUCGAACACCGAACCGAGCAUCAGUGGCUACUGUCUAUGCGGUACUAUUUUACAUAUAUCAAAAUUCUUACCUCAAAGCCUGUUAGAAGGCUGCUGCAGGCUUCGGUCAGCCCGCUCUUGGCGAGCUGCACCUUCUGAAUCACCGCACUCAUAACAGUGCGGUGUUCCUCUUCGAUGGAGGCGCCAUUGAGCGCCUCCAGCAAGCUAUCCGACGCCUCCGGUUGGACGGAGGCUGCCGGUGUCACGGUCUUGACCUUCUUACGAAGGGGACGCCCGCCGGAUUCUGGAGCCACUAUGGGAUCCGGAGCCGAGUCCGGUGCAAAGUCCGGGAGGUUGUCCUGCGACACCUCCGGGGCCUCCUCCUCCUGGCGGGUCCCUUCCCGGGAUCCCACCUCGGCAUCGUCCAUGUCACGGGGGGUGGAGGCGGUCGGAAGAGAAUCCAUAUCCGACGCACCUAAGGACCCGCUCGACGAAGCGGGAAGAUCGUCCUUGGGCGGACUGCAGGGUUGUAUGCGGCAUUAGAAAGACAUUGUGUGGCAAAAAAGAGAAACCAUGAAGUUAUUCGGGAGUCCGGAUACUCACGAUCUCGCCAGGGGCUUGGCCCUUGGAGGCCAGUCCUCGUCGUCGUUACUGGCGUUGGCAGAGCAGUCCGGGGGCAGAGUUUUUCCCUUCUUGGACCCUUUGGCCUCCUUCAUUGGGGAGGCCUUCCUUUUCUUCUCUCCCCCCGCUGGGGAAGAGGCUUUCUUCUUCUCUUCCUCACCAUGGUGAGAGGAGUCGGCCUCGGAGUUGUCAUCCGAUAGCACCUGAAAACGGGAACUCUUUCGGGUCCCCGUGGCCUUCUUCUUGGCCUUCUUCUCCGGCACCACAUGGGGUGCCGGAGCCAGCAGCCCCGUCAAACGGGCGUCCGCUGGGUCCUCUGGCAAUGGGGCUGGACAGAUAGCCUGUUCGGCCUUCUUCAGCCAGUCCUGUCAAAGGAAAGUGAGUUUAGAUCCCGCAUAGAGUCAAACUAUGGAAAACAAGCGUCCCUUAAAGGACAAAAUCACUUACCUCAUCAGCUGGACGCUCCGAGCUGAAUCCGCGAUCUUUGGUAGCGGAUGCGGGAGCCUCGGCGCCCUUGGACAGCACCUUUCGGACAUCUUCGUACGUAGUGUCGAAGAGCCCGCUCAAAGUCUGGUGCUGCGCCGGAUCGAACUCCCACAGGUUGAAGCCCCGUCUUGGGCAUGGGAGAAUCUGGCGGCUGAGCAUGACCUGGACUACGUUGACAAGCUUGAGCUUCUUGUCCACUAGCUUUGGGAUGCAAGCUUGGAGUUUGGUCAGCUCCUCCGAAUCACCCCAUGUCCGGCCGCUCUCUUUCCAGGAGGUGAGCCGUGUGGGGAUGCCGGAUCUGAAUUCGGGGACCGCUGCCCAUUCGGGGUCACGCGGCUCGGUGAUGUAGAACCACCCCGAUUGCCACCCCUUGAUGGUUUCCACGAAAGUGCCCUCAAGCCAAGUAACGUGGGACAUCCUGCCCACCAUGGCGCCUCCGCACUCCGCUUCGCUGCCCUUCACAACCUUCGGCUUGACACUGAAGGUCUUGAGCCACAAGCCGAAGUGGGGCUGGAUGCAGAGGAAGGCCUCACACACGACGAUAAACGCCGAGAUGUUGAGGAUUAAAUUCGGGGCCAAAUCAAGGAAAUCCAGGCCGUAGUAGAACAUGAGCUCCCGGACAAAGGGAUGGAGUGGGAAGCCCAGCCCGUGGAGGAAAUGGGGAAGGAAUACUACCCUCUCAUGGAGCUUGGGGUGGGGAUGAGCGCUCCCUCGUUGGGGAGCCGGUGCGCGAUGUCGCUGGACAAGUAUCCGGCGUUGCGCAUCUUCUGGAUAUGCCCCUCCGUGACGGAGGAGGCCAUCCACUUGCCUUCUGCUCCGGACAUAGUUGGAGAAGGUUGAGGUGAGAUGUGUGGGCUUGGGCGCUGGAGCUCGGGUUCACAGAGAUCGAUAAGCCAAGGAGGAAGAAGGCGCAGGUAAUAGGGUUGGAUCUUUAUCCCCUUAUAUGGGCGAACAAAAACAUGCAUCCCCACCGGCCUGAUAAAACUCGCUUAUCCCCCAAGCGCCGCAAUCAAUGGCGCGGUUGGGUUACCCACGUCCGUAUUGAUGGGAAUCCCGGAAUAAGGGGAACACGAUCUCUGCUUCGACAAGACGUGCCAAGGAAACCGCUUCACUAAACGCGCUGAGGUGGUACAAUAAAAACGAUUUAAGUAAAGGCUUGGUAGUGGUGUGACGUCACACCAUCAAAUACGUCAGCAGAUUGAACUUGUGUAAAUAUUAUUAUCUCUACGGUGGUAUGUGGAAAUUAUUUUUGCAGAGCCGGACACUAUCCUGGUGUUCACAAUCUUCUAUAAAUUAUUCGGAGGAGGAACCCGCCUUGCAAUGCCGAAGACAAUAUGCGCGCCGGACUCGUCGUCAUUGAAGCCUGGUUCAGGGGCUACUGAGGGAGUCCUGGACUAGGGGGUGUCCGGAUAGCCGAACUAUCAUCAUCGGCUGGACUCCAAGACUAUGAAGAUACAAGAUUGAAGACUUCGUCCCGUGUCCGAAUGGGACUUUCCUUCGCGUGGAAGGCAAGCUUGGCGAUACGGAUAUGUAGAUCUCCUAUCAUUGUAACCGACUCUGUGUAACCCUAGCCCUCGCCGGUGUCUAUAUAAACCGGAUGGCUUUAGUCCGUAGGACGAACAACAAUCAUACCAUAGGCUAGCUUCUAGGGUUUAGCCUCCUUGAUCUCGUGGUAGAUCUACUCUUGUAACACACAUCAUCAAUAUUAAUCAAGCAGGACGUAGGGUUUUACCUCCAUCAAGAGGGUCCGAACCUGGGUAAAACAUCGUGUCCCUCAUCUCCUGUUACCAUCCGCCUAGACGCACAGUUCGGGACCCCCUACCCGAGAUCCACCGGUUUUGACACCGACACCCAUAUACUCCCCGACGAAUUCCCAUAACUCUUCGGUACUCGGGAAAAUACCUGAAUCACUCAGAACCUUUGCAAAGUCCGAAUAUAGUCGUCCAGUAUAUCGAUCUUUACGUCUCGACCAUUUCGAGACUCCUAGUCAUGUCGCCGAUCUCAUCCGGGACUCCGAAAUCCUUUGGUACAUCAAAACUCAUAAACUCAUAAUAUAACUGUCAUCGAAACCUUAAGCGUGCGGACCCUACGGGUUCGAGAAUAAUGUAGACAUGACCGAGACACGUCUCCAGUCAAUAACCAAUAGCAGAACCUGGAUGCUCAUAUUGGCUCCCACAUAUUCUACGAAGAUCUUUAUCGGUCAAAUCGCAUAACAACAUACGUUGUUCCCUUUGUCAUCGGUAUGUUAUUUGCCCGAGAUUCGAUCAUCGGUAUCUCAAUACCUAGUUCAAUCUAGUUACCGACAAGUCUCUUUACUCGUUUUGUAAUACAUCAUCUCGCAACUAACUCAUUAGUUGCAAUGCUUGCAAGGCUUAAGUGAUGUGUAUUACCGAGAGGGCCCAGAGAUACCUCUCCGACAAUCGGAGUGACAAAUCCUAAUCUCGAAAUACGCCAACCUAACAUGUACCUUCGGAGACACCUGUAGAGCACCUUUAUAAUCACCCAGUUACGUUGUGACGUUUGAUAGCACACACAGUGUUCCUCCGGUAAACGGGAGUUACAUAAUCUCAUAGUCACAGGAACAUGUAUAAGUCAUGAAGAAAGCAGUAGCAACAUACUAAACGAUCAAGUGCUAAGCUAACGGAAUGGGUCAAGUCAAUCACAUCAUUCUCCUAAUGAUGUGAUCCCUUUAAUCAAAUGAUAACUCUUUGUCCAUGGCUAGGAAACAUAACCAUCUUUGAUUAAUGAGCUAGUCAAGUAGAGGCAUACUAGUGACACUCAGUUUGUCUAUGUAUUCACACAUGUAUCAUGUUUCCGGUUAAUACAAUUCUAGCAUGAAUAAUAAACAUUUAUCAUGAAAUAAGGAAAUAAAUAAUAACUUUAUUAUUUCCUCUAGGGCAUAUUUCCUUCAGAAACCCCAUAUCAAACGGAAUCCAAACGGGAUAAAAACGGAUGGAGAAUUAUUUUGGAAUAUUUGGGAUUUUCCGGACGAAUAAUCAACGCUGAACGGUGUCCGAGGUGGCCAUGAGAUAGGGGGGCGCUCCCUCCCCCUAGGCGCGCCUGGCACCCUCGUGGGCCACCCGUAAGGCGGUUGAUGCCCUUCUUUUGCUGCAAGAAAGCUAAUUUUAUGAGAAAAAUCUGGGCGAAAUAUUCACCCAAUUGGAGUUACGGAUCUCCGGGUAUAAAAGAAACGGUGAAGGGGAAGGAUCAGAGAACGCAGAAACUGUUGGGGAACGUUGCAUAAAAUAAAAAAUUUCCUACGUUCACCAAGAUCAAUCUAUGAGUUCAUCUAGCAACGAGAGAGAAGAGUGCAUCUACAUACCCUUGUAGAUCGUGUGCGGAAGCGUUCAAGAGAACGGGGUUGAAGGAGUCGUUCUCGUCGUGAUCCAAAUCACCAGAGAUCCUAGCGCUGAACGGACGGCACCUCCGCGUUAAACACAUGUACGGUCAGCGUGACGUCUCCUCCUUCUCGAUCCUGCAAGGGGGACGGAGAGGUUGAUGAAGAUCCAGCAGCACGACAGCGUGGUGGUGGAUGCAGCAGGGCUCCGGCAGGGCUUCGCCAAGCAACUACGGGAGGGAGAGGUGUAGCAGGGAGGGGAGGGAGGCGCCAGGGUGUUGGGUGCGGCUGCCCUCCCACCCCCUCUUUAUAUAGGGACCCCAGGGGGGCGCCGGCCCUAGAGAUGGGAUCUCUAGGGGGGCGGCGGCCAAGGGGGGUGGAGUGCCCCCCAAGGCAAGUGGAGGCGACCCCUCCCCUAGGGUUCCCAACCCUAGGCGCAGAGGGGGGCCCAGGGAGGGGGCGCACCAGCCCACUAGGGGCGGGUUCCCCUCCCACUUCAGCCCAUGGGGCCCUCCGGGAUAGGUGGCCCCACCAGGUGGACCCCCGGGGCCCUUCCGGUGGUCCCGGUACAAUACCGGUGGACCCCGAAACUUUCCCGAUGGCCGAAACUCGACUUCCCAUAUAUAAUUCAUUACCUCCGGACCAUUUCGGAACUCCUCGUGACGUCCGGGAUCUCAUCUGGGACUCCGAACAACUUUCGGUUUGCUGCAUACUCAUAUUCAUACAACCUUAGCAUCACCGAACCUUAAGUGUGUAGACCCUACGGGUUCGGGAGAUAUGCAGACAUGACCGAGACGGCUCUCCGGUCAAUAACCAACAGCGGUAUCUAGAUACCCAUGUUGGCUCUCACAUACUCCUCGAUGAUCUCAUCAGAUGAACCACGAUGUCGAGGAUUUUGGCAACCCCGUAUACAAUUCCCCAAUCGGUACGUUACUUGCCCGAGAUUCGAUCGUCAGUAUCCCAAUACCUCGUUCAAUCUCAUUACCGGCAAGUCACUUUACUCGUAUCGUAAUGCAUGAUCCUGUGACCAGACACUUGGUCACUUUGAGCUCAUUAUGAUGAUGCAUUACCGAGUGGGCCCAGAGAUACCUCUCCGUCAUACGGAGUGACAAAUCCCAGUCUCGAUCCGUGUCAACCCAACAGACACUUUCGGAGACACCUGUAGUGCACCUUUAUAGUCACCCAGUUACGUUGUGACGUUUGGUACACCCAAAGAACUCCUACGGUAUCCUGGAGUUACACGAUCUCAUGGUCUAAGGAAAAGAUACUUGACAUUGGAAAAGCUCUAGCAAACGAACUACACGAUCUUUGUGCUAUGCUUAGGAUUGGGUCUUGUCCAUCACAUCAUUCUCCUAAUGAUGUGAUCCCGUUAUAAAUGACAUCCAAUGUCCAUAGUCAGGAAACCAUGACUACCUGUUGAUCAACGAGCUAGUCAACUAGAGGCUCACUAGGGACAUGUUGUGGUCUAAGUAUUCACACGUGUAUUACGAUUUCCGGAUAAUACAAUUAUAGCAUGAAUAAAAGACAAUUAUCAUGAACAAGGAAAUAUAAUAAUAGUCCUUUUAUUAUUGCCUCUAGGGCAUAUUUCCAACAGUCUCCCACUUGCACUAGAGUCAAUAAUCUAGUUACAUUGUGAUGAAUCGAACACCCGUAGAGUUCUGGUUUUGAUCAUGUUUUGCUCGCGGAAGAGGUUUAGUCAACGGAUCUGCGACAUUCAUAUCUGUAUGUACUUUGCAAAUUUCUAUGUCUCCAUCUUGAACAUUUUCACGGAUGGAGUUGAAAAGAUGCUUGAUGUGCCUGGUCUUCUUGUGAAACCUGGGCUCCUUGGCAAGGGCAAUAGCUCCAGUGUUGUCACAGAAGAGAGUGAUUGGCCCUGACGCAUUGGGUAUGACUCCUAGGUCGGUGAUGAACUCCUUCAUCCAUAUUGCUUCAUGUGCUGCCUGCGAGGCUGCCAUGUACUCCGCUUCACAUGUAGAUCCCGCCACGACGCUCUGCUUGCAACUGCUCCAUCUUACUGCUCCACGAUUCAACAUAUACACGUAUCCAGUUUGUGACUUAGAGUCAUCCAGAUCUGUGUCGAAGCUAGCGUCGACGUAACCCUUUACGACGAGAUCUUCGUCACCUCCAUAAACGAGAAACAUGUCCUUUGUCCUUUUCAGGUACUUAAGGAUAUUCCUUGUUCAGUGUUCCUUGCCGGGACUACUUUGGUACCUUCCUACCAAACUUACAGCAAGGUUUACAUCAGGUCUGGUACACAGCAUGGCAUACAUAAUAGAUCCUAUGGCCGAGGCAUAGGGGAUGACAUUCAUCUCUUCUUUACCUUUUGCCGUGGUCGGGCAUUGAGCCGAGCUCAAUCUCACACCUUGCAAUACAGGCAAGAACCCUUUCUUGGACUAAUCCAUUUUGAACUUCUUCAAAAUCUUAUCAAGGUAUGUGCUUUGUGAAAGACCUAUGAGGCGUCUCGAUCUAUCCCUAUAGAUCUUGAUGCCUAAUAUGUAAGCAGCUUCUCCAAGGUCCUUAAUUGAAAAACACUUAUUCAAGUAGGCCUUAAUGUUGUCCAAAAGUUCUAUAUCAUUUCCCAUCAAAAGUAUGUCAUCUACAUAUAAUAUGAGAAAUGCUACAGAGCUCCCACUCACUUUCUUUUAAACGCAGGCUUCUCCAUAAGUCUGCAUAAACCCAAACGCUUUGAUCAUCUCAUCAAAGCAAAUGUUCCAACUCCGAGAUGCUUGCACCAGCCCAUAAAUGGACCACUGGAGCUUGCAUACCCUGUUAGCAUUCUUAGGAUCGACAAAACCUUCCGGCUGCAUCAUAUACAACUCUUCCUUAAGAUAGCCGUUAAGGAAUGCCGUUUUGACGUCCAUCUGCCAUAUCUCAUAAUCAUAGUAUGCGGCAAUUGCUAACAUGAUUCGAACGGACUUCAGCUUCGCUACGGGAGAGAAAGUCUCAUCGUAGUCAACCCCUUGAACUUGCCGAUAACCCUUAGCGACAAGUCGAGCUUUAUAGAUGGUAUCAUUACCAUCCGCGUCCGUCUUCUUCUUAAAGAUCCAUUUGUUUUCUAUCGCUCGCCGAUCAUCGGGCAAGUCUGUCAAAGUCCAUACUUUGUUUUCAUACAUGGAUUCUAUCUCGGAUUGCAUGGCUUCAAGCCAUUUGUUGGAAUCUGGGCCCGCCAUCGCUUCUUCAUAGUUACAAGGUUCACCAUUGUCUAACAACAUGAUUUCCAGGACAGGGUUGCCAUACCACUCUGGUGUGGAACGUGUCCUUGUGGACCUACGAAGUUCAGUAGAAACUUGAUCCGAAGUACCUUGAUCAUCAUCAUUAAUUUCCUCUCCAGUCGGUGUAGGCACCACAGGAACAUUUUCCUGAGCUCCACUACUUUCCGGUUCAAGAGGUAGUACUUCAUCGAGUUCUGCUUUCCUCCCACUUACUCCUUUCGAGAGAAACUCCUUUUCCAUAAAGGUUCCAUUCUUGGCAACAAAGAUCUUGCCUUCGGAUCUAAGGUAGAAAGUAUACCCAAUGGUUUCCUUAGGGUAUCCUAUGAAGGCGCAUUUUUUCGACUUGGGUCCGAGCUUUUCAGGUUGAAGUUUCUUGACAUAAGCAUCGCAUCCCCAAACUUUUAGAAAUGACAGUUUAGGUUUCUUUCCAAACCAUAAUUCAUACGGUGUCGUCUCAACGGAUUUAGACGGAGCCCUAUUUAAAGUGAAUGUAGCUGUCUCUAGAGCGUAUCCCCAAAAUGAUAGCGGUAAAUCGGUAAGAGACAUCAUAGAUCGCACCAUAUCCAAUAGAGUGCGAUUACGAUGUUCGGACACACCAUUACGCUGAGGUGUUCCAGGCGGCGUGAGUUAUGAAACGAUUCCACAUUUUCUUAAGUGCGUACCAAAUUCGUGACUUAAAUAUUCUCCUCCACGAUCUGAUCGUAAGAACUUUAUUUUUCGAUCACGUUGAUUCUCUACUUCAUUCUGAAAUUCCUUGAACUUUUCAAAGGUCUCAGACUUGUGUUUCAUCAAGUAGACAUACCCAUAUCUACUUAAGUCAUCAGUGAGAGUGAGAACAUAACGAUAUCCUCCGCGAGCCUCAAUGCUCAUUGGACCACACACAUCAAUAUGUAUGAUUUCCAAUAAGUUGGUUGCUCGCUCUAUUGUUCCGGAGAACGGAGUCUUGGUCAUUUUGCCCAUGAGGCAUGGUUCGCAUGUGUCAAAUGAUUCAUAAUCGAGAGACUCUAAAAGUCCAUCAGCAUGGAGCUUCUUCAUGCGCUUGACACCAAUGUGACCAAGGCGGCAGUGCCACAAGUAUGUGGGACUAUCGUUAUCAACUUUACAUCUUUUGGUAUUCACACUAUGAAUAUGUGUAACAUUACGUUCGAGAUUCAUUAAGAAUAAACCAUUGACCAUCAGGGCAUGACCAUAAAACAUAUCUCUCAUAUAAAUAGAACAACCAUUAUUCUCGGAUUUAAAUGAGUAGCCAUCUCGCAUUAAACGAGAUCCAGAUACAAUGUUCAUGCUCAAACUUGGCACUAAAUAACAAUUAUUGAGGUUUAAAACUAAUCUCAUAUGUAAAUGUAGAGGUAGCGUGCCGACGGCGAUCACAUCGACCUUGGAACCAUUCCCGACGCGCAUCGUCACCUCGUCCUUCGCCAGUCUCCGCUUAUUCCGCAGCUCCCGCUGUGAGUUACAAAUGUGAGCAACGGCACCGGUAUCAAAUACCCAGGAGUUACUACGAGUACUGGUAAGGUACACAUAAAUUACAUGUAUAUCAAAUAUACCUUUAGUGUUGCCGGCCUUCUUGUCCGCUAAGUAUUUGGGGCAGUUUCGCUUCAAGUGACCCUUCCCUUUGCAAUAAAAGCACUCAGUCUCAGGCUUGGGUCCAUUCUUUGACUUCUUCCAGGCAACUGGCUUACCGAGCGCGGCAAGAUCUUUGCCGUCCUUCUUGAAGUUCUUCUUACCCUUGCCCUUCUUGAACUUGGUGGUUUUAUUGACCAUCAACACUUGAUGUUCUUUCUUGAUUUCUACCUCUGCUGACUUCAGCAUUGAAAAUACUUCAGGAAUAGUUUUCACCAUCCCCUGCAUAUUGUAGUUCAUCACAAAGCUCUUGUAGCUUGGUGGGAGCGAUUGAAGGAUUCUGUCAAUGACCGCCUCGUCCGGGAGGUUAAUGUCCGGCUGGGACAGGCUGUUGUGCAACCCAGACAUUUUGAGUAUGUGCUCACUGACAGAACUGUUUUCCUCCAUCUUACAACUAUAGAACUUGUCGGAGACUUCAUAUCUCUCGACCCGGGCAUGAGCUUGGAAAACCAUUUUUAGCUCCUCGAACAUCUCAUAUGCUCCAUGUUGCUCAAAACGCUUUUGGAGCCCCGGUUCUAAGCUGUAAAGCAUGCCGCACUGAAUGAGGGAGUAAUCAUCAGCACGUGACUGCCAAGCGUUCAUAAUGUCUUGGUUCUCUAGGAUGGGUGCUUCACCUAGCGGUCCUUCAAGGACAUAUGCUUUCUUGGCAGCUAUGAGGAUGAUCCUCAGGUUCCGGACCCAGUCCGUAUAGUUGCUGCCAUCAUCUUUCAGCUUUGUUUUCUCUAGGAACGCGUUGAAGUUCAUGUUGACAUGAGCGUUGGCCAUUUGAUCUACAAGACAUAUUUUGCAAAGAUUUUAGACUAAGUUCAUGAUAAUUUAGUUCAUCUAAUCAAAUUAUUUAAUGAACUCCCACUCAGAUUUGACAUCCCUCUAGUCAUCUAAGUGUUUACAUGAUCAGAGUCGACUAGGCCGUGUCCGAUCACCACGUGAGACGGACUAGUCAUCAUCGGUGAACAUCACCAUGUUGAUCAUAUCUUCCAUACGGCUCAUGUUCGACCUUUCGGUCUCUGUGUUCCGAGGCCAUGUCUGUACAUGCUAGGCUCGUCAAGUUAACCCUAAGUGCUUUUGCAUGUGUAAAACUGUAUUACACCCGUUGUAUGUGAACGUAAGGAUCUAUCACACCCGAUCAUCACGUGGUGCUUCGGAACGACGAACUUUAGCAACGGCGCACAGUUAGGGGGAACACUUUCUUGAAAUUAUUAUAAGGGAUCAUCUUAUUUACUACCGCCGUUCUAAGUAAACAAGAUGCAUAAACAUAAUAAACAUCACAUGCAAUUAUAUAGUAGUGACAUGAUAUGGCCAAUAUCAUAUAGCUCCUUUAAUCUUCAUCUUCGGGGCUCCAUGAUCAUCUUCGUCACCGGCAUGACACCAUGAUCUCCAUCAUCGUGUCCCCAUGAAGUUGCUCACCAACUAUUACUUCUACUACUAUGGCUAACGAUUUAGCAAUAAAGUAAAGUAAUUAUGUGGCGUUAAAUCAUUGACACGCAGGUCAUACAAUAAUUAAGACAACUCCUAUGGCUCCUGCCGGUUGUCAUACUCAUCGACAUGCAAGUCGUGAUUCCUAUUACAAGAACAUGAUCUCAUACAUCACAAUAUAUCAUUUAUUAUUCAUCAGAACUUUUGGCCAUAUCACAUCACAUAGCAAUUGCUGCAAAAACAAGUUAGAUGUCCUCUAAUUGAUGUUGCAUCUUUUACGUGGCUGCAAUUGGGUUCUAGCAAAAAUGUUUUCUUACUUGCGAAUAACCACAACGUGAUUUUGUCAACUUCUAUUUACCCUUCAUAAGGAACCUUUUCAUCGAAUCCGCUCCAACGAAAGUGGGAGAGACAGACACCCGCUAGGCACCUUAUGCAACUAGUGCAUGUCAGUCGGUGGAACCUGUCUCACGUAAGCGUAUGUGUAAGGUCAGUCCGGGCCGCUUCAUCCCACAAUACCUCUGAAGCAAAAUAAGACUAGUAGUGGCAAGCAAGUUGACAAGAUCUACGCCCACAACAGAUUUGUGUUCUAUUCAUGCAAUAGAGAACUACGCAUAGACCUAGCUCUGAUACCAUUGUUGGGGAACGUUGCAUAAAAUAAAAAAAUUCCUACAUUCACUAAGAUCAAUCUAUGAGUUCAUCUAGCAACGAGAGAGAAGAGUGCAUCUACAUACCCUUGUAGAUCGUGUGCGGAAGCGUUCAAGAGAACGGGGUUGAGGGAGUCGUUCUCGUCGUGAUCCAAAUCACCGGAGAUCCUAGCGCCGAACGGACGGCACCUCCGCGUUCAACACACGUAUGGUCAGCGUGACGUCUCCUCGUUCUUGAUCCAGCAAGGGGGAAGGAGAGGUUGAUGAAGAUCCAGCAGCACGACGGCGUGGUGGUGGAUGCAGCAGGGCUCCGGCAGGGCUUCGCCAAGCAACAACGGGAGGGAGAGGUGUAGCAGGGAUGGGAGGGAGGCGCCAGGGUGUUGGGUGCGGCUGCCCUCCCACCCCCCUCUUUAUAUAGGGACCCCAGGGGGGGCGCCGGCCCUAGAGAUGGGAUCUCUAGGGGGAGCGGCGGCCAAGGGGGGUGGAGUGCCCCCCAAGGCAAGUGGAGGCGCCCCCUCCCCUAGGGAUCCCAACCCUAGGAGCAGAGGGGGGCCCAGGGGGGCGCACCAGCCCACUAGGGGCUGGUUCCCCUCCCACUUCAGCCCAUGGGGCCCUCCGGGAUAGGUGGCCCCACUAGGUGGACCCCCGGGACCCUUCCGGUGGUCCCAGUACAAUACCGGUGGACCCCGAAACUUUCCCGGUGGCCGAAACUCGACUUCCCAUCUAUAAUUCUUUACCUCCGGAACUCCUCGUGACAUCCGGGACUACGAACAACUUUCAGUUUGCUGCAUACUCAUAUUCAUACAACCCUAGCGUCACCGAACCUUAAGUGUGUAGACCCUACGGGUUCGGGAGAUAUGCAGACAUGACCGAGACGGCUCUCCGGUCAAUAACCAACAACAUGAUCUGGAUACCCAUGUUGGCUCCCGCAUACUCCUCGAUGAUCUCAUCGGAUGAACCACGAUUUCGAGGAUUUUGGCAACCCCGUAUACAAUUCCCUUUGUCAAUCGGUACGUUACUUGCCCGAGAUUCGAUCGUUGGUAUCCCAAUACCUCGUUCAAUCUCUUUACCGGCAAGUCACUUUACUCGUAUCGUAAUGCAUGAUCCCGUGACCAGACACUUGGUCACUUUGAGCUCAUUAUGAUGAUGCAUUACCGACUGGGCCCAGAGAUACCUCUCCGUCAUACGGAGUGACAAAUCCCAGCCUCGAUCUGUGUCAACCCAACAGACAGUUUGGGAGACACCUGUAGUGCACCUUUAUAGUCACCCAGUUACGUUGUGACGUUUGGUACACCCAAAGCACUCCUACGGUAUCCGGGAGUUACACGAUCUCAUGGUCUAAGGAAAAGAUACUUGACAUUGGAAAAGCUCUAGCAAACGAACUACAUGAUCUUUGUGCUAUGCUUAGGAUUGGGUCUUGUCCAUCACAUCAUUCUCCAAAUGAUGUGAUCCCGUUAUCAAUGACAUCCAAUGUCCAUAGUCAGGAAACCAUGACUAUCUGUUGAUCAACGAGCUAGUCAACUAUGGGCUCACUAGGCACAUGUUGUGGUCUAAGUAUUCACACGUGUAUUACGAUUUCCGGAUAAUACAGUUAUAGCAUGAAUAAAAGACAAUUAUCAUGAACAAGGAAAUAUAAUAAUAAUCCUUUUAUUAUUGCCUCUAGGGCAUAUUUCCAACAGAAACAGAGAGAGACAGAGAGAUAGAUCCAAUCUCGGAGGGGCUCUCGCCCCUCCCAAGCCAUGGGAGCCAAGAACCAAAGGGGAAACCCUUCUCCCAUCUAUGGAGGAGGUCAAGGAAGAAGAAGAAGAAGGGGGCCCCUCUCCCCCUUGCUUCCGGUGGUGCCGGAACGCUGCCGGAGGCCAUCAUCAUCACCGUGAUCUUCACCAACUCUUCACCGCCUUGUAAACCCUCUCUUACCCGUUGUAAUCUCUACUUAAACAUGGUGCUCAAUGCUAUAUAUUAUUUCCCAAUGAUGUACGGCUAUCCUAUGAUGUUUGAGUAGAUCCUUUUUGUCCUAUCGGUGAUUGAUGAAUUGCUACGGUUGGUUUGAAUUGCAUGUUUUAUUAUUGGUGUUGUCCUAUGGUGCUCUCCGUGUCGCGCAAGCAUGAGGGAUUCCCACUGUAGGGUGUUGCAAUAUGUUCAUGAUUCACUUAUAGUGAGUUGCUUGAGUGACAGAAGCACAGACCCGAGUAAGUAGGUUGUUUGCGUAUGUGAUAAAGGGGACUUGAUACGUUAAUGCUAUGAUUGGGUUUUACCUUAAUGAUCUUUAGUAGUUGCGUAUGCUUGCUAGAGUUUCAAUCAUAAGUGCAUAUGAUUCAAGAAGAGAAAGUAUGUUAGCUUAUGCCUCUCCCUCAAAUAGAAUUGCAAUAGUGAUUACCGGUCUAGUAACGUAGUCAAUUGCUUACGGACAAUUUCACAACUCCUACCACCACUUUUCCACACUCGCUUUAUUUACUUUAUUGCUUCUUUAUCUAAACAGCCCCUAGUUUUUAUUUACGUGCUCUUUAUUAUCUUGCAAACCUAUCCAACAACACCUACAAAGUACUUCUAGUUUCAUACUUGUUCUAGGUAAAGCGAACACUAAGUGUGCGUAGAGUCGUAUUAGUGGCAGAUAGGGCUUGAGAGGAUAUUUGUUCUACCUUUAGCUCCUCGUUGGGUUCGACACUCUUACUUAUCGAAAGAGGCUACAACUAUCCCGUAUACUUGCGGGUCAUCAAUUUGUUUCCUCGUUGACAAAAGUUGGAUAUCUUAAAGUGGUGGGAGAUUCACUCCCCAAAGUAUCUAGUGCUCGCAGCUAUAGCACGGGACAUAUUGGCAGUGCCCACUUCUACCGUGCCUGUAGAGGCUGCAUUCAACAAUGCUGGAAGGCUCAUUAGUGAUCAAAGAAGUAGUUUGAUCCCGAGUACUAUCGAGACGCUGAUGUGCCUCGAGGAUUGGCUUAGAGCUGCUCGUAAUAUGCUUUCAAUUAUUUUUCCCAUUCUCCAUUUAAUACUUUCCAUGUUGAAUGUUUCAUUUUGAAUGCCUUUAACAUUGCAGAUCGCCAAAAGGCGGAGCCAACACUUGGAGACUAUGGUGGUGAUCAAGACAAUGCUGGAACAACCUAGGUAAUUCGGCUACUUGUACAUUGCACUUUAGUACAAUCAUUCUUUGUUGUCUUGGGGUAAUAUUUUAACUCAAUAGGACAUGGAUGAUGACUGAUCUUUCAUUGUAUUGACAUGAAGUACUAGUUGAGGUUACAAUACAUUUGUUCUUUGGACUGGAAGCACAAAUAAACAGUUUAUUCAUGUCUCUUGUACCUUAUAAUUCUCAGUUUUCUAUCUACAGAAUCUGCUUUGAAUAUUUAUAGAUUUUUUUUCUUUGGACCAUGCUGGAACCACCUUAAGGUACAUCAGACUCCAUUUUGUUAUUCUUGCAUUAAAAUAGUAGACGAUUGAUAUUCUGAAGGUUUCACAUACCUGUUACCAAGGCUCUAAUAUUUUCAUUGCCAAACUACAGUAGCUUAAUUAUAAGGCUAUCUUUCAUCCUCGUAUAAAAUGUAUUCUAUUGUUUCACUGUUGUCUCCGUCUGUACUGCCGACGUAUUAUGCAUCCAUCUUUCCAUGUUUCGGGGACUAGCAUUUGUUUUCCUAAUUGGCUAAUUGAGGUGACCAUGUUCAUCCCCUCAGGUUCUAUGAGUUUCUGGGACCAUGGGCAGAGGCUUUCUUUAUUGGUGAUUUGUGGGCUCUUUCAUGGGUCGUGCUGUUGGAUGCUUCCUCGCAUGAUGUGAAGAAAGAUGGUGUCGCCCUGUUCAGAGCAUAUAGCUAUAUAGCCUUGUCAACUUUUCCAUUUGUGAUGUAUUAUGUAUUUACAUAUUUUACUUUUUUUAGAUGUAAUGUGUUUUCACAUAUUUAUAGUAAUUUUUGUGUGAUGUUAGUGUCAAGUUUACCAUUGUUGUACAAUCUUGUGGCAUGUAUCAUGAACCGAAGCUAUAUUUAGAUGCUUUUCAUUAGUAUUGUAGCUUAAAUAACUUGCAAGCAAGUCCGUCUACAGCCUGCAGUUGAUGAACUGGAAAUACGUAUACUUUUCUUAUGUGGGAACCCACUUAUUCCCACUUAAUCCUUCAUACUUCUAGUGGGCUGUCCAUUAGUGCCCGUCAACCAAUGGUGGGAAUAGGUGGAGUUGUGGUGGGACGCCCACAUGCAGUCCCACCUGCAGCCUGACACCUAGCUCUGAAAGUCAAAACGCUGAAGUUUCACAUGUAGAUCGCUACUACUAGAUUGAACAGCGUGUUGACUUCCUCCAUUUUCAACUUCCUAAAAUGGAUUGGGUUUCAAGCACGAUGCAACAAAUCAGGUACAGAGACUAAGAAUCAAUCAUGUACAGAGAGUAGAAUCAAUCAUGGCGAGAAUCUUAAUCCUUUGGUUAACAAGUUGAACAAAAAAGAGAAAGAAUGGAUGGAGGGGGAAAGGACGUUGGACGAGAGUUCAUACCUGCAGAGGCGGAUCUCAGGUCGGCGAGGGUGGCACGAAUCGGUCCGGCGAGCCGCGCGCUGCUCAGGGGUGGUGCAAGAUCCGGCGAGACGCGUGGUGCUCAGGGGCGGAGAACGGCGAGGGAGAAGAGGGGCGGCCGGAAGAGCAGUGCGUCGCCGACGGGCCGGUAGCUCAAACCCUAUCCUCGCAAGAAGUCGGCACUAUGCCGCUGUCGAUGGUGAGGUGGGUGGCCUGCCCUGUAAUCGCUAGAUGGGUGAGGUGGGAUCCCAUCGAGCUAAACUAGACAGCCCACUAAACUUUUUUGUUGUCCCACGGGUGCCCACUAAGAGCAUCUCCAGCGGUUGGCCCCCCAGGGGGCGCGUAAAAUCGCCGCCUGGGGGCGUGCCGGCACUAAAAAUCAGCGUGGGGGCGAGUGGGUUCCAAGCCGCCGAUCCCAGGGCCGCCCCUAGACGCCGUUUAUGUUUAAAAAAAUGAAUUCAGCAAAGUUUGGCAAACUGGACAAACAAUUCGGCUAAAAUUCGGCAAAGUGGGCAUAUAUUCGACAUGUUAGACAUUACAUAGCAAAGUUAUUUAAAAAACGCCGCAACUACAACUUAAGGGCCGAAGAAGUCGCUGAGCGUGGCGAAGUCGUCGACGUCGCCACCAUCCUCGCCGCUGUCAUCUUCAUUGUCGGCCUUCUCCUCCUUGACGCUGCCGCCCCUGCUGGACCCCUGCCCGGCGUCGCCCUGGCGGACCGGUGGCGCAUCAUCGUCGAGGACGAUGACGCUUCCCUCGUCGCGGCCCCGGUGUCGAGUUUCGAACUGCUCUAGGGCGCGGCACUAGCGCUCCAUUUCCAUGCGCGCCCAGUCAUCGCGCGCCCAUUUCAGGGCCGCCGCGUUGUCGAGCUCCCCGCUUGCGAUCCCGGGCUCCGUCUUCACAGCGGCGUGCCCCGGCUCCGAUUUCACGGCGGCGAGCCCCAGCUCCGUCUUCGGUUUGACGUAGCAUGAAGGAGCUGAGGAGGAGGCGCGUCGGCCGCCCUCAUUGAUGACAAUGCCGGUGCUGUGGGUGCGCCGGCCGAGCGGCGUCUUCGCUGCGGGUUCGGCCUUGACGCCUGAUAACCCGCAAGUAUACAGGAUAGUUGUAGCCUCUUUCGGUAAGUAAGAGUGUCGAACCCAACGAGGAGCUAAAGGUAGUACAAAUACUCUCUCAAGUCCUAUCGGCCACUGAUACGACUCUACGCACGCUUGACGUUCGCUUUACCUAGAACAAAUAUGAAACUAGAAUUACUUUGUAGGUGUUGUUGGAUAGCUUUGCAAGAUAAUAAAGAACACGUAAACAAAAAGUAGGGGUUGUUUAGAUAAAGAUGCAAUAAAGUAAAUAUAGCGACUGUGGAAAAGUGGUGAUAGGAGUUGUGGAAUUGUCCCUAAGCAAUUGACUAUGUUACUAGACCAGUAAUCAGUAUUGCAAUUCUAUUUGAGGGAGAGGCAUAAGUUAACAUACUUUCUCUACUUGGAUCAUAUGCACUUAUGAUUGGAACUCUAGCAAGCAUCCGCGACUAGUAAAGAUUCAUUAAGGUAAAACCCAACCAUAGCAUUAAAGUAUCAAGUCCCCUUUAUCCCAUACGCAACAAUCCCCUUACUCGGGUUUGUGUUUCAGUCACUCACGCAACCCACUAUAAGCGAAUCAUGAACGCAUUGCAACACCCUACAGCAGGAAUCCCUCAAGCUUGCGCGACACGGAGGGCACAAUAGUACAACACCAAUAAUAAAACAUGCAACUCAAACCAAUCAUAGCAAUUCAUCAACCACCAAUAGGACAAUGAAAAUCUACUCAGACAUCAUAGGAUGGCAACACAUCAUUGGAAAAUAAUAUGAAGCAUAAAGCACCAUGUUCAAGUAGAGGGUACAGCAGGUUGCGGGAGAGUGGACCGCUGUAGAUAGAGGGGGGAAGGUGAUGGAGAUGGUGGUGAAGAUGGCGGAGGUGUUAGUGAAGAUCGCAGUGAUGAUGAUGGCCCCCGACGGCGUUCCGGCGCCACCAAAGGCAAGGAGGAGAGAGCCCCCCUUCUUCUUCUUCUUCCUUAACCUCCUCCCUAGAUGGGAGAAGGGUUUCCCCUCUGGUCCUUGGCUCCCAUGGCGUGGGAGGGGCGAGAGCCCCUCCGAUAUUGGAUCUAUCUCUCUGUUUCUGCGUUUCCAGAUUCUGCCCCUUCACCGUUUCUUUUAUAUCCGGAGAUCCGUAACUCCGAUUGGGGUGAAUCUUUCGCCCAGAUUUUUCUCAUAAAAUUAGCUUUCUUGCGGCAAAAGAAGAGCGUCAGCCCCCUUACGGGUGGCCCACGAGAGUGCUAGGCGUGCCCAGGGGGAGGGCGCGCCCCCUGUCUCGUGGCCACCUCGGGCACCGUUUCGCGUUGAUUCUUCCUCCGGAAAAUCCCAAAUAUUCCAAAAUAAUUCUCCGUCUGUUUUUAUCCCGUUUGGAUUCCGUUUGAUAUUGAGUUUCUGUGAAACAUAAAACAUGCAACAAACAGGAACUCGCACUAGGCACUGGAUCAAUAUGUUAGUUCCAAAAAUAGUAUAAAAAGUUGCCAAAAGUAUAUGAAAGUUGAAUAAUAUUGGCAUGGAACAAUCAAAAAUUAUAGAUACGACGGAGACGUAUCAACGCCGAAAACCGCCGGCGAGCCAGAAGAAUGGGAAGAAGAGCGAGAGGAGGAGUGAGAGGAGGAAGUCGAGGAGGAGCCGAACCUCCUGGGCAUCCAUUGCCCGACGCUCCGGCGGGGGACCGGGGCGGCCACCGUGGCCGGGUAUGCCAGCGGUGGGUCAUUGCUGCCCUCGAGGUACUGCAGCACGUCGUGGAGCGAGCGGCGGCCGAAGCCGUUGGCCACCACCGCGUCGCCGGGGAACCGCGCGGCCAUCGAGCGGGCUUGGGAGAGAGGGGAGGGAAGAAGCGUCGGCAGACAGGUGCGCAUGGGGAGAGAGGCAGAGCUCGGCGGCGGUCGACAGUCGGCGGGCGGCUGUGGGCUGGUGUGGCCAGAGGCGAGGGAGGCCACUGGUUUAUAUAGCCCCGCGCCGUGUGUAUGCAUGGCGGGAGGGAAGGCGUCGCCGCGCCGCCCGUGACGCGCCGCCCGUGAUGAGAAAUCAAUGGCAAGGCUGACCGGCAGCAGCCUUGCCAUUGAUUAUACGCGGGAAACCGAGGCGUUCCGACGACGACGAGGCGCGUGUCGCUGACUCGGCGGGCCCGCGGCUCUUUCGUGCAAAAACCACUCGCACCGGUGCCCCCAGCGCACCGAGUUUGGCCUGUGUCCGCUAGCGCUAAUUUCGGCCCAAGCCGGCGAAAAACGGGCUCCUACAGGCACGACUAGGCCGCUUUUUCGACGUGGGCGCAAAAAAAUCACGUGAGGAGCCGUGUUGAGGGAGCAACUAGUUUACGAGCGCUCCUUCGGAGCGCUCGUAACGAGCGGUUCAGGAGCGCCCCGCGCGUGACAAGUGUCACGCGUGGAGUGAUCCUGCCAGGGAAAAGUAGGUGGCGCGGAUGGUUCCCGGUUUUCCCUUUCCGGUUUGUGGUUUCGUGCAUUUUGCACUUUGACCCUCAUACUACCACAUUUUUCCGUUUUCCCUUUCCACGCGAAACACAAAAAAAAAUACGACUUCGCGCGCUUCGUUCCCUGUUUCCCUUUUUUGUUUCCCUUUCUAUUCCCAUUAUAUUUCCGGGUAAUGGAGAUUUAUGGGGUAGUUACGGGCAGGGACUACCAACACUAUCAGAUGUGACCUUUCAAGUAACGAAAAAACAACUUUUUAAUGUAAAAUGACAGUGUUCAGAAUUGUUCCAUCGUGUGACUUCUUUAUAGGCACAGGUGAACACUAGGAGAGGCACGGGUGUACAACUUUACUAAAUUGAAGAAAAACGUGAUGGUUUGUGCAGCGUGCUGGUUCGUGCGGUGCAUUGUCCGUCGCGGUGUGACACGGCGCCUCCGGCACAAGGGAACCUCCUGCUCGCCUUCGGCUCGUUUAAUUUUCAUAAACAUCUUGAAGGGGGGGCAUAGGUCGAAGUGUGUGUUGGGUCGUGCAGUGUGCUGGUUCGUGUGGCGCAUUGUCUAUCACGGUGUGACACGGCGCCUCCGGCGCGAGGGAACCUCCUGCUGGCCUUCGGCUCGUUUAAUUUUCAUAAACAUCUUGAAGGGGGGGCAUAGGUCGAAGUGUGUGUUGGUCGAAGUGUGUGUUGGGUCGUGCAGNNNNNNNNNNNNNNNNNNNNNNNNNNNNNNNNNNNNNNNNNNNNNNNNNNNNNNNNNNNNNNNNNNNNNNNNNNNNNNNNNNNNNNNNNNNNNNNNNNNNNNNNNNNNNNNNNNNNNNNNNNNNNNNNNNNNNNNNNNNNNNNNNNNNNNNNNNNNNNNNNNNNNNNNNNNNNNNNNNNNNNNNNNNNNNNNNNNNNNNNNNNNNNNNNNNNNNNNNNNNNNNNNNNNNNNNNNNNNNNNNNNNNNNNNNNNNNNNNNNNNNNNNNNNNNNNNNNNNNNNNNNNNNNNNNNNNNNNNNNNNNNNNNNNNNNNNNNNNNNNNNNNNNNNNNNNNNNNNNNNNNNNNNNNNNNNNNNNNNNNNNNNNNNNNNNNNNNNNNNNNNNNNNNNNNNNNNNNNNNNNNNNNNNNNNNNNNNNNNNNNNNNNNNNNNNNNNNNNNNNNNNNNNNNNNNNNNNNNNNNNNNNNNNNNNNNNNNNNNNNNNNNNNNNNNNNNNNNNNNNNNNNNNNNNNNNNNNNNNNNNNNNNNNNNNNNNNNNNNNNNNNNNNNNNNNNNNNNNNNNNNNNNNNNNNNNNNNNNNNNNNNNNNNNNNNNNNNNNNNNNNNNNNNNNNNNNNNNNNNNNNNNNNNNNNNNNNNNNNNNNNNNNNNNNNNNNNNNNNNNNNNNNNNNNNNNNNNNNNNNNNNNNNNNNNNNNNNNNNNNNNNNNNNNNNNNNNNNNNNNNNNNNNNNNNNNNNNNNNNNNNNNNNNNNNNNNNNNNNNNNNNNNNNNNNNNNNNNNNNUCGAGAGUCACGCGUAAGGGUAUGUGUGUUUAUGGAUAUUGCCCGGAGGCAUGGUGACUCAGGGUUUGGCGGCACAAGGCCAUGUCGCCUCUAGAGGCACGGGACGGUGCUUUCGAGAGUCACGCGUAAGGGUAUGUGUGUGUAUGGAUAUUGCCCGGAGGCAUGGUGACUCAGGGUUUGGUGGCACAAGGCCAUGUCGCCUCUGGAGGCACGGGACGGUGCUUUCGAGAGUCACACGUAAGGGUUCAUUUUGGGAGUCACUGCUGUAGUACAAACAAGAAGAGGCAUUGUUGUUUAUAGUUUAAUGGCACUGUCUUAUGAUGUAAGAGGCACUGUGUCAAAAUAGUUCUCUUUUCAACAUGAACACGCAAUUUUUAACUACAUUGCAUAUAAAUGUGAGUUAUUGACAAACUGUUUUCUCACAUCUAGAUAGAAUUAGCCUCUCAGGCUAAAUCAAAAGUUUUACUCUUCAUUUUUGCUUAAGAUCUUGCUAAUCUCGUCACCCCUUUCACUACCUUUGACUUGAUUCAUCUCGCUAUUUAAGAGAAUGUAAAUUGCCUCUGCCCUCCAGUCUUUGACCUCAUCCUGUGAAAUUUUACCGAGAAGAGAAGUAUAUUAUUAGAGUUUUUGCAUAUAAGCUAUUUAUAAGUAAAUAUGUAUAAACUUACUGUCAAAUCUUCCAGGUCUUCGACAAACUUUUCACCAUUGUAGAGGAAUGCAAGCUUUAAAACAGCAAAUGUUGAUUCUCCCUUUUCUACCACUGGAACUUCUUGCACGGUAUGAGUCUGCCAUCUUGUACCCUUGGGAUUCAGUGUUUGUCCUAGUAUGAUGUUGAAGACUUCUUUAAACCUAGGUACCUGGGAAUAUUGCAUUUUGUAAUUAAUUGUUUUAAUAUUGCAACUUGUAAAACUGAAAAAAUUGUUAUGUAUAAAUGCUUACGAUUGCCAACUUAUGAACAUAAUAUUCUUGAAACUGUCUUUCUCUUUCUUCUUUAGCAUCUUCAUUUUCCUGAAGAACUCGACAUGCUUCUUCUUCUUCCAAUUCGUCGAUGUCUAUCUUUUCUUUCUCAAAUUCCUCGUGAGUCGUUUCUCGAGGAUCAAUAAUGUGAACUUUGUGUUUGUAUUUGUCUAGGGCAUAUAGUACAUAGCGGUCAAGCUUCUCCAUUAGAAUGAAUAUCUGCGUACAAAAUACUUGUUGCUUAGAUGACAGUUUAAUAUAAAGUAAUUUGAUAGAACACAUAUUUUGUGAUUUUUUCAUGGAAGAAAGGGUUGUUACCAUGUUUGCUGUUGAGAGCUUUUUUCGUUGAUUUUCCUUGAGAUACAUGGGAACCACCUGAUUCUUUGAUUUUUGCAAUUCAUUUUUAAAUUUAUUAAUACUAGUUGUGUGUUCGUUUAAACGCAAUAUAUGCUGCAAACAAUAUUUGUGAUGAAAAAACUGUUAGAAAAAAGAGCAACGUAACAAUAUAAAAAGAAACAAUAUAACACCAGACUUUGCUUUUUAAAAGUUUACCUCUGCAAAGUUUGGGCCUAAUAUUACUCUGUCACUCUAUUUUGAAUCUUGUCUGCUUUCCAAUAUUUCUGCUAUGUCAUCGAGGACCCUUUUUUCUAUAUGAUGUGGUAUGUUUGUCUGUGCUGGUCUUGGACCAAAUACUGCCUUGAGUUGGGCUCCAAUAAGUUGCGUGCUUUCACUGUCCCUGCGGAUGCGCCUAAAUAUAGUUUUGCUGCGACAGGGAGAUAAAAUAAUUUUCGAGGUCAUGGUUAGUGAGAAACAGAUUAUUGCAUUACUUUUGGCCUCUGUGCAAUUAUUUUGAGGUGCAAUAGAAAACAACUCACUUCUUGUAUUGAUGGAAGAGGUCGGACGCCUCCUUUGUGUGAUGGAAGCAAUGAGAAUGUUUUGGAUAUGGACUGGUUCUUUGUCUUUUUUUCCUUUUUGUUUCAUCCGUUUGUGUCAGCGGAAGCAGAUAUGUAAUAUGUAAGGUCUCGUGAUAUGAAAGACAUUGGUGAACCGAGGGAUGGGUAUGUUAUUACAAAAAAAAGAUAAGUAGAAAUGAUUUUCUUACCUUUGUUGGUGGAAAAGAACUUUGAAGUUUCUGGUUUGAAUUCUUUGAUUCUUCCAGGUAGUUGCUCCUAGUUUACUAGGUUUGUUUCACCAAAUAUGGCUGUAAAAAGGAACUCUGGUUUCCACUCGGCAUCUACGUUGCUUUGCUGCAAGGAGGUCAUCAGAUAUUCUUUUAUUUUUCUUUCAUGAGAUAAUUGAAGUAUUCAAGUAGUGCUGCUUGUAAAAAUUAAAUUUUUUGCUCUUGUACUAUUCACUUACAUUGAAAUCCUCAUCAUCUUUUAUGAGAUCAAUGCCAUUCCAGUAUUUUGCAAAUUGAACCAUGAAGUGUCCGCAUUGGCUACCCUGCUGUUUUGGCACGCAAACUCUGUUAGGUGUUUCUGCUAUCCUCGACCAGUUCGGUUCGUUGUUGGCUCGUAGCUCCGCUUCGCCGUAAUGCUUCUUCAUGAGUGCGUGCAUCCUUUUAAGCUGUGUUAUUAUUGGAUUUUGCCAUUAAUAAAGGGAAUGCAGGAAUUGGAAAACCAAUUAGAAAUCAAUGUUGAAUUGACGUACCAGUUCUUCGUGAUCCUUAUGGUGUGUUUUCCAUGUACUUUUUCCGUCUCCGUGUUUGUAAUUCAAUGAGUCAAGAAUGUCGAUGGAUUUCGUGUACUUGUUGAUCACGUACAAUGUGUAGUGUUUAGCUGUGUUGUGAGAUAUCAUAAUCUGCAGUGUUUGGAGACAGAGUGAGUUAAAGUUCAUUCUUGUCACGAGAAUCAAAUGACAUGUGAAUGUGCAAUCUGUAGGAAGAAUGAAUUAUGUUUCUAUAUUUCUAUGAACUUACUAGGUUUUUCUUUAAAAGUUCGUUCCCUGUUACAAGGGAUGCAAACUGGUCCAAUGCUCCUUCCUCAUUGAAUUCUGCUAGUCCUGCUUUUUCUCCAAUUUUAACACCGAGCAUGAUCUGCGACCAAAAUGUUUUCUACUUUUUAGUUCAAUCAUUGUAAUCACUGAAUUGAUGCAAGUGUUUUUUUCAAAUUGGACUUCAUACGUUUGCAAAUUCUGCGGGAAGUAUGGCUUUAUCGGUCGUGUUGUAUUGUUGCUGCACUGUCCAUUCGUCAAACUAUGCGUUUCCGAUGGAGCCCUCCAUCUGUGCAUGAUCUCCUUUCCAUAGCUGUUCCAUUGCUUGUUUUCCUGUGAUCCAAUCGGUUCACUUUGAGCUAAUAUAUAUGUUUAUAAUGCAAGCAGAAAAAGUUUAUACAUUAGUUAGGUUGGUUUAAAAAGGGGCAACAUUUCUUUGUUUUUUUGUUUAUGCAAGAGAAAGUACUUACUCUCCGCAUUCAUCUUGUCCUUCUUUGCCGAAUAGGUAUUCAUGGAGUGCUCUGGCUUUGUUCAUAAAUUUGAAAUCUCCUGGGACAAAAGCAGGAAUCAUGAUUUCUCCAAGGAGCCUUCUUGAAGGCUUUACCGGCCUUUUCUUGAUCGAGAUUUUCUUGUCUGGGCUGUUCUCGGAUGAUUGAGGCAUUGAACGUUCUCCUAACUCUUGCUGCAAGAUUGCCAGAUAGAGCUUGGGAUUUUUGUUGAAUUCAUAGCUUUCAUGCUCGGUCAGCCACGUUUUGAUUAAAUCGAAGUUAGAGCCCUUCUUUACAUGUUCGUUGUAUUCGUCUAGUUGUAGCGGGUUAAGGCUUGAAAGAAAUUCAUCAACUUCUUCCUGCGUUUCCAUUGUUUUUGGUUUUAGGAAGUCUAAAGAGAUGGUGCUGGAGGUGCCUUGCUGAUUGCUUGUCGAGCCUGUUUCUUCUUGAAGAAGAACAUGCUGUUUCUUCUGCUCGUAAACCUGUUGUUGUGUAUUUGGUACGUUGUUGCUUCUGUCAUCCUCUUUUAAAUCAGUGCUUGUUUGUUCCAGUUGCUCUGUGGUCGUGAUAUCGCUGUUGAUAUUUUGCUCGUCUGUUUCCUCUUUGGCAUCGUGUGGUAUCUUGUCGUCUGGUGGUGGUUGAUCUGGUUCUAUUGGUGGAUCAUUUUGUUCGUGGUCUGUGCAAGAUUGUUGGGCGACGGCGUGGCUGCUGACAUCCAUAAUAUCUUUGCGUUUACUGGAUAUAUCAAUAACUUCAUGCUCUUGUGUGGUUGUCGCAUGCAUAAUAUGUUCUUUUGGCCCGGGAGUUGGCGGAAACUCUUCUAGUACGCAACAUUUUGCCUGUUGCAUUUCUUUGUCUUCCAUAUCUACUUCAUAUUUUAGCAUAUCUGUAAAACAAUAAAAAAUAUAUUACUUCUUCUAGUGUUACAAAACUGUAAGAUUUAGUUUCUGAAAAGACUAACCUGUUGUACACUUGAUUAGUGACAUUUUUGUAUUCCCUCUGUGUUGAAUGAUUAGUUGAUAUAGAACCUUUUUCCUCAAUUUCGUACUUGCUCUAGCUUUAAGGUUGCUGUUGUUCCAUCACUGGAGUAGUGCUUCAGGUUCAUGUACAUAUAGAAUGCGCAGUCCAUUCUGCAUCUAGAGGAAUGGUACUGGUAAGAUUGUUGCAUUCAAGAAACGGAAAGAAGAGAAAAGUUUGAGCAAUGGUAGUGGUAAUUGUUGUAUUGAAAAGACGAAAGGACAAAAUUAUUUCAGUAAUUGUAGUAUUGAAUCUUGCAUUGAAAAAAAGAAAUGAGUGAAGUUGUUGGAAGUGCUUACGUGUCUUCUCCUUGUAGUGGCACCUGGAGUCUGACCUUUUUGUAAUGGUCGAUGUUUUUUUCUAAAAGCUGUAGCUCUAUACUUAUGUGCUUCCAGAUUUUCAUUAGUUUGGUGGUUACAUUGUUGAAGAAUUCUAUUGUGCCUGGAUAUGCAGUUGAAGAGUCAAGGAGUUCAAAGAACUAUUUUUGCAGGUUAACUGUGAUGGUGAAGUAGUGACUUAUAGUUUCGUCUUGCUCAAACCCGCACAAUGAACAUGGUAGAAGGAACUGCAAAAUACAAAAUAAAAAGAAAACAUUUCGAAAUCUUCUUAUAUUUAGAAACAUAAAAUAAAAAGACAACUUUGCAUAAAAUAUACGCAAUUUGUGUUUUGUUUUUGAAACAGCUGAUCUCCUUACCAUGUUAUAAUCUUGCAGUUUUUCUCCUUCUUGCAUGUUGAAAAAUGAUCUAAGCCUUGCAGGUAGUAAUUUUUUGUAAUGUGUUGUUGAUCGUUAUUUUCAUAGCACAUUGGAUCUUCGUCGUCGGCUUCCCUUAUUGAGUGCUGCUUGUUUCGUCACAUAUAGACAAAGGGAAUUUGUCAGUUCAGCUAUAGGGGAAGUUUAUCGAUUUAUAAAGUCAUAUAUAGUGUUUUAAACGUGAUUCUUUUGCCGUGAUAUUUACUUAAAGUGUUGCUUAACUACAGAAUGUUUCUCCGUGUGCCAUUGAGUUGUUUUCUCAAGAUUGUUAGCAUGGGCUCUAUUGCUUCGGUGCGUACUGAUUUACCGACCUUGAAGCUUUCGGAUACAUGUCCUAGAUUUACAUCAAACUUGUCCAUUGUAAUGAAAAGCUGAUCCCUGCAAAGUAUAUUUAGAAAAAUGUUUUGGUUCACACAUGAUACAGUCAAAAUGAUCGUGUGUAACAAUGCUUUCUGUGUUAGUUGCAUGAACUUACAUUUCUCUCUUUGUCCAUGGCUUGCAUACAGCAUUGUACAGAUCUUCGAUGGCUUUGUUGACGGAAUCACUAUCUUUGCCCCCUUUCUCCACUGUGCCUGCGAAGAUUUUGAAUUUAAUAUAAAUAAUUCCAAGUCACAAAGAUCACAAGAUAGCAAUUAUGUUUCUAUUGUCUUGCCUGGUUCGAUGCUGGAAGAUAUGUCCUGUCGAGUGUUGUUCCUUUCUUGUUCUCCUUCUGCUUCCUGCGGCAUGUUUUGUUCUUCUUUUUGCGUUGUACCCUUUUGUUCAGUUUCUUCUCCAUCCUUAUUUGAGUCGUAUGUGAUUUUCUUAGCAUCAUGUUUUUCCUUGUCAACCGUUAUGUCUUGCUGGUAGUUUUUUCCGUCUUGUUUUUCAGUCUCGACCUAGAUGGCACUGACAUGUCUGCAAGGGGAAUUGGCAUUCUGGUUCUUUCUAUGGAACAAUUUGUGUGCUUGCUUCAUUGGUUGUAUCUCCGUGGUUGCCUUCUUCGUGUUUCUGUGUUGUCUUUUAAAAAGCAUUGAAAUAAUUUAACUUGCCACUUUAUUUUAAUUAUAGCAGCUGUGAUGGGAAAAUAGCGAAGCGUUUGGUGCGUGCUUUGAGCUAUUUUGAUUGUGAUUAAGUUGUCAUUUUGUGGAAACAUUUCGUGCAACUUCACCUGUUGAGCUGUCGUUGGUGAUGCUCACUGUUCCACCCGUUCUUCGUUGGGUGUUGUUUCUUGGGUACCGUCUUGUUCUUUGUUUUGGUGAACAUCGUCACUAUCAUGGUUUUUGUCUUGCAGCUGUUCAAUCAUAAAGGUGGUAAGUUUCAGCCAUGGAACUACUUUAUAUUUUCGUAGAAUCAGCUUAUGUAACUUUACCUUCUCAGUCGUUGCUGUUUCUGUUGUCUCUGCUGCUGUUCUCGUUGCUGCUGCUGACUAUUGUGCUUGUUCUUUGUUGAGUGGAGGUUUUUGGGCAUCUUCCUGUUCUGUCUUUUGGAGUUCAUCGCCGCUGCCGUUGUUUUUGUCUUGUAGCUUUUGAAACACACAGGUGGCUAAGUGGCAGUGCAUUUGAGCUUCAACAGAGCUAUUUUAUACUUUCAGAGGAUCAACUUAUGUAACUUUACCUUUUCAGUCGUUGUCGCUACUGCCGUCUCUGCUGCGGUUUUUUUGGUGAGUGAAUAUUUUGGUGCUUGGUCUUAUUUGACGUUGAUGUCUGUCGUUUGAAGAACAUUUUGCCCUUCUUUUGUGGCCUCCUUUUCCUCAUCUGUCUCCUCUCUCUGUGAUCGAGGAAAGUAGUGAAAUGUGAAAUGCGUAUUUUUGAACUAUAAGAUAAUUCAUAGGUAUUAUGUGUUUUCACCUCUGUACUUGUUACUGCUGAUUGUUCUAUGUGUUCUUCGCGUGGUGUUUUUGGGUCCUUCUCUUGCUCUUUUUUUGCUGUUCAUCGUCAGUGACCUUGUUUUUUCUUACAGCUGUUCAAAUAUAGAGGUGGCAAAGUGAGAGUGCAUUGGAGUGAGUAUAGGUGUGGUAGGUUGGAGUUUAUUUGAUUGUGCAUGCUGCAAUUUUAUAAUUUCAUGCUUGCAAGUUUUGUAACUUUACCUUUUCAAUUGUUGACGCUGGCGCUGACUCUGGCAGCUGUUGUUUGGUGAUUGAAUUUUUGGUGGCUUGGUCUUCAGUGGCAUUAUUGUCUAUCGUUUGAUGAACAUGUUCGGGUUGUUCAUUGGGCUCCUCUGGUUGUGUUUGAUGGUCUUGAUUGUUGGUGCUCUCCUGAGCUUCUUGUGCCUACACCAACACAAAAAGUAUUUAAGAAAUGGUGCAUCUCUGAUUGUUGAGUUACAAUUUUUUUAUAAGACCUCUUUCUCUGGAUUUGCAAGACUGUCUCCUGCUGGAACUAUGGCUUCUCCUUGUCUCGUUUUGUCCUCUAAUUUUUCUUGUUCAAUGUUUAUGCGAGUUCUUUCGCUUGCUUUCUCUUCCUGUUCAAUAAAAAAUGAAAUUAUAGUUUGAAGUUCAUUUGUGCCUCAACUUUGUAACCUCACCUCUUCAGAUGUUGUUGUUUGAAGUUCUGUGUGUUUUCCAGUUUCCUUUGGUUGCGCUGCUUCUUGAUCUUCGAGAUCAAUGUACUUGUUUGUUUCCUGCAUUUGUUCAAAGAAAAGGGUCAGGCAUCCCUUAUAAUCGUUGUAUUGCGGUGGUGGGGUGUAUUUCGUAGUUCAAACAUCAUAAAUGGUUUGAAAAGGGUUUGUUGUUGAUUUUUUACCUCUGUGUUGAUGACUGGGUUAUUUGUGCCUGCAUCGACUGUUUGUUUGCCAGGUAUAACAGUCUCUAGUUCCUCAUGGGCUUGGAUGUCUUGGGUUUUCUCCUUUGUACUCGUGAUGGUGAUCUGCAAUGUCGUGGCACUGGAAAUCUCUUGUGCACAAACUUCCUGUUCUGGUGACUCCUUCGUCUGUUUGAGGUUCACUAUGGGGUUCAAUUUCAACACUGGUUGUCUCUUGGUCUUGCAGUGAUUGUGAUACCUAGAGUUCAAACAAUAUGAGUUUGUGGUUCACUUUCCUUCCUGCCAUUAUGAGUUUCCGGUGUGGGGUGAAGUGGGCUGUGGAAUUUUACCUCAUCUUCGUUGUUUUCUUCUUCUUUGUCGUUUGUUAUGCUAACGGUUGAUUGUGGGUGAGCCUCCUGCAUUUGGUUGCCAGGACUGCUAACUUGAUUGUUCUCCAGCUGAGCCUAUAUUUUGUUGAAGGUUUGUCAGUUAACUUAUAACUCUAUCCAGUUUUGAAAGGGAAAAUGGAUGUUCAUACUGACCUCUUCACUGGUUAUGACCUCGAUCAUAUCUUGUGCUUGUGUUGGAGUAGUUGUUGUUGUAGCACUGUCUGUUGUGAGGUUGCUUUGUUUGUUGCGUUCGUUCUUGUUUUUGGGGUUGUUGACGCCAUCCUACUGUUGGAGUUCAUCUUGGCCUGGCGUGCUAUUGGUACGUUCCUGAAAGCAUUGACACAACUCUUUUGAGUUGAGGUAUGAAAACAGGGUUUUGCUUGCGGAUGGCACCAUGCAUUACUAUUUAUUUACCUGUUUUUUCCGCUUUAUCUUCUUCUUGUCAACGCCCACGUCCCUUGAUUUUGUUCUUCUCUUCCUCUCUUCAUCCUCUUCUUCUUUCUUACCUUUUCUCCUUUCUCUUUGUUCUGUUGUGGCUACUAUUUCAUUUGUGCGGCUGUCAUCGACUUGUCUACUUGAUGCUGCUGGAACUGCUUGCUCUAGCGUCUGCAGGGUCGUGUUGUCUAUGAGGUACCUUGUGCAAACUAUAUCCUAAAAUUGUCUGAGUUGUUCUAGAGAAUCCAUCAGGGCAAUUGUUUGUUGCACGACUUUGUCCUUGUUUUUUUCAUCCAAUAUCUCUUCUUUUUCGUUGCAUCGGUGUUUAGCCCUGGUGGUUACUGCGGGUAACUGUUCUGCUUCAUGGAGCACCUUUUCCAACAAUUUGUUUAUCCUUUGGAAUCUUUCUUCUGGUCCUAUGCUGAUGUUUUUGUUUGGUUCCGUGCUUCCACUAGUGCCGAUACGUGGUUCGCGCCGGCGCUUGGGUGGAGGUGGUAGCAGCUUGGUUGUGUGCUGGUGUUGCUGUUCUUUACGAUGUUCUCCUGCUAUCUGGUGAAUUGAAGACGAAGUUGAUGCUGUGCUGGUAUAGAAGAUCCUCUCUGCUGUUCCUUUCCAUGUCUGCAUCGUUUCGGUGGAAUGGAGUUGAUUAGAAUGGAAACUGUUUUCAAAAAGGGAAGUACUGAUUUAUGUACAACAGAGCUAUACCUGUAUCUUGCCAAAUUCAUAGUCAUCUGGUCAUGCUUUUCCAUCCGUUUUCAUGUCUGCUCUAGCUAUUUUCGCUAGGUCACUCUCUUUGAGAUGGUUUGCUCGUGGUACUGAGGUUUUGUCCAUUGUCUUUGCAAUGUUCCGCAUUUCCUUUGUGUCAGUUGGCAGCAACAGGGAGUCAAGGUCCAUUAUUACUGGUACCUGUUCCAAACCAUUGAUGUGCUUUUUGUUCUUUUCCUCUUGAGGCAACAUCCUGUGCUUCUGCCAUGUCUUGGCUCCUUCCCUAAUACAUUCGACGAUUACCUCGCAGAAAUCCAUCUUUGUCAUUUCUGGAUAGUCCAUGUCCUUGACCAUUAUAGCUGUCCGGGCGAAGAUAGCGGCGCUUGACCCGCAGACAACAUUGUGGAAAAAAAUAAGGAAAAAUAUUUUAACUGAUUUCCUGUUUGAUUCUUCAUCAUCUAUUUCCACUAAUAUUUCUAGCUUCUCAAACAGUUGUUUUGGCGCGAAUUUUGUAUCUUUGAAGCCAAGCUCUGACAUUAGUUCUUUCAUUGAAGCUGGGCUAGUCUCUGGCCUUGGUGCUGACCUUUGCGUGCCGUUUGGGUAUCCAAACACCUUGUGGGUAGCUUCCUUGGUAAUCUUGAUUUUUUUGUCUUCAGUAGCAUCACUGAAGGUUAUUGUCAUGGUUUAUGUGUUAAGGUUGUCGUAAAUGUGUGCUGCAAGCGGUCUGUAGAUGGAGCCCGUUAUUUUGCAGUUCUCUAUGCUGCCAAAUCCCGCCGUCCUAAUAUCUUUCUUGUCACGGUCUUUAAGUAAAUUCCAUGCUUUCUUGACAUGGGCGAAUGUUGCCGCUGCCUUGAUUUGGCAUUUCUCUUCGUCUAUUUCUUGCUGUUCUUCGUCAAUUGUUGGUACUACCAGUUCUUUCCCGCUUGUCUUUCUUCUCUUUCUUUCCUUCUUGCCUGAUUUGGGCUGUUUCAGAAAAAAAGGGUUUUGUUAGAAAGGAAUGUUAGAUCCCUAGUGGUAUUCAAAAUUAGUGCAUAAGUGUGUUUUUACAUCAUCGUCAUGUUCUGCGUCGCUAUCGUGCUCUUCGGCAUCAUCGCCGUCUGUAGGAAUGAAAUCUGCAUCAUGCUGUCUGUAAUCGUCGUCGUCAUUGGUAUCUGAACCUUUGUUGUUGGUAUCGUCUUGUUCUUUUUCUACCCUUUGUCGUUUGUUUUUCUUCUUGCGUUCAGCUUGUUUCUUCGUGCCGGUUGGUUCUGUUGGCGGGAGUACCAUUAGAGGUAAUGGCAGAUGCUGCAAGGUACCAGUGUCGACGAUGUUUUCAGCAUUUUCCUUUUUCUUUUGCCUUUUUGCUCCAGGAGGAAAAACAGUGCUGGUAUCUGAUUUUCUCUUUUUUUUGCUUGUUGCUAGGUGUUUACUCCUAUUGAGCCUGGUGUAAGUUACCAUUUCUGCCACAGGUGGUUUGUUCCUCAUGGUCUGUUCUGUGUCCCUUUCUGAUGAAUGAGGAGACAUGCUUUGUGUUUGUGUGAUGUCAAUAUCACCGUCUUUGUGUCCUGCAUAAUGACCAGGUAAUGAAAAACGAUAUUCUUUUGUCCGAAAAUAAUUUAUAUACAUUUAAAAUAUAUAUCUUCCACAGUUAUGCAUAAGGAAUGUGAAAUUCCCAAAAGGGGAUUUUUAGUUUUCUUUUUUGGGUUAAGAAAGGUUAUUUCUACUAUUGCCAAUUGAGCUAAGAAGGUGAUUGAAAAAAAUUAAUUAUGGUUAUGAGUGGAGCUGGGUAAGUGAAGUUAGGGUGAAGCAUUUUCUGAGACAAAAAUGCACUCUGCAGGUGAUAUUUCUACAUGUUUGUCCAAAGUGGCAGGUAGUUUUAUUUGUAGACAUAGUUAAGUUAUUAUUGUCCAGGAUAGUAGUUAAGUUAUUAAUGUCUCAAUACAUGUUUUUGCAGAUAGACAGUGGACUCUUUUGGUCAAACCUUUGACAGGAGCUUGCUGGAUUGCAUGUUCUCCAGUAGGGUCUUCGUCAGUAUUUUGCUGGGUUUUAGCUUCUUCGCGAGGAUUUCUCAUUGCUGCCUAAAAAAAUGGGCAGGUGUUAGAAGCAAAGUUGAGUGUCGUAAAAAAAGCUGCGUGGUGUGAAAACUAAUUUGUAUGUAUAGAGAGGCACGGGUUGUUUUGCACUAGAAGCACAUGGUACAGGUAUUCUGUGUUCACGGUUUUUCAGACCAGAGGCACUUAAUUUUUAAAACGGUUACAUUGAAGGGACAACAUGUAGAAAAUGUCGUACGAUUUUUAGGUAUUGGCCUCUCAAGAUGCUUGCGGGGUUUGGAUCUACCGACGUAUUCUAGUUAGUGACGUUUCAGGUUUAGUACCUUUGAGCACAUAUCGUAUGGCGAAAAUUCCAGGGACGAGAACUGUAGCAUUUCUAUUAAAUCUCAUCUCUCCAACAGUUCAAUUUGUUAGACAAAUUGAUUUUAGGUUAUUCGAAAACUCCUUGGUAGCGGUGGCUAGGGUUGCUGCUCCUUCAAGUUAAAAAAUCACUAUGAUCUACCCGGUGGAAUGGAGUAGGAUAGAAUGAUAAUUACCUUCAAUUAGUUGUGCGGUGUUCUUCGGUUCCAUCCGCUUAUUGUGUCGUUGCUCUUUUUUCGUUGCGAUUUCCACCGCCGCUGUCGAAGUCCUCGCCGUCGGUCGCCGCAGCCGUCGGGGUUAUUGGUGUUCUCGCAGGCAGUGUGUGGCUGUGUGUAUGUCGGAUUGGAGGGUGGUUGGGGAACACGGUGGUGGUUUGUUUGGUGACGCGAAUUUGAUUUCGAAUUUGUGUUCGUGUGCAGAAGGAAGGAGGAGAGCAUGCGGGAGUGAUGAAGGUUUUGAGAUUUACUUUGCGGAAGGGGAAGCAAGCUAGUAGAAGAGGGAGGGAGAGAUGGAAACCAUCGAACCGUCUCUAAUCUUCAACUGUCCGUUUGAGCAUCAAGAUCCAUUUUUCUGAUGUUAUGCUCGGGAGUGUAGGUUCUACAGCCACGUAGAUGCAGGCACAAGAGGUGCGGCAGUGUAGGUUCUACAAGCAGGUAGAGAACCACGGGACAGGCAAGAGUCGCGUGAGGCACGUGGAUGUAAGCAUAGGAGGCACGGAAAUGAAGGCAAUACAGGCACGGACAUGCUGCUUUUGGAGGCACGGGUAUCAACACUCAGGAUGUACAAUAGUGCUGUGGCAGAGGCAUGUGUUAGAAGCGCCGUUAAAGAGGCAUGGUUGUGAAGUCUCAGGAGCGAAGCGGGCGUUGCAGUGGGGCCAUUUAAGAGUCACGGCGUAUGUUGUGUUAGGCACGUGAGGCACAUGGGUUCAGGCACGGAAGUAAGAAAAGGUGAAUCCACAACAGGCACGUACGUGUGUUUUCUCAAGUCACGGGUGUGCAGUCUGUAGAUGCACAAAAGUGUGGCAGCAGAGGCAUUGGUCUGACUACUCGGUUACAGAACCACGGUCGUGAAGUCACGUGGGUGUGGCACUACGGGACAUGUAAGAGUCUCCGCAAGUGUCACUUUGCGGACGUGGGUGCAGGUACGUAAGGAGGCACAUCAUUCAAGGCAACGGAGGCACGGACUUGCGGCUUCUCGAGGCACGGGGUAUCAACCCUGCGUAUGCCAAAAUAAUGCCGUGGCAGACGCACGUGUCAGGAUGCUUGGUUAGAGAGGCACGGUUGUGAAGUAUCAGGAGCCACGCAUGUCAACUUGCGCACGUGGGUGUAGGUACGUGCAGGCACAGAAAUGAAGGCACCACAUGCACAUACGUGCAUUCUCUGGAUGCACAAAAGUGUGGCGGCAGAGGCAUGGGUCCGAGUACUCGGUUAUAGAACCAUAUUUGUGAACUCAGGUGGGUGUGGCACUACGGGGGACGUAAGAGUCUCGGCAAGUGUCAUGUUGUGCACGUGGUUUCAGGUACGUAAGGCACAGAAAAUGAAUGCACCAUAGCCACGUACGUGCAUUCUCUGGAUGCACAAAAAGUGUGGUGGCAGAGGCAUGGGUCCGAGUACUCGGUUAGAGAACCACGGUUGCGAAGUGACGUGGGUGUCGCACUACUUGGCACAUAAGAGUCUUAGCAAGUGUCGCGUGAGGCGACAUGGGUGCAAGGACGUAAGGCACAGAAAUCAAGGCACCACGGUUGUGAAGUCACGUGGUAGUGAUGAAGUGGAGCCUCUCUAGAGGCAUGUGGAUGCAGGCACACGAGGCACGGAAGUGCAGGUUCUACAGGCACGUACAUUCAGGCACAGGAGGCACGGAAGUGUCGGUUCUACAGGUAGUUAGAGGACCACAGGACAGGCAAGAGUCACGUGAGGCACGUGGAUGUAAGCAUAGGAGGCACGGAAAUGAAGGAAAUAUAUGCACAGACAUGCUGCUUUUGGAGGCACGGGUAUCAACGCUGAGGAUGUACAAGAGUGCGGUGGCAGAUGCAUGUGUUAGAAUGCUCGGUUAAAUAGGCACAGUUGCGAAGUCUCGGGAGCGACGCGGGCGUGGUAGUGGGGCCAUGUAAGAGUCACUGCACAUGUUAUUACGUUAGGCACUUGAGGCAUGUGGGUGCAGUUACGGAAGGCAGAAUUGGUGAAUCCACAACAGGCACGUACGUGUGUUUUGUGCAGUCACGGUCGUGCACUCUCUGGAUGCACAGAAGUGUGCCGGCAGAGGCAUGGGUCCGACUACCCGGUUAGAGAACCACGUUUGUGAAGUGACGUGGGUGUGGCACGACGGGCCCCGUAGGAGUCAUUGCAAGUGUCACGCGAGGCACGUGGAUGUAGGCACUUGAGGCACGGCGUUGAAGGCACAUGAAGCACGGAUGUAGGUACAGGAGGCACUGAAGUACUGAACCUAAGAGGAGACCUUUUCUGAGUGCGAAAUGUUUCGAGAUUUACUGUGGAAGAGAGGAAGCAAGAGAGUAGUGGAGGUGGGAGAGAUGGAAUGUUUCGAACAGCUAUCAAUACUGUGGAUGUUCUAAAGUGUGGUACCAGAAGCAUGCUUCCGAAUACGUAGUUAGGGAGUCACGCUUGUCAAGUCUCUAGAAAGUUACGCGUGUUCUGGCAUCACGGGCAUGGAGUGGUGUGGGGCUUCGAGGGGCAUGAGUGGCCCUCAACCCUGUGGAUGCAUGGUGGUGUGGUAGGAGAGGCACCAUUGUGGAUGCAUAGGAGUGAGGCCUCUAACAGCGUGAGUGGGUGGCACCACGUGCAAUUGUUUGAAUACUCAUUUAGAGAGUCACGUCUUUACUCAAGGCAGAUGCAUGCCGUAGGUUGGUGGCAUUUGGCAGCACACGGUUGCAGAGAGGAGGAAUGUUUGCGAAACAUCGAAGUCACCUGGCGGCCACGCGUGAGGAGUAUGUAAAGUAUCUGCGCGUCGACGUGAUGCAUGUAUGUCUAGUGACGGACUUGGGGCACUGGCUUGUGUUCGAAUGCUUGGUUAAUGAAGAAUCAAGGAACUACAUCAAUAAAAAGAGUCAUUGCGCAUGUUAUUACGUUAGGCACUUGAGGCACGUGGGUGCAGUUACGGAAGGCAGAAAUGGUGAAUCCACAACAGGCAUGUACGUUUGUUUUGUUCAGUCACGGUUGUGCACUCUCUGGAUGCACAGAAGUGUGCCGGCAGAGGCAUGGGUCCGACUACCCGGUUAGAGAACCAUGUUUGUGAAGUGACGUGGGUGUGGCACGACGGGCCCCGUAGGAGUCACUGCAAGCGUCACGCGAGCCACGUGGAUGUAGGCACUUGAGGCACGGCAUUGAAGGCACAUGAAGCACAGAUGUAGGUACAGGAGGCACUGAAGUACUGAACUGAAGAGGAGACCUUUUGUGAGUGCUGAAUGUUUCGAGAUUUACUGUGGAAGAUAGGAAGCAAGAGAGUAGUGGAGGUGGGAGAGAUGGAAAUGAUGGAACCGUCUGUUAUCUUUGACUGUUUGAUUUUAGCAUCAAGAUUCGUGCCGCAUGGCUUUGUUUUUUUUGUUCGACGUAGCGUCUUAAUACACGUGUGAGGCACGGAACACCAGGCUCUACAGGCACCGACGUUGGAAUUAUAGAGGCACUUGUAUCAACUCUUUGGAUGCACAAAUGUGUAGUGGCUGGGGCAUGCAUCUGAAGACUUACUCAGACAGUCACGGUUGGAGUUAUAGAGGCACUGGUAUCAACUCUGUGGAUGCACAAAUGUGUAGUGGCAGGGGCAUGCAUCUGAAGACUUACUCAGACAGUCACGGUUGUGAAGUCUUUAGAGUUACGAGCGUGUGUCACCACGGGCACGUGAGAGUGAUGCGUCGGGAAGUGUGGUAGUAGAGGCAUCGGUGCGAAUAGUAGUCAGAGAGCAUUGGUCGUUCAGUAGUAGCGGCAUGCGUCGGGAAAGGUGCGAGGAGUUCAACAUAGUACGUGCUUAGUAUCUGAACGCAGUGCACUCUAUCUAAGUGUGCCAGUGCAGUGUGUGCUUGAAUGGUUUAGGCAAGAACAUUUGUUACGUGCUUAAUUGGAUGAUUUGACGGUUGCUUUUUCCCGGCAACCGCGAGCACUGCCACUCAGCGGUUUCCCCGGCGCACAGCAACCGCGAGCGCAUGUCUACUGCCCUCAUUACCACGACGAGGCCUCGUCCAACCACCUCCUCCUCGACCCAAACCUUGGCACAAAAGGGCAACUGCGCUUCCAUAGCCGCUCAAUUACGGAAACACUAUUGCCGCUCCAUCUCAACUAGCAACUCUCACAAUUUCUGUGUCAAGGCCGCCAUCGCUGAAGGAGCGUAAUAGCGGAUGAACCAUCUGCCAAGCGUCCACGUGGUGAGACGUCCGACCAGAGCACCAAGGUUGACGACGUUCAGGUCCCUAGUCAGAAGCAUGACUAUAAGGUGCACCUCAAGGAGGUUGGCAUCCAUGGCAAGGAAAAGAUGGAUGUCGUAUGCACCACCGAUCCUGAUGAAGCCGACAAGAUGAUCAACAGGAUCCUAAAGAGGGUCUGCGGCUUGUACCCUUAGUUCAUCGGCGUUGAUGUCGAGUAUACUAGGGAAGAGGAACCUCCGCAGAGGGCAGCGGUUCUGCAGUUAUGCGUGGAGGAACUCUGUCUGGUAUAACACAUCACCGCGGCAACUAAAUGGUGAACCAUCCUACAACUUCAACCUCUCCAUGUUUCUGUUUAGUUAGCAUUUCACCCUGAAAUUUGAUUAAAUUUGUUUAUUGAAUUGAUGUAUUAGUGAAGUUUCUGAAGUAGAUAAAGCAGGAUAGAUUUUGAACUUGACUCACCAGAUCAGUUUAUGUAUUUGAUGCACUAGAUUAAUUUAUGAAUUUGAUGUAUGAGAUUAUUUUCUGAACUUGAUGUUCUAGUGCACUUUCUGUUCUAGUGUAGUUUCUAUAUUUGAUGUUCUAGUGUAGUUCAGUUUCUUGAAUUGAUGUGUUAACGUGGGUAAGGAGUACAUAGGUCAUUUAUUCAAGUGUAAGUACCAAAAAUAAAAAUGACAUGCUGUGCUUGUGCUUGUGUUUGUGAACUCUACAUAGCAGUUUCUGAAUUUUUUUCGUCCACAAAUUAUACGUACUAUAUAAGUAUUUACUUGAUGGAUACUUGAUGGAUCCACCUUAAAUGUGUCAUGCCCCUUGCAGGCCCAAGAGCCUGCGCCCGUUCCUGAAGGAGGACAGGUUCUACACCUUUGUCGGCUUCAGUAUUGAAGGUGACAAAGAGAUGCUGCGAAGUUCUGGUUUGGAGAUCAACCCCGACAAGUACAUCGACAUCCAGCGCAAAUGGAGAGUUCCGUUCAAGGGAAGAAAGAGGUACCACUCUUUGGCUGAUGUUGCAGGGAGCAUGAUCCGCCCAUUCUAUAGACAGAUGAAGGAUAAGAUUGACAGGGUUGAAGACCAUAAACUGUGGGGGAUCAGCCCACUGCCAAAUUACCUCAUUGAGUAUGCAGCGAUAGAUGCGUACGCCACCUACGAGUCUUGGAAGAGAAUUGAAAACAUCAGAGAAGGACUGGAGAGUGCAAAAGAGGCAGAGAAGAAUUAUGACGAUCCUUACUACGCCUACUAGUGAUGACGAAAACAUAGAAAACUGGUUGUGGAGUUUCUUGUGUUUCUGCUUGUCAUUUCUAUUGGUUCAGGUUCGUAGUUUAGUUCUGUUAGGACGAAGCAGUUUCUAAUGUCACCUGUAUCAGGUUAAACAAGUUUGCUUAUGUGAAGUUUGUAGUUUAUUUAUGUGAUUGAACAAGUUGUCUGCCUUGCUAAGUACUAUGUUUAUUCAGCAAUCUUGUGAUUUUGAAUCAGUAAUGUCGCUUUUUAGUCUAAAAACAACUAAAUACAAAGCAGUCUUUUUACGCUAAGUACAGUUUAGUUGUGCACACAACCGCGACUUCUUGAGGAGUGGCAGGAGUGGCAUGGGUUGGAAUAUGCAAUUAGAGAGGCAUAGAUUUGCAGUCUGUAGAGCCAUCGGCAUGUGCUAGUGCAGGUGUCGGAGGCACGGAAUUGAAGUCUUUACAGAAAUGAAGGCACCACAAGAAUCCAUCCAGAGGCACGUGGACGGAGUAGCAGAGGUGAGCUCCGAAUACAUAGUUAUAGGGUCACGGUUUUGAAGUGUGCAGAGCCAAGGUUGUGCGACAAGAUGGAGCAUGUAAGAGUCAUCGCAAGUGUCAUGUGAGAGAGGCACCUGGAUGCAGGUACGCAAGGCACGGGAUGCGCUGUCGUGACGUUUGUGAAGAGACACGGGCGUGGUACCGCGAGCAUGUAAGUGUCGCAGGGUGUGACACGUUAGGUACGUGGAUGCAGGCACAGAAAUCAUGGAGGUGAGGACUCAACCGGCACGGAAGUUGGGUUUUUGUUGUUUCGAACAGCUAUCAAUAUUGUGGAUGUUCUAAAGUGUGGUACCAGAAGCAUGCUUCCGAAUAGGUAGUUAGGGAGUCACGGUUGUCAAGUCUCUAGAAAGUCACGCGUGUUCUGGCAUCACGGGCAUGGAGUGGUGUGGGGCUUCGAGGGGCAUGAGUGGCCCUCAACCCUGUGGAUGCAUGGUGGUGUGGUAGGAGAGGCACCAUUGUGGAUGCAUAGGAGUGAGGCCUCUAACGGCGUGAGUGGGUGGCACCACGUGCAAUUGUUUGAAUACUCAUUUAGAGAGUCACGUCUGUACUCAAGCCAGAUGCAUGUCGUAGGUUGGUGGCAUUUGGCAGCACACGGUUGCAGAGAGGAGGAAUGUUCGCGAAACAUCAAAGUCACCUGGAGGCCAUGCGUGAGGAGUAUGUAAAGUAUCUGCGCGUUGACGUGAUGCAUGUAUGUCUAGUGACGGACUUGGGGCACUGGCUUGUGUUCGAAUGCUUGGUUAAUGAAGAAUCAAGGAACUACAUCAAUAAAAAGAGUAUGCUGCUUCAUUAUCACACUAUGAUGUGUGGUUAAACCGUUUUCUGAUAUUUUGACGGAGCUAGGCUUGUUCGCUUAUCAACAACUUUUUGUUCCUUUUCCUUGAUGUCGUCGUAGAUCUUUGUUAUCUCAUCGCCCAUUUUGCUGGGUUCGAUUGUAUUCUGAUCGCUAAAUAGUAGCCUGAACAGUUGUUGUGCUCUCCAUUGUUCCGUGCCAUCCUACAAAAAAUUCAGUGAAAAAUAAGGAGAAAAAACACAUCAGUAUUAUGUCAUGCAGUUGUAUGAUAUCUUGCAGAUUUAUAGAGAGUUUUAAGCGAAAACUUACAUCAAAAUUGUAUAUCUCUUCGACGAAGUGGUUGCCAUCAAAGAGAUGCGUGAACCUUAGAACAGCAAACGGGGUUUCACCUUUGUUCACCUUUGGAACGUCCUUUAAAAAUUGAACUUCCCAUUUAGUCUUUUCCUUUUUGAAUUUUUCACCGAGUAAUAUUUCUUGUACUGCCUUGAACCUCAGCUCCUGGGAAUUGCAUUUCGUUUUUGUUUUAGAGAGACAUGUGCUGUAAUUUGUAAAACCAAAAGACGCUGUUAUUUACAAUUAUUUACAGUCUGUCUUUAUGGUUGUGGUAUUUGUUAUGAUCCUUUUCUUUGCUGGCUUUGUUGAUUUCCAUUUGAGCAAUUUGCUUACUUAGUUUGCCAUCAUGCACGUGGAGAUCACAUUGAUUUUUCAGGCAUUCUUUCCUCUUCAAUUCUUCGAGAGAGGUUUCUUCAGGCUCAAUGAUUUGAAGCUUCCUUCUAUAUCUGUCGAGCACUAAUAGUGUGUAUGUGCCUUCCUUUUCAAAUGGCAUGAAUACCUGCGGUACAAAAGUUUUAUUGUUAGAGGAGAGUUUAGAAUAUAGUAUUUCGUUUGAAAUGCUUAUUUUUAUUUUGUUAGGGGAGAGUUUUAUUGCUAUAGGAGAGUUUAGAAUAUAGUUUUAACGCUAUUACCAUUUUUGCUGUUUUGAGCUUGUCUAAUUGACAUUUCUUCAGGAAUAAAGGAACCAAGGCAUCCUUCUCUCGUUCGAAAUCAUCCGUGAAUUGUGUCAUAGAUUUUCUUUUAUCCUUUAAACCCAGAAUAUUCUGCAGGCAAGAAAUAAAAAACCAUUAAAACGAAUUAGAAAGAACAGAUCGGUACCAGGAGAUUAAACAAUCGUUGCAGAAAGACGAGUUUGUAUGAUCCUUGUGGUUAUCUUUUUGAAAUUUACCUCUACAAAUCUUGGGCCUAAUAAUAGUCUGUGUCUUUUGUAUUUAGUUUGCUUGCUUCCCUCCCAUGCUUCUGCUAACUCAUCGAGCACCUUCUUUUCCAUUCCUUUACGUUUUUUCUUGUUCGCGGGCCCAAAAAUUUCCUUUAGGUUUGAUCCAGUGAGAGUUGCGUUGUUCUCGUGUGGUUGUUCUCCCGAGAAUACUACUUCUCUGCUUACAGGAAAAAUAGUAGAAGAAAAUUCUGUUUAGAAUGUCACUUACAAGCAAGCUGAUAAGCAGGAAUUCAAUGUUCUUUCAAGUUUCCGUCGUACUUGUGUGAUUGCCGCAUAACUUUAACUAAUUUCAGUUGGAAAAGGAACCAACUCACCUUUUGAAUUUGUCCUGCCAUGUGCACUCAUGACUAUGUCGUAGAGCUCAUUUUCCUUACGCACGUGUAUGAACGAAUGCCGGUGUUGUGGGUAUUUGUUUGUGCUCAUUGAUUGAUCCUGGUUCUUUUUGUCUCGCUCUGUCAAAACAGAUAAAAAGUUAUGGCUGUUGCUUCUAAAAGAUAUAUUUGAAGCUCCUGUCAUGUUGAGUGGUGGUAAAAAUGAAAAUAGUUAUAUUACCUUUCAUGGGCAAAAAAAGGUUUGUAGUCUCUAGUUUGAAAACUUUGAUUUUUUUCAGGAAGUUGAUGGUGCUUUAUUUUGGUUGGUUUUACCGAAUAUGAGUGUGUAUACGUACUUUGGUAUCUGUUCUGCAUCCACCUUGUUGUGCUGCAGGCAUGUCAAAAUGCAUGGUUUAUAGUUACGUGUUGUCCACCAUUGUGAAUAAACUAAUUGUAGUAAUAAAGAAAUCAAGUAAUUUGACGUGUAUGUGCUCGUAACUUACAUGAAAAUCCUCUCUGUCCUUGACCAGUUCUUUCCCAUUCCAGUGUUUUGCAAAUUGCGUCGUGAAGUGUCCGCAUUGUGUUCCUUUUUGCUUUGGUGUGCAGAUCCUGUGAGGCCUUUCUGCUAUCCUUGCCCAGUCUGGUUCGUUCUUAUCUUUUAGUUGGUGGUACUUGUUCAUCAACACCGACAUCCUUCUCAUCUGUGAUUGCAUUUAUGUUUUGUUGUUUGGGUGCGGUAUUGAUAAAAGUAAGAGUAUCAUACUAUCGCGAGGAAAAGAAUAAAUCAAUGUACAAAAAGUACGUACCAGUUCUGCUCGAUGCACAUGGUGUUUACUCCAAGACAAAUCGGUGUAGUUUACAUAGUUUAGUGAGUCAAGGAUGUCGAUGCUAUCUCUGUACUUGUUCAUUACAUAUAGCGUGUAGUGCUUGUCCGUGUGAUGAGGUAUCAUGAUCUACGUUGAGAGAGGAGAUCGUUGUUGAUGUAAAAAUUGAAUUUCAUUUAACUGUUGAAGCCCAAGGAGAAUAAGUCGUGUGUUCAGUAAUAGUUCCGAACUUACCAUCUUCGAGUGCACGAUAUUUUUACCUCGCACAAGUUGUUCAAAUGCUUGUAGUGCAUCGUCUUUGUUGAAUUCUGAUAGCUCCCCUCUUUUAUAAUUGAGACCUAGCACCAUAUUCAAGAAAGAGAGUGUGUGGUAUUAGUUAAAUAUUGAACCAUAGUAAUGACGGAGGUGUUUUUGUGGGUGAGGUAUGCAUACAUUUGCGAAUUCUGUAGGGUGUACAGUUGUGACGUCUAGGUUGAACUGUUUCUGUUCUGUCCUUUCAUCCAGUAAUGCGUUUAGCAUGGAGCCCUCCAUUUGUGCGUAUUCUUUCCCUACUUGUUCCAUGAAGGAUUUUCCUGAAAUGUAGCCUUCGCUCUUUGAGGUUUUAUAUAGUUGUUCUCUGCAAGCAAGGAGGGUUUAGAAUUAGAUGAGUGAAUGGUUAGUUGGAUGUUAGAGAAUGUGCAGCUCUAUGUAAUCAUUUCCAUGGAACAAGGAGAAUCUACUUACUGUCUGCAUUGUUUCUGUCCUUGUUGGCUCAUCAGAUAUCUAUAGAGUUGCAUGGCCUUUUCUUUGUAAAUGAAAUCUCCUAGAACAAGUGCUGGAGCAUUGACUUUCUCAAUUUCCUUGCUUGCUCGCUUGAAUGGCCUCUUAGUUGAGAUUAUGUUUGCUGAGAUGAUCUCGUGUGAUUGAAUCGUCGAGGGUUUUGGGGAACUUGUCUGCACUCUUGCAAGAUGCCUUCUCCUUUUCUUGUCGUGACCGAACUGUGCCUGCUCGUUAAGCUGCCCAGUUGUUGGUGUGUCCUUUUGUGUGUUGUUGUUUUUGACGCUCGGUUCUAUUGAGACUUCAGCAUCGUAUUUCCUCUUUUGAAGUAUCUUUUCUGAUAAAAUCUUUCCUUUCUCCUUCUUUUCUUCUUGUGCAUGUUUUGCCUUUGGUGAUGUUCUUGGUAUGCGAUCUUCGCCAAUAGGGUUCAUGUCCUGUUUGGAAAGCUGUUGUUGGCGAGUUGGUACGGUCUUUGUCAUGUUAUCCACUUCUAAAGGAGAGCGUGUUAUGCCUUUGUUGUUUUUAUCUGGGGGUGGUCUGUCUGGUUCUAUCGGCGGAUCUUUCCAUUCAUCUUCCUUUUGUAAAUCAGUGUCUGGCUGCGCGUGUUGUUCCCUAUGUAAACCAUGAUCUUUCUGGGCUUGUUCUUCCUUGAGUGCUUCUUCAGACACCUUGGUGGUAUCCUUGUUGCUCAAAUGAUAAUCUUCUUUCUCCUCAUCGGUGCUUGUGUCAUUAAUGUCAAUAACUUUUAUCUCUUGAGCGCUUGUCCUAAUGUGCUCGGGAGUUGGACGAAUCUCUUGUUGAAUUAUGUCACAAUGUAUUCGUUCCAUUUCACUAUUUUCCAUAUCGACCUCAGGUUUCAGCAUAUCUGUUAAAAUAUAAUAUAAAAACUUAUUGGUUUGUCUCUGAAAAUUAGAUAAGUUGAAUUUUACUUUGUUGUCUACAGUAAGAGAAACCUGCGGUAUAGUUGAUUAAUGACAGUGCGGCCGUAUCUCUGUAUUGGUAGAAUAUUUGAUAGAGAAUUUUCUUUCUCAACUCUGGGACUUGUUCCUUUGUUAGUAACAUUGUUUCUCCAUUGUCGGUGUAGUGCUUUGCAUUCAUGAACAUAUAGAACGCACAGUCGAGUCUGCAGGUAGAAGGAUGAUUGAUUAUUGUCGCUGUCCAGAGAUGGUAUGGCAGUUUAGGUGAAGUUUUCCUAAUGUCCUAUGUUUUUUAUGGAUUGCAUUAAUAAUUGUUACAAUGAGUAAGGAAAAGGAGAAAGGUUUGUAGUGCUUACGUUUUUCCCUGAAGUGGCAUCUGCAUUUUGACCUUUUUGAAGUCGUCAAUAUUACAUGGAGACAGUUGGAGCAAUGGGCUUAUUUGCUUCCAUAUCCUCUUUACUCUGCUUGUUACUAUGUUGAAGUAGUCCGUUGUGCCUUUAUAUUCAAUUGGUAAAGAGUCAAGGAGUUCAAAGCGCUCUUUUUUUAUGUUAAUUGUAAAAACAAAGUAGUGGCCCACAGUUCCUUGUUUUUGUUGAACUUGACCACCUAUGCAAACUGGUAGAAAUAACUGCAAAAAUGCAAAAUAAAUAAAUAAGGGGUCCUUUUUUAAUUUAGUCAUGAUUUGUUGAUGGUUAGAUGUAAUUGUAGUGCCGAGAUUGUAUCUCUUAUCUGUAACAUGAGAUGUGCUUACCAUGUCGAAAUCUUGUAGUUGCUCUCCUUCUUCCAGAUCAAGGAAUCUUUUAAGCCUUUUAGGAAUUGUCUUGUCUCUGAUGUGUGCUUCGUAUUUAUUUUUCAACUCCAAUGGAUCUUCAUGGUUGGCCAUGCGUAUUGAUGCCUACUUGUUUUGUCACAUGUGCAUAGAAGAAAUUUGUAAAUUCAAUUGUACAGAGAGGUUGAUUGAUCGAUAGAUUGAUAUUCAUUGUUGAAACUUGAGCUCUACUUACGGUGUUGUAUGUUGAUAGAAUCUUUCUCUUUGUGCCCCUGAGUUGCUUUUUCAUCAUCUGUAGCAUGACUGCCAUGGUUUCGCUGCGCACUGGCUUUCGAAUGUCGAAGCUUUGUGCCAUGUGGCUGACUAUUACUGUUGUCGUCUCUGUAUUUAUUAAAAUCUCGUGCCUGCAACAUAUAUAUUUACAGGUAAAAUGUUUAAGGUAGGAAAUCAUUGGAAGAAAAUAAUUCUUUUUUGUUGACAUGAAUUUACCCUUUGUCCUUAUUUGUUGUCAUGACGUUGUUGUACAGGUGUUCGAUCCCUUUGUCCUUUGUCCCUUCUUCGAUGGCCAGGUUUUGUAUGAUCAACGGUUCACGUUUUGUCUGAGUGCUGCCUUGGGUUACCGCCGUGUUUGUGGCGGCAACAUCUUUUACAGCACAAUGUUUCUUGUCUGAUGGUGUGACUUUUUUCUCGCUGCUGUCUGACUCUUUCUCUGGAAUGUUUGCCGCAUGGUUUUCCAACGCACUGUGGCCCUUUGCUUCUUUACUUGUGUCUGCGUGCGUGUCCUGUUGAGGUUUCUACGUUAUCGUGCAAAAGCAUCGUUAAUAAAUAAAUAAAUACGGUCGUUAUUUUCACUGUAGUUUAUUAUCCGUUCCCUAAGAAAAAUACUCAAAUGUUUAGUGUGUCUUUUGAACUUUUUUAUUGUAGCUUCACCUUUUCAGUCGUUUCCGCCGGUGCUGCCUCUUCGACCUUUUCUUCGGUGAGUGGAGCUUUUUGGACCUCCGUAGUGUCGUCGUUUUUGUCUUGUGGCUGUUGAGACAUAGAGGUAGGUAAAUGAGAUUGCAUUUGUGUCUUUGUUCACUCAAAUUUCUAAUUUCCUUAAAAGCAGGUUAUCUCACUUCACCUUUUCGAUGUUUUGCGUGGACGUUGCCAUCUCUGUUAUUUCUUGCCCGGACAGCGAAGGUUUUCCGGCUUGGUCUACGGCGGUUAGGUUGUCUGUUGUUGGAAGAACAUCUUCUGCUUGUUCCAUUCCCCUGUGUUGUUGUGUUUGUUUGCCUUGAAUGUUGGUGCUCUCACAUGUUUCUUGCAUCUGUCGGAACGCAAAAAGUAAUUACAAUGUGUCUAUGUUUGUUUCUGGUGGAUCCAUUUUUUAUAUGCUAUAGAAAGAGGGUUUGUAGCUUGACCUCUACGUUCAAUCUCUCCGCUGCCGUGCCUGUCACUUCUUCUCUGUCUUGUGUAGUUUUUGUACAUUGUCGAGCGGUAGCAGCACUUUCCAUCGCUUCUUGAGGCACAUCGCCUGUUUCAUUUGUUUCUUUUUUUGUUCAAUCAAAAAAUGUAAAUAAAGUUUGGACUUCAUCUGUGCAUGCAUAACUUUUUUGUUUUAACGUCGUAGGAGCAGGUGCGUGUGGCUUUACCGCGUUGGUCUUUGAUGAUGGUGUACUGGGUACUAUUUUAGUCAGCAUUUGCCCUUGUUUUUUAGUUUGUUCUGUCUGUACUCCUUGCUGUUCUUUGGCAUGGUCGUCAUCGUUUGUUUCCUGCGUUUCAUGAAAACAGAAAAGCAUGAUUCAUUGCUUGUAAUUCUUGUAUUACUGUGACAGGUUGUACUAGGCAGUACAUUUCUUACAAAUUUUGGAAAAAUGGUUCUUGUUGAAUUUUACCUUUGCGCUGGUGGUUGGGAUAUCCGUCUGUGCGUCCACUUUUUCUUUGCUUUGUAUGCCAGCCUUGGGUGUGUCACCAGGUGGAGUGUCUGAGGCUUUCUCCCCUGUAUAGGUCAUAUGAGAUGCUCUUGUGCUGAAAAGCUCUUCUAUAUGAACUUUCUGAAUUGCAUGGGCAUCCUCUUCUCUUUGAUGUGCUUUUAAUACCUGGUAGUUGAAACAAUAUGAGUUGACGGUAUUUGGGCAAAGUGGGUUUGGAAGUUUUACCUCUUCUUUGUUGUUUUCUUCUUGUUUUUCUGUCGUGCUGUCAACGGUCGAUGCUAGAUCAGCCUGUGGCUCGUUUGCGGGAGCGUUGAUAUGAUACUUGUCCGGCUGAGUGUAUAUUUUGUUGCAGAUUUGUCAGUUAACUCAGGAGUGUUUUUAGUUUAGAGAGAAGAUACUUUUUAGACAGAACAGACUGAUUUUUUAUACUCACAUCUUUGUUGCCUCCGAUCCUGUUUGUCUCUUGUACUGCUCCUGUUGACGCUCUUAAGGGAGCAUUAUAUAUUGUUGGGUUGCUUGUUCUAUUGCUUCCAUCCCCUUGCUCGGUGUUCUUGACGACAUGGUGUUGUUGGCCUUUAUGUUUCGGUGGCGUUCUGUUGCCGUGUCCCUAAUAGAAUUGAAGGCAGAUUUUGUAAGUUCAAGUUUGAAAGCAUCGCUUUCGAGUCACUUUUUUCAUUUACUUGUUUCUCAUCUUGAUUCUCUGCUUCUGCAGCUACUUUUCUACCUUGUUCUUGCUGUCCUUCGGCACUUGAUGUGUUUGUUGAUACGUCCUCCUUGUUUUGCUCCUUUUGCACCUUGUUAUGUUCUUCCGUCUCCCUCUGGCUAAUUCCCGAGUUCUAUGUUCUUGAUUUUAUUAUUCUUUUCUUCCCUUCAUGUUUGUUUUGUUGGUCCUGUUCUUCCUUCUUUCUUUUUCUCCUCCCUCCUGGUUCUGGUGCGGCUACAAUUUCUUUCGUGUGGUUGCCAUGUACAAGUGCAGCUGUGUCUCCUGCGUCUACUCGAUUCUGCAGCUUCAGCGUCGUCUGUUAUUGAAAGAUCACUCUGUGAACAAUGUCCUGGAAUUCUCUAAGUUGUUCGAGAGAAUCAAUCACAGCCGUUGUUUGUUGCACCACUGUGUUCCUCAUGCUUUCAUAUAAUUCCUUCUCUUGUUUGUUGCAUUGGUGUCCAUCCCUGGUCGUUAUUCCGGGUAUCUGUUUUGUUUCGUCGAGUACUUGUUUCAACAUUUCUUCUAUCCUUCCGAAUAUUUCAUAUGAUCCUGUGUUGGUGCCUGUGACUGGUUCCUUGCUUCCACUUGUGCUGACAUGUGCUUUGUCCAGUCGCUUGGUUGGAGGUAGUAGUAGCUUGGUCAUUUGCUGGUGCUCCUAUUGUUGUGCUGGUAUCAUUUGUGUUGAAUACGAAGGUGUUGCUGUGUUGGCAUAGAAGAUCCUCUCUGCUGUUCCUUUCCAUGUCUGCAUUGUUUCGGCAUGAUGGAAUUGGUUAGACUGGAAGCCGUUUUUACAAGGGAUAAUGCAUAUGUAUUCAAUAGGGCUAUACCUGUAUCUUGCCAAAUCCAUAGUCAUCUGGUCGUGCAUUUCCGUCCGUUUUCAUGUCUGCUCUAGCUAUUUUCCUUAGGUCACUCUCUUUUAGGUGGUUUGCUCACGGUAACAAUGUCUUGUUCAUUAUCUUGGCAAUCUUCCACAUUUGUUUUGUGUCGGUCGGCAGCAGCAGGCAGUCGAGGUACAUUAUUACUAGUCCCUGCGCCAAACCAUUGAGAUGCUUUUUGUUCUUUUCUUCCUGGGGCAACAACCUGUGCUUCUUCCAUGUCUUUGCUCCUUCCCUAAUACUUUCGAUGAUUACCUGGCAGAAAUCCAUCUUUGCCAUUUCUGGAUAGUCCAAGUCCUUGACCAUACUGGCUUGUUUGCUGAAGGUAGGGGAGGUUGUUCCAUAGACAACGUUGUGGAAAAAAAUAAGGAAAAAUAUUUUAACUGAUUUCCUGUUUGAUUGUUCGUCAUCUUGUUUCACCAAUUUUUCUAGUUCUUUAAACAGAUCGUCGUGAUGGAAACCCAUUUUCUUGAGGCCAAGUUCUGUGACCAGUUCGGUCAUUGUCUCGGUGGAAAUCUUUGGCCUUGGUGCUGUCUUUUCCGUACCGUUUGGGUAUCCAAACACCUUGUGGAUGCCUUCCUUUGUUAUUGUGAUUUCUUUCUGCUGAUCAGCUUCACCGAACUUUAUUUUCAUGGUUUCUAUGUCCAGUUUGUCGUAGAUGUGUGCUGCAAGCGGUUUGCAUAUGGAGCGCUUUAUUUGGCAUCCCUCUAUGCUUCCAAACCCGGCCUCCCUAACAUCUUGCCGGUGACGUUCCUCAAGUAAUUUCCAUGCUUUAUUGACAUUAUCAAAUGCUUCUCCUGCCUUGAUCUCGCAUUUUCCUUAUUUAUUGUUGCCUCCUGUUCAUCAUCCGUUGGUGUUGCCAAUUCUUUUCCACUUGUCUUUCUUCUCUUUGUGCGCUUCUGCCUUGUUUUUAUCUGUUGAGAAAAGGAGGGUUUUGUUAUAGAGGAUGGUUUGGUGAAAAGAGGUAGGAAAAAUCUGUAGAGAAUAUGGUUUUUACAUCAUCGUUGUUGUCCUCUGCGGCGCCACCGUUGUCCCCUAUGGCGCCAUCGCCCUCUGUACAAAUGACAUCAUCAUCGUGUUUUGUGCCAUCAUCAUCGUCGGCAGUAUCACGCUUUGACUCUUUGCUGGCAUCAUCCUCGUCUUCUUCCAACCGUUGUCUUUUGUUUUUCUUCUUGGCUUUAUUUACAUCAUUGUCAGCGCGUGGAACUGCUGGCGGGAGUAUCAUUAGAGGACUUGGCUGCUGCUGCUUCAAGCUACCACCAUCGCUGAUGAGUUGAGUUUUGUCCUUUCUCUUUUGUCUUUUUCCUCUAGGAGGAAUGACAGUCUUAGUUUCUGAUUGCUCCUCUUUUCUGCUGCUAGUCACUUGCUUUUUGUUGCCAUCCCUGCUGGAAGCUAGUGCUGGCACUUUCUCGGCUGCUUCGUUGUCCAUGUUCUGCUUCGUUCUUUUUUCUGACGGGUCAGGAGAGAUGUCUGGUUUUCCUGGAUAUGAACUAUUAAGUUUAGACAAAAUCGUUUCAAUAUCUACUUCUCCGUCACCUGCACGAUGAUUAUGUAACAAAAGGAUUACGAAGUAACAUCGAAAUAAAUGGGAUAUAGUUAUAAAAGUAUGUCUUCCAUGGCUGCACAAAAAAGAUUCUGAAGGUUAAUCUACAUAGAUUCAUAAGAUAGCCCUUUUCUUUCAUUUCGUGACCUAAAAAAGCGAUCAAUCCAUUGUUUUCUUGUUAUAUCAAGUCUUCCCACUAACUCUUUGUUUUGCUAAUCAUUGAUAGAAAUUAGGGUGAGGUGUGAGCAGUAUGUCUGCUGUCAAGUCCAUAUCAGUGAGGGGAAGUCUUUUUUCACAGGAAAAAAUACACUACAAAUGAUAUUCUGUAAAUUGGAGCAAUAACUGUAUGGUUUAGAGUGUAAGAUAAAAUGUUCUUGGAUGAAUAAUAAUACACAUAAUGUGUGAAAAUUUUCAUCGAAGUGCAAUUUCCCAGGAUUUUGCGGACGCAAUUGGUUAACUUAAUGCUGCUGCUACAUAGUUUUUGUUAUAUGGAUUGUGUGAGCCUUUUAUAGUACCUUGCUGCACGGCAGGCUGUUCCGUAGGUACCCUGUUUUCCUUAUUACCAGUCCUUGCUGCAUACAAAUGCCCAGGCGUUAGCAGUAGUAGAACCAUAAUUGAAUUUCACAGCAAAAAGAGGAGAUGCAUCCCGUGGAAAAAAAAAACGGCAUUGUCGGAGAGGCACAGGUUGUUUCACGCUAUAAGCACACAGCUAGAUCUAUUAUUGGUGCACGGAUGUUAAUACGCUAGAGGCAUGUAAUUUGAAAGAGGGGCAACCAACGGACAUAUAGAAUCUCCUGUAAAUACCAGGUUUUGAAUUUAAGGAUGCUCUCAUGGUUUGAAUCUAGAGCGGUGCUCUAGAUAGUUCUGGCAUGCACAGUACAUUUUAGGCAAAUUCCUUGUGAGCGGAUUUCUGUGACGGGUAAGGGUAGCAUAUCAUUGCACGCGUGUCUACCUUAUUUCAAUUUUGCAAGAAAAGUCUAGACAGACUUUUUGGAAACACGUUUUUGUGUGGCGGUUUGGGUUCAUAUCCGUCAAAAAGGGGGAUAAUCGCUUUGAUCGACCUGUGGUAAUGGAACGUAAUGGAUUAAUAUAUUUUUACCUUCGAUUGCUUGUGAGGGAUUCGUCGCAUCUAUCGGCGUGUUUUUUUCCUUGCUCUCUGUUGGUAUCUCCGCCGCGAGCACGGGUCGUCACCGUUAGUCGCUGCCGGCGCCGGGAGAGGUUUUUGAUGCUUUCACGGGCACUGACUGGCUGCUUGUAUCUCGAAGUGGAUGGCGGCUGGUGGGUAAGGCGAACGCGAUUUCGAUUUUUGGUUGGUCUGCUGGAUUGGAUAAUGGGGCAGAAGGAAAGACGAGGAUGUUCAAGAGAGGGUAACUGGUGAAGUGUUCGAGAUUUUCGGUGCGAAAGCAAAAGCAAGAAAGUAGUGGAGGGAGAGAGGGAAAUGGUCGAACCGUCUCGAAUCUUCGACCGUCCGUCUGGACAUCAAGAUUGGUGUAAUUUUCUAUGGGCUUUGAUGGUCUUGCUUUUGUCCUUGCUUGCUCAACUACCGGAAUGUUUUUAUUUUAGUGUGGUGACAUCCACGGUGGCAUGGUUUGGUGUUGCCCAGAGUCACGUUUGUUCUUGCGUGUGUUACAGACGUUUUAUAUGACGUUCCAUGGUGAGUAGCAUGGAAGUGAGGCCACCAGCGCUCAUCCUACUAUGGAAAAAGGGGAAGCAUCUCGAAUCUUAGACCGUAGGUUUGGACAUCAAGACUGCUGCAUCUUUCUGUGUACUUCGAUGAGCUUGUUUUUUGCUUGGAUUUCUUAAGUCUUAGUCUGUGGGAUGUUAGCAUUUUUUGAUUUUUGUGUUGUUGUGUGAUGCACAGGGGCAUGGUUUGGUGUUACUCAGAGUCACGUUUCAUGGUUCUUUUGGAGAGGCAUGGACAUGAACUCAAUGGAAGCAUGUUAAUGCAUUGGUCAGAGUCUCGUUGCCACGGGUGUAUGCUUUUGGUAUUUCCAAAUGAUUCCGUUCACUUGUUCUGUUGGAGAGGAAUGGACGUGACCAAAACGUUCUGUUGGUACAUGUAGUUGGGUAGGCUAGGGUCAUGGAUGCCGUGUGUUAGCAGUAGGAGAACGGUUGUGCUUCCACCAGAGGCACUUCGUUCCCCCACGGGGAGCACAUUUUGCCAAAUCUUGUGUAGUUUUGGUUCAAAUGAUUCCUCUUACUCGUUCACUUGGAUAUGCACGGGCGUCGAGUCUAUUGAGUCACGCUUUCCCAUUAGGCUGAGUCACGUUAGGCACGUAGUCGCGUCGAUGUAGAAGUCACGUUUUUCAAGCAAAUAACGCACCUCACGGUAAGUGUAGUUUUAUGUAGAGUCACGGGCAUGAAACACGGGCCAGUGUGACUCUGUAUAUUCUGUGAGGCACAUUGAGUGGAGAGGCAUAGGCAUGGUGUGGUAUUAUGUAGAGUCACGCUCAUCUGUGUUUGGUUUCAGAAUAAUUCCGUCGACUCGAUCAAUGGAGAAGCACGGGCGUUAAUUCGUAGAAAGGCACAAUUUGGUUCGAAGUCAUGGUGAACACUCACUAUUUACUCUGUGAGGCAUGGAAUGGACUAUUCGAGAGACGGUGGUGUUGUAUAUUCUUCGCCCAGUCAUGGGUCCCAGGAAGGCACGGCAUGGUAUCCUGUAUUUGUGUUCGACAUGAUUCUGUUGACUCGUUCAGAAGAAGAGGCACGGGCAUGAAUGCCAUGAGGGCAUGGUUGGGUCUGUCGGAGCAUCACGUUUCAUACAUUUAUUAUGGAAACAAAGCGGAAUGGGUUUAGAUGUUAACGCUAAAAGUUUACUUUGCAUACUCGAGGUGUUUAAAAGCGUAAGCUCCAUGUUUUAAAAAGCCAUGGCUUCGUGCUGAGUUGUGUGGCGCUUCUUUUAUUAGAAGCACGGACGUGAAGUGAAUAUAGCCACGGUUCUGUACCAGGUAGCGACAUGACUUGUACAGUGGCGAUGGCCUGGAUGUUCGUGGCAAUGUUAAGGGUCAUAGGCAGGUGCUUGAAGCGCUAAAAGGCAUGCUACCGUAUAAUAUAGAGCCACGCUCCCAUGUGUUUGUGUUCCGAAUAAUUUCGUCGACUCGAUCAGACGGAGAGGCACGGGCAUUCAGCCCACAAAGGAAUCGUCAAGGUUCGUUCCUUGGUUGUUAGGCACACAGACGCAUGGAUGUAGAAGACACAUUGUUCAAGCAAAGAACGCACAUCACGAUCCCACGUUUUUCAAGCAAAAUGCGGACCUGAAGUCCGUAUAGCCACGGCUCUGUACUAAGUAGCGUCAUGAACGAGUCACCUGGAGUUAGAUUUUGAUAUAAAUAUCAUUUCAAAACAAAAAAUGUCAAUGGAGAAUGGUAUGAAUUCGACAGUAAGUUCUCUGGAAUACAGACAGACGUACACAGUAAGUUAACUGUGUUUGAGAUGUUUUCUGUUGAAUAUGUACGGACCAUUGGAAAGAAGUUGAGUGGUUGUGGUGUGGACGAACGCACAAGAAGACGAAAUGAUAGUACUGGUGUUUCCCAGCGGUGCAGAGUUCGAGGUAUUUAAGAGAGAUUGGGAGAAUUCGAGCCGCCGGUUACUCCGUUUGACCAUCUCACUGGUGUGCGUAUGUUAUAAAAAGCUACCUUCUCAUCGAACACCCCACAUCCACAAUUCUCCAGAGACAGGCACCUCUUUCUUGCUGGUAGCUCCUUGCUUUCGCCAUGGCCAGUAAGAGGGGUUCUGGUUGUUCAAGCAACCAGGCAGCAAGGACAAAAGCCACGGAAAGAAGGGAGAGGUGCCGCCGCUACGCCGUAGCGGCGGUAGGAAUAUCCUGCCCCGUUGCCCAGGUGUCUAACAAUCUCUCGUGUGGAUGCGAAUCCUCCCACAAGCGCAUUCGCCAUGGAGACGAUCUCGGCAAGAUGGCAGUACAGAAUUCCUUAGCCAGCGAUGACUUGCUCGAUGAGUUAAUUAAGCAGCAGCAGUUCAUCGCUCGCUUGGAGAAGUUGCUAUAGCAGAGCAAUGCCUCUGUGGAGAAGUCCACUUGUCUCAUAGUUUGAUCUUUGUGUGAGAAUGACAAGCUUCUAAACGAGCUCGACCAGAAGGAUUGGGAGGCCGCCCGCUUGAAGAAUCUGUAUGAGCAGAGCCAUGCGUUGGUGCAGAAGCUGUCGGGCGAAGUGGGGUAGCUUAUGGAUGAGAAUGCUGGGGUCCUCGUCAAGUACAAGAGCCUGGUGGAGGAUUCCUUUGCUGUUGUGGAGGAAAGUUAUGAGGCGACGAAGAAGGAGAUUGAAGAUGUGCUCGCCCAGCAGCCGAUCAAGAACGUUGCUGGAGUGUAGGCAGAGAUCUUGUAGCGUGUUUUUCCGUUGCGUUGGGGCAUGUGGCCUUUUGUACUGCCAUGAAUCUGUAAGGCAUUUAUGCGUUGCAUUGUCGUCGUGUUGUUUCGUUUGUUGGCACAUGUAGAUGAGUAGGCUAAGGUCAUGGAUGUCGCCUGUUAGCGGUUGGAGCACGGUUGUGCUUCCACCAGAGGCACUUUGUUUUCCCGCGGGGAGCACGUUUUGCUGAACCGUGCGUAGUUUUGGUUCAAAUGAUUCCGCUUACUCGUUCACUUGGAUAUGCACAGGCGUCAAGUCUAUUGAGUCACGUUUUUGCAUUAGGCCAGGUCACGCUAGGUCACAUUUUUCAAGCAAAUAACGCACGUCACGGUGCCAAAACAUGAAGGUGAAAGCAUGGCCGAUUCGAGAGACACGAAUAUGAAAAACACGGACCUGAAGUCCAUGUAGGGUCAUGAUUUGUACUCUUAAACUCGUGGACUUUCUGUUUCGAAUGCUUCUGUCGACUCGUUCAGACGGAGAGGCACGACCGAUCAGCUUCAACAGUGAACACCCACUAUUCACUGUUUUGGCAGAAACACGGGCGAGUGUGACUCUGUAUACUCUGUGAUUCCGCUUACUCAUUCACUUGGAUACGCACGGGCGUUGAGUCUAUUGAGUCACAUUUUUCCAUUAGGAUGAGUCACGUUAGGCACGCAGUCGCGUUGAUGUAGAAGUCACGUUUUUCAAGCAAAUAACACACGUCAUGGUAAGUGUAGUAUUAUGUAGAGUCACGAGCGUGAAACACGGGCCAGUGUGACUCUGUAUAUUCUGUGAGGCACAUUCUGUGGAGAGGCAUAGUCAUGGUGUGGUAUUAUGUAGAGUCACGCUCGUCUGUGUUUGGUUUCAGAAUAAUUGCGUCGACUCAAUCAGAUGGAGAGGCACGGGCGUUAAUUCUAGAAAGGCACAGUUUGGUUCGAAGUCAUGUUGAACACCCACUGUUUACUCUGUGAUGCAUGGAAUGGCCUAUUAGAGAGACGCUGGUGUUGUAUAUUGUUCACACGGUCAUGGAUCGGAGGAAGGCACGACAUGGUAUCCUGUAGUUGUGUUCCAAAUGAUUCCGUUGACUCGUUCAGAAGAAGAGGCACGACCAUGAAUGUCAUGAGGGCAUGGUUGGGUCUGUCGGAGCGUCACAUUUUGUACGUUUAAUAUCGAAACAAAGCGGAAUGAGUUUAGAUGUUGAUGCUAAAGGUUUACAUUGCGAGUGGCCGGUUCGACAGUUGGGGUGUUUAAAAGCGUAAGCUCCUUGUUUUCAAAAGGCACGGCUUUGUGCUGAGUUGCGUGGCACUUUUUUUAUUAGAAGAACGGGUGUGAAGUGAAUACAGCCACAGUUCUGUACUAGGCAGCUACAUGACUUGUGCACUGACGAUGGCGUGGAUGUUCGUGGCAGUGUUAAGGGUCACAGGCACGGGCGUGCGACGCUAAAGGGCAUGCUGCUGUAUAAUAUAGAGUCACGCUCUUGUGUGUUUGUGUUCCGAAUAAUUCCAUCGACUCGAUCAGACGGAGAGGCGCGGGCGUUCAGCCCACAAAGGCACCAUCAGGGUUCGUUCCUUGGUUUUUAGGCGCACAGACGCGUGGAUGUAGAAGGCACAUUUUUCAAGCAAAGAACGCACAUCAUGAUGCCACGUUUUUUAAGCAAAACACGGACCUGAAGUCCGUAUAGCCACUGUUCUGUACUAAGUAGAAUCAUGACUUGUACUCAUAAACAUGUGGACUUUCAUGCCUCCUGGCAAUAUUUUGGGCCACAGGCACUAGCGUGCAUGCCACAAAGGCAUGGUGCUUUUUUAUACAGAGGCACACUCACCCGUGUUUCUGUUUCGAAUGCUUCUGUCGACUCGUUCAGGCGAAGAGACACGGCCGGUCAGCCGACAGAGGUAUAGGGUUGCAUUACGCACAGUCAGCGUCACAUUACCAUGGGUGUAUGAUUUUGGUAUUUCGAAAUGAUUGCACUCUCUUAUUCUGUUGGAGAGGAAUGGACGUGAAUCCGGCAGAGGCAAGUCUUCUUAUUAGCUAGAGUCACGUUCGUUUCUUUAGUUGGAGUAACCCAGCAGAAUGGGUUCAGAUGCGAACACUCAUUGUUGAAGUUGUUUUUGAAAGCUUCUUUCCUUGUUUUCAAAAGCACAGUCACGGUUCUUUGUUGUACUCAAUAAAGGCAUUGACUCGAUUUGAUGGAGAGUCAUAGGCAUGGUGUGGUAUUAUAUAGAGUCACGCUCGUCUGUGUUUGUGUUCAGAAUAAUUCUGUCGACUCGACCCGAUGGAGAGGCACGGGCAUUAUUUCGUUUGUCGGAACAUGUAGAUGAGUAGGCUAGGGUCAUGGAUGUCACUUGUUAGCAGUAGGAGCACGGUUGUGCUUCCACCAGAGGCACUUCGUUAGCCCGCGGGGAGCACGUUUUUGCGAACCGUGCGUAGUUUUGGUUCAAAUAAUUCCGCUUACUCAUUCACUUGGAUACGGACGGGCGUCGAGUCUACUGAGGCUGAGGCACGUUAGGCACGCAGUCGCGUCGAUGUAGAAGGCACGUUUUUGAAGCAAAGAACGUACAUCAUAGUGCUAAAACAUGAAGGUGAAAGCAUGGCAGAUUCGAGAGACACGAAUAUGGAUAACACAGAACUGAAGUCCAUGUAGUCUCGGUUCUGUAGUAAGAAGGGUCAUGAUUUGUACUCUUAAGCUCAUGGACUUUCAUAGCUCUAUGUGUUGCAGUAUUUCGGGUCACAGGCACGGGCGUGCAGCCUACAAAGGCAUGGUGUGGAAUUACAAAGAAUCACGGUUCUGUGUUAAGUGGUGCCAUGACUUGCGUACUCAUGACGAAGAGUACGUUUCAGAAACCCAAUGGUCCGACGGGCGUCUCCUCCGGUGGCACCGCUCUGGCUCAUCGUCCGAGGUGAUCCUCUGGCUAUUUAAGGCGGACAGACGGAGACUCGAAACCCUAGCCACAUCCUACUCCUCUCUUUGUUCGCCGCCAGGUCUUCCAUUUCUCUUGCUCCUCUCUAUCAUUUGACCGUCUCCGCCAUGGUUGGGCAGAAGAAGACUACUCCGGACGGCCGUGCCCUGUCGCGGGAGGAGAUCCCGGCCGGCGAGGGUUGCUCAUCUGUAAGUUCACCCUGUUUGUGGUUUUCAUUCAUUUGUUUUUUCUAUGUUUCUCCUAAUUGAUUUAGUUUGUGAAACAUGGAUUAUUGUGGUUAGCUUAUUCCUAAUUUGAUGCGGGUUUGUCUUGCUGAUACUGAUUUACAGUCAUUUGGAGCUACUCUCAUUAACCUGGUCAAUGGGAUGAAUGCCUUGGUUUCAAUAGCAAAGGUUGACAGAACGUACAAGGAGUUGCUGGAGGUCACCUACGAAUGGCAGCAGUUCUACCAGGAAAUAAGAGAAGAUUUGGACAAGGCCAAUGCUAAGAUCGUACAAAUUACGGCUGUGGGGAGUAAUCUCUUUGAAGAGCACACCCGGUCGUUGGAGGAAUCAACGUCAGCUGUGAAGCGACAUGAAGAGAAUAUGAAGGCGCUGAAGGAGGAGAUUGAUGAACUGCGUCGGGAGAAAACCAAUAGGAAGGUCGGUGGAGACUAGAUAUAUAGCAGCGUCCCUGGCUGUUGUGUGCGUCUGGUGUUGUUAGGCAGUGGAGUGGGGUUUCUUACCUUGUCUUGCGAAAUUUCUCUGUCAGCUACUUUGUUAACAAAAUGUAUUUUGGUUUCGAGUAUCAUUGUAAUUAGGCACCGUUACUUAUGAUGCACGGGACGUGAAGUCUCUACAUCCACGGUUGUGAACGUAGUACUGUAAUGACUUGCGUACUGAUGCAGGCGUGUAUGUUCGUGGGAUUUGUGUGUUGCAGUGUUUCGGGUCACAGACAAGGGCUUGCAUCCCACAAAUUCAUGGUGUGGUUUUAUAUAGAGUCUUGUUCGCUUGUAUUUGUGUUCGAAAUGAUUCUGUUGACUCGUUCAGAAAAAUAGGCACGCACGCAGGUGAAUCCCAUGGGGGCAUGGUUUCGUCUUUCGCAUAGUCACGUUCGUACGUUUAUCAUUGAAUGAAAGCAGGAUGGGUUUAGAUGUUAAUGCUAGAUGUUUACUUUGUGAGUGGCCGAUUGUAGAUUCGAGUUGUUUAAAAGAAUAAGUUCCUUGUUUUUAAAAGCCACGGUUCUGUACUGAGUUGCGUCACACUUCCUUUAUUAGAAGCACUAGGGUGAAGUGAAUACAGCCGCGGUUCUGUAGCAGGCAGCGACAUGAGUUGUGUACUGACAAUGCCGUUGACAUUCGUUGUACUGUUAAGGGUCAGAGGCAUGGGCGUUAAGCGCUAAGAGGCAUAGUGCCGUAUAAUAUAGAGUCAGGCUCCCUAGCAUUUCUUUUCUGAGUGCUUCCGUCGACUCGAUCAGAAGGAGAGGCACGGCCGAUCAGCCCACAGAGGCAUAGCUUUGCAUUAAGCACAGUCACGUUCGUUUUUUUAACCCAGCGGAAUGGGUUGAGACGCCAAUACUUACUAUUGAAUCUGUGAGGCACCGAAUGGCCUAUGUGAGAGACGCUGUUUUGAAAAGCUUGUUUCCUUGUUUACAAAAGCACAGUCACACUUCUUUUUUGAUGUUUUGUAUAUUACUCGAUAGAGGCAUGGACUCGAUUAGAUGGGAGAGGCACGGGCAUGGUGUGGUAUUAUAUAGAGUCACGCUCGUCUGUGUUUGUGUUCCGAAUAAUUCCGUUGACUCUAUCAGAUGGAAAACCAGCGGAAAGGCACCGUUUGGUCUUACCCACAGUCACAUUCAUUUCUUUAAUUGCGGAAACCUAGCGGAAAAGGUUCAGACGUGAACACUCACUGUUUACUCGGUGAAUCAUGGAAUGUCUUGUUCGAGAGAAGCUGCUGUGGUGUAUUCUUUGCACCGUGGUGGGUCUCAAGAAGUGACAGCGUGGUAUUGUGAAGAGUCAUGUUAUGUUGUUUUCGUGUUCCAAAUGAUUGUUGUUGAACCGUUCGCAUCGGCAGGCACAUCCAUGCAACGUGAAGAGGCAUGGUUAUGCUUUACCAAGAGUCACAUUUGUGCGUUUAUCACGGAAACCCAAUGGUUCGGCGGCCGUCUCUUCAUACCUUGGGAGUUAACGCCAUGUGGCGCCCCUCCAGAAACCUAUCGGUCCGACGGGCGUCUCCUCCAUUAUCGGUGCUCUGGCUCAUCGCCCGAGGCCAGGCUCCGGCUAUUUAAGGCGGACGGACGGAGUCGCGAAACCCUAGCCACAUUCUACUCCUCGCUUCGUCCGCCGCCAGGCCUUCCAUUCCUCUUGCUCAUCUCUAUUCACUGACCAUCUCCGCCAUGGCUGGGCAGAAGGGGACUACUCCGGACGGUCGUGCCCUAUCGCGGGAGGAGAUCCCGGGUCGCGAGGGUUCCUCGUCUGUAAGUUCACUCUGUUUUUGCUUCUACUUCAUUCAUUUUUUCUUUCUUUCGGCUCAUUUGAUUUAGUUUGUGAAACAUGAUUUAUUGUGGUCAGCUGACUCCUAGGGUUAGUCUGUGUCAUGGUCUUGAACAGAAGUCCCCUGCUGUAGAAUUGGGGAGCAGAUGUGGCUCGAGAGAGAAGGGAAUGGUGAGCGGGGCGGCGACGGGAAGUGCUAUGAGGUCCUUGUUAGUUACUCUCAAUAACCUAGUCGACGAGAUGAAUGCUUUGGUUUAAAUUCCAAAGGCUGACAAAACGUGUGAGCAGCUGCUAGAGAUCACCUACGCGUGGAAGAAGCUUUGCCUGGAAACAGAGGAAGAUUUUGAGAAGGCAAAUGCGAGGAUCGUAGAGAUUACGAAUGAGACGAGAAAUCUCCUUGGAGAGCACAUCCGGUCGUUGCAGGAAACGGCCGCAGCUGUGAAGCGACAUGAUGAGAAUAUGAAGGCGCUGAAGAAGGAGAUUGAUAAACUGCGCCUGGAGCAAACUAGCAACAAGGUCGGUGGGGACUAGGUAUACAACACCGUCCCUGGCUAUUGUGUGCGUCUGGUGUUGUUAAGCAGUGGAUUAACAAAAUGUAUUUGGUUUCGAGUAUCAUUGUAAUUAGGCGCCAUUACUUAUGAUGCAUGGGACAUGAAGUAUCUGCAUCCACUGUUGUGUACCUAGUAUUGUAAUGAUGUACUGAUGAAGGCAUGUACGUUCGUGGCUUUUUUGUGUUGGCAGUGUUUCGGGUCACAGACACGGGCUUGCAUCCAACAUAUUCAUGGUGUAGUUUUAUAUAGAGUCACGUUCGCGUGUAUUUGUGUUCGAAAUGAUUCUGUUGACUCUUUGAUAAAUAUAGGCACGCACGUGAAUCCCAUGGGGGCAUGGUUUCGUCUUUCCCGUAGUCACAUUCGUACGUUUAUCAUGGAAUGAAAGCAGGAUGGGUUUAGAUGUUAAUGCUAGCUGUCUACUUUGUGAGUGUCCGAUUCGAGAGUCGAGUUGUUUAAAAGCGUAAGUUCCUUGUUUUCAAAAGCCACGGUUCUGUACUGAGUUACGUCACGCUUCUUUUAUUAGAAGCACAAGCGUGAAGUGAAUAUAGCCGCGGACGAUGACUUAUGCACUGACGAUGGCGUGGACGUUCGUGCUAGUGUUAAGGGUCACAGGCAUGGGCGUGAAGCGCUAAAAGGCAUGCUGCCGUAUAUUAUAGAGUCACAUUCCCGUGUGUUUGAGUUCCGAAUGAUUUCGUCGACUCAAUCAGACAGAAAGGCACGGGCGUUCAGCCCACAAAGGCACCGUCGUGUUCUUUCUUUAAUUGGGGAGUCCCAGAGGAACUGGUUCAGAUGUGAACACCCACUGUUUACUCUGUGAGGCACGGAAUGGCCUAUUCGAGAGACGCUGGUGUGGUAUAUUCCUCUCACGGUCAUGGGUCCCAGGAAGGCACAGCGUGGCAUUGUGUAGAGUGACGUUAGUUUGUCUUGGUGUUCCAAAUGAUUCUGUUGAAUCGUUCACACUGAAAGGCACAACUAUGAAGCCAGGACAGGCACGGUGAUGCGUUACCCAGUGUCACAUUCAUGUGUUGAUUGCAGAAACCCCACCGUUUGACGGGCGUCGUGUGAAUGCCGGCUGGACGUCGCUCCGGAAACCCAAGGGUCCGACGGGCAUUUCCUCUGGUGACGCCGCUCUGCAGGAGGUGGAGGUAGUAUUUAAUAGAGUGAACGCCAUGUGUCGACGUUGCGGAAUCCAAAAGGACCGAUUGCCGCCUCAUCCACCGGGGAAGUGAAUGCCACGUGUCAGCGUUCCGGCUCCUCGCUCGAGGUCAAGGAGCAGUUAUUUAAGCCGAGCGGCGUCCGCCACCACUAGACAUCAUCCUGCUUCUCCCUCUUUCGUCGGCAAUCCUAGGAAAUCAUCCAUCUUCCUCUUUUCGUUUGUGACAUUCCCCGCCAUGGUUCGGCACAAGAUAACUACUUACGCGAUGCUUACUCCCGAGCGCCGCUUUCAGUUGCAGGAGGACAUCCGGUCGAGGCGCGCCGCUCGGGUCGUAGCGGGCAUGUCUCUGGACUCACCGGGGCCGGAGGAGAUUGGGGAGGUGGAGGAAGUGGAGGGGCGUGCGUCGGAGCUCAUGCAGGAAGUUGAUCUAGUGGGGGGAGAUGUCAUGGAGGAAGAGGAGGGGUGAUCCAGUUGGGGGAGAUCUGAUGGAGGAAGAGGAGGUGGGUGACGAUGAUGACGAGGACGACGAGGAAGGCGUGGACAAAGAUGAGGAGGACGAUGAGGAAGGCAUGGAGGAGGAUGNNNNNNNNNNNNNNNNNNNNNNNNNNNNNNNNNNNNNNNNNNNNNNNNNNNNNNNNNNNNNNNNNNNNNNNNNNNNNNNNNNNNNNNNNNNNNNNNNNNNNNNNNNNNNNNNNNNNNNNNNNNNNNNNNNNNNNNNNNNNNNNNNNNNNNNNNNNNNNNNNNNNNNNNNNNNNNNNNNNNNNNNNNNNNNNNNNNNNNNNNNNNNNNNNNNNNNNNNNNNNNNNNNNNNNNNNNNNNNNNNNNNNNNNNNNNNNNNNNNNNNNNNNNNNNNNNNNNNNNNNNNNNNNNNNNNNNNNNNNNNNNNNNNNNNNNNNNNNNNNNNNNNNNNNNNNNNNNNNNNNNNNNNNNNNNNNNNNNGGCAUGGAUGAGGAUGAGGAGGGCGACGAGGAAGGCGUGGAUGAGGAUGCGGAGGACGACGAGGAAGGCGUGGACGAGGAUGACAAGGACGACAAGGAAGGCGUGGAUGAGGAUGAGGAGGACGACGAGGAAGGCAUGGACGACAAGGAUGACGAGGACAUCGAGGAAGGCGUGGACGACGAGGAUGAGGAGGACGACGAGGAAUGCGUGGACGAGGAUGACGAGGACGACGAGGAACGCGUGGGCGAGGAAGACGAGGCGGAGUUCUAUCUCGGUGAGUCGGCCUUGAUGGCGGAGCAGACCGCUAUCCUCGAGUCCAUCCAAGAUGAGGCGUAUGUGGAGUCCAACCGGUGCUUCCUCCAGGAAGAACAGGCGAAGACCGAUGCUCUCUUCGACGAGCUGGAUGCGGAGCGGGAGGCGGAGGUCAAUGACAUCGAUAUCAGAAUGGAGAUAGUGGACAUCUCCGACGGCGGGGAGUAGUGUAGUUUUGUUGGUAGAUGUUUGCUUUUCCAUGGUUUUUAUGCUUUCCAUGUCAAGCAAUCGUCGAUGUCAAAAUGGAGACAGUUUCGUUUCCAUGUUAAGCAAUCGUGUUUUGUUCUUAAGUAGUAGUACUGCCCCAUCCAAAAAGAAAUGUGUCAACUUUGCAAUAACUUCGUACCAGGCAGAACAAUUCACAUUGUACUGGUUAGUGCAAUGUUGAGAAAAUUAAUUUGUGACGGAAGGUGUAUGUUUUAUUACAAAUUGCAGUUUCUAGUACAAUAUUUUUGUCAGAAGGCAUAUGUUUUAUUACACUGUAUUGUUUUAUUAUAGAUUACAGUUUCAAGUAGUACAAAAUAAACGUCUCAACUGGGGCACAUAUUUUAUUCUAAAGAUUUUAGUGUGGUUAGAUUUGAAUAUGGUUUCAACAUGGUUAGAUUCUAUAGAGGCAUUCAACAACAUGCCCAAAAAAGCCACAGAUGUGCUUCUAAGAACACGGACAGGGGUACGGUUUUACCCAAUGUAGAGGCACGCACGUAACGAACUGGAGGCACGGACGUGAUUCUAAUGGAGGUACGGACGCAAAAUGAUCGUGAUGCAAGGAUGUGAAGGUGUGCCUCUGCUUUAAAGAAUCUGUCAUUCACACGUUUUCAUUGCGGGGGGCAUGAACUAUGAGCUGCAUGUGUUUUUGAAGGCAUUAGACCUCGUUAAUGAACUUAUUAGGGAGAAGGUGAAUCUUUUGGUUGGCGUCUAGAAUGUUGCGUAAAACUGCUUGAAGCCAAGUUACGCACGGUCCCCUUGGUAUGAGAGGCACAUAGGCACAUAAGUGCCUAUGUGGUGCACUGGAAAUAAACUUGUGCAAAAGACAUGUAAACUUCAAGCAAACUACAAGGUUAACUACAACACAAGCAAACCUAAAUUUAUAACAAGAAAACGACAGUCUUGAGAGAAAGCAAAUCUAAUGAGAAAUCGAGAAUGGCGUGAGCAAUGUUCUAGAUACUUUUUUUGGUCGGGACCACCUGCUUCAGUAGUCGUAGUCGCCAUAGGACCUAGCGCGCUUCCUGGUCUGCUUCUUGUCGAGUUUUUCCCGGUGAAGCCCUUCCUGGAUGAUGGUGAGGUGGCUCCAUAUCUCGUACGCAGCGUAAGCGUCCUUUGUCGCGUACCCGGUGUGCCUCAUGGACAGGGUCAUGCACGCCCAGCGCUGCUUCUCUGCGUUGGUGGGCUCUACGUCGUGGACAAGGAUGCCUGAGGUGUCCCAAAGGGAGUCUAGAGGCUUGGUAGCUGUAGGCACCCUCCAUUCUUUCUGGAUGUCGACGAAGUGGGCGAUCUCCAAUCCGACGCGGCCGAGCAUCUCUAUGUCGCCGUCGAUGGAGAAGCCAACAAACGUGUACCUGGGGUCGGCGAGGAAGUUGUCGAACCUGGUGCAGUUCUUGUCGGCGGCGCUCAGUUGAAAGAGCAGCACCGGAUGAUCCUUGCCGACGGAGAGCUGGACGAGGGCUGGUUUAUGAUCUUGGCCAACGUCGUUGGUGUACUCCACAUCAACUCUGACGAUCUUGUGGCGCUCGAAUUCAAGGUGUCGCUCGUACUACUCGAUGAUGGUGGCCGCCUUGUGCAACUCGUUGUUCUGGAUCACUUGCAACUUGGUGUUGUCGUGGGCCUGCACCUCGAAUUCCUUGGUGAAUCCCAAGGCCUGGAGCAGUUCGUCCUCCUGCAACCUGGUAUUUCAUGGGGAACAGUGAGUGGGAGCGCAAUGGCGAUUUCUGUUGUUUGUGGGAGACAAGUCCACAGCAGAAGUGUAAAUUUAAGGGCGGGGAAGCAGCAAAGGAGUGCACGAUCUCAUUGUCGAUGCGGUUGUGCACAUCGUGGGUUCUGGAUCAUGGUUUCGUCUCCCUUAUGGUGCGGUUGUGCACAUCCUGGGUUUUUGAUCGUGGUUGUUCUAUAUAAAAAAUUAAAAUAAAAUCAGCAGUUAUGUUUUUAACAAUCGUCGUAUCUCCAGCAAAUCGUGGCGAUGAUAGCUGUCUUGCGUGGUUUGCUGUCAAAUCUUAACAUUUCCAAUUUAUCUAGUGAGGCAUGCAGGGGCAGUAUGUAGAGGCACAAGUCUCUGACCAAGAGAAGCAUGCUUGAAGUGGCUGGUUUAACUCUCAGACACACAGGCGUGGUACAUUCAUAAGGAGUGGCAAAUGUUUUCUUCAUACAUUCGCUGGGAGGAGCAGUGUUGUGUUUAAAUAGAGGCACUGUUGUGUGUCCGUGUUGCAACAGACGCUACCAGAUGGACAGAAAUAACGAGAAGCAAUGAGAGGCGUGGACAUGCAGCUGCAAGAAGCAUUCAUACAACAAGAGGCGCCACAAGAGGCACAGAUACGAUGCUACGUGAGGCACGGAGAUGAAGCUACGUGAUUAUACGUACGUUAAUUCCUGCUAUGGUGCGACGUGAGGCACGAGCACGAACAGAUAGCCAUGCACUCAACUACAUACGCAAAAAACCACAUAUGUGUUUCUGAGAAGCACCGGCCUCCGUUGUUUUACCGCAAUGUGGGAUUCGACAUUUAUCCAGGGCAUUCCGGGUUUUACAAGUGUAGGAAGAAUCGUUUUUCAAAUAUAUGUUCUGUGGCAGAGGCACGACUAUUACUUGUGUGACGAAGGAAUGUAUGACGAAGGUACGUGACGUGAGGAUUGACAAUAGGCGUCUAUUACUGUUUUGGAAUGUUUUUCAGUUAAAUUUGAGAGGCAUGAAUGUGUUGACGGAACAGGCACAGUUAUGUCUGAAAUAGUUGCAAGGUCGUCCCUAAGUUGUCCUAUACGCUUCAUAGUUACAAGCACGGUCGUCGUACUUGUCGAGACAUGGAGGUGUAGGAUGGAGCCUAUGCCGCUGCGAUAGUCACGUCCCAUAUUAAGAAGGAAGCAAAUCUUCAUAGACCCGAUACGUCGGAAGUUGGCCGUAAGGCACGGACGUGAUUCUAAGGGAGGUACGGACGCGAAGGAUCGUGAUGCAAGCACGUGAAGGUGUGCCUCUGUUUUCAAGAAGCUUUCAUUGGCACGUUUUCAUUGCGGGGGCCAUGUCCUAUGAGUUCGAUGUGUCUUCGAAGGCAUUCGGCCUCAUUAACGGACCUGAAGCCAAUUUACGCACGGUCCCCAUAGGAGUGGAGGCAGAGAAGUGCCUCCGUGGGUGUUUUAAGUAGUUGGUGUUAUUGACGGUCAACCGUGCCUCUGUAGUGUUCUUCUUUGAGCGUCACGGACGUAAGCAAUGUUUUGCAAGGAGAAUAAACACCUAACUACCUCUGUAUUCAAAAUGUUUUUCAAAAGUGUUGCAUUCGAACUAUUUUUAAUAUUGCAUGUGCAAUGGUUUGUUAGAACAUUGUGCAUUGCUUUUAGUAGCAUUUUGUAAUUGUUGUCCCUGCAUUUCGACGCUGCAUCCACAAAGUAACUAGUGCAUGUACGUUACGCUAAUCAUGUAGCAUCUGUCCUGUGUUUAUAUUUUCUAGUUCACGCCAAUAUAUUCUAAUAAUAGAAAACCCCAACAUUGCAUUGGAAAUAAACUAUGUAAACUCGAAGCAAACUACAAGGUUAACUACGACACAAGCAAAUCUAAAUUUAGAACAAGCAAACGGUAGUCUUGAGAGAAAGCAAAUGUAACGAGAAAUCUAGAAUGGCAUGAGCAAUCUUGUAGAUACUUUUCUUGGCCGGAACCACCUUCUUCAGUAGUCGUAGUCGCCCCAGGACCUUGCGCGCUCCCUGGACUGCUCCUUCUCAAGUUUUGCCCGGCGGAGCCCUUCCUGGAUAGUGGUCAGGCGACUCCAUAUCUCAUACGCAGUGUAAGCAUCUUUUGCCGCGUACUUGACGUGCCUCAUGGUCAGGAGCAUGCGCGCCCAGCGCUGGUGCUCUGCGUUGGUGAUCUUCUUCUUCAUGUCCUUGUAGUAGUCAUGGACAAGGAUGCCUGAGACAUCGCCGAGCGAGUCCAGGGGCUUGGUAGCUGUAGGCACCCUCCAUUCCUUCUGGAUGUCGACGAAGUGGGCGAUCUCCAGUCCGACGCGGCCGAGCAUCUCUAUGUCACCGUCGAUGGAGAAGCCAGCAAACGUAUACCUGGGGUCGGUGAGGAAGUUGUCGAGCCUGGUGAAGUUCUUGUCAGCGGUGCUAAGUUGAAAGAGUAGCACCGGGUGAUCCUUGCCGACGGAGAGUUGGACGAGGGCUGGUUUUUGAUCUUGGCCAACGUCAUUGGUGUACUCCACAUCAACUCCGACGAUCUUGUGGCGCUCGAAUUCGAGGUGUCGCUCAUACUGCUCGAUGAUGGUGGCCGCCUUGUGCAACUCGUUGGUGUGGAUCACUUGCAACUUGGUGUUGCCGUGGGCCUGCACCUCGAAUUCCUUGGUGAAUCCCAUGGCCUAAGAAGUUUGUCCUCCUGCAACCUGGUAUUUCAUGGGGAACAGUGAGUGGGAGCGCAAUGGCGAUUUCUGUUGUUUGUGGAAGACAAGUCCGCAGCGGAAGUCUAAAUUUAAGGGCGGGGAAGCGUCAAAGGAGUGCAUGAUCUCACUGUCGAUGCGGUUGUGCACAUCGUGGGUUGUCGAUCGUGGUUUCGUCUCCCUGACGGUGCGGUUGUGCACAUCCUGGGUUUUUGAUCGUGGUUUUUCUUUAUGAAAAUUAAAAUAAAAUCAGCAGUUAUGAUUUUAACAACCGUCGAAUCUCCAGCAAGUCAGGGAGAUGAUCGUUGUCUUGCGUAGUUUGUUGUCUAAUGUUAACUUUUACAGUUUAUCUCGUGCGCAAGUCUCUGACCAAGAGAAGCAUGAUUGAAGUGGCUAGUUUAACUCUCGGACACACGGGCGUGGUACAUUCACUGGUCAUGGCAAUUGUUUUCAGUGAUACAUUCAGUUUGCCGUCAAAUGUUAACUUUUUGCACUCUCGUUGUAUAAGUGAUGUGCUUUAUCAGCGGCACUGUUGCGUGUCUAUGUUGCAACUGACGCUACGAGAUGGGCAGAAAGAACGAGAAGCAACGAGGGGCGUGGACAUGCAGCUGCAAGAAGCACCUAUACAACAAGAUGCGUAGAUAGAGGCACACAUACGGUGCUACGUGAGGCAUGGAGAUGAAGUUACGUGAUUACACGGAUGUCAAUUUGUUGCUAUGGUGCUACGUGAGGCACGGGCACGAACAAAUAGCCGUGCACUAAACUACAUGCGCAAAAAGCCACAUAUGUGUUUCUGGGAAGCACCGGUCUCCAUGGUUUUACCGCAAGGUGGGAUUCGACAUUUAUUCAGGGCAUUCCGGGUUUUACAAGUGUAGCAAGAAUCGUUUUAAACUUAUAUGUUAUUCUGUGACAAAGGAAUGAACGUCGAAUGUACGUGACGUGAGGAUUGACAAUAGGCGUCUGUUACUGUUUUCCGGAAUGUUUUUCAAUUAGCUGUUAGAGGCAUGAAUGUGCCAACGGAAUAGGCACGGUCAUGUCUAAAAUAGUUGCAAGUACGAUAUGGGCACGAAAAGAAACGAGGGGCGUGGGCAUGCAGCUGCGAAACGCACUUAUACAACGAGAAGCAUAGCUAGAGGCACAGGUACGACGCUACGACAUGAAGCUAUGUGAUUGCAUGGGCAUCAAACUGUGCCCGUGUUCUGUCAAGUGUUUUAACCGACAGUUUGUAAAGGCAUGGAUGUUUAAGGUGACUGAGCCAUAGGGGAAGGCGCUAGGUUUUUAGGAGGUGUAUGCUUGAGCUCAUCGCAACAAACUACUUGGCAUGAAGAUAUUAUGCGGAGCACCAUAGUGAAAAUUAAUUAUACUACUGACGUGGGGAGCUAGCAACGUCACUAAACUAUUCUGAAACACACUUCACCACAGCCAUACAUUCUCCAUUAUUAGUCAGCGAAUCCUUUUAUUAUUAGUCAGCGACUCCUUUUAUCAUUCUCCAUUAUUACUGUAAGUGUUUCACCUUCUUUGACAAGAAAUUUCCACCACCAUCCUCUUCGAGAUAAUUAUAUGCUCAGUUACAUAUCAUGACAUAACUAAAUAACCAAACUGGUGUGUAAAACCUAUUCAAAAAACAGACAUAAAUUACUAAACUAGGAAGUAUAGCCACAGGCAGCGCUCUAUCAGGAAAGGUCGUUGAUUAUCAUCCGCAGCAAUUUCAUGUUUCCCAGUGUUGGCCACCGCUUUUCAAUUGUGACAAGAACAAUUGAACCAACACUUAGCUGAGCUUCCCGGGCAAAAUCUGAAAAACCUGUCACCUCCAUUCUGUCGUCGGUUCGUAUGGAGUACGUUGUGCUCGUGUCUAUUGCAUCGUACAUCUCUGUUAGGAUGAUUCCACCGUUUUGAGGUAGAUAUCCUAGGUUCAUCUUUAGAAGCCUCACAAUGGCAGAUGGGAUUCUCUGCAGAUUGUACCGAUAUUACUAGAUAAAAUCAUUGUACAAGGACAUAAAACAUCAAAAAUAACAAACAAAACCAUGGCAGUGGAUCAAAACAAAUAUUCAAUGACUAACCAGGCGACAUUUAUGACAUUGGUGACGUUUAGACGCUGCACAAAGGGUAUGGUGGGGAAGUCGUCAGACUCAAACACAUAGUAUAUCAUCUGUCCAAAUUGUCUAUAUGAGAGGUUUACGCCUCGACCAAACAUUGUUUUCUCUAUGUACUCCCUUUCACUACAAGGAUUCCGGCCUAUUGCAACAAAAUUUAUUGCUACAGCUACGUUUUGUUCCAAUAAAGCGCAAUAUUACCACAAAUUCUCUCAUUAUGGUAAUAGGCCGCACAUAUUGCCAUAACUUAGUUUCAUCGCGAUAAAUACUAACAUUGUUGCAAUACAGGCCUCAUAUUUCAACAAACUGUAUCGGCGUUGCAAUAUGGUAGCGUUAUUGCGACAAACAAAUUCCUUUGCGCGAGGGUAGUCAUUUUGUUGUAAUAGAGACUAGGUAUUUCAACGGAAUAACUAUCCGUGGCAAUAUUCAAAAAGAUAUUACGACAUCGGCGUGAUGUUGCAUUAGUUACAAAUAUUGUUGCAAAAAAGUGGCUAACUAUUGCAACAAACUGCAUCAGCGUUGCAAUAUGGUAAUGAUAUUGCGACAAACAAAUUCCGUUGCGGGAAGCAGCCAUUUUUAAUAGAGACUAGAUAUUCAACAGAAUAACUAUUGUGGUAAUAUUUGAAAAUAUAUUGCAACAUCAGUGCGACCUUGCAUUACUUACAAGUAAAACAGUGGAAAAAUAUAUUAUUUGAAUUUAUAGAUAUUAAGUUAUGAUUUUUGCAAGCUUUAAGGAGCAAUUAAAAUAUAUUUUAAUUGCACCAAUUUCAAUUAACCAAAACAAUAAAAAGUUUAUAAAUGGAUAGAAUACACUUUAUUGAUAGGAAUAUAUAUAUAAAUAAUUUGUUCAAUUUGGAUUUGAAAUGGUCAAGUUGUUGCCAUUUUAAAACUAGGGUGUUUUCGGCCAAAACAGGGACUUGUCAGAUAGAAACCAAAAAUGAGCCACAAUUGGGGGAGUACUUGCAGAUUGGUACGACUUUUCAGUCUGUUACAGAAUGAUCUAAACCGCGUAUUGACGGUGUAUCUGACCAUAGGGGCCUGUUUGUCAGGUGCUGACAGGCAUGUUCUUUUGCAAGAAAAAAAACCCUUAUAAUUCUUAUUUAUGUUUGCCAAAAAAGCGUCUUUUCCACUGAAGAAAUUUUCAGAAAAACAACAAAGCGUGCGCCCGACGGGAUUCGAACCCUCGAGAGGCCGCUUACCGCGCAAGCACUCUCACCGCUGCACCACUGCAGGAGUUCAUUCUUCUGGCAUACCCUCUUUUACACCAGAAGCUAAUUGCAAAACUUCGGAGAAAUAAAAGCGCCCCGCAAGCAUUCGGAACUGGGGGAAAACCUCCGCGAUGAGCACUCGUCGCCGCUGCUCCAUUGCGCCGUUCCUUUGAAAUAGCAGACGUAUUUCUUUGUAUAGUUUUGGUACGUUGCGUUUUUUUAUCUGUUUUUUUUUGGUAUUUCUUUUAUCUUUUUUUCCAGAUCUUGCGUAUUCUUUGGAUCGUAUGCAGUGUGCGUAUUGUAUAUUGAAAAAAUUGUACACACAUAUGUAUAUGGUAUAUUAAAAGAAUGUUCAAUUAUAUACGAUGAACAUUUUUAUAAUACGAAAAAGUUCAUUGUAUAUUAAUAAAAUGAUCAAUGUUCAGUGUGUUUUUACAAAAAACAUCGCAUACUAAAAAGUUCACUGUAAAUUAAAAAAAUGUUAAAAGUAUUGAAAAAGGGUCUUAUGUAUAUUAUACAAUUUUGCGUGUUGUUCCGAUUCUACGAAGAAGGGUCCAAUGAAUAUUCAAUGUUCAAUGUUAUGAGUCUAUGAAGAAGGGUCCUAUGCAUAUUAUAGAAUACACAUAAAUAUGCCGUUUAUACACAUAAAUAUGCCGUGUAUAUAUACAUUGUAUUUCUAUAUAUUAUACACGUAAACAUACAAUUUUGUGCGUUGUCCAUAAACUGUAUAUAUGUGUACACACACUAAUCUAGACACACACACACAAACACACACACACACACACACACACACACACACACACACACACACAUAAACACACACACACACGUAAAUUUAUAGUGCAUAUAUAUGUGAUAACAAAUAUGGACACAUAAAUAUACAGUGUAUAUAUAUUUAAAUGGUAUUAUUUAAAUAUAUGAUGAACUUUUUUGUAUUAUAGAAACGUCUGUCGUAUAUAUAGUGAACAUUUUCAUAUAUAUAAAAGUCUACACACACACACACACAUAUAUAUAUAGGGAAAAUCCAUCGUACCACCCGGUGGUAGUUACCCCACAUGUCUCAUAUACUAGGAUAUGGUACUAUAUAUACUAUUUUUUUAUUUUAAAUAUGUUCGUAUACUAUAGUUAAGAUAUUUCAAAACAAGUUACAUGAAAAAAUUGCAUAUGAGCCCAUAGUUUUUGUUAUAUUUGUGAAAUACGUACAUAUUUGUACGUAAAAAAGAGCAUACUCAAAAAAUGAUACAUACUACCUAAAAAUUUAUAUAUAUACUACCUAAUCAUUGUUACAUACUACAUACUACACGUACAUACUCUCGGUUUUGAGAGAUAAUACAUACAACAUACAAAACGUAAGUGGGGGUAACUAUAGAAAGGCAUACUCCUGUUACUUGAUACAAACGGCGGUAUGGCGCAGCGGCGGCGAGCGCUCACCGCGGAGGGCCUGUAUCGGGCUCGAAGCGCUCGCUCGUUUUGGUUUUCCGACUUUUUUUGCAUUCUAUAAAAUUUUUUGUGCCUGCCUGUAGAACCAAGCUAUGGGUUGACUUGGAUCCUGCGCUGCCGGACUUAGCACCGGGUCGUAGCUGUAUAAUUUUGUAUUUCUUUUUGUCAAACUCACAAAAAGAAGUGCAGCUGAGAGGAUCGAUCGUACGAAAGGAAAGAGCGCAAACCACUAGGUUAUCCCAUCGGUUGUGAUAUACAUGCUUUUUUCCUUCUUUUAUUUGUUCUGUCAUUUCGUGGUUUUUUCUCCUGCCGUUUUUAUUCUAUUUUUUUAUUUUUUUCUUUCUUUAUCCCUUUUUCUUUUUUCCAAAUGCAUGGUUUCCUUUCAAAUUCCUGAACUUUUUUAAAAGCAAUGUUGUUUUUUUUUAAAUCCAUGAACUUUUACUUAAAUUCGUGAAGCUUUAAAAAAAUCAUGAACAGUAGCAUCGAUUAUACCAGUCGAACUGGAUAUAGCAACUAAACCAUGAUAUUCCAACAAGGACAGCGGCGGCGGGCUUCUUCGCCCCCCCGCGCGUGGAUCCGAUGCGGGACGGAUCUGGCGGACAAGGGCGUCGUGAUGCGGAGGGUUGCGGCGGCUCGAUCCGGCUUCCUAGCGGAUACGUUGGGAGGCGGGUGACGCAUAUGUGGCCUCCGGUGGUGGGGGUGUGCUCGGUCUUGGUGGCGGCGGUGAUCGCGCAAGAUCCGUGGUACCAAGCACCAGGUGGCGCGAGUUGCGGACGACGAUGGGAGGGAUCCCUAGACACCUCCCAGCGCCAUGGCGUCCGCUCCUCCCCUCCCCUGUCGCUGCCAGAGGGUGUGACCGGGUGAAGCCUGGCCAGCGGCAGCGACGGCAGGGCUCCUUCGCCCCCUCGUGCGUGGAUCCGAUGCAGGACGGAUCUGACGGGCAAGGGCACAAAAAUUUGACAUAUAUCCUAAGUUUUAAUUUUGUCAUAGCAACUAGGGAGUAAACAAUGGUACGCAAUUGUAGAUCCAUGAUGAAACAACACAUUCCUAACACAAAAGAUCUCAAAACAAAAUUGGUUUGGUUGUUAAUUUACACAGUUGAAUCUUUAUGGUUUUCCUUGAAACAAAAAUGACAUGAUGAUUAUCUUGCACCUACUUUGGCGCGAAGGAACCAUCCACGGACUAUCUGGUAAGAUGGAAGAUGUUGAGAUCAUCCCAUCUCAAGAUCAAAAUGUGAGAUCGAGACUGACAUAGAUCGACUGUCUCAUCAACUCAUCCCAUUUAUACUUUUGUUCCAAGUCAAGAGUAUAACCUAGUAGUUUUAAAGUGAGGGCCGCAUGAGGUUUAUGUGAGUUGUAAUUCAAAACUGGCCAAGUUUUUGCUGCUUUCUGAAAUGAUUUUCGAAAUUGUAGUGCAAACCUGGUUGUACCUACAACCGGGUCGUCCGACGACAACGCGCUAGCACCGGUCGCGAACCCUACUUCCGCGUGACGGCCACCCCUACCAGAUUGCAGCUCGUGUCGUCUUGACCUGGGCGGCAGCCCCGGCCAGCGAGCUGCCCCUCUGACCUUGCACGCCGCUCCUGGCCGGCCAUGGUGUUGGGGAACGUAGUAAUUUCAAAAAAAUUCCUACGUACACGCAAGAUCAUGGUGAUGACAUAGCAACGAGAGGGGAGAGUGUUGUCCACAUACCCUCGUAGACCGUAAGCGGAAGCGUUAUGACAACGCGGUUGAUGUAGUCGUACGUCUUCACGAUCCGACCGAUCCAAGCACCGAACGUACGGCACCUCCGAGUUCAGCACACGUUCAGCUCGAUGACGAUCCCCGGGCUCCGAUCCAGCAAAGCUUCGGAGAUGAGUUCCGUCAGCACGACGGCGUGGUGACGAUGAUGAUGUUCUACCGGCGCAGGGCUUCUCCUAAACUCCGCGACGAUAUGACCGAGGUGGAAUAUGGUGGAGGGGGGCACCGCACACGGCUAAGGAACGAUCCGUAGAUCAACUUGUGUGUCUAUGGGGUGCCCCCUGCCCCCGUACAUAAAGGAGGGAGGGGGGAGGCCGGCCGGCCCUUGUUGGGCGCGCCAGGAGGAGGAGUCCUCCUCCUAGUAGGAGUAGGGCUCCUCCUUUCCUACUCCUACUAGGAGGGGAAGGAAGGGGGAGAGGAGGGGAAGGAAAGAGGGGGGCGCUGCCCCCCCCCCUCCUAGUCCAAUUCGGACCAGAGGGAGAGGGGGCGCGCGGCCCUUCCUGGCCGCCCCUCUCUCUUCCCACCAAGGCCCAUGUGGCCCAUUAACUCUCCGGGGGGGUUCCGGUAACCCUCCGGCACUCCGGUUUUCUCCGAAAUCACCCAGAACACUUCUGGUGUCCGAAUAUAGUCAUCAAAUAUAGCAAUCUUUAUGUCUCGACCAUUUCGAGACUCCUCGUCAUGUCCGUGAUCACAUCCGGGACUCCGAACAAACUUCGGUACAUCAAAACUUGUAAACUCAUGAUAAAACUGUCAUCGUAACGUUAAGCGUGCGGACCCUACGGGUUCGAGAACUAUGUAGACAUGACUUAGAACUAUUCUCGGUCAAUAACCAAUAGCGGAACCUGGAUGCCCAUAUUGGUUCCUACAUAUUCUACGAAGAUCUUUAUCGGUCAAAACGCAUAACAAUAUACGUUGUUCCCUUUGUCAUCGGUAUGUUACUUGCCCGAGAUUUGAUCGUCGGUAUCCAAUACCUAGUUCAAUCUCGUUACCGGCAAGUCUCUUUACUCGUUCUGUAACACAUCAUCUUAUAACUAUCUCAUUAGUUACAAUGCUUGCAAGGCUUAGGUGAUGAGUAUUACCGAGAGGGCCCAGAGAUACCUCUCCGACAAUCGGAGUGACAAAACCUAAUCUCGAAUUAUGCCAACCCAACAUGUACCUUCAGAAACACCUGGAGAGCACCUUUAUAAUCACCCAGUUACGUUGUGACGUUUGGUAGCACACAAAGUGUUCUUCUAGUAAACGUGAGUUGCACAAUCUCAUAGUUGCAGGAACUUUGUAUAAGUCAUGAAGAAAGCAAUAGCAACAUACUAAACGAUCAAGUGCUAGGCUAACGGAAUGGGUCAUGUCAAUCACAUCAUUCUCCUAAUGAUGUGAUCCCAUUAAUCAAAUGACAACACAUGUCUAUGGUUAGGAAACAUAACCAUCUUUGAUUAAUGAGCUAGUCAAGUAGAGGCAUACUAGUGACUUUAUAUUUGUCUAUGUAUUCACACGUGUAUCAUGUUUCCGGUUAAUACAAUUCUAGCAUGAAUAAUAAACAUUUAUCAUGAUAUGAGGAAAUAAAUAAUAACUUUAUUAUUUCCUCUAGGGCAUAUUUCCUUCAGUCUCCCACUUGCACUAGAGUCAAUAAUCUAGUUCACAUCGCUAUGUGAUUUAACACUAAUAUUCACAUCUGCAUGUGAUUAAUACCCAUAGUUCACAUCAUCAUGUGAUCAACACCCAAAGGGUUUACUAGAGUCAAUAAUCUAGUUCACAUCGCUAUGUGAUUAACACCCAAAAGAGUACUAAGGUAUAAUCAUGUUUUGCUCGUGAGAGAAGCUUAGUCAACGGGUCUGUCAUAUUCAGAGCCGUAUGUAUUUCGCAAAUAUUCUAUGUCCACAAUGCUCUGCACGGAGCUACUCUAGCUAAUUGCUCCCACUUUCAAUAUGUAUCCAGAUUGAGACUUAGAGUCAUCUGGAUUGGUGUAAAAGCUUGCAUCGUUGUAACUUUUACGACGGGCUCUUUUAUCACCUCCAUAAUCGAGAAACAUCUCCUUAGUCCUCACUAAGGAUAUUCUUGACCCAUGUCCAGUGAUCUACUUAUUAGAUCAAAAUUGUAUUCCUUUGCCAAACACAGAGCAAGGUAUACAAUAGGUCUGGUUCACGGCAUAGCAUACUUUAUAGAACCUAUGACUGAGGCAUAGGGAAUGACUUUUCAUUCUCUUUCUAUUUUCUGCAAUGGUCGGGUCUUGAGUCUUACUCAACUUCACACCUUGUAACACAGGCAAGAACUCCUUCUUUGACUGUUCCAUUUUGAACAAUUUCAAAAAUUUAUCAAGGUAUGUAUUCAUUGAAAAAUCUUAUCAAGCGUUUUGAUCUAUCUAUAUAGAUCUUGAUGCUCAAUGUGUAAGCAGCUUUACCGAGGUCUUUCUUUUAGAGAACUCCUUUCAAACACUCCUUUAUGCUUUGCAGAAUAAUUCUACAUUAUUUCCGAUCAACAAUAUGUCAUUCACAUAUACUUAUCAGAAAUGCUGUAGUGCUCCCACUCACUUUCUUGUAAAUACAGGCCUUUCCAAAAGUCUGUAUAAAACCAUAUGCUUUGAUCAACUCAUCAAAGCGUAUAUUCCAACUCCGAGAUGCUUGCACCAGUCCAUUGAUGGAUCGCUGGAGCUUGCACAUUUUGUUAGCACCUUUAGGAUUAGCAAAACCUUCUGGUUGCAUCAUAUACAACUCUUGUUUAAAAAUCCAUUAAGGAAUGCAGUUUUGAAAUCCAUUUGCCAAAUUUCAAAAAAUGUGGCAAUUGCUAACAUGAUUCAGACAGACUUAAGCAUCAAUACGAGUGAGAAAAUCUCAUCGUAUUCAACACCUUGAACUUGUCAAAAACCUUUUGCAACAAGUCGAGCUUAGUAGAUAGUAACACUACUAUCAGUGUCCAUCUUCCUCUUGAAGAUCCAUUUAUUUAACAUGGCUUGCUGAUCAUCGAGCAAGUCAAUCAAAGUUCAUACUUUGUUCUCAUACAUGGAUCAUAUCUCAGAUUUAAGGCCUCAAGCCAUUUCGUGGAAUCUGGGCUCAUCAUCGCUUCCUCAUAUUUUGUAGGUUCAUCAUGGUCUAGUAACAUGACUUCCAGAACAUGAUUACCGUACCACUCUGGUGCGGAUCUUACUCUGGAAGACCUACGAGGUUUGGUAGCAACUUGAUCUGAAGUUUCAUGAUCAUCAUCAUUAACUUCCUCACUAAUUGGUGUAGGAAUCACUGGAACUGAUUUCUGUGAUGAACUACUUUCCAAUAAGGGAGAAGGUACAAUUACCUCAUCAAGUUCUACUUUCCUCCCACUCACUUCUUUCGAGAGAAACUUCUUCUCUAGAAAGGAUCCAUCUUAGCAACGAAACUUGCUUUCGGAUCUGUGAUAGAAGGUGUACCCAAUAGUUACCUUUGCGUAUUCUAUGAAGACGCACUUCUCCGAUUUGGGUUUGAGCUUAUCAUGCUGAAACUUUUUUCACAUAAGCAUCGCAGCCCCAAACUUUAAGAAACGACAACUUGGGUUUCUUGCUAAACCACAGUUCAUAUGGUGUCGUCUCAACGGAUUUAGAUGGUGCCCUAUUAAACAUGAAUGCAACUGUCUCUAAUGCAUGAUCCCAAAAUGAUAUUGGUAAAUCGGUAAGAAACAUCAUAGAUUGUACUAUAUCCAAUAAAGUACGGUUAUGACGUUCGGACACACCAUUAUGAUGUGGUGUUCCAGGUGGCAUGAAUUUGUGAAACUAUUCCACAUUGUUUUAGUUGAAGACCAAACUCGUAACUCAAAUAUUUGUCUCCGCGAUCAGAUCAUAGAAACCUUUUUCUUGUCACGAUGAUUUUCCACUUCACUCUGAAAUUCUUUGAACUUUUCAAAUGUUUCAGACUUAUGUUUCAUCAAGUAGAUAUACCCAUAUCUUCUCAAAUCAUCUGUGAAGGUCAGAAAAUAACGAUACCCGCCGCGAGCCUUAACACUCAUCGGAUCGCGUACAUCAGUAUGUAUUAUUUCCAAUAAGUCAGUUGCUUGCUCCACUUUUCCGAAGAACGGAGUCUUAGUCAUCUUGCCCAUGAGGCAUGGUUCGCAAGCAUCAAGUGAUUCAUAAUCAAGUGAUUCCAAAAUCCCAUCAGCAUGGAGUUUCUUCAUGCGCUUUACACCAAUAUGACCUAAACGGUAGUGCCACAAAUAAGUUGCACUAUCAUUAUUAACUUUGUAUCUUUUGGUUUCAAUAUUAUGAAUAUGUGUAUCACUACGAUCGAGAUCCAAUGAACCAUUUUCAUUGGGUGUGUAACCAUAUAAGGUUUUAUUCAUGUAAACAGAAUAACAAUUUAUUCUCUAACUUUUUAAAUGAAUAACCGUAUCGCAAUAAACAUGAUCAAAUCAUAUUCAUGCUCAACGCAAACGCCAAAUAACAUUUAUUUAGGUUUAACACUAAUCUCGAAAAUAUAGGGAGUGUGCGAUGAUGAUCAUAUUAAUCUUGGAACUACUUCCAACACUCAUCGUCACUUCCCCUUCAACUAGUCUCUGUUUAUUCUGUAACUCCUGUUUCGAGUUACUAAUCUUAGCAACCGAACAAGUAUCAAAUACUCAGGGGCUACUAUAAAUACUAGUAAGGCACACAUCAAACACAUGUAUAUCAAAUAUACCCUUGCUCACUUUGCCAUCCUUCUUACUCACCAAAUAUUCAGGGCUUUUCCGCUUCUCGUGACCAUUUCCUUUGCAGUGUAAGCACUUAGUUUCAGGCUUUGGUCCAGCUUUGGUCUUCUUCACGGGAGUGACAACUUGCUUGUCAUUCUGUUUGAAGUUUCCCUUUCUUUCCCUUUGCCCGUUUUUUAAAACUAGUGGUCUUGUCAAUCAUCAACACUUGAAGCUCUUUCUUGAUUUCUACCUUCGUUGAUUUCAACAUCACGAAGAGCUCGAGAAUCUUUUUCGUCAUCCCUUGCAUACUAUAGUUCAUCACGAAGUUCUACUAACUUAGUGAUGGUGACUAGAGAAUUCUGGCAAUCACUAUCUUAUCUGGAAGAUUAACUCCCAUUUGAUUCAAGCGAUUGAAGUACUCAGACAAUCUGAGCACAUGCUCACUAGUUGAGCGAUUCUCCUCCAUCUUUUAGCUAUAGAACUUGUUGGAGACUUCAUAUCUCUCAACUCGGGUAUUUGCUUGAAAUAUUAACUUCAAUUCCUGGAACAUCUUAUAUGGUCCAUGACGUUCAAAACAUCUUUGAAGUCCCGAUUCUAAGCCGUUAAGCAUGGUGCACUAAACUAUCAAGUAGUUAUCAUAUUGAGCUAGCCAAACGUUCAUAACGUUUGCAUCUGCUCCUGCAAUAGGUCUGUCACCUAGCGGUGCAUUAAGGACAUAAUUCUUCUGUGCAGCAAUGAGGAUAAACGUUAGAUCACGGAUCCAAUCCGCAUCAUUGCUACUAACAUCUUUCAACACAAUUUUCUCUAGGAACACAUAUAAAACCAUAGGGAAGCAAAAACAUAGGGAAGAAACAACGCGAGCUAUUGAUCUACAACAUAAUUUGCAAAAUACUACCAGGACUAAGUUCAUGAUAAAUUUAAGUUCAAUUAAUCAUAUUACUUAAGAACUCUCACUUAGACAGACAUCUCUCUAGUCAUCUAAGUGAUCACGUGAUCCAAAUCAACUAAACCAUAACCGAUCAUCACCUGAGAUGGAGUAGUUUUCAAUGGUGAACAUUACUAUGUUGAUCAUAUCUACUAUAUGAUUCACGCUCGACCUUUCGGUCUCCGUGUUCCGAGGCCAUAUCUGCAUAUGCUAGGCUCGUCAAGUUUAACCUGAGUAUUCCGUGUGUGCAAAACUGUCUUGCCCCCGUUGUAGAUGGACGUAGAGCUUAUCACACCCGAUCAUCACGUGGUGUCUGGGCACGACGAACUUUGGCAACGGUGCAUACUCAGGGAGAACACUUCUUGAUAAUUUUAGUGAGAGAUCAUCUUAAAAUGCUACCGUCAAUCAAAGCAAGAUAAGAUGCAUAAAGGAUAAACAUCACAUGCAAUCAAUAUAAGUGAUAUGAUAUGGCCAUCAUCAUCUUGUGCUUGUGAUCUCCAUCUCCGAAGCACCGUCGUGAUCACCAUCAUCACCGGCGCGACACCUUGAUCUCCAUCGUAGCAUCGUUGUCGUUACGCCAUCUAUUGCUUCUACGACUAUUGCUACCGCUUAGUGAUAAAGUAAAGCAAUUACAGGGCGUUUGCAUUUCAUACAAUAAAAUAUAGCAUCACGUCUUGACCAUAUCACAUCACAACAUGCCCUGCAAAAACAAGUUAGACGUCCUCUACUUUGUUGUUGCAAAUUUUACGUGGCUGCUACGGUCUUAGCAAGAACCGUUCUUACCUACGCAUCAAAAACCACAAUGAUAGUUUGUCAAGUUGGUGUUGUUUUAACCUUCACAAGGACCGGGCGUAACCACACUCGAUUCAGCUAAAGUGAGAGAGACAGACACCCGCCAGCCACCUUUAAGCACGAGUGCUCGUAACGGUGAAACCAGUCUCGCGUAAGUGUACGCGUAAUGUCGGUCCGGGCCGCUUCAUCUCACAAUACCACUGAACCAAAGUAUGACAUGCUGGUAAGCAGUAUGACUUGUAUCGCCCACAACUCACUUGUGUUCUACUCGUGCAUAUAACAUCAACGCAUAAAACCUGGCUCUGAUACCACUGUUAGGGAACGUAGUAAUUUCAAAAAAAUUCCUACGUACACGCAAGAUCAUGGUGAUGACAUAGCAACGAGAGGGGAGAGUGUUGUCCACGUACCCUCGUAGACCGUAAGCGGAAGUGUUAUGACAAUGCGGUUGAUGUAGUCGUACGUCUUCACGAUCCGACCGAUCCAAGCACCGAACGUACGGCACCUCCGAGUUCAGCACACGUUCAGCUCGAUGACGAUCACCGGGCUCCGAUCCAGCAAAGCUUCGGAGAUGAGUUCCGUUAGCACGACGGUGUGGUGAUGAUGAUGAUGUUCUACCGGCGCAGGGCUUCGCCUAAACUCCGCGACGAUAUGACCGAGGUGGAAUAUGGUGGAGGGGGGCACCGCACACGGCUAAGGAACGAUCCGUAGAUCAACUUGUGUGUCUAUGGGGUGCCCCCUGCCCCCGUAUAUAAAGGAGGGAGGGGGGAGGCUGGCCGGCCCUUGUUGGGCGCGCCAGGAGGAGGAGUCCUCCUCCUAGUAGGAGUAGGACUCCUCCUUUCCUACUCCUACUAGGACUCCUCCUUUCCUACUCCUACUAGGAGGGGAAGGAAGGGGGAGAGGAGGGGAAGGAAAGAGGGGGGCGCCGCCCCCCCCUCCUAGUCCAAUUCAGACCAGAGGGAGAGGGGGCGUGUGGCCCUUCCUGGCCGCCCCUCUCUCUUCCCACCAAGGCCCAUGUGGCCCAUUAACUCUCCGGGGGGGUUCCGGUAACCCUCCGGCACUCCGGUUUUCUCCGAAAUCACCCGGAACACUUCCGGUGUCCGAAUAUAGUCGUCCAAUAUAUCAAUCUUUAUGUCUCGACCAUUUCGAGACUCCUCGUCAUGUCCGUGAUCACAUCCGGGACUCCGAACAAACUUAGGUACAUCAAAACUUGUAAACUCAUAAUAAAACUGUCAUCGUAACGUUAAGCGUGCGGACCCUACGGGUUUGAGAACUAUGUAGACAUGACUUAGAACUAUUCUCGGUCAAUAACCAAUAGCGGAACCUGGAUGCCCAUAUUGGUUCCUACAUAUUCUAUGAAGAUCUUUAUCGGUCAAACCGCAUAACAAUAUACGUUGUUCCCUUUGUCAUCGGUAUGUUACUUGCCCGAGAUUUGAUCGUCGGUAUCCAAUAUCUAGUUCAAUCUCGUUACCGGCAAGUCUCUUUACUCGUUCUAUAACACAUCAUCUUAUAACUAACUCAUUAGUUACAAUGCUUGCAAGGCUUAGGUGAUGAGUAUUACCGAGAGGGCCCAGAGAUACCUCUCCGACAAUCGGAGUGACAAAACCUAAUCUCGAAUUAUGCCAACCCAACAUGUACCUUCGGAAACACCUGUAGAGCACCUUUAUAAUCACCCAGUUACGUUGUGACGUUUGGUAGCACACAAAGUGUUCUUCUGGUAAACGUGAGUUGCACAAUCUCAUAGUUGCAGGAACUUUGUAUAAGUCAUGAAGAAAGCAAUAGCAACAUACUAAACGAUCAAGUGCUAGGCUAACGGAAUGGGUCAUGUCAAUCACAUCAUUCUCCUAAUGAUGUGAUCCCAUUAAUCAAAUGACAACACAUGUCUAUGGUUAGGAAACAUAACCAUCUUUGAUUAAUGAGCUAGUCAAGUAGAGGCAUACUACUGACUUUAUAUUUGUCUAUGUAUUCACACGUGUAUCAUGUUUCCGGUUAAUACAAUUCUAGCAUGAAUAAUAAACAUUUAUCAUGAUAUGAGGAAAUAAAUAAUAACUUUAUUAUUGCCUCUAGGGCAUAUUUCCUUCACAUGGCUCCCGUCGCCCGCUUCCUCCAUCCUCAGUGCUGACAAAGUAGUUCCGCUGUCACUCUUCCCGACCUUCGCCCGCGAGCUGGAGCCUCUCCAUCGUCCAUGGAUGCGAGCUUCCCACACGCCACCUACCGCCGGACUUAGGAAAGAUGACGGACGUGGGAGGAUUUCAUCGGCAAUGUCCCGAUCUAGUUCGGAGGGAAGAUGACGGCCGUGAGACGAUUUAGCAGCAUACCAGCAAACAUGCUCGUGCAUUGCAACAAUAUAAAAAAGUUGAUGUGCUUCUUUAAGAUGCAAACGCCAAUUAUCAUUAAUCAGGUUGGACCGAUAGAGCAUAAGUUGUCUCAUGACAAAAAUAAUAAAUCAAUUAACAACACGAUUCUUUGAGGGGCUAGUUAAUUUUUUUAACACAGUACAAUUUGAAGUCGUUCACAUACACGAACAUACACUUACCAUGAACGCACACCCUAUCUCUAUGAGCACUUUGAGAAAGUAAGCCGGCAUGACAUCUUGAGAUUUUACGAAGUCACCAGCGGCAUUUCGUAGUCGGUCUUCCCUCACUGAACGAACAUCGCGGGAAGCGUGAAAGAAAUUCAGGAAUCAUGCGAGCACCAAUAUCAAGUAUAGGAAUUCGACCCCCUGGUAGGCUGGAAAUACUGUCGACGUGAAUCCUACCAUUCAACCACAUGUUGGUUUGCAUGCUAAUUCUAAAUUUACGACGUGAAUCUUAGUCAGCUGAUUGGGUGAACAACCUUAUUUUUAGAUUACCACACUGAUAAUAAAAAUAUCGUACAUACAAUGCUUAUUUUAAGAUACCAUCAUUAGACAAUAAAAAAUGUGGCAAAUCCGGCAACAUCCGCAUAGUUGAGAGAACAAAUAUUGUGUACGCUAACACGUCUGCCGGUCUUGGGGAUUUUCUUUACAUUAAUUAAAAUCAGGAAAAGAAUUAUGAUAAUCCCACGGCAGCCAUGCCGGGCUCAUCUGCAGACGAGUCGCUCCGGCCGUGCGGUCCAGUACCAGCACCUUCUCUAACAUAUUUUCUUUCAAUCUAUUUUUCUGUAAAUGGUACAGCACAGCCCAGCCGACGGGGCUGGCCCAUCUAAACACCCCCCCCCCCCCUAAUUUCCCAUCUAAUCUUAGCCUCUCGUCCGAUUCCGUCCUCUCUCGGUCUCUCCUUCCUCGCCCCUCGGGUUGACUCCUCCUCCCUCGACCCCAUGGAAGCGAAAGUGCACAAAAGCGAACCGUCGUCCUCGAGUGGAAACGUCCGUGCAUAAUGAAUCCCUAGCCGUCUCCCAUUCCCCAUCCCUUUCUCUCCCCAACCAUAGAAAACCCCAUGUGGGGACGGACACAGUAGAACGCAGCUUCAUCUAGGGUUUCCGGCCAACGGCGGGGUAGAACCGGCGGCGAUGGCGCGGCAAGAUCGCAAGGUGAUCGAUGUAGAGGAUGGGCGGAGCCGCAGUUCAGCUCAGAGUACUCGUGAUUCUCUACAGGUAGGUCAGCUCUCGCCCCCCUCCAUCCGGCCAUGCAUAGGCUGGCCCGAUCGGAUCUUAUCUAGGGUCUUUUUGAGGCACAACAUGAUAUACAAACAGCACCACGAGCCCUUCAUUUUCUUCAUUCGAUUCUAUCCUUUGGGCCACCCGCUUCUGUUUACAUUUUUCCUACUGUAUUUGAUUACCAAUUAGGAAAGCCUCAGCUGCUGCUAUGAUAUACGUAUGGAGAUGAUCUGUAUGCUAGAUCAAAGUUUCAAUUAGUUUUUUCGCAGGGCCUUAAAACAUCGACGUUUCCUAUCUGCAGCGAUCUGAAUGACUCCCAGCCCACGAAGCAGCGUGGUUGCCAAGCAUGACAUGACUGAAUGCCCGAUGGUCAUGGUACGAUGGCCAUGAUUUGUUACAUGUUGCAUUAAAGCUAUCUCCACAAAGCAAAUUGUGGCAUCACAUAAGUGUUGCCACGCGAAAACAUGUGGCGACUUCCCACAUGGUUGUUGCAAUAACACACUUUAUUGCCACAUUUGCUUUUUUGUGGCAAUAACCUAUUACCAUGCGUCCAGUCGCAACGGCUGCCAACGAAUGUUGUUUCGUGGCAAUAGAUACUUAUCGCCACAAAUCGACAUGUAUUGCGACGAACAAUUUUGUUGCAAUAGACCCAGAUCCUUGUAGUGUUUGCGAGUCAUUUAGAAAAUCAAGAGCUGCAUGGAAAAAAAUAACUCAUUUUCAAACAAAUUUGUUUAAACAGAUGGACUCGGUAUUUAAGUUUAAAAGGAAUGGUUAAAUUCAAUGCAUGUGAUCAAGUUGGGAUGAUAAUCAACAGAAUUGCAUGAAACGUUUUCGAAAUAACUUUGACUGUAAGUAUGACAUUCAUUUAGUGGACAGGGGUAGGAGCACCAAAGUAUGCUGGUAAACGUAGUUGAUAAAGCAAGAUCGAAGUUGGUGCACUUACCUAGUGAUGGUUUGGGAAGGGGCCUGUAACCUCCUCGAGAAUCACUGAGUCUUAGAUCUAUCUCAACGGACAGACUCCCAGUAUCCAGGUUUAUGAUGACUAGAUCUCAAUAAUGAAGAUCGUAGUCACUAAUUAACUUUUCCCAGCCAGGUCCAUGAAUUUUUGACCGGUUGUGUUCAUCGGUGAUGCAGACCUCAUAUGACAGAUCAUCGUUGGUGAUCAGUACUGGAUUCCUUUGUUUUCCUUCUUCUUGAAAUGCUUGCUCUUUUCACUAAUAGAUUGAAAAAGUGACUUGCUGCCUGCAAUAGCAUGGCACAUACUACACAAGGGAAAAAAUCUUCAAACCGGAAAGAAGGAAUCCUUGAAUACCGAUAUGUAUAACCAAGACAGAUAGCGCUUAUCAUAUAUGUACCAAUUGUUUUCAACAGGUUGCUAUUUGGAUAAAACAAGGUACAUCAAAAAAUUGAAAACAUGUCAUUAAAUUCUUAAAUGUAGGCAUUCCAUUCCAGCAAUAUGGUAGAAACUUCUAUUUCCUCAAUCAGAAAGAUACACUAGUAAGAUGCACUGUUAUCGCACUGUGAACAAUAUGGUAGUAACUGAUGGGCAGCACGGGGUGGCAAACAUUUCUCCUUACCAGACAUGUAUUGAAGCAUCAAGGAAGUUGCACUGUUAUCGCGCUGUAAAGAACACCCGACUCCAAUCCAGGGCAGCCGAAGUUGGUACAUAUAUCACAUCACAUGGUUUCCCCUGGAAUACGUUGCAACACAAUGGUUAUAUGAAAUUCUCAAGACAAUAAAAAAUUUAUUAUCUUGAAAAACUAUUCGUCUAAACCGGCAUUUUUACAUAAAUAGUCUUUCACAAGUAAUUUCCUAAAAAGACAUGUGCACAGCUUUUGAUUAGAAGGUGAACAGUAGAUAUGGCAUAUGUAAUAAUAGAGGAAAUAUGAAAUUAAUUAAAUUAGUAUUUUAUUUUCCAAAAAUGGUUGCUUAAUUCAUCACAAUUCAUUAUUCACUAUUUUUAGAGGAGUUCACAAUCUUGGUUGUCAAUGUCAAUGAGUGAAAGAAUUUCUGCUUCUUGUUUUUAAAAGCAGCUUCAGCAAAUGUAUAUUUCAAGACAAGACAGGCAAAGAGGAGAAACAAUAGUCUAUCAACAGGCGGCUCAAAGGAGUGUUUGUAACAUUAAAAUUAUAUGUAAAUUCGUCAGAGCCGCACCCAGCAACAUCGUCAUCCGCAACCAUACGCCACCGUUGCCGACACCCAACCACCGGAACAUGUGUGGCUAGAUUGUAUUUGAAAUGGAUGAUCCAUCAACGUUAACCUUGCCUCCAGCGUACAGGACCCCAAACGCUAUCAUCAAGCACAGACGCCGACUCCAAGUCAACAACACCCCAAAUGCUGAUCUCCAGCAUACUGUGGCUGGUUAAGCAAUAGAGCUCAACAUGUGGACACUCCCUUGGACUUCCGGCCACCGCCAUUGUUUGCAAGACCUAACGGGCUUCAAUUUAAACUAGCAACCUCCCUCGGCGAAGUUCAUCGCUCACCUCGGACUUGGACGCCAUAGGUCGCUGCAGCUCGUAGCAUUCUCGAGCACAAACGCUGACUCCCAACCAACCUAUCCCUAAGAGGCACUGGUCGUGUACAGGUUCGGCCUCAUACUGCGCGGAUUUGGUUUAGAUCACAACGAUUUUCCAUGCAAUUCCUAGCAUAACAGCGUAGAUGCGUCGCAUUCAAACACGGAGAGACAAAACCAACAGAGAGGAAAACGGAUCGUAGCGAAAAAUUCACCAAGAAACUAAGAGAAAAUGGACUAACCCUAGAUCUAGAGGGAGAAUCGAGGGAGAAGAGACGAUGAACUUUACAACGGGUGAGCGGGAGGGGGCAGUCUGGGUUCGCAGAAAACAGAACAGACACUUAUAAUACGCGCCUGCUCACUGACAUGGGGCUACUGUACAGCAGCAAAGACAAGACUAUUGGCUUAUUAUGAGCAUAGAGGCACGCACGGACAGCACCAACACGCACGGACUUACAUGCAAAUAAGGCACGCCCAUGACGCACGACCAUGCUUCUGUUUUUCGAAGUACUUUUCUCUAACACGGUCUCUCGGAGGGACAGGGACGUGAAGCCACGAUGCGCAUCAUCAUGUAAUGAUAAGAAUGAGACACACGGAAAGGCCUCUGUAUUCUAAAUGUUCUCAGUGACGUGUUCAUUGAUAGACGCGCGGUCUUUAAAUAGUUGGCGCACUGUUGUUCUCCUAGUUGUUUUUGUGUUCUCCUAGUUGUUUUUGCAAUACACGGCCACUCCGAGGGACAGGGGAGUGAAGCCACGGUGCGCACAGUUCUCGGAGGAGAAGAUGCACUGAAUUGCCUCUGUUCUCGCAACAUGUUGAGCUGCUUGUUCACUGAGAGAGGCACGGGUGUAUGUUCAAAUGACGCAAGACCAUGCUAGUGUUUUCCGGAUUGUUAAUUUCUGGCACGGCCUCUUAGAGGGACAUGGUGCGUGCAAUUAAAAAUGGCACAUAAUCUAUUGCUUUGACGAAUUCUUCGGAUGCAUGAGUUUUGUUCAAUACGAUAAUGAUAAUGGGAACCCAGCAUCUAAAAAGUGGUUGGAGGUUCGUUGCUGACAUUAAGUCAUUAUCACAACAUUCCAAAUGUUUUUAUUGACGCGUUCGCACGAACAUAUGGUUUUCACAACCUGUCAAUGCCGGUUCGUUUCCUGUGGGGUGCACGGACGUCCUUCUGAGAGGCGCAGUUGCAGCAGUUGCAGGUUUGUAGUCGACGCAUGUUGCUUUUAAAAGUAGAAUUUCAUGGCAAAUAACUGAGAUAAACAAGAGGAUACUAGUUUGAUUUUUGAGCAUCUGUGUGAGCUGAUUUCUUUUAUCAUUAGGUCCAGAAACAUAUGAUCGAUAUUGAAAACAAAAAGCAUAAACAUUUAUAUCCCUAAUUUUAAAAAUAUGAGUUAACAGCCUCAAAAACAAAAGAAACCUUAUAGACAGUACGGUGGAAAAUGAGUGAGAAUCGUUUGACCAUGUUUACACAAUGCGCUCAUUCAAUACAGCAAGUACAUCUCUCCAUACCUAUUUUCAGCAUCCACAGUUGAACGGAUCUGGCAAAUCCUGAUAUUCAACACCUGUGUUUUUUAAAUCCAUGUGCAUAUGCUUGCAAGUUGUUGUUAAUUUAAGCUUGGCACAAUUAGAAGCCCUUUUGUCCAUCUGAAGUGCCUCUUCUUGCCGUUUGUAAAAUUCACGAGUGAAAUCUCUGCGCAUUCCAAACUUAAGCCUGAUUGUCAGUAGCAUCCUAGUAUUGAGAACAAAGAAUGUCACAAAUGCAGUGUUUGCAUCUGUGACUUCAUAGUCUUCCAGCGUUAAUGUCCUCAAACAAAUGUCGUGAUUAUUGAGAAACACCAACUUCUUUUGGCGACAUUCAUUUGUUAUACCUCUUUGAUCCCAUCCCCCCCCUAAACACACAUGAAGAGCAAAACUAAGCAGUUAGUGCCAGUAUAUUAUGUAUAUUGUGCGUGGGCUUUCAACGUGUGUGAAAUCAUCACCUUGAUAAACAAGUUUUGCAAGCAUUGAAAGCAUCGCAACAAGUCAACAAUCUCAUCCAGAUUAAAGCAUGUCUGUGAGAUAAACAAGGUCUUGACGGAAUCCAGCACCGCAUGUAGGCUACUUAUGCAGAGACCCUUCAUUGAGCACAUAAAGAGAUAUUAUUAGCUCGUGGAUGUGAAUCUCAAGUGCUUUUGAAUAACGCAGAUCAAAGUAACAUGCAGAGGCAGUACCUGAAUAACUGUAGAACCAAUGACGAUAUUUGUUUCAUUGGGAAAUUCAGAAAUUUUUCCCAGUGUGUCCAACACAGGCGCGGACACAACUGUUAUUUGUAGUUGUGCAUCUACAGAAUCAUGUAGCAGUCUCCGGAGGCAAGGCGCAUCCUCAAUGAUCAGUUUUCCUUCAUCGGAACGAAUGCCAAUGCUUACAAGCCUAGCUGAUUUUAUUCGUAGACAGGUGAAUUUCUUGUUGCAAACAAGCAGCAGACACUGUAGGGCAGGGCAACCGUGGUGGAUGAACUUCCGCAAGGAGACAACCAAUAUAUAAACCUCCACCAGUGAAAGUCUCCUGAGUAGUGGGAGGCAAAGCAUUUCUACUAGAUUGUCUUCUAGUUUGCACAUGGAAAAGGUGACGGUGUGGAGAGACGAGCAAAAUCUAGAGAUGGAUGCCGGUGGCGACGGCAUAGAAGAAGGGAUUCUGACUGCUGAUGGCCCUGUAUAGAAGAAAUUUGGGAAUAUAUGAUAGAACUCUAAAACCUGGAGUUGGUCUAGAUUCCGAGACAGGAACAACUCAUCGACGCCACAAGGUUGGCACUGGAGGUAGCUUGUCGGGAUGCAGAGGCGGUGAAUCGGGCCCUCGUGAUCGGAGAGGACAGAUACAGGAAGACUGAAGUCAUCGGUGACAGAUUCUCUGUGACAGUUGCAGCUAAGAUGUCGGCAUUGAGUUCUGAGGUAUGUUUCCUGGACAGUUUGCUUGCCCGGGAGUACGUGGAUUAUUUGGCAGCAGAUUUUUUCCAGAGAUCUCGUAGAACGAGUAUCAAGGAUCACACGGAAGUCGAUCUCGAGUGGUGCGGUGUGUCAUAUGCGGCGCCACCAAGAUGCGAGCACUUGUGUGCGCAUGCCUUCCUUUAUGGGCAGACGAGAGAUGAUCUCGCCGAGGAUGGCGUCCGGGAGAUCGCUGAUGCGGUCCGGACCAGACUCAACAUGGUUCUCGGAUCCAGGGGGCGGGUCAUGGUCGCUCCUCUUAACGAGCUUAGAGGGCACGGGUACAGCCGCGAACCUCGUCUUCUUUUUGCUAGAGGCACGCUUCCUCGUCUCCAUUGUCGAGCUCGUGCUGCCUCCGAUGCAGCUCCCUAUGCGGUGGAUCUGGGAAGAGGGCUAGGGUUUUACGAUUCACAAAGACGAAAAUAUAUAUACGUACCUAAUCUAUAAGAUUUCGACGGACGUGGUGGAAUAGUAACGGCUUGGACGGACGUGCGUCUGGACGAGGCAUGACUAUCAACCGUGCGGACACAACAGAAGUUUGGUGGCAGAGCCAAGGUUCGGCAUACUCAGUUAAGGACACACGGUUGUGCGGUCUGUAGAGACACGGUGGUGUGGAUCCACGACACGGUAGCAAGUGUCAUGUGAGGCACGUGCGUGGAGGCGCUGGGGGCACCUAAUCGCAGUCUGUAUAGGCACCGACCCCAUUGAAGCCUCUACAGGCAUAGGUAUCAACUCUCUGGAUGCACAAAAGUGUGACUGCAGAGGCAUGGCUGCGAACUCUCAGUUGAAAAUACACGGUUGUGGAGUCUCUGGAUCCACGUCCCCUGUGUCUUCAGGGGAACGUAAUAGCCAUGGCUCGUGGCACGUGAGGCACAAGGGUGUAGGCUCCGGAAGCACCGAAGUCUGGCCUCUACAGGCACGUACGAUUGUCAACCAUGUGGAUGCACAAAAUUACAGUGGCAGAGGCAUGGAUCCGAAUACUCAGCUAUGGAGGCACGGGUGUGUAUUCUCUGCAACCACAACGGUCACGGCAAGUGUCAUGUGAGGCACGUGUAUUGAAACACCGGAGGCACGGAAAUGAAGCCUCUUAGGCACGAGUGUCAACCCAACAGUCACGACUUAUGUGACGUGAGGCACGUAGAUGCAGGCGGGCACCGGAGGCACUAUUGGGGAGCCACUACACGCACGGGCGUGGUGUUUCUCCAGGCCUGGCUCAGUAUAAACCCUCUCUGGGUGCAGAAAAGUGUGCGCAAAAGGCGCCGAAGUGAGUAACCUUCUCUGGGUCGCUGUUAAAGAGCCACGACACGGUGGCAAGUGUCCUGUGAGGCACGUGCGUGCAGGCGUCGGGGGCACCUAAUUGCAGUCUCUGCAGGCACCGACCCUAUUGAAGCCUCUACAGACAUAAAUAUCAACUCCCUGGAUGCACAAAAGUGUGGUGGCAGAGGCAUGGCUGCGAAAUCUCAGUUGAAGAGACACGGCUGUGGAGUGUGUGGAUCCACGUCCCGUGUGUCUCUAGGGGAAUGUAAAAGCCACGGCUCGUGGCACGCCAGGCACGAGGGUGCAGGAUCCGGAGGCACCGAAGUCUAGCCUCUACAGGCAAGUACAAUUGUCAACCCUCUUAAUGCACAAAACAACGAUGGGAGAGGCAUGGAUCCGAAUACUCAGCUCCGGAGGCACGGGCGUGUAUUCUCUGCAACCACAACGGUCACGGCAAGUGUCAUGUGAGGCACGUGUAUUGAAACACCGUAGGCACGGUAAUGAAGCCUCUUAGGCACGAGUGUCAACCCAACAGUCACGGCUUAUGUGACGUGAGGCACGUAGAUGCAAGCGGGCGCCGGGGGCACUAUUGGGGAGCCACCACACGCACGGGCAUGGUGUUUCUCCAGGCCUGGCUCAGUAUAAACCCUCUCUGGGUGCAGAAAAGUGUGCGCAGAAGGCGCCGAAGUAAGGCCUCUGCAGGUACAUGUACCAACCUUCUUGGUACUCAGUUAGAAAAUCACGAUUGUGAAGUUUAUAGGGAAAGUCUGAACUCAAGACGAAGAACAGCCGGCAUGUCACGACACACAUGGUUUUAUUGGCCUACGAAUCACGGACUUGCUUCGGUAUUGGAAAGGUUCCUACCGACGAGUUCAUUAUCAGUGGGAAUAUGGUGCUGUACUAACAAAGAGUUAGUGUCAUGCCGGUAAAAUACUCAGAAUCUUUCUGCUGAAACAUUCAAUGUGCCUGAAGGCACAGAUGUUUGCACGGUCACAACACUUUCAUUUGCAUAGUCACAACACUUUAUGGAAGGAUUGUUAUGGCAAGCUUACAGAUGGUACAAAAUACUACAAGGGUUGUCUGUUCGUGUUUAGACAAAAUGCACGUUCAAAAGGGCGCAACAACAUGUAAACCUGCAACCUUGAACAACUUACUCCAGCUUUGUAUUCAGCAGUCACAGCUGAAUGGGUCCGUCAAAUCCAGGUAUUCAACACGCGUGAGUUUUAAAUAAAAGAACCGGUGCUUGCAUGCUCCUGACAAUAUAAGGCGAGCACGUUCAGAAGCCUUUUUGUGCCACAAAAGAUCCUUUUGAUGCUUUUCAUAAAAUUCUUCCGUGAAAUCUUGGUCGAAACGGUAGUUAAGCCUCAUGGUCUCAAGCUUGCUUGCACUCAGAACAAAGGAUUUCAGAAAUUCAAUGUUUACCGUGCAGGGUUCAUAGUCGUCCAGCGUAACUGUCUUUAAACGAAAGUCAUCUCGUUUGACAAACGGUUGGUGCUUACGACGCCAUGUAUUUGUUUGUCCGCAAUAGAGUCCUCCCUACAUGUACAUGAAGAAUGAAAAUACUUAAGCUCUAAAAACAAAGAUUCUGUCAAAAGAGCAUCCAGUGUAAAGUAUUUUUUUUGUACAUACGGGUGUAUGUAAUACUAAAACAUGUCUAGCCACGGGUGUAUCAAUUUACAGACGAAUGCAACACAAGCUUUUUAAGACAUACAGUAGAAGUAGUACAGUAUGCAUGUUAUGGGUUUUCAAUUUGUGCGAGAAUCAUCACCUCGAUAAACAAGUUCUCAAGGCUUCGAAAGCAUUGCAUGAGGGAAACGGCCACGUCCACUUCAAAACACACCUUGACGAGCAAAGUCUUGACCGUUUGAAGCACUGUUGACAGGCUGACUGCCGGCAAACGCUGUAUGGUGCAUGCAUAACAAUUUUAAAAAUUGAACAAAAGGUUCUAUUACAUGAAAUUUGUUUACUGGACAAAUGCAGCUGAAAACUAGGUACCUGGAUAACUGUAGGGUUACGCGUGACCUUGGAUUCAGAGAAAAAAUCAUGGAAUUUGCCCAGACUCUCCAAUUUAGGUGUAGACAUGACAGUUAUCUGCAAGUUGCUGCUGAUAAUAUUGUUAAGCAACCACUGAAGUGACGGGGCAUCCUCUAUAACAAGUUUGCCAUGUCCAUAGCGAAUUCCAAUGCUUACAAGGUUACGUGAGUUUAUUCGUAUGCAACGGCUUUCCAUAUUCCAAGUAAGCAGAAGGCACCGGAGUACGGGGCAACUAGAGUGGAUUAUGCUUUCAACCGAGAUGUCUGGUAUACCAACGUCCACAAGUGAAAGUCUCUUGAGCAGUGGUAGUUUAAGAGCAUGAACGUAACUGUCUGGUAUUUGGAAAAGAGCAAAGGUGGCAGUGUGUAGGGAGGAUGCAAAGCGAGAGAAGGACGCCGGUGCAAAAGGUGCGGAUGAUGGUUGUGUGAGUGGUUGUACGACACACUCUCUCACGAAAUCUGGGAACGUGUAAUAGAACUCGAGCACCUGGAGAUUGUUCAGUUUGUAUGAUUUCAGCCAGGCGUCGACGGUGGAGGGUCUAGACUGGAGAUAGCAUGCCGGUAUGCAGAGACGGUGAACUGCGCCCCCAUGGGCGGAGAGGAUGGCUUCCGGAAGGGUAAUAACGUCAGUGUCAGAUUUGUGAGGGCACCGAGUUCCGAAGUGCCUUUCGCGGGCGAGCUCCCAGGUAGGAGGCGGCACGGAGAUUUUCUCGAUGUGAACUAUUUCUAGAGGCUUAAAAAGACAAGCAGCAGGGAUCUCACGGCAGUCGAGAUUCAGAGGAGCGGUGGGCCAUAAAGGAUGCCAUCGACGAGCGAGGAUGCGAGUACGGAUGCUAUCCCUGAUGGGGAUACGAGAGAUGAUCUCACCUAGGAUGACAUCCGGGAGAUUGCUGAUGCGGUCUGGACGAGCUUUUUUCUCGUGCUCCUCAGAUCUGGUGGGCGGACCCUCACCGGUCCCCGCCGGUACCGCCAAACACCCAGCAGAAUGCGUCAUCGGUGGCACGAGCCUUGCUCUCUUGGUAUGAGAAGCAUCAGACUCCAUCUAGGAGCGACGGGUGUGGUGGAUCUGGAAAGACGGGUUGGGAUCGACUUUUGCACGCUGUCUGAAGUGUCUACAACGCCUUAUAAAAAUGAACAGAGGGAGUAGUAUUUUUUAAGUGAUGUCGCUGCGAGAACAGUGACAUCGGACAGUGGGAACAAGUCGAACUCCAUGCCUCCAAUUGAUUCACGCACAUGCCUCUCCGAGCUGCGUGUCACUACAAACAUACUGAACACGGACGCACGAUCCCAGCUCUUCUUUUUGACAUGGGACGCAGGACCACAAGUCUUCUUCCUAAUAUGGCACCGUGCCUCCGCUUGCUCGACCAACGUGCCUAUCCGAGGACACGACUCAGAUGAAAUAAUGACAACUGGGAGGGACGGCCGUACCCUCUUAUACUACAUGACCGUGCCUUCACUAACUUCACGGUUGUGCCUCUCUUACUGCACAAAGUCAGCUAAGUUAACCAAAGCACAGAGGCAUGACCAUGAGUCUUCUUAACACAGGACUGAACCUGCACUAGGUUCAAGUGCCUCUCUGAGCAAACAUGUUGAACCAACAGACACACCCACAACAACAACAACAACAACAACCAGAACAACAACAACAGCAACAACAACCACGUUUAGGAUCGCAUCUACUUUCAGUACCAUAGUCUGAAUAAGAAUUUAAACUGAUAAGUUCUAUUAGGUAUGUACUACCAGGAUUUGAACUGCACUCAUAGUUUGAAAUAACACACAUACGAUACUUAACUUAAUACCAUAGUAGUUCAAAUUUAUGUGGUCUAAAGACCGGUGAUCACAAAUGAGAGCGAGUCCUGCCCGCGCAUAGUGUGCCACUCGAUAGUGAUGAGUACAAGGCAAUCAACUGUCAGCCUGGCUGCAUUUGCAAAAGGAGAAAUCCCGGUGAUCGCCAUCCUUCCAUCUUUAUGUAUACAGUAGGUGCCAGGCAAAUCAAUGCUGCUGAAAAUUUGAACAAGCCUGAUGCUGCCCUUGAGAGGCAAAUAUCCAAGCUUCAUCCUAAGAUCAUUUGUAACAAUAGCUGGGAUUUUCUGUACAAUAACAAAUUAUUCUGGCAUUAGAUUAUGAAGACACGCAUGCUGACUGUGGUUUCAAGAAAUAAACAACGACGUACCAAACGGUCCAUGUGAACGUUGGUGAAACAUAGACGAUGCACAAAGGUAAUGGCAGGGAUGUGUUUAGCAUUUAGGACUAGUUUAAUCAUGCAGGCCAUGUCGAUAUAGGAAAGUUUUAUGCCCCGGGUGUAGACUGUCUCGUCUAUGUAGCUCCUUUCCGAUAAACUGAGGCCUUCGAGGGCCAAGUAAAUACAACCAUGUAUUAGCCACCGUGUGUGAAGGAGUGAAUAAAGCAGUUAAAACUAAAAUAAACAAAUAUUGGCUUUUAAAAGGGAAAUUACAGUUAUAAACUACAUUGAGUACAAAGAAAGUUUUAAUACGUUAUAUCACAGAGAUUAAGCACGUAGAUAUCAAUGGCACGCCACAGUAAAAUUAUAAUAGAUAAAUGUUAAACCAGAACAAAUAUUGAUAAGCGAUCAGAACGUACCAACGGAAGGUUUGGGAAACGCUUUGUGACCUCCUCGAGAUUCACUCAACGUCAAGUCAAUCGGAAAGAAGAAAUCUUCUUCUUGCAAAUCCAAUUUUAUAAUAUCACCAUAAAACAGAUCAUAGUCACGUAUCAACUUUUCCCAUCCAGGUCCAUGAAACUUAGACCUGUGGUCGCAAUCUGUAAACUUAAUCUUGUAAGACAAUUCCUCAGUAGUGCCGAACACAAGGUCAAAAUCUUCGUCUUCAAAACCAUCCUCGAAAGCUUCACCUUUCCACAAAGAGAUCAAAGAAAGGAUCUGGUUCCGGUAGUAGCAUGGGACAUACUGCAUAAAAGUAAAAUCAAGACAAAGGUAAAUAAAUGUUUUACUGAUUUUCAAAAAAAAAUGCAUGAAAUUGUUUUUUUUCCUUAAAAUUCCCUGGCUUUCAGGCACGAGCACAGCCACCAUCUAUGACAUUUAAUUAAACCGGCCUAUACAAAACAAUUGAACUUCUAAUUACAUUACAGCAAGUCCUAUAAAAUAAAAACAAGCAUGCGCAGUAUAGUUCGCUCCGAACGAAUACGUGUGGUUGCUGACUGCGGAAUAAAGAUAACUUACCAGGCAUGACUCAUAAGAACGAGGCAAAUACACAAUCAAGAAAGAUUGGGCAACAUCAGAUUCAACACCGGGACAGUUGAGGUUCCUGCAAACAUCACAGGCCAUCUUUGACUUCGAAAUGUAACAAUAUGUAAGACUCAGGUUCAUUAAUUAUUAAAAAAAAGUUUCAACACUCCACUAAUGGCACAAAGAAUUAAAGAACUGUAUAUCACUGAUACACGCUUGUUUCAACGAGUAAGAUAGAGCGGAACGAAUGCUGCUACGGUGAUAUCCCUCGAUCUUAGUGUCUUUGUAAAAAAAUGAAGAAACACGCACAGAGCUCCUCAAAUCUACAAGCUUGCAGCAAACUAACUGAAAAAAUCAACUGUUUCCCUCCAAGAUUAUUCCCCUAUAGAACCUCUUAAAAGAGGUAAGAUAUUAACACAAAAACUAAUAUUAAAAGGGUAAUAUAAAACAAUAAUCCAUCUAAAAAACACAACAUGGAAGGCAUAAGUAUUAAGCAGAAGGGAGAAAACUUACUGUAUUUCAGAGCAAGUGGGCGAAUCGUAGAUCCAUCUAUGUGGACUAUAGAGUGAGGAAGACGAAGCAAGAAAGACGGAAGGAACCAGAGAAGAAGGGGAGCGGAAGAGCAAGUGACUCGGGAGAGAAGGCGAACAAAACGAUGUAUUUAUGGAGUAAUUGUAGAGAGGGAAGUAAAUUUUUUGUACUCGCUCGCCAAAGCUGAAACUAGUACUGACAAUAGUAAAUGGCUCCUUGCCAUCCCAGCGCAAAAAAAAUAAUGGGGGAGGUGGGUGGUGGUUGGUGGGUCUGGCGAGUAGGUGGAGUAUUUGGUCGAACCGGGCCAUGUCGAAGUCCUCUAGCUCUCUCACUGUAUCUCUUCUCCCACCUCUCUCUCUCUCUACCUCUCUCUCUCUCCUCUCGAAUUCGACACCGCCUACGGCAUCACAUCUGCUCACAUCCUCCGGGCCAUGUCGACACAAAAGUUCGUACAAGAGGGGAGGAAGGAAGGCUUGAACUUCCUUGAGCUGGAUUUUGAUUUCUAUGUAGGUGAUUUCCUGCUACAUGCGGAGCAUUAAACUGUGGUUUGUUUUCUAAACAAAAGAUCUGAGCUAUAAACAUUCAUGUGUCCUUGUAGGAGAACCCUGAUACCAUGAAGGACCAUGAUUUCUGUGGCAAAGAGCUCGACCAUCCUCUCUACUGCGUUCUCCACGAUACCAAGCCUCUCAGGUGUGUGGCUUUUGAAGGAAGUGACACGGGGAGGAGGUUCUACGGUUGUGCUGUGAAAGUUAGUCACUUUCGAAAAUCCGAGCUACUUUCUUAUUGAAUCAAACUAUUUGGAUAUAGGACUUAUAGUCUUCCAAAGAAGACUUAUUUCUUCUUGUGUUUUCCGGUUGAUUGUAGAAAACAUUGUGUAGUCCUUUUACUUUACAUAAAAGGCUAAAGGUCACUACUUAUUUUACAUCACUGAAAACAAAAGAAGUGAUCUAGACACUCUCCUGUUUGUUUACAAAUGGGACUUCUGUUUAAUGGUCAGUAUAUUCUUCAAAAAAAAUCUCUAAAUAACCUGACUGCAGAGGUAGCUCCAGAUUAAUUCAAGCUGGCUUAAAAGAAACUAAGUACAAUUAUGAAAUAACUCCGCGGACAGGGUGGGCGAAGUACCAUAAUUAGUGUUGUGGGUACCUAACCAUUGACGCGCCACGUUGCACAAACACGGUUCAUAGUUAGUUGAAUGAGGUUAUGAAGCAAGUAUAUGUGAACUUUGUUAUAUUCCAGAGAUCGUGCAUCACUGUAUUAAUAGUCUCUAUUUAUUUUGUUCCUUUUUAUUCGCAGAGAGGCGUGAACUGUGGAGUCGUCGAAUGGGUUGACCGCCCAUGGCUUGUCAUUAUGCAGAGGUGCCUACUCAAGCUCUAGGGGAAGUUGCAAGAAAAGGAUGAAGAGAUAAGCAGGCUUAAAAUGGAUAUUAAACAAGUGAACCUUAAGCUAGAGAACCUUGUUGCAGCUGUGGAAAGAAGUAAUGUAACUACCACGAAGAUUGACAGGCAAAAGAAGCAGAUGGGUAUCGUUGAUAAAGACGUCAAGCGCAUUCAGAGGUCUCUCACAAGUGCCAUUCGUAAUCUUAAGGACGACAAGGGUGAUAUUAAGCUGGACAGGGAUUUUCUGAAGGAGGAGGUGCAUAAGAUGAAGGACAAUAGAAGCAAGAUGCGAAGCGCCAUCUGUGAUCUUUUGGGGCAAGGGUUUGCGAACACUGAUGACCUCCUGAUGAUCAAGGCAAUCCUCGGAGAAUGAUCAUUAACAGUUGCCUUCUUUCGAAACGUUGCAAGGGAUACUCGUCUAGUAUAAGUUUAUGCUUGGACAUGGUUACUUGACUAAAGGCAUGUAUCUCAUUUUUUGCAAUCUCUCAGAGGGUGUGUGACGGUCUACGCACAUCAAAUAUUGAUCUCAUGAAUAUUUUAUAUUUCAAAGAAACGUGCUGCUAGCGAGGCGCAUCCAACAAUAUUUCAUCUUGCAUUGUUCAAUGAGGCAUGGGUUACUGUAAUUUAGCAAGGCACAUGUGUCUCUUUGGCUGGCAUGCGGAGCCAUGCCUCUGAUAACCUGGCACUGACUUGUCAAAGGCAUAGUCCUAUGUGAGACAGAAGCACCGCACUAGCGCUGACACACAUAAAAUCUGCAAUCUAUAGAGUCCUACUUACUCCCGAUGCAGACACACAUCUGUGCCUCCGUGACUCGAUAGUUUGUACUCAGACAUAAACUCGUUCACGGACAUGCGCUUACACGAAAGGCACAUACACCUUGUGGUCGCUGGGAGCAUGGUUUGAGAUUAAGCAGAGCCACGGCCAUGUGCACAUACAGUCUGCCACCAACGGAGGCAGUGCCGUCCGGUCACUGCAGACGCACUGGCUCUCAUGCACUAGACGCACGUUCCUUGCAGAACAGGCCAGGCAGUGCCUCUUCUCUUCCAAAUGUUUUUGUUCCCUGGUCGACUACUUCACAUGAAUGUUUCUGUAGCAUCGCGAUAGUGACAUAAACUAUCAAAUUUUCAGAACAGCGGGUGCAUACCACAAGAGCAUUGUUAUAACAAGCUUACAAAACGGUGCAAAUGGCGAAUGGAUUGUUUGGUCAUGUUUAGACAUAACACGGUCUCAGAUAGGCGCAACAGCAUCUAACUGUACUAGCUUGAGGAAGUAACUUCAGCCCUGUGUCCAGCAGGCACAAGUAAACGGAUCUGACAAAUCGAGGCAUUCAACACGCCUGUGUUUCAAAUCCAAGGACAGAUGAUUGCAGCAUGCUAAUAACUUGAGAUGGGCGUGUUUGGAAGCUUUAUUCUCCCACAAGAACAACUUCUGUUGUUGUUCGUAAAAUUCCUGCAUGAAGUCUGAGGGAAAGCGAAACUUAAUCCUCAUGGUCUCUAGCUCCGUUGCCUUCAGAAUAAAGAACCUCACAAACUCAGUGUUCUUCCCGCUCUUUUCAUAAUCCUCCAGCGUUAUUGUCUUUAAAUGAAUGAUGUGUUCUUUGAGAAACUUGCGGUGCUUGCGACGCCAAAUAUUUCUUGCACCAUCGGGAACGUUUCCUCCCUGAAAACACAUAAAGGUUGAAAGAUACUCAAGGUCUAUUGAAGGACAAAAUGAACGAUAAAUUCCAUGACCCCUAUACCAAUCAGUUCGUCGAACACUUCCCUAGAUACGGAUGUAUGUAUAAUAAUAAUAAAAACAUGCCUAUGCAUAGGGUGUAUCCAUUGCAAACAAAAUGUAAGACAGGCUUUUUGAGAUGCAAGGAGUGCUGCACUAUGCACGGUAUUAGCUUUUCAUUGGGCGUGAGAAUCAUCACCUGAGCAAACAAGUUCUCUAGAUUUGGGAGGCACUUAAGCAAGUGAACGACCAGGUCCACUACAUAAGACAUGGCCGAAAACAAGGUUUUGACAGAUUGCCGCAUUGUAGAUAGGCUGACCGUCGCCAUACCCUUCACAUAACAUAGAAAAUAAAACAUAAAAUUAUUACAACAAAAGGUUGCAUGACAUGAAACUACUUUCUCAAGGAAAUGAAGCUACAAUUGUUGUGAAAUGUCAGUACCAUAAGACCUGUGGAGCCAAGCGAGAUCCUGAAUUUGCCCAAUGUCUUUAGUUUAGGUGCAGAGACGAUGAAUACCUACAUGUUAUUGCUCUGGAGAUCAUGGAUCAACCUCUGAAGAGAGGGGGCAUCCUCGAUGAUGAAUUCUCCUUUCUCACCACGGAUGCCGAUGCUUACAAGGUUAGGCGAAUUUAUAGUGAUCCGAUGCCUUUCUCCAUUGCAAACAAGCAGCGGGCACUCGAAUGCAGGGUAACUAGAGUUGAUCAUGCUUUGCAAUGAGAAUUCUGAUAUAUAAACCUCAACAAGCGAAAGCCUCUUGACGAGUGGUAGUUGAAGUACCUCUACAUAAUGGUCUGGUAUCUGGCAACACGUGAAGCUGAUAGUGCACAGAGAACAUGAAAACCGAAAGACGGACUUCGGUAGUGAGGGCGUAGAUGAAGAGCAUGUGUGGUGAUAGUUUGACAGUUUUUUUCACGAACCGUGGAAACAGGUAGUGAAACUCAAGCACCUGGAGAUUGUUCAAUCUGGGGGGACUAAAGCCAGGCGUGGACAGUAGAGGGUCUGCAUUGGAGGUAGCACGCCGGUAUACAAAGGCGGAGAACUGCACCCACAUGGCUGGAGAAGAUGGACUCUGGAAGGGACGAACCAUCAUUAGGAACUGUUUUUCCCUGAUGCCAAGUUCCGAUGUAUCGUAUGCAAGCAAGCUCCUGGUUGUAGGCAGAGGCCCUACUAAUGAUUUUGAUAUGAACUGUUUCUAGAGGGUUAAAAAGACGUGCGACAGGGAUCUCACGGCAGUCCAGAUUCAGAGGAACGGUGGGCCAAACAGGGCGUCAACGAUGUGCGAGGAUUUGAGUAUGAACGCCUUCCUUAGUGGACGGACGGGAGAUUAUCUCACCAAGGACACCGUCCGCGAGGUCGCUGAUGCGGUCCGGACCAGACUGCCCUUCUUGAUCCUCGGAUCCAGUAGGCGCACCCUCGCCGCUUCCAGCCGCUACCUCCAAACCACCGGAAGAGGCCGUCGCCGAUGGCGCGAGCCUCCCCCUCUUGGUGCUCGGGCCACCGGAGUGAACCUCCAUCUCCGCCUCCAUUGUUGGGAUCGCGCGGCCUGCGAGCGCCGCUAUUUGUGGCGUGGAUCUGGAAAGACGACUAAGCAUAACUAGGGACGGGAAGGAAGGGGAGAGGAGUGGAGGAAUCUGUUCAGGAUCAACAAAAACAAAUGAUUGAACUCCUCUCUUUGCAUUAGAUGAAGUGCUAUAGAUAGCACUGGAACAGGCAUUUUCAAGGGGCGUCGGUAAGGACGGAACCGAGUCGACUGCAGAAAGCAACCGCCGCAAAAUAUCACUAUUAAUAUUGAUAUUAUUUCCCCCGCAAAAUAAUACAUAUUGAAAUAAUUUCUUUCCUGUUUGAGGAAGGAAAUGAGGCACAACCUUUUAGAAUAGGGGAGCACUGCCCUGCAUGCCAUAGAGGCAUGUUCGCCGCUCGGAGUAGCAAGAGCAGGUUCUACAUACACCAUGCUUCUUUGCAGUGCAACAUUACUAUCAUUAAGUGCUGCAGAGUGACAGCCGACUGUCCGUGUUACAAUUGUUUUCGUUGUAAGAUUUUACCUGCAAUGCACAAGGGUGACUUUCGAUGUUUAGUAGCGUCACGGUCCUUUACGCAUGAAGGCGACUUUCUGUGUGUUAGUGUUUCAGGUCACAGGCACGGCUGACCAGCCUGUGAAGCGCUCAAAGCGCCCAAGGAAAAACCACCUCAUCCUUGAUUCAGUGUUUCGGGUUACAGGCACGGGCAUGAAUCGCUCAAAGGCAUGGUCGACGGUAUUACAUAGAGUCACGCUAGCCUGUGACUCUAUCAGACAGAGAUGCACGAGUGUUUAGCCCACGGGGAUGAACCUUUGUCUUACACGCAGCCACGGAUGUUUACUCUGCGAGGCACGAGGCAAGGAUUGGCCUAUACGAGAGACACUGUUUUUUAAAGCGUGUUUCCUUGUAUUCAAAAUCACACAUGUCUAGUCCAUACAGACACGGUUUAGUACCGAGUUGCGUCAUGCUUCUUUCUUGAUAAAGGCGUUGAUAUUCGAGGCUAUCUCUGUUUCAGUGUCAAGGGUCACAAGCAAGCACGGGCAUACAACCCUCAAAGGCAUGGCGUGCUAUUAUAUAGAGUCACGCACAAAGGUUUUCUGAUUGUAUUCCGAAUGAGUCGGUGAGCUUGGUAAAAAGGAGAGGCAUGGACGUCAAGCCCAUGGAGGCAUAGUUUGUUCUUACUCGGAGUCACGUUUGUGCAUUUAUUACGAAAACCUAAUAGAAUCGGGCGACUGUGCUUGUUACAAUUGUUUUCGUUGUAAGAUUUUACCUCAAAUGCACGAAGGCGGCUUUAUAUGUUUAGUAGCGUCACGAUCCUAUAAACAUGAAGGGGACUUCCUGUGUGUCCGUGUUUUAGGUCACAGGCACUGUUGUCAAUCCCACAAAUGCACGAAGGCGACUUUAUAUGUUUACCAGCGUCACUACCCUUUACACAUGAAGACGACUUUCUGUGUGUCAGUGUUUCAGGUCACACGCACGGUUGUUAAGCCCACAAAUGCAUGACCUGUAAUUAUCCAGAGUCACCUUCGUGUCUCUUUGUGUUCCAAAUGCAUCCGUUGACUAUAUUACAGGACAGCCAUGGUCGGGACGCUGAGGGAGGCAUGCUUAUGUUUAAUGCGGAGCCAUGUUCAUGCAUUGAUUGCAGAAUCCCAAUGUUUCAACGGGCGUUCACACCUACUCGGGUGUGAACGCCACGUGGUGCCGCCAUGGAAACCCAAGGGUCCGACGGACGUCUCCUCCGAUGAUGCCGGUCUAGCUCGUCGCCCGAGGCUAGGCUCCGACUAUUUAAGGCAGACGAACGGAGUCUCAAAACCCUAGCCACACACUCUUCCCCCCUCUGCCCGCCGCCAGGCCAUCCAUUCCUCUUCCUAAUCUCUAUCCUGACCCUCUCCGCCUUUGCUGGUCAGGAGGAGACUACUGCGGAACCCAGUGUCCAGACACUGCAGGAGAUCCAGGCUGGCGAGGGCUCCUCAUCUGUGAGUUCACUCUGCUUCCGCUUCAUUUGUUUUUCCUUUCCUUCGGCUACUUGAUUUAGUAGUGAAACGUGAAUAAGCCAGAUGGAGUCUAGAAACCCUAGCCACAUUCCCUUCGUCCUUUUGUCCGCCUCCAGGCCAUCCAGUCAUCUUGCUGUUCUCUAUCCUGAGACUCUCAGCCACUGUUGUGCAGAAGGAGACUACUCUAGAGCGCCGUGUCCAGUCACAGCAGGAGAUCUCGGCUGGCGAGGGUUCCUCAUCUGUAAGUUUGCUCUGCUUCGGCUUCAUUCGUUUUUUCUUUCUGUCGGCUACUUGAUUUAGUUGUGAAACAUGGAUCAUUGUGGUGAGCUUCAUCCUAAUGUUGAUGAGGGUGCAUCAACCUCACACCUUCUCCUUUGACAGCUGAAAAACCUGUUCAAUACUGUGGACGACUUCAUGAAGACAUCCACGAAGUUGGACGAGGAGAACAGAUCCAUGAUUGCACGUCUUAUGAAUGAGAAGGCCCGGCUCAAACUUGAGCGCGAUAAGCUGAAGCUGGAAUCAUACGUUAUGAAGAAACAGAUCGAGGAACUUCGCGCCGAGCAACCAAAAAAGAAGUCUUGCCGGACUAAGUAGACAACAGCGACCCUGAUCAUCGUAUGUGAAGCUAUUAAGCAGUGCCCUAAAUGUUUCUUAUUUUGUCUUGCAUUACCUCGUGUCGUCAGUAACUUUGAUAACAAAUGUGUUUUGCUUUCCUGGGUCACGUUCAUUCCAAGCAGUGACCCUGGUCCUCGGUAUCUGAAGCUGUUAAGAAGUGCCCUAAAUGUUUCUUAUUUUGUCUUGCGUUACCUCAUGUCGUCAGUAACUUUGAUAGCAAAUGUGAUUUGCUUUCCUGGGUCACGUUCAUUCCAAGUUUAUGGGUACAGAUGAACAUUAACGUAAUGGCCAGUUCUAGAGACGUUGUUUUUAAAAGCACGAACCAGAGUCAUGUAUUGUGCACACAUGAAGGCAUGGACAUUCCUGCCUUUCGUUGUUUCAAUGUUUCGGGUCACAGGCACGGGCAUAAAGAGCUCAAAGGCAUGGUCGGUGGUAUUACAUAGAGUCAUGCUCGCCUGUGACUCUAUCAGACGAAGAUCCACGGGCGUUUAGCCCACGGAGAUGAACCUUUGUCUUACGCACAACCACAGGCAUUUACUUUGUGAGACACGGAAUGGCCUAUGUGAGGGACGAUGUUCUUAAAAUCUUAUUUCCUUGUAUUUAAAAGCACGGACAUGAACUCCCUACGGACACAGUUCCAUAUUGAGUUGUGUCACGCUUCUUUCUUGAUGUUAUGUAUAUUGUUCGAUAAAGGCAUGGACAUCGUGCCUGUCUGUGUUUCACUGUUAAGAGUCAUAGGCACGGGCAUAAAAUGCUCAAAGGCGUGGUCGGUGGUACUACAUGGAGCCAUGCUCAUGGAUCGAGAGGGAGCACGGUCGCCUCUUCCUUCUGCUCCGACGACAAGCACACAACAAGAAGGCGGCGUCACCGACGGAGCCACUCUGGACCUCUUGGUACUACGGGCGGCACUUUCCAUCUCCACCUCCAUUGCUGCCGUGGCGCCGCCUACGACCAUUGUUCGGUGAGGUGGAUCUGGAAGAGGCACGACAAGAAGCCAAUGGAGCCAUACUUUAAUAUUAGGCAGAAUCACGUUCAUGCGAUUAUUGCGCAAACCGUACAUUUCAUUAGCUGCACGGGCUUGAAGUCUCUGCAGCCAUGGUUAUGUGCGUUUGUGACUUUCUGUAUUUCAGUGAUUAGGGUCGUAGACACUGGCGUCAAAUCCACAAAGGCAUCGUGUGGUAUUAUAUAGAGUCAUGUUCGCCUGUGUCUGUUCUCAGGAUGAUUCCGUCGACUCGUUUAGACGGAGAGGCACGGACGAGACGCCCAUGGAGGCAUACUUCAGUAUUAGGCACAGUCACGUUCGAGCGUUUACUGCACAAACCGGGCACAAGAUAGACACUUAGGUUAGGUCUUCACCACGCACAUACAAAAACACAAGAGCUUAACAGAGGAGGAGGAGAAGAUCUCAGAAAAAAGAGAGGAUGAGGCACAGUGCAAGGAAAUAAUUCGACAUGUCACCACUGGCGUGCGUUUUUUAAAAGCACGGGCUAGCUCUCUCUGCAGCCACGGCUAUGUACGUUUGUGACUCUCUGUGUUUCAGUCAUUAGGUUCACAGGCACAGGCGUCAAAUCCUCAAAGGCAUCGCUUGGUAUUAUAUAGAGUCAUGUUGGGUUGUGUUUGUGUUCCGACUGAUUCAGUCGACUCAUUCAGACGGAGAGGCACGAACGAGAAGCCCAUGGAGGCAUACUUUAGUAUUAGGUAGGGUCAAAAUCAUGCGUUUAUUACGCAUGGUCGAUUGUAUUACAUAGAGUCAUGCUGGCCUGUGAGACUUGACCAGGCGGAGAUGCACGGACGUUUACUCUGUGAGGCACGGAAUUGCCAAUACGAGAGACACUUUUUUUAAAGCAUGUUUCCUUGUAUUUAAAAGCACAGACGUGAAGACCAUACAGACAUGGUUCAGUGUCAAGAGUCACAAGCAAGAACGGGCAUACAGCCCUCAAAGGCAUGGCAUGCUAUUAUAUAGAGUCACGCUCAAAGGUUUUCUGAUUGUAUUCCGAAUGAGUUGGUGGACUCAGUCACCAGCAGAGGCACGGGCGUCCAGUCCACGGAGGCAUGGUUUUUUCUUACCCAGAGUCACGUUAGUGCCGCCGCUAUUUAGGUGUGAACGCCAUGUGCCGCCGCUACGGAGACCCAAGAGUCCGAUGGACGUCUCCUCCCCUGACGCCGGUCUGGCUCGUCGCCCGAGGCCAGGCUCCGGCUAUUUAAGGCGGACCGAGGGGGUCUCGAAACCCUAGCCACACCCUCUUUCUUGGACUGUCCAGAUCCAUGCUACAUAAAGCGGCGCUCGCAGGCCGCGCGAUCCCAGCAAUGGAGACGGAGAUGGAGGUUCACUCCGGUGGCCCGAGCACCAAGAGGGCGAGGCUCGCGCCACUGACGACGCCUUCUUCUGAUGGUUUGGCGGUAGCGGCUGCAAGCGGCGAGGGUCCGCCUACUGGAUCCGAGAAUCAAGAAGAGCAGUCUUGUCCGAACCACAUCAGCGACCUCCCGGACGGUGUCCUCGGUGAGAUCAUCUCCUGUCUGUCCACUAAGGAAGGCGUUCGUACUGAAAUCCUCGCACGUCGUUGGCGCCCAGUUUGGCGCGCCGCUCCUCUGAAUCUAGACUGCCGUGAGAUCCCUGUCCCAUGACUUUUUAACCCUAUACAUCAAGUACAUUUCGAGUUGGUCACCGUGUUCUCCGCCACAUCGGAGGAACUCGUCCGUGUAACAUACACUGGAAUGUUUUUUAGAGGAGAACAUGUCGGUGAAGAUAAUUCGUAUGAUGAUUCGUACCUUCCAGAGACCAUCCUCUCCAGCCGUCAGAGUGCAGUUCACCGCCUCUGCAUUCCGGCAUCCUACCUCCACUGCAGGCACUCCACAGUAGACGCCUGGCUUUGAUCCCCAAGACUAGACAAUCUCCACGUGCUCGAGUUUUACUACCUGUUCCCAUCAUGCUUGAGAGAACAGGACAUAGGGCCAUUCUCAUGCCCUUCGCUCAUGCCCUCACCACCAGCAUUUAACCCUCAGAUUUCCUCCUCUCUCAAAACCAUCGCCUUUACUCUUUGCAAGUUACUAGACAAUUAUGUACGGGCGCUUAAACUACCACUGCUCAGGAGACUCUCACUAGUAGAUGUUGAUGAAUUAGAAGUCUCAUUACAAAGCAUCAUCAGCUCUACUUCUCCUAAACUUGAGUCUCUGCUGCUUGUUUGGCAUGUCAGGCACCAUUGCAUCAGAAUAAACUCACCUACCCUUAUGAGCAUCGGCAUUUCUGGUAUCUAUGGGAAAAUUGUUAUACAAUAUGCCUCAUCACUUCAACGGUUCCUUUGUGAUGGUGAUUGCAAGAAGUUGCAGAUAGCUAUCACCUCUGCACCUAAACUACAGGUCAUGGGCAAAUUAUCUAAUAUUUUCUCUGAAUCCGGCAUCACAAAUGACUGUAUAAUUAUUCAGGUACUGACUUUCAACAAUACUUUCACCUCUAUUCGUUGGUACAAACAAGUUCCAUGCAAUUCAACAUUUACUCUACUAAUAUUAUAUUUUAUUCCACUUGAAGUGUUUGCCGAUGGUCAGCACAUCCACAGCGGUUCAUUCUGUGAAGACGUUGUCUAUCAGCAUGGAUUUUGACCUGCACGCAGUCUUUUCCUUGGUGUAACACUUCCAAAGCUUGGAGAACUUGUAUAUCGAGGAGAUGCUUCUCACACAAAUUGUAAAAACAUACCAUGCAUGGUGUAGAACUCCAAUCAACAACAAGAACAACAUCAAAAAAAUGUCACUUACAUUUGUAUGUAAUGGACAAAGCUCUAUAUAGUAAUGGACAAGUAUCAGGACAAAACUAAAUAAAAGCUUUUAUCACAACAAAGGUUAUAGAAUUAUUCCUUCACUUCCUCCCCCAGUAGAACCACUCUUUAUGGUGCUUAACCAUUUCAAAUCUUCAUGUUUAUUCAGGAAAUAUCCUCUAAUGAAGAAAGUCUUGCGAACGACUAUUCUUGCAAGCACCAUCAUAACGUUCGUUUGAAGUCACUGAUGCUGGAGGGCUAUGUUCAAUGCGAGAAAAGCAUUCGAUUUGCGACAUUCUUUAUUCUCAACGCAACACAGCUCCAGACUAUGAGGAUAAAGUUUCUUCGUCAGGAAGACUUCACGGAAGAAUUCUACAAACAGCAACAAGACGUGCUUCGGGGGGACAAAAAGGCUUCUAAACAUGCUUGCCUUACGUUGUCGCCAAGUUGCAAAUACGGGAACUUGGAUCUAAGGCACGCAUGAGAUGAGCACCUGGAUUUAAAAGAUCCAUUCACUUGUAAGUGCUGAAACAGUCUUGGAGUGACAUGUUGCCGCCACUUUUCGGUUUGGAAUUUACGUAGGUGUGGUGAAACAAUGCUCGUACCUUUUUGCUCAAUAUGUAACCUUGCCAACAGUGAACACGGCAUUUCUGUCUAUGGCUAAAUGUUCUUUUGUUCAUGCCAUACAUUUCAUUAGCUGAACGGGCUUCAAGUCUCUUGCAGCCACGGCUAUGUACGUUUGUGUCUAUCUGUGUUUCAGUGAUAAGGGUUACGGGCACGGGCGUCAAAUCAGCAAAGGCAUCAUGUGGUAGUAUAUAGAGUCAUGUUCGCUUGUGUAUGUUUCCCGAAUGAUUCCGUCGACUAUCUGUAGACACGGCUAUGUACGUUUGUGACUUUCUGUGUUUCACUGAUAAGGGUCACGGGCACGGGCGUCAAGUCCACUAAGGCAUUGUGUGGUAUUAUAUAGAGUCAUGUUCGCUUGUGCUUGUGUUUGUGUUCCGAAUGAUUCAGUGAACCACGGUCUGUCAGCAAACACACAGACGAUCAUGCCUGUCACAUGGGCACGACCAUGCCAAGCGCACGGUUUGCCACGUACCACUCAACAGUCGUGAAGUGAUACGGCGCGCAUUGUUCUACAUGCCGCACAUGAUUCUUACACAGCAAACGCCAUGAACCUACUGCCACGUACUAUAUCCAUUUGUGAAACAGAAACGCAAACACGUUAGCCUGAGUUUCAGUCUUUCAGUCAUUAGGAUCACAGCCACGGGCGUCAAAUUCACAAAGGCAUCAUGUGGUAUUAUAUAGAGUCAUGUUCGCCUGUGUCUGUUUCCCGGAUGAUUCCGUCGACUCGUUUAGACGUAGAGGCACGGACGAGAAGCCCAUGGGGGCAUACUUCAGUAUUAGGCAGAGUCACAUUUGAGGGUUUACUGCAGAAACAUAACAAAAUUGGAUUCAGAUGUGAACCCUCACUGUUUACUUUGUGAGGCAAUGAAUGACCGAUCCGAGAGACACUGUUCUUAAAAGUAAACCACGGUUCUGUACCAAAGAGCCACUGUCAAACGAAUGGAAGUCAAGCAACGAGGGCCACACUUUUAGUAGUAGAAAAAGCACUUUAUCAACUAGCGUUGCUUCUUUGCUACACGCGCAGUAGGGUGGGUGUGGAAGGGACGUUAUUCAAGCACACAACGAACAUCACGAUGUCACAGCAAGGUCAAAAGCAUGGUUGUGAGUCUGCAGUGUCACGGCUAGAAACCUCGAGACGCAUUUGGGUGUGGCCUGUUAAGUAGAAACUCGGUUGUGCGGUCACCAGAGGCACUACGUAACGCCCCGCGAAACAGGUUUGGUUGACCGCCGGGGUGGCUAUCUAUGCUUUGAGCUCUUUUCAUCUCUCCUGUGUCGCAGCAGAGACGCAUGGUUGUAUUCUUACACCAUCCAGCUUCAUAAAGAAACGGCUGCAAAAAUUUACCCGUAAUCCUAUCGCCCUUAUAAUAUUUUCUCAGCUGAGUAAUAAAAGUACCUAAACAAGCAAAAUCUCUUCUGCUUAAAUUUGCUUUGUUUCUACAACUUCACCAAAUAAACUUACAAGUCGUUAUUUAUAACCACCGAACAAGGAGCAGAAACAGUGCAGCGGCUCAAAUGCAGCUCCAUGAGUGCAAGGCUCAACUGCAGCUCCUCAGUGUGUAUGGCAAGUACAUACGAGAAGCACUGCUCUACCUGCAACAUAGGCACGGAUGUGCAUCCAUUCUGUGCAUGACAGGUACAUACGAGAGGCACUCUCGUACAUACAACACAGGUACGGUUACACGUACAGCGAGCAUUUCUCCACUGAAAAAUUAAAACUACUUUAUAUAUUUUAACCUUCGUGCCACAGAAUUCCAUAGUCGUUCCGCCCGUACAAAGCCGCAAAACCACAAACUUCCUUCAUGGCUGCACGCAACACAAAAACAGACAAGCCUACAAACGGUGCAAAGACUACAACGGUUCUCUGAUAAAGUUUAGAUAGAACCCAAGCUCCUCUUUUCAGACAAGCCUACACAGGAUGCAAAGUGAACGCAACAACAAAUAACUCCAUACACCUGGACAAGUAACACAAGGCCUGAUUUCAGCAUCCACACCUGAAUGGAACCGCCAGAUCCAGGUAUUCAAUACUCCUCGUUCUUAAAUGCGGGCGCGCAUGGCUGCAACUUGAUGAUAAUCUAAGACGUGCACGUUUAGAAGCCCUUCUAUGCCACUCCAGAGCCUUUUGUUGCUUUUCGUAAAAUACUCCUGUGAACUCUGCAGGAGGGGAGGAAAACUUAAUGGUCAUGGUCUCCAGAUCCUUUGCACUAAGAACAAAGAACAUCGCAAAAUCAGCGUAACUCCCGCAGCGAACAUAAUCUUCCAGCGAUACAGUCUUCAGACAAAUGUCGUGAUGUUUGAGAAACUGCCGGUACUUACGACGCCAUUUGUUUUUUUCACCAUGAGAAAUCGAAAAUCCCUAAAAUAUAAAUGAUAGGUUGAAAAUACUUAGCGUCUAUAAAAAGAGUUACAAACCAUGAAAAAACCAAAUGAAACAAUUAGUUCUACCACCUCCGUAACAAGAAGGUAGACAUAGACUUGUCUAUGUAUGGAUGUAUCCAACAAUAAAUCAUGUGUAGAUACGGGUGCAUCAAUUUUAGUCAAAAUUAAGAAAAGCGUUUUGAAAAAGAACGAGUACUAUAGUAUGCACAUUUCUGAAGAUCAUCACCUCAACAAACAAGUUCUCCAGUUUUGGAAAGCACUGCAGCAAUUCAACGACAAUGUCCACCUUAUAAUCCAUGUAGAUAAGCAAGGCCUUGACACACUGACGCAUUCUUGUUAGACUGAUUGCCUUCAAACCCUUGAUGAAAAGUAACAGAAGGUGGAUCACAAAACAAAGUAGAAUAAAGGUUGGAUGAAAUAAAACUUGUUUCCUCACAAACAAAGUGAAGCUGGAAGUAUCGUGAAAACUCAAUACCUCAAUACACGUGGGAUGACAUGGAUACGGUUCAGACGUAGAGACACCGGUUAACUCCAAGUCCUAACUCUGCAUAAAGAAUAGAACAUAGACCAUCAAAUUAAUAGAACAAAUGUCAGAACAAGUGCAACUCUGUUCCAGUAUGAAGGAAAGGCAGUACCUCAAGACGCGUCGAGGGGGGCACGAACACGAAUUCACCCAACGUCUCCAGUUUAGGUGCAGAGACAACAGUUAUUGAGCAGUCAUCGACCAGACAAUCAACAACCAACCGUCGAAGCAAAGGGGCAUCCUCAAUAAUGAAUUCUCCGAAUGGACAACGAAUGCCAAUGCUUACAAGGUUAGACGAGUUUAUUGUGACGCGACGACCUCCUCUAUUGCAAACAAACAGGAGAGACUCAAGUCCAGGGCAAGUAAAGUGGAUUAUACUUUGUAGCGAGGCGUCUGAUAUAUGAACUUCCACAAGCGAGAGUCUUUUCACCAGUGGUAGCUUAAGCGUCCCAACGUAAUUGUCCGGUAUUUGGCAAAGAGCAAAGGCAAGAGUCUGGAGAGAGGAAGAAAACCGAAACAUGGACUCCGGUGCCAAGGGCGUAGAUGAAGUGCAUAGAUCCAGUAAUGUUACCUCUUGCCUCAGAAACCUUGGGCAGAGGUAGUAGAACUCAAGAACCUGGAUAUUGUUCAGCUCCGAGGAUCGGAGCCAGGCAUCAACGGUGGAUGCUCUGCACUGCAGGUAGCACGCCGGGAUACAGAGGCGGCUAACAGAGCCAGCAUGGCAGGACAGAAUGGAUUCCGGAAGACUUACAGCAUCAGAGACAGUAUUUCGAUCGGAAUAGCAUUUGCGAACGCACUCCUUGGCCAAGGCGGACACAUGAGAUAUGGUCUCGAUUUGAACUUUUUCUCCAUUGUUAAAAAGACGAGAGACAGAGAUCUCGCGGCAGUCGAGAUUCAGUGGAGCGAUGCACCACAAAGGACGCCAGUGACGUGCGAGGUUUCGAGUACGGAUGCCAUCCUUGCUGGGAAGACGAGAGAUGAUCUCACCUAGGACGCCGUCGGUGAGAUCGUUGAUGCGGUCCGCACGACAUCCCUCUUCUUCCUCCUCGGAUCGAGAGGGAGCACGGACGCCGCUUCCAUCCCCUUCGAUGACUAGAACACCACCAGAAGGCGGCGUCGCCGGAGGCACCACUCUCGAUCUCUUGAUCCUACGAGCAGCGCUUUCCAUCUCCACCUCCGUUGCAGGGGUGGCGCCGCCCACGACCAGUGCUCACUGAGGUUGAUCUAGAGAAAUGGAUUACAGCCUAUCAAUCCAUCAAACGACUUAAAUACCCACGACGGGGAGCGGAGGGGUCGAGAUUAAUUACCUCUUUUUUCUUUUGAUGCGAGGGUCGGGGUUAAUUACUACUCGUAAUGAGUAAAAGGUAGGUGGCUGCUUGAAACAUUAAAUAGAGGCACGGCUUACAAGGUACGAGAUGCAUGGUUGAAGAUGCAGACUAGGCAUGGGCGUGCCCGUCCGUGUUUUAAUUAUUUAAGGCACACAUUCAAUAGAAGAAUUUGUUUGACGCCGCAAGCACGGUCCUACAGUCAUCUUCCCUCUGCGAGCAGCAUAAUUUUCCACGGGCACAUUGACAAAUCAAGACACUACAAGAUUCAAGGCCGUGCCUCUGCUUUGCAGAUGAUUCUGCUGAAACGCUCACGGACAAAACCGUUGAAGUGUGGCAGAGGCACGGCUUGUCACGAACUGUCCAAAGAGGCAUGAUUGCAUUUUACGCGAGGUCACAAUUGUCACAGGCAUGGGCAUGAAGCGCUCAAAGGCAUGGUCGGUGGUAUUACAUAGAGUCACGCUAACCUUUGUCUUACGCACAGCCACGGGCGUUUACUCUGUGAGGCACGGAAUGCCCUAUAUGAGAGAUGUUGUUUUUUAGAAGCUUAUUUCCUUGUAUUUAAAAGCACGGGCGUACAGUCCAUAGUAUGUUAUUCGGGUGUGAACGCCACGUGACACCGCUCCGGAAACCCAAGGGUCCGACGGGCGUCUCCUCUGGUGACGCCGCUCUCGCUCGUAGCCCGAGGCCAGGCUCCGGCUAUUUAAGUAGGAAGGGGUCUCAAAACCCUAGCCACACCCUCUUCCACCCUCUGCCCAUCGUCAGGCCAUCCAUUCCUCUUGCUGCUCUCCAUCCUGACCCUCUCCGCCAUGGUUGCGCAGGAGGACACUACUGCAGAAGCCCAUGUCCAAACACUGGAGGGGAUCAAGCCUGGCGAGGGUUCCUCGUCUGUAAGUUCACUAUGCUUCCGCUUCUUUCCUUUUUUCUUUCCUUCGGCUACUUGAUUUAGUUGUGAAACGUGAAUAAGCCAGACUGAAUCUCAAAACCCUAGCCACAUCCCCUUCAUCCUUUUAUCCACCUCUAGGACAUCUGCUCCUCUUGUUGUUCUCUUCCCUGACACUCGCCGCGAUGGCUGUGCAGAAGGAGAUUACUCCAAAGAGCCGUGACCAGACGCAGGAGGAAAUCUCGGCUCGCGAGACAUCCUCAUAUGUAAGUUCACUCUACUUCCGUUUCAUUCGUUCUUUCUUUCAUUCGGCUACCCGACUUAGUUGUGAAACGUGAAUCAUUGUGUUGAACUUCAUCCUAACUUGAUGAUAGUGCGUCCUGCCAUCAAUCUGACACCUUCUAUUUUGUGCAGGUGAAGAACAAGUGGAAGGCUACGGAAGCUCACCUCUUAAAGAUCCUGGAGCUAUGCACGAGGUUGUACCAUCUUGGGGAUGAGAAGACGAAGGCGAAGCUCAAACCUGACCACGACAGGUUGAGGCUGGACAUAUACGUUAUGAUAAAAGAGAUCAAGGAACUUCGCGACCAACGACCCUGGUAGCUGUAUCUGAAGCAAUUAAGCAGUGGACUAAAAGUUUCUUAUUUUGUCUUGCGUUACCUCGUAGUUAGUUAACAAACAUGAUUUGAACAUUAACGUAAUGGCUGAUUCGAGCGUUGUUUUUAAAAGCAUGGGCGUCAAGUCUAUGCAGCCAAGGUUCUUUGUACCAACUAGAUUCAUGUCUUGUGCACACGUGAAGGCGUGGAGAUUCCUGCCUUUAUUUGUUUCAGUGUUUCGGGUCAUAGGCACGGGCAUGAAGCGCUCAAAGGCAUGGUCGGUGGUAUUAAAUAGAGUCACGCUAGCCUGUGACUCUAUCAGACGGAGAUGCACAGGCGUUUAGCCCACGGAGAUGAACCUUUGUCUUACGCAUAGCCACGGGCGUUUACUCUGUGAGGCACGGAAUGACCUUUGUAAGGGACGCUGUUUUUAAAUCUUAUAUCCUUUUAUUUAAAAGCACGGACGUGAACUCCCGAUGCACACGUUUCCGUAUUGAGUUGUGUCACAUUUCUUUCUUGAUGUGUUAUGUAUAUUAUGCAAUAUAAAAGACGUGGACGUUCAUGUCUAUCUGUAUUUCAUUGUUUCACAAUGAAGCACGGGCACGCUUUUAAACAAAGCACAAGCACGUCUCGAUUUGUAGAAAACAACACUGUCGUGGUUCUACAGGACGCUAGGUUCUAGGCUGUGCAGCAUGUUUUCACCCAAACGUUCACCACAUGGUCACGAACAUACACAGAGGAAGUGUCGUGCACUGGUAACAGACGCACCCUUACAUGUAUAAGAGGCACGAGGAGGCAUAUUGAUUAAUAUCAUCAGAAAUGAAUCACAUUAUACAUGUGCACGCAUAUAGAGAUAUGCACAAAAAGUGGACUACAAGAGGCACGAGGAGGCAUAUUGAUUAACAUCAUUAGAAAUGAAUCACAUUAUACAAGCCUGUCUUUGUGGAUCCGUUCGACGCCGGAAGCACGGUUCUACGAUCAUCUUGCCUCUGCAAGCAGCAAAAUUUUCCAGGGGCACGUUGACAAUUAAGUCACUAGAAGAUUCAAGGCCAUGCCUCUGCUUUGCAGAUGAUUCUGCUUAAACGCGGACAAAACCAAGUAAGUGAAGUCAUGGCAGAAGCACUGUUCUACAUGCCACACAGGCACGGUCGUGAUUCCACAGUAAUACCUGUUUGGUCCAUCACAAAGUAGGUGUCGUGCAGUGAUAACAGACGCACAGUCUUACAGGCACAAGAGGCACGAACACCUCUGUAUUGUAAAAUAUCUUAGGUAACAAGUUAUUUGGAUAGGCACGGUCGUCACAUCACACGUGACUGCGUGUUCCAGGUGAUUUUAUUCGCUCGCUCUAUUCACAAAAGGAAAUCCAAACUUACAGGCGGUGCACAAAAACAUUAAAACUUGUUAGUUUUUGAGCUGCUGAAUUGCUUCCCGACUCAAGAGCACAAAAACAGGUUCCUGAUAACAUCACAGACAGUGCAUAAAGUACAAGCUGGAAAUCCAAACUGGAAAGCGCACAAUAACACCUAUCUUUGACUGGCGGAUAACCGUUUUCAACAUUCACAAGUCAAUGGAUCCGGCAAAUCCAUGAUUGGGCACUGGUUUGUCCAGAUGUGUACUUUUAAAUCCAAGUUCAUAUGCCUACAAUACCCUGACAAUAUAAGACGAGCACGUCUAGAAGCCUUGUUGCACUAGUACAGAACCUGCAUUUAGUGCCGGUUCGUGACGGGCUUUAGUGCCAGUUCGCCAACCGGCACUAAAGAGUGGGGACUAAAGGUCCCCUCCCUUUAGUACCGGUUCGUCACGAACCGGCGCUAAAGGGCCACCACGUGGCACGAGCCAGGCCCGUUUGCGUGGAGGGCAUUAGUACCGGUUGGUAACACCAACCGGUACUAAAUGUUUGGGUGUUUUUUUUAAUUUUUCUUUAAUUUUGUGUUUUCAAUUUAAUUUAGUGAUUGUUUUACAUUAUAAUGAGUUGUUAAAUCAUUAGGUGAAAGUACCGCGGAUUAGUUUCGACUGGAUGCAUUAUUGGAUAUCUCUACUAGCUAGCUAGAGUAUAUGCCAUAUCCAUAUUAUACUUGAUCAACUAUAAUAUAUAGGGAUAUGGCAUAUACUUGAUCACUUAGGUAGGAUCCAUCCAGCUGAAACUAAUCUGCGGUUUCUUUCAUUAAAUGAUAUAAUAAUUAACUAGCUAUCUUAUCACCACCAACACUACUAGCUUAAAGAAGAAACAUUCACUUGUACCAGAAGCUAAAAUAUUAUCGAUCGAGUUCAACAUGAUUGUCAUGAUAUUAUAAGCAUUCAUAUAUAACACCACAAAAGCAAAUCACUUAAGUUUAGAACGAAGAACACGGACAUGAAAGGACAAGUACUAAUUAAGAGCAGCAUGAAGAACUAGCUAGAUCACUCCUGCUAGCUACUCUCUCUCUGGUAAAAUAGCAUAGAACAUGUAUAGCUCUCCUGAUUGAUCAUACUGGAGCAUGCCGAUGAACCUGUCUCCUAAUCGUGGGCUGCGCUUCUCAUUGCUGCCCCCUAGUACUUCUCUGUGAUCAUUAACAAUUUUCCUCCAAUCUUUCACUAUUAAGCAUUCAUCGCUUCUAGAAAUCCUGAAUGCAUUCAUGUGCAAUGCAGGAUAUCUUGGCCGUAAGCUAACAAUUGACAUCUGACCUUUAGUGUCGAUCCCCUGAUGCACAACUGUCAUCGGGAGUCCCUCUUGAAUAACAUUGUAUAGUACUUAAUUAAUAUACUUAGCAAUGAAAGUUUAGCAAAAAAAUUAUGUAUGCAAAAUAUGCACUGAGGACAAAUAGUAAAUAUCUUACCAUCAUUCCUAAAUAGAUGUGACCGUAGUUCAAUACCAUCACUAUUGGUCGCACGUUUUGAGUACUAACAUUUCUAAGUGCAGGAAGAAAAUUUGUCUUGACAGUAUGAAGAUCCUCAAGCCAUGAAACAUAAUGACUUAUCUCCUCACAGUUUAGUUCAGCUCCGGGAUAGUAGUAGGUCCUGUCUACCAAGCGUCGGACAUGUUUGGUUGAAUGGAGAUAAGCUAUCAAUAGAAAUUAGUUGUCAGUUAUUUUUGAAUAAGCAAUAUCAAAGACAAAAAUAUAGUUGAGAAGAACUCACAUAAUGGUAGAACUGGAGGCGUCUGCACAUCGACCCAUAUGUCUCUAUUACCUUCAAUAUCAUCUUCCGGACGAAUAUCAAAGGUGAUAACCAUACCAGGCUCAAAUGCAUAAGCCUUGCAUAGUGCUUGCCAAGUUUUGCAUUUAAAAUAGGUGUACGUGUGUGCAUUGUAUACUUUGACGUUGAAAGUAUAACCAUCAUCCUCAGUUUUCAGGUAAGCUCUCUUUACCUCCAUAGUUUCCAUAUCUUUGAAACCUAUCUUAUCCAAGACAAAAAUUCUUGCAUGGCAGGGGAUGCGCUAGUAGAAUAGUGAAAUUAAAAAUUAUAAGUCGGGCAAAUGAAGCAUAUAUAAGUCAUGCUUAAUUAUGAAAACAGACUUGUCAUUGUGACUUACUGUAUCGAAUUCAAAAGUCUCAUCCAGCUUGAUGCUGAACCGCCUACCAUCAACAAGGAAAUUUCUGUCGCACUGGCCGCGCUGGUCUUCACAGUAUUCGCACAUAAUGAAAUGUUUUCCGUCGUCAGACGACAUUUCCUAUGUUCAUAUUAGGCGAAACAUUAAACACUUACUAAUUCAAUUAAUUCAACUACUUCUAUUAAUUCAACUAAGCAUUUACUAAAAAUAAACUAGUUAUAUUAAUUCAAUUAGUUCAAAGCAUUUAGUAAAAAUAAACUAGUUCUAUAUAUAUAUUAAUUCAACUAGUUCAACUAAACAUUUACUAAAAAUAAACUAGUUAUAUUAAUUCAACUAGUUCAAAAUAAGCAUAUACUAAAAUAAACUAGUUCUAUAUAUUAAUUCAACUAGUUNNNNNNNNNNNNNNNNNNNNNNNNNNNNNNNNNNNNNNNNNNNNNNNNNNNNNNNNNNNNNNNNNNNNNNNNNNNNNNNNNNNNNNNNNNNNNNNNNNNNNNNNNNNNNNNNNNNNNNNNNNNNNNNNNNNNNNNNNNNNNNNNNNNNNNNNNNNNNNNNNNNNNNNNNNNNNNNNNNNNNNNNNNNNNNNNNNNNNNNNNNNNNNNNNNNNNNNNNNNNNNNNNNNNNNNNNNNNNNNNNNNNNNNNNNNNNNNNNNNNNNNNNNNNNNNNNNNNNNNNNNNNNNNNNNNNNNNNNNNNNNNNNNNNNNNNNNNNNNNNNNNNNNNNNNNNNNNNNNNNNNNNNNNNNNNNNNNNNNNNNNNNNNNNNNNNNNNNNNNNNNNNNNNNNNNNNNNNNNNNNNNNNNNNNNNNNNNNNNNNNNNNNNNNNNNNNNNNNNNNNNNNNNNNNNNNNNNNNNNNNNNNNNNNNNNNNNNNNNNNNNNNNNNNNNNNNNNNNNNNNNNNNNNNNNNNNNNNNNNNNNNNNNNNNNNNNGGCGACGAUGACGACAGGCGGCUGGGGCGGCGAGGGCGACGGCACGGUGGCGCGACGGCAUCGGCGUCGUCGAUAUCGAGACUUGCGCGCGCGCGAGAAGUGGAACGAAUUAGUGGCGACGAUAACUGAUUUUUUGUAAGUAUAGUAUAUAUAGGAUGGGCCUUUAGUACCGGUUGGUGGCUCCAAUCGGUAGUAAAGGUCAAUUUUGGCCAGCCCAAGCGGCGGGGAACGAGGGCCUUUAGUACCGGUUGGUGGCUCCAACCGGUACUAAAGGGCAACACAUUAGUACCGGUUGGAGUCACCAACCAGUACUAAUGCCCGUGCGCUGCCACCCGCAGUGCGCUACGUUUAGUCCCACCUCGCCGAGCGAAGGGCAACCGCAUUGGUUUAUAAACCCAGCCGCGACUGCCCUUUCGAACUCCUCUAUAUAGCAGGCUUCUGGCCCUAACUAGGGCGCGCUGCCCUAUGAGCCUGCUGGCCCUACUGGGCAUGUAUUUGCACACCCAAGGUCUGGCAGGCCCACCGGGCAGCGCCCCAACAUUUUUUUAUAAUUUUUUUCUUUUCUGCAUCAUUUAUUUUCUUCUAUUUAUUUUUGAGUAAUUUUUUUAUAUAGUUAUUUCUUUUCUGCUUUAUUUUUUUCUUCUAUUUAUUUCUGAGUAGAUUUUUUUGCUGUAUUUAGUUUCUUUGNNNNNNNNNNNNNNNNNNNNNNNNNNNNNNNNNNNNNNNNNNNNNNNNNNNNNNNNNNNNNNNNNNNNNNNNNNNNNNNNNNNNNNNNNNNNNNNNNNNNNNNNNNNNNNNNNNNNNNNNNNNNNNNNNNNNNNNNNNNNNNNNNNNNNNNNNNNNNNNNNNNNNNNNNNNNNNNNNNNNNNNNNNNNNNNNNNNNNNNNNNNNNNNNNNNNNNNNNNNNNNNNNNNNNNNNNNNNNNNNNNNNNNNNNNNNNNNNNNNNNNNNNNNNNNNNNNNNNNNNNNNNNNNNNNNNNNNNNNNNNNNNNNNNNNNNNNNNNNNNNNNNNNNNNNNNNNNNNNNNNNNNNNNNNNNNNNNNNNNNNNNNNNNNNNNNNNNNNNNNNNNNNNNNNNNNNNNNNNNNNNNNNNNNNNNNNNNNNNNNNNNNNNNNNNNNNNNNNNNNNNNNNNNNNNNNNNNNNNNNNNNNNNNNNNNNNNNNNNNNNNNNNNNNNNNNNNNNNNNNNNNNNNNNNNNNNNNNNNNNNNNNNNNNNNNNNNNNNNNNNNNNNNNNNNNNNNNNNNNNNNNNNNNNNNNNNNNNNNNNNNNNNNNNNNNNNNNNNNNNNNNNNNNNNNNNNNNNNNNNNNNNNNNNNNNNNNNNNNNNNNNNNNNNNNNNNNNUCUUCUUCUUCUUCCUCCUCUUCUUCCUCUUCUUCUUCUUCUUCUUCUUCCUCCUCUUCUUCUUCUUCUUCUUCUUCUCCUCUUCUUCUUCUUCUUCCUCCUCUUCUUUCUCUUCUUCUGCUUCUUCUUCCUCUUUUUUAUAUAUAGAGUUCAGUGAAGACCAAAUGCUUGUGAUAGUUCGAAAAUAACAUAUUUAAAUUAUGCAUCUGAACGCAGAAAAAAUACAUUGAUCAGUACCGCCUUUCAGCUAAAACACGCGCUACUGCUACAUAGAAGUACAUAUAAAAAAUACAUUGAUCAUCAACGAUCUUUUUGUAUAGAAUCUAAAUCGUCAAUAGGAAUCUAGCACCGAUUUAAGAACCGGCGAAGACUCCUAUUGCAGCCACAGAUCCUGCACAUAGAGUUCAAUGAAGACCAAAUCCUUGGGAUGGUUUGAGAAGUAACAUACUUAAGGUGGUCAAAUUCUUGUUAGGGGAGCGAGGUGGGACUAAAAAUAGCGCCUGCCACAACCUAUUUAGUACCAGUUCGUGCCACGAACCGGUACUAAAGGUGUUGGCCGGGCACCAGCAUCUUUAGUACCGGUUCGUGGCACGAACUGGUACUAAAGAUUCCCAAAGAACCGGUACUAAAGGUCACCUCCCGCCAAGUCAUUUGAACCGGCACUAAUGGGAGCAUUAGUGCCGGCUCAUAUGCCAACCGGUACUAAUGUUUCACAUAUUAGGUCCUUUUUCUACUAGUGUUGCCCCAUUGAAGCGCCUCUUCUUGACGUUUAUAAAAUCCUUCGGUGAUGUUGUCUGGGGGGAGAGAAAAUUAAGCCUCGUAGUCUCUAACUCCUUUGCAUUCAGAAUAAAGAACGUUACAAAUUCAAUGUUUUUGUUGCAGUGUACAUAUUUUUCCAGCGUUACUGUCUUCAGACGAAUGUCAUGCUGUUUGAGAAACACCCGGUGCUUGUGGCGCCACUUGUUUGUUACACCUUCCUCACGGCAAACUCCUCCCUGGAAAUGCAUAAAGAGUGAGAAUACUUGAGGACUACAAUGGGAAAGACAGGCCUCCAAUAUAGUACACUAUGCAUUGUUUGUGCUUUCGAUGCGUUUGGAAAUCAUUUUACCUCGAUAAACAAGUUCUCUAGGCUAGGAAAGCAUCUCAUCAAGGCAACAACCUUGUUCAGAUUUAAUGACAUGUGGAUAAGCAGGGUCUUCACAGAUUGAACUGCCAUUGAUAGGCUGACUACAGACAAAGCCUGCACCAAGCACAUAUCAUAAAACUAGAUGGAUAAAAGUUUACAUGGCAUGAAAUUCGGGCAGUGGAACGAAUGCAACUAAAGAGUAUAUAGUGCAAAAGGUGAGUACCUCGAUAAUUGUAGAGCCAAAAACAAUCUUGGAUUCAGGAGAUCCUUCGUAAAAAUUGCCCAGACACUUAAGUUUAGGUGCAGAGAAGACAAUUAUCUGCAAUUGCCGGCUCUGAAUAUCGUGAAUCAGUUGUUUAAGUGAGGGCGCAUCCUCAACAAUGAGUUCACCAUUCUCACAAAGGAUACAUAUGAGUUCAACUUUGGCUGAGUUUAUUCUGAUGCAGUGGUCUAGGUUAUUGCAAACAAGCAGGAGCCACUUGAGGGCAGGCAACCAUGGUUGAUUAUGGUUUGCAGUGAGACAUCUGAUAUAUCAACCUCCAAAAAUGAAAGCCUCUUAAGCAGUGGAAGUUUGAACGAUGGUGCAUACUCAUCAGGUAUCUGGAAAAGAGCAAAUGUGACAGUGUGCAGCGAGGAAAACAGCAACGUGGAAGUCGGUGGCGAGGCCGCGGACGAACAGAAUUUGUGCGGUAGUGUGAUGGCUUUUCCCACGAAUUGUGGGAACAUGUAGUAGAACUGGAGAACCUGCAGAUUCUUCAGUCUUGGGGAUCGAAGCCAGGCGUCGACUGUAGAGGGUCUGCAGUGGAGGUAGCACGCGGGAAUGCAGAGGCGAUGGACUGCGCCCCCAUGGGCGGAGAGGAUUGUUUCCGGAAGGCACGAACCACCAACGUCAGGCUGAAAAUUGCACCGAGUUCCAAAAUAUCUAAUGUGAAUGACAUCCUUGCUGGGGAGCAUCGAGACUACGUCGAUAUGAACUAUUUCUAGAGGCUUAAAAAGACGACCGACAGGGAUCUCACUGCAGUCAAGAUUCAGAGGAGUGGCGCGCCACAGAGGGCACCACCGACGUGCGAGGAUUUGAGUGCGGGUGCCUUCCUUGGUGGACAGACGGGAGAUGAUCUCACCGAGGACACAGUCCGGGAGGUCGCAGAUGUGGUCCGGGCAAGACUCCUGCUUCUCGGAACCACUGAGCGGCCCCGCGCUGCUUCUGGCCGCCACCGCCAUGCCGCCAGAGGACAAAGUUUCUGGUGGCCCGAACCUCGUCUUCUUGUUGCUCGGGGCACCUCACCGGAUCUCCAUCCCCGUCUCCGUUGCUGGAUUCGCGCCGCCGGAUCCCUGUGAGCACCGCUAUAUAUGGUGUGGAUCUGAAAAACUACUAGGUCUUCACUACGCGCAGAUCCGGCGUGUGAGGAAAGGAGGGGAGGGGACGUCGACCAAUUGGACGACAACUAUAAAUUAUAUCUUUCCUUCACUGUUGCGGUGGAAAACAAAAGAACGGUCAUUUUCCUUCACUAUUGCGGAAGAAAACAUACACAGGCACGGGUGGACAGCCCAACAAAUCAUGGUGUGGUAUUAUAUAGAGUCAUGUCCGCUUGGGUGUGUGUUCCGAAUGAUUCCGUCGACUCAUUCAAAUGGAGAGGCACGAAUGUUUGGGCUCAUAGGCAUGAGCAUGCAACGCUCAAGGGCAUGGUCCGUGGUGUUACAUAGAAUCAUGCUCGCCUGUCACUCGAUCAGACAGAGAUGCACGGGCGUUUAGCCCACAGAACUGAACCUUUGUGUUACGCAGAGCCAUGGGCGCUUACUCUGUGAGGCACGGAAUGCCCUACGUCAGAGACGCAGACUCCUUAUAUUUAAAAGCAUGGACGUGAAUUCCAUAAGGACACGGCUCCGUAUUGAGUCGCGUAAUGCUUCUUUCCUGUUCUACUUAUAUUAUUCGAUAAAGGCAUGGACAUUCGUGCAUGUCUGUGUUUUAGGGUCGCAAGCACGGGCAUAAAGCGCUUAAAGGCAUGGAGAGCUAUUAUAUAUAGACACGCACAAAGAUUUUCUAUUUGUAUUCCGAUGGCUCGGUGGACUCGGUCAGAAGAAGAGGCACGCACGUGACGACCACGGAGGCAUGGGCAUGUAUGUGCGUUUAUUAUAGAAACCUAACAGAAUCGGGUUUAUAUGUCAACACUUUCUGCUUACUCUGUGAGACACGUAACAGCCCAUUCGAGAGACAGAAAGGGGCACACGUUUAUUGGCGCAUUUCCACAUGACUGGCGACUAUGACAUAAAGCAGCAUAAACAUAAAAAGACAGAAAGGUAGACUGAUUUCAUCAGUUGCAAGCUCCUUCGUGGCUCCUCAAGGACAACAAAGACAAACAAAGCGUACAAACAGUGCAAAUAGAUCAACAGUUGUUCGACAAGGUUUACACAAAACGCGAACUCCAAAACUUCAAGACAAUAAGACACUCCCAAGAACAUGAGCAACCAUCUCAAGACCUAUUCUUCAGCAUGAACAUCUGAAUGGAUCCGUCAAAUCGAGAUAUUCAACACUCCUAUUUUGUAAAUACUGAUGCACGUGGAAGCAACUUGGUAAUAAUCGAAGACGACCAUGUUUAGAAGCUUUAUUGUGCCACUUCAGAACCCUUUGUUGCUCCUCGUAAAAUACUUCUGUGAACUCCGCUUGAGGGUACACAAACUUAAUGUCAAUGCUAUCCAGAUACUUUGCACAUAGAACAAAGAACGCCGCAAAUUCCUCGUUACCCCGGCAAGAAAAAUAAUCUUCCAGUGUUACUGUCUUCACACAAAUAUCGUGAUGUUUGAGAAACUGCCGGUGCCUACGACGCCAUACGUUUUUUUCAGAACAAAGCGUCGACCGUCCCUAAAAAAUACAUGAAAGGUUGAAAAUACUUAGCGUCCAUAGAAAAAGAUAUGUAUGUAUGUAUGUAUCCACUUAAGUCAACUUUAACAUAAACAUUUUUAAAUGGAAGGAGAACUACAGUAUGCACAUUUCUCAAGAUCAUCACCUCGACAGACAAGUUCUCCAUUUUUGGAAAGCACUGCAGCAAUUCAACGACAAUGUCCACCUUAUAAUCCAUCUAGAUGAACAAGGUCUUGACAGAUUGCCACAUUGUUGUAAGACUGACUGCCCCAAAAUGCUUUAUAAAAAUUAACAGAAGAUACAUCACAAAACUAAUAGAUUAAAGGUUGGACGAAAUAAAACUGGUUUCCUCUCAAACAAGAUGAAGCUGCAAGUAUUGUCAAAACUCAAUACCGCAAGACAUGUGAGACGACGUGGAUACGGAUCAGGUGCAGAGACACCGGUUACCUCCAAAUUAUCACCCUGCAUAAAGCAAAGAACAUAUUACAACAAAUUAAUGGAACUAACAUCGGAACAAGUCAUCACCCUGCUCUAGAAUCAGGUAAAGUCGGUACCUCAACAAGUGCGGGUGCAAACACGAACGCGAAUUCACCCAGCAUCCCCAGUUUAGGUGCAGAGACAACAGUAAUCGAACAGUGGUCGUCCUCUUUAUCGCGGAUCAACCGUUGAAACAAAGGCGCAUCCUCAAUAAUGAAUUUUCCGUAGUGACAACAAAUGCCAAUGCUUACAAGGUUAUACGUGUUUAUUGUGAUGCGACGAACUUCCCCACUGAAAAUAAGCAGCAGAGACUCAAGUGCAGGGCAACUAGAGUGGACUAUGCUUUGAAGCGAGACCUCUGAUAUAAGAACUUCCACAAGCGAUAGUCUUUUCACCAGCGGUAGCUUAAGCGUCCCUGCAUAAUUGUCUGGUAUAUGGCAAAGAGCAAAGCCGAGUGUGUACAAAGAGGAGGAAAACCUAAACACGGACUCCGGCGCUGAGGGCACGAUGAAUUCACCCAGUGGUGUGACCUCUUGCGCCGCGAAUCCUGGGAACAGAUAGUAGAACUCAAGAAUCUGGAGACUGUUGAGCUUUGACGAUCGGAGCCAGGCAGCAAUGAUGGCAGGUCUGCACCGCAGGUAGCACGCCGGGAUAGAGAGGCGGCUUACUGAGUCGGGAUGACUGGACAGGAUGAAUUCCAGAAGACUGACAACAUUAACGACAGAAUAUUGAGAGCACCGAGUUCCGGUAUAAAAUCUGAAGACGGCCUCGGUGACGGCGGACAGCUUCAAGAGGAUGGCAAUAUGAACUAUUUCUCCAUCAUUAAAAAGACGGGCAAGAGAGAUCUCGCGAUAGUUGAGAUUCAAAGGAGCGGUGAGCCAUAAAGGAUGCCACCUACGAGCGAGGAUUUGAGUACGGAUGCCAUCCUUGAGGGGGAGACGAGAGAUGAUCUCACCUAGGACGGCGUCCGGGAGGUCGCUAAUGAGGUCCAGACGAGACCCCUCUUCUUCAUCCUUGGAUCGAGGAAGAGCACACUUGCCGCUUCCCUCCCCUAUGGCGACAAACACACCACCAAAAGGCGGCGGCACCGACGGCACUACUCUCACCCUCUUGGAGCUAGGAGUAGACAUUCCAUCUCCAUCUCCAUCUCCAUUGCAGGGGUCGCACCACACACGACAAGUGCUCAGUGAGGUGGAUCUAGAAAAAUGGAUUAUAACCUGUCCACCCACGAAACAACUUUGUAGAUGCCUGCUUGAAACAUUAAAUACAGUCACGGCUUUGAUUAUGCGAGAUGCACUAUUGAACAGGCAGACCAGGCAGGGGUGGGCAGCACACAAAGACAUACAUACAUUUACUCCGUGUUUUAAUUUUUUACGGCACAUACAUACAUUAAAAGAAUUUGUUCCACGCCGGAAGCACGGGUGGGCAGCACACAAAGACAUCGUGUGAUGUUAUAUAGAGUCAUGUUAGCUCGUGUCUGUGUUCCGAACGAUUCCGUCGACUCGUUCAGAUGGAGAGGCACGUACGUGAACCAGUGGAGGCAUGUUGUGGUAUUACAUAGAGUCACGUACGAGCGUUUACUACAGAAACACAACGGAAUUGGAUUCAGAUGUGAACCCUCACAGUUUACUUUCUGAGACAAUGAAUGGACGAUCCGAGAGACACUGUCCUUAAAAGCACGGGCAAGAACUCUGUACAACCACGGUUCUGUACCAAGGAGCAACUGUCAAACACAUAGAAGUGAAGCAAAGAGGGCACGCUUUUAGUAAUAGAAGAAGCACUCUAUCGGCUGGUGUUGCUUCUUUUUCAGGCACACAGUAGGAUGGCUGUGGAAGGCAUGCUUUUCAGGUAGAGAACGAACGUCACGAUGCCACGACAAGGUGAAAUCAUGGUUGUGCAGAUGCACUGUUGAGCAGUCACGGCUUUGAUUAUACAAUAUGCACUUUUGAACACGCAGACCAGGAACGGGUGUGCCCCUCCGAGUUUUAAUUUUUUACGACACAUACAUGCAUUAAAAGAAUCUGUUCCACGCCGGAAGCACGGGUGGGCAGCACACAAAGGCAUCGUGUAGUAUUACAUAGAGUCAUGUAAACUAGUGUCUGUCUUCAGAACGAUCCCGUCGAUUCAUUCAAAUGGAGAGACACGGGACGUAAACACGCAGAGUCAUGGUGUGGUAUUACAUAGAGUCACGUCCGUGUGUUUACCAUGCAACCAUGAGAGUCACGGUUGAACAUUCACCAGUGGCAUGACCGUGGCUGCUCGUGCCCUUCGGUUAUUUUUAUCUCUCUGUCCUGCAACAGAGAAGCAUGCUUGUAUGCUUACAACAUCCACGUUUAGAAACCAACGCGGCUGCGGAAAAUAACAAGGAAACAUGUGCCUCUGAUAUUUUUCUCCACCGAGUAAAAAUACAUAAAGAAACAAAAGGCGUUCUUAUUUAAAUUUGUUUUCUUUCUAUGACUGCAGCAAAUUAAGUUACAAGCCGUUCAUAUAACCACACAAUGAGAAAAUAAACAAUCGACACCAGCCCGCCCUCCACACCAAUCACUUGCUAUUUCAUGUGCAGCCUUGUUUUUGAAUGUUCAGCGAUCCAUUCUUCCUUCUCGAUACUUGUGCAACCCCACGAUUCUACAUACCUAUUCAACCUAUUUGCCUGCAAUAUUAACAUUCAUACAUAAAAACAAAGCAAAAGAUUGCGGUCAUCACUGUUUUUUGCUUACGCCCUGUUUACGCUGCAUUAUUAUCUUUUAAUUUUUCUUUUCGUACUGCUCUCCGGUACCAAAAAGUCUCCACUCAUACCUUUCCUUUCUAAAAAUGGACUGCGCAGAUUCCGUGCCUUGUCACGGGCUUCCCUGCACGCAUUCUGUGUGCCUGGCUUGUGUGAUGUUCGAUUCUGGCGUAGAUGCAAGACUUUGGUAAAUGCUCCCUGCUGCCAGUGGGGUCGUUGGAGUUGUUGGCGUCUGAUGUCUUCCUCCUGGGCUUGGAGUGCAUUGUCCUGAGCCGUUUGAUGUCCUCGAUGGUGUUGUCGGUGUUGUCGGCCAUUUCAUUGACCUUGCCCUCUUCUCCUGCUGCGAUUUCCUCUUCUCAUCUUCAAUCCUCAUCUUCUCAUGUACUUCUGGGUUAUCUGGGCAGUUUGUUUUCCUGUGACCUUUUUCUCGACAACGACUGCACUUGGAUACGGCUUUGUUGCCUUUUCCUUUCCUCUCAGAACCAGCUUUGAUUCGAUCUCCUUUUUUCAUGCCCUUUGAGCCACUCAUGGGAGGGUUCUUGAGAGUUUCGGCAAGAAUGCCUGUGUCUGGUUCCUCAGCAAGUGCCGCCAUGACUUUUAUUUUCAUAUCUACCAUACACUCACGCAGAACACUAUAUGCCUUCUCUUUUCUGCAAGCAUUUGAACAGAUAUCCGACAACUCAGCGUAAGCAAGGCCGAAUCUCAUCGUUUCAUCAUCUUGUACAGUCAUACUAUCACCUUGACUUGUAGACAGAACUUUCAGACUCUCUGAUAGAUUCCUGGUCCAUCUGGGGAUGACAAAGGGUUUUGGAAGUUGAUCGAUCAUGCCUGUUUGGUCCAUCACCUUAAGCACAUGGCAGCACUGGAUUCCAUCCCUACUCAUUUUCUUGUAGCUGCAACUGUAUAUUUCUUUUUGCUCAUCCACAUCUACCCUGAACUCAGACCUCUCAAAUUCCUCGCCCGGAUAUGGUUUCCACACUUUUUCUCCAGGCUCAGUAAUCCUUUUUUAAAAAUACUGCCUCCCCUUUGCCAGGUCAGAGCACUUGAAGUAAGUCCAGUUCCGUAGCUCCAGCUGGAAUUUUCUGAAAAUUUCAUUGGUGUAUACUUGACUUGCCUGUCUUUCAAUCGGAAAACCCGUCUCUAGUGAUGGCGCCUUCUCUUCUGUUCGGUGUCUUUUCUUGUCGAGCGUGGCGAGGCAAUUUUGCUGAAUCAUGUGAUACGCAUCAACAAACCUUUUUAUAGUGUCAUUGUGGUCGAUGUAAUUCUUCCGCAUCGAAUUCGUGCUCUCACUGCGAGUGGUUGUUGACGAGAAAGGAUAGAAGCAGUCCUUGAAGUAAGCCGGCACCCAAAAAUUUUGGAGUUCCCAUAGCGUGUUCAGGUGUUUGUUGCCUUCCGCCUUGUGCACAGAAAUUGCUGCUUUCCAGGCAUGCUCAAACUUGUCUUGAUUUAGUGAGUUUUUGAUGAUUCAAAAUAAAUCAUCAGACAUCCCUGGGUGCUGCGCAAACACUACUGCAUUAUUUUCCUUCAGGUUCUUCCUAAUAUGCCACCAGCAGAACAUGUGCCUCGUUCUCGGAAGAGCUUCCUUUAUUGCAGUCUUCAUCGCCUGGUCCUGGUCUGUUAUUAUGUAUUUCAGCUCUUUACCUCCCAUUGCCUUGACAAACGUGCUUAGGAGCCACUUGAAUGACCCUAUUUUCUCAUCUUUCAAAAGGCCUAGUCCAAACAGGAUAGACGACCCAUGGUUGUCGACACCUAUAAUUUGUGCAAAUGGCAAGCCAUAUAUAUUCGUAGAGAAUGUCGUGUCAAAAGACACGAAAUCUCCAUAUAGAUCAUAAUUCAUCUUGCACAAGGAGUCUGUCCAAAACAGGCUCCGCACUACAUUGUUCUCUGUCUCUUCCACAUGGUGGAAUCCCGGCCUCCGCCUCUGCAUAUCGGCAAGCAGUUUCAUGGUGUCCUCGAUAUCAGUGCCAUGCUCUCCAGCCCUGUCACGGCAUGCAAUAUUGCUUAUGUCAAUCGUGUUGAACAUAAUUUCUCGCCUCGGUGUCCCCAUGGUAGCAAAAAUCUGCAUAACCUUCCUCGGUUCUAACCUCACCUUCUGCAGCACUUGUAUAAAGAAUUUCUCCUAAGGUGUCAUCUUCUUAUAGCAUCUCAUGAACUUCAGCAUCCAAUCUGAUGGGUGAAGUUGGUGGUUGUGCUCUAGGCGCACGUUCUUCAGAUACCAUUUCCUCCUAUCUGCAUCCCUCUUGGCGGUUAUUUGGACUAGGCAGCUUGUCCGGAUCAAGCAAUUGCUCCUUCUCUCCUUAACAUGUCUCUCAGUUGUUUUAUUCUGCCCUUCCUUGGUGCACUGAAACACCUGCUUGUCAAGCUGCUGAUCAUAUGUCGAUCUUCUGCUCGUUGAUCGCUUGGCAGCAAAGCCAACCUUUCUCGCAUAUCUGCAGAAGAAGAAAAAGCACUCAUCCAAUGAUCCAAAUACCAUACCACCCUCUGGUUCGAGCGCUUCGGUGACCUCCUGAAUCGUUGGGUAUAUGCCUUCUUUGAACAUGUCAUCCAUUUCUUUCUCUACAAUGGUCGGCGGUGCCAUUUUGAUUCUAUCUACCGUGUCUUCGUUCGUCUGAUCGCAUUCACUUCUGACGACACCGGUUUCAUCGCCAGCCACAGGUCCACUUAUAACAGAGCUGCUGCUGCUCUGUUGUUUGUCACACGCAGCAGCGUCGUUUCUGCAUGGCACAGACAAAUCCAUGAAUGACUCUGCCUCUCCACUGUCGCAUUGUGCAAUGCUGCUCCCUGUUUCUCCGGCACUCGUGCAACCAAGGGACUGUGUUACUUCUACAAUGCAAUCCGUGCUGGCGCUGCAUGCUACUUGCUGCUCUGAACGCUGCGUUCCUUUCGAAAUGGAUGGAGAAAUAUGAUAUUUCUUUGCCUCAUCUGUUAUCCCCUCCGCCAAAUGCUGAACACAUAGCACGAAACAGAAUUAGAUACCUAGAGCAGCAUAUGCGUUUUUUUUUAAUUUCUAAUAAGCGGUACACCAGAGGCACUGUUCACAUUACACCCAGCAGCACGAAUGUGACCAUGCUACACACACAUCUGGACAAAGAGGCACAGAUGUGCUUCUGCUUACACCAUACAACCGGAGAGGCACAACAACAUCCUAUACAGCUGCAUAUACAGCCGCACCAGACGGACAGUCAUCCUAAUGUUUUACACUUUACCCUGUUCUUCCAUAAAACUGUUUGUGCAUUGAAUUGAAAAAGCAUAGUUUUGAUGUCACCUUUGUUUUCCCAUGCCUCUCUUGUCCAGCAAAUCUUGGCGACAACCUCCGUGCAUUGCUAAUUUCGCUAACUAUUCUGAAUGCCAUCGGAGAUCCUUUGGAAGGACCCCUCAUGUUGAACGCUGCAGGUGAUCCUUUCAGAGGACCUUGUCUUAUGUUUUCAUCGAUCCGUGGACUACCACGAUACUUGCUUCCUUGCUUGUACACCUGCGUGUGCAAGAUACUACAAUUUAAAUAUACCACACAAAAACAAAGAAAAAAUUGGUCACAAAAAAAUAUACAUUUGCUUUAAAUGUUGUUGCACGUCCGUAUUUGCUGUCACCUGUAUUGCUUUCUGGUGCUGCUGAAUAGUAAAGUUUACUCGUCCUAUGUUUGAUUUUGUCGUUGGACUCUUCUUGCCUGCGCAGACCGUACCGAAUCCAUGAACACUAAUGCUUUUGUUGCCAAUGAUCCUUCUGCUUGCAUCAAGGCAAAUUCUGUUACCAUGUACCUCUUCAUUAUGACCGCCAUCAAACGCUGGGGCAUCACAACGCCCGCUCUGCACCUUUGUGGACAACUGUGUCUUGAAAGCAAAAAAUAAUUAGAGGCACGUGAGAGUAUUACGAAGAAUUAGCACGUAAAACUUCCACGUACGUUCAAAACCAGCGUUUGAAGUUUUCGUCGUUACCUACACAAUCUGCUUAGUGGAGUCUCUGGUGCUUAGAAUGGUCCUCUUUGUAGGUGUCUGCUGCACAACAUGCUCCUGGUUGGGACGUUUGCCAAGAACUUGUAUCUCACUCCUGACUCCAAUUACUCCAGCCUGCAUAGCAUGUGCGUGUUUGACAACAUCUGCAUCCUUCAUCUUCUUCUCAUUUUGUAGUGAUUUUUUUCUUCCACCUCUCUAUACUCAACUACAGAGUAGAUGCAUAGGAUAAACAGAUAUUACAGCAUUCAUCCAGGAUAUAUUAAUCAUUUUUGUUCUUCUUAAUGAUCUACUAAUUGGUGUUCUCAGUGGUAGCACCUUGACAGCAAACGUCACAGAAAUAAAAGACCAAACCCUAAUGUUCAACUGCCUUGCUAUUACCUACCUCCCAUAAUCCUUGCCGAUGUCGUUCAAAGACCGGCCGUCCCUGUUAUCCUGACUAGAUGUCGAACUCCUGAACAUCUUCCCGAAAAAGUUAUAAACCCGCAGUAUUAGUGUUGAAAAUUUUCAAAGUCGAUCUCAAUCUUUCUUACUAACGUACUACACUUAGCACGCAACAGAGAUAUAUUUAUACUUCUAUAUAAUUGAACUCACACCUUUCUACUAACCUUUGAUUGCCGAAUCUUAUGCGCUGAUUAUUCGGAACUCACACCUUUCUAAAUUGUGAGGGGAUCUGCUUCCCUGCAGUUUGUCAGUGAUCUCCUUCAAUGAUUUUGAAUCUGGGAGAGAGAGAAAAGAGAAAGAGAGACGGAGAGAGAAAGAGGGAAGGAAAGAGAUAGCCUACUUCGAUUUUUUGCAUGCAGGAGAAGAAUAACCUGAUAGGUGGGGUGAGUUUUGCGACACAUGAGAGAUGCACAUGUUUUUUCAGCGUGACAAGAUGUGGUAGGUCGACUUCACUUGACCGUCAACGAGACUGACAAGUGGGCUCUCAGUUACUAAUUCAUCUAAGUCUCUCACUAACUUGUGGGGUCGGCCUUAUAUGAGUCCUACGAGGAGAACCUCCGUCUGGGGUGAGAAAAUGUGGUAGGUGGACUUCGAAGUCAUACUGACAUGUGGGCUCUCAAAUAGUUCCUCCAAGUAUUUGACUAACUUGUGGGUCGUCCGCAAGAUGAGUUCCAGAUCUUUCUCCAUCUAGCAUCGGUGGCAACAGGCGAGGCAUAUUCUAGCUCUCCAAAGGAAAGCCAAUCCCGAUCCCUCCGCAGACUUUGCUCGUCACUGAAAAUUAUAGGCCUCCUUCAUCUCACUCACCGUGGAUCUCCUGUUCAGGUAAUCCAUUGCAUCAUCACCAUGAUUAUGCCACCGACUCAACGUUUGAACAAAAAAAUUAGCGGUACUAGCAAUUCCGCGGGCUGCGUACACACCGCAUCUGCACAACAUAGCAUGUGGGGCGCGAUUUGAAUAUUGGUUCCGGAUCCAAUUAUCUUCAGCUGGUCCGUGCUCAAACUGUUGCGCCAUCUUAACAGCAGAAGGGUUAUGGAUUUAAAAUUAGGACUCAGCUGACCUGACUUUAAUCAUGCCAACUGCAUACUUGCGCCGUGGUUUUGCUAAGUUGAGUUAUAUCUCCAGCCAUGCAAAACGUAAGCACUCUCGUGACCACAUAUUAUAUUACUUCCAGAGCUCAAUUAAACUGCAGUCAAAAUUCACUAUCCCAAUUGCUAACAUGAGGUCACAGGUCAAAUGAUUGUAUAGAUCCGCAAUCUAUAGCAGAGAUCCAAAGGACUUAUAUCCCUUUUUGCAACUAACUCAGAUUUAGAAACCGUCUUACAUGGACCAAGCUGUUGGUGAUGGUCUCACAUGGACUGCUAACAACUGCCUUACAUAGUUGACCUGUUAACGGUGAUGUCUCGUGACCUCUCAUGUAGAGUUCGAUGAGAUGGGCACCACCCCACAGCUGUCAGAGACUCGGUCCCAGUCUGUCGAUGGCAUAGAGAUUGUCACCCAAGAUUUCAUGGUUCAUGACCAGCUAGAAACAGAGAGACUAAGGAUCGAGUUAAAACGUGCAGCGCACAAAAAGCUUGUUGAGGAGUACAGGGCAAGAAGCAGCUUGCUGCCUCGAAGUAGGUGUCUUUUAUCAUGCAUCUUGCGUGUGUCGUUGAAAUUUCUUUCGAAAUCAAUGCCUCUCAUUCUAGCUGCAUUUUUAAUCACGCCUUAAAUAUUUGUCUCUGUUUUGCUGACUCAGCGUUUGUAUGUAAGCUUGUGCCAGAAAAGCAUGUGGUUCAACAAUACAUUUGCUAAAGGUCGUUUCUUAUCUUUGUCAACAGAGCUGUUAUAAUGGGUGAAUAUGAAGAAGAGUUCAACACAAAACUUAGCUUCCAGAAAUUCAUUACCGUCUGUGAAAAGCUAACAGAACCACAAAAGCAGCUUGUCAGAGAUAUUGGAUUUGGAUACCUUCCAGAUCUGUGCUGUCGCGAGCUUCCAAGGUGUUUCGUUCGCUGGCUUGUCCACUAUUUUGAUUGCCCUUCCAGGUGUUUCAUACUACCUAGUGGAUAGAGAUUCCUCAUCAACUCAUACACAGUGCACCGGAUCUUAGGAAUUCCACUUAGCGGGCAGGUUAUCCCAAGAAAAUGCUCAGAAGCUUUCAGAUGUCAGGUUAAGUCUGAAACUCGGUGUGCUGGGCACGCUCCAAACAUCAGAGAGUUAACUGAUCUCAUAACCCCAGAGCUGACAGGAGAAGUGUUUCAACGUGUUUUCAUGAUGUUUGCAACAGCGGUAUUUCUAUGCCCAACGACAUAUGACUGCGUUACCCCGACUAUUUAGCCGCUCUAGAAGGACCAGCAAGUAACAUACCAUCAUAUGAUUGGUCCAAUGCUCUCACAGAGAAACUGGUGGCAUCACUCCAGACCUUCAAGGAAAAGGAUUCGCAGGCGCCCUGUGUGGCUGCCUCCUGAUUCCAGUGGUUCGUUCACUACCUUGUACAUUUCUUUAUACCCACAAGCAGCUACAAGAACAUGAUUCAUUUUUACCUCUUCCCCACUUGUAGAUAACGUAUUUUGAGUACCUGGAUACGAAGAUUAUGGACCUGGAACCUGACACUCCUGCAAGACUUGUCAUGUGGGACACAGAGGCCAUUAAGAAUUAUGCUAACACAGACAGCCUGUCAACAGAGGACGGAAUUUUUGGGAAACACACGGUGAGUCAACUUUUCAUCAUUUUCCUUUGGCGAAGUUUUCAACUCAACAUAAGGACUUAGCUGGAAUGUAUUACCUUGACUUGACUGUAAUUGUUUCCUUUUCCGCAUGACAGCUGAAAGACAUUAGGCGCACACCUUUCCAACCACCGCAUGGCUUUCAGGCGCCAUUUUUUUAAAUGAGUCCCAGACUAGAAUCCUACAUAGAAGAAUUUGUGCCUCAAGAAAAACUUUGUUCCGUAAGUGAUUUCCAGCUACUGCACUUGAUUUUAUGUUUGAAAUGAUGCUCCCUAAGUUUUUACAAAAAAGAUACAUGUCCUAUUAUGUUCAUCCAGACAGUUUCUUAUAGUACGUUAGCUGUGCUUUUAUGUUAAACUAGAAGUGCUUCAUAUAGGACGAGUGCUCAUCCAGACAGUUUCCUAUAGUAUGUUAGCUGUGCUUUUCUAUUAAAACCAGAAGUGCUUCUAUUAAAACCAGAAGUGCUUCCUACAGGAUGUUAGCCGUGCUUUUGUAUUUAAUAUAGAAGUGCUUCCUAUACUACCUUAGUUGUGCUCUUGUGUUAAAUAUAAAAGUGCUUCCUAUACUGCCUUAGCUGUGCUUUUUUGUGCUAAAACUAGAAGUGCUUCCUAUAGUACGUUAGCUGUGCUUUUGUGUUAAAUAUAAAAAUGCUUCCUACAGAGUCACGUUAGCUGUGCUUUUGUGUUAAACAUAACAGUGCUUCCUACAGGACGUUAGCCGUGCCUUUGUGUUUAAUAUAGAAGUGCUUCCUCUACUACCUUACCGGUGCUUUUGUGUUAAAUACAAAAGUGCUUCCUAUAGUACCUUAGCUGUGCUUUUGUGCUAAAACUAGAAGUGUUUCCUAUAGUACGUUAGCUGUGCGUUUGUGUUAAAUAUAAAAAUUCUUCCUAUAUAGUAUGUUACUCUGCUUUUGUGUUAAACAUAGGAGUGCUUCCUACAGGACGUUAGCCGUGCCUUUCUGUUUAAUAUAGAAGUCCUUCCUAUACUACCUUAGCUGUGAUUUUGUGUCCAAUAUAGCACUGCUUCCCUGCAGCGGUAGGUCAACCAUGCUUCGUACAAUAUGUCCGGUGUGCUCUUUCAAGGAAUGUGUUGACCAUGAUUCAUGGACCUUGUUACCCGCGCUUCCCCACAGCAUAUCAUGUGUGAUUCUACAAUUCUUGACAGAACAUACAAUAGCUCACAAGAUAUUUUUCAUUUUCAGUGUUAGUAACUAAUUUUCAUUUCCGGUAUUAAAAAUUUCUGAUGUUUUAUUUUUUCAAUUAUAGGCCAAGGUGGAAAUUGCAAAAGUUAUCAAUGAAAUGUACACAAAACUUUUCUCGCGGUUUCAACCAGUUCUCAAGCAGAAAUUGGAGAAGCUCCUUUCACUCGGUAGGGAUCUUAGUGCAAAAGAAACGAAGACCAGAGACCGGGGCGUUUAUUGUAACUUGCAACAGGAUAACUCAAAUGAAAAAGAAACUUUUUCAUCAGCCCCUUCAACAUACUCUACGCUUCCAAGUUCUAGCACGACAAGCAGUCAAAGUUCUUCCAGCAGUGGCUCAACCAGUGUCCUUCACGCCACAUCAUACUCCCUGGAAAAUUUAAAGGGUUGCUGCGAUACCCCUGAGCCAGACUCCCAGAAUCCAUACGACAAAGAGCUGUCCCAAAUUCGUCUAUCUUCACAGCUAAAAUCAUCAACUCAGAUUAAGUUGCUACUGGAGGUGAACAGGAUAGACCACAACAGAGAGGACAUUGACGAACAAGCCAAGAUUCAUCUGGACAAAGUGCAUAACCAUCUGCAGAACUGCCUUGAUGGCUUGCCGGUUCAUGAGCCCUUCGUGCCAACGUCUGAGAUGAUCGAGAGUGAGGCAAUCAUAAUGACAGGUGAAAAUUUGUCUGAGUGUUCUGUACGGAUUGAAACCCAAAAUUCUGCUGGAGGAUCUGCAGACCACAACUCUCUGACAAGCCCACUAGAAAAACUCUUGGAGGAAACAUCAAAACAUACUGCAACAGAAACAUCAACCUCGCAUUCUGCGGUUGACAAACAGUUACUGACUGGUCCAAUCUCAACGGAUACAGUUGGAGCACCUGUUCAUCACAUUGGGAAAACGUCACCAACUACUAAACGGUCCAGCGGUUCUGAUAGCGCUCACAAAAAUUCUUCAACCAACACAAAGAGCCUCACUAUAUCCCAACCUGCACAAAAGUUAAACAUUGUCACUAAACAACGUUCUUCUUCACUGCAAGAAGCUAAGGUCCAUCUUGUUUCAAUUUUGAGAGAUGAGAAGACGAUUGCUGAAACUGAACGCACCAGAGCCACUUCCUCCCUUGUACCUAGAGUAGCCAUCACCACUGAUUCUGACAGCGGUUCUGCCACAAUACUGGAUACGAGAAAAGCACUUCCAUCCACUAGUGAUGCUCCAAUCAUUACUACCACGUCUAUCGAUGCGGAAGACAAUAACAUUCUAGAAGAACAUGAACAAUGUACCAAACAACCACGUAUUGAUCCCACAAACAGCGUCCCUCUUACCACAACCGCACAUCCGCCAGAACUGGAAACACAAAUGGCAGCUCACAAAAGGUCCUUACAGCAGUCAGAAGAUCCAGGAAACAAUAAUACGGCACCUCCUAAGAAAAAAGUUAGAAUACUGGAGCCUCCACAUAAUUCAACAGAAACUGCAACCAAUCAGUCUCUACAGCCUGACAACCACAGAAGCCUCCUUGAUGCUGCAUUCAUUCAUGAUGAUGAAAUAUGGUCUGACCCAUCUAUCUAUGAACAAAUUGUCAGAGUCAUUGAAGAAAAGAAGAAGCAACCCUUUCAUAACCAAGUAGCAUCCCAACAAUGCCAACCUGAUACUAUCUCACACUUGACCAAGAAUUCAACCUCAUCAUCCAGAUCUUGCCUUUCUAACUAUGAAGAGCCACAUAUGACCAGCAGAUCAGGCUCAAUGCCAGGCAGUAGCCACCUCUCACAGACUUUUGAUACGUCAUAAUCCACAGGUUUAACUCAAACUAUCUUGUCCGACAGUUUGCCAGCAACUGCUUUUUCCCAACACUACCAACAAGUUCCUACUCUCAAAAACAACUACUACCGACAUCCUGGUGCUCAGAAUAACGGUAGCUCAAAAAGCAGCCAACACUCACCUUAUGCAAUGAACAACCAAAGUCAGAGACAAUACAACCAACAAACCCCUAUCCACAAUGCCCACUACCCCCAACACAAUGAUGCUCAGAAUAACAACACUGCAUGGUGCCAGCAACGCCAACCUCAAGAACAGAACCAUCAGCAACCACGGACAAGCGAGUCUCGUGGCCAAAGUUACAGUGCCUUGCAACAACAGUUCAACAGCAUGCAGUAUUCCGGCCAUCCUCUGCAACAUUUUCCAACAGAUAUUCCUUCGAGCUCAACCGGUGAUCCAACUGUCAAAACAUUACAACUGCACAUGCAGCACCAACCACAAGGCCUAAUAGUCCAGAGAAACAACAAUUGUAAUGAGGGUCAUCUGCAACUUAGUAAUGAUCAAAUGAACUCCGAUGGUCAUGUCUUCCAACCUCAUGAACAUCAUCCUCAGCUAGAGCACACUCCGUUCACUCACAAAGGGAAAGACCAUCAAGAUCACUGCCAACUUUUGGAAAUAAGAGAUUCUACAACGCAUGAGAAAGAAGUGUAUGAAACAAUCGUCAAGAGUACACCAGGCAUCAGUUAACAUGAUAGGUAAUUAAUUAGUUCUUCCUCUUACAGUAAUGUUUUGAUCCUUUCUUUUACUACUGCAAUGCAUUCUGCCCGAAGGUUUCAAAUUAAAGAGUUUCAGCUUGAUUAUUCUGCUAUUGCAAUUGAAUACUCAUCAACUCAAAAGUUAAAUAAUAAAAUCAUACGAUUUAAAAUGCAUCUAUCUUUUUUGGCAGCAAGAGGAUAUUCUACGUCGACCGACGUUGGGCCAAUCAUCGAACUUUAGGUUUGUCAAUGAAGGUAUACGGAUAUAUCAACUCAUUAGUGGUCGAUGCUUACUCAGAGUUGCUGAUGAAAGAACAAUUCUACGCAACGCCAACACCAACAUCUGUGCACAAGCAUAUAAUGUACAUUGACGCCUCUGUAAGUUCUUGCUUCUCAUAAAUAAUAAUAACAAACCACAUUUACUACUACUAGCACGCUGAGUGACGCAGCUUCAAUUUAAUGCAGGAUAAAUUUCAAGUUCUAGGAGCAAGCACAGAACUACCGAAGGAACAAAUUGCAGAAAAAACUAUUGGGUUCAGGCUGCCAAACAAAUGCAACAUCGUGAGUUCACCCUACUCACUCUAUCUGUCCAGUGUUCGUCUUCAAUUCUACCAAAUUUUCUUUUUACAAUGAUAUAACUUCCCGUUAAUUGUUUUAGGUAUUAAUACCUGUGAGAAAUAAACCACAUUUUAUCUACCUCAUAAUCGUGAAUCUUGCAAUGCGUCGGUUCGAAAUUCUGUGUCCUUAUAUCAAUUGCGACGGUAUAAAGGAACACUCGGAAUUUGUCAUCGAAAACUUCAAGAGAGCUUAUCAUUCUGCUUACAACAACUAUCCUCACACAAUGGCCACCUUUCAUGUCAAACCUGUGCAGAGUGUAUGUAACUCAGACAGAGAGUGAUUUUCUUCUAACUGUACCUCUACCUCAUUUACACCAUGCAUUUUUUUGUUCCACUACAUAUCCCAUAUCUACUGUCCACCUACUAACCAAUAACAUAUUGCUCUCAAAUUUCAGGGAUGACAGUGCUAUUUACACCAUGCAUCUGAUGCCCCUCAUUAAUUUCAAUAAUAAUUCAUUUUUUAUCAAUAAUGUAAGUUCACUCUCAUUGCCAACACAUAAACAUAUGUUCAUCCAAGCCAACUAAACAUUAAGUUUUACAAUAAAUUUUAUUAGUUUGUGCGCUUAUUUGUUUUGCAGAUCCAUGUGAAACCGAUGAGAGAACAACUAACUUACAAAAUGAUAACAUCGAACUACAACACAAGCCAUGUAUUUGAGGCACUGAGCAUCGUACUCAACAAACACAACAUCCGGCGUGAAAGAAGAAGAUUUGGAAGAAGAUGACUACUGCUUAGAUGUGCCUUAAUUUAGAUGGAGACAUCCGAACAUUGUUUCAGCCAUAUCGACCCAUGUAAUCACAACAAUAUUUCAGCUAUUUUUGUGUCGGUCCAAGAUAUCUGCUAUGGAUCCCAUUAACCACAGCUGUGCAUUCAAAUGGUCAAGUCUUAAAUUCCUAACUUCGUAUUUUUUUGAAAAUAAGAAUCGUAUUUUUUCGAAAACUUGUAAAGAUCAUAUUCAAGACAUCAAUUCCUUGCACUAGAACACCACUCACUCCUACUAGACAUAAAAAAAGAAACAAUUGUAACACAGAGGAAAAACACUAUCGAUUCGUAAGCAUCUCACGAAGGAGCUAAAUGACUCACCUACAGUAAUGCUGGUCAUAGAGGCACUGUCGUGCCUCUUAUCCACAUAGAACGUGCCACCCUUAACACGGACAACUAACCUGACACACACAAGUGCGACACCAGUUAACACAGGACCGUCCCCUCGAUAUCUUAACACCGGUCCCUCUACCAAGCCAACGAGUCAUAGAAGCACGACUGUCACUUCAAGUAAGUGAAAGCAAACGUUUCAAAAGAAAGACACGACCGUGCCUUUGAAUAACAACGUAUACGUGCCUCUCCGAACAAACAUGUUGAGAAAGCAUUUCCGAACGACACACACAACUCUGCCUCAACAUAACAUAGGGCAUGCCUCCACUAACUAGACAGACGUGAAUUCACUAGCCAGACUAAAUAGAAAUAUUACAGAACAUACAACCAUGACAGUAACUCAUACUAACAUAACGCACUGCCUAACACACAACCACAACCGUAUAUUCAUUAUAAAAACAACUGUGCCUUGCCUAAAACAAAAACAAUGCAUUCCUGAGCAGACGGCUGUGCGCUGCCUAGAUUCACGAAAGUGCACAUCUGAGUGGUCCUCUUAAUACAUCUCAUCUUAUACCAAUGAAUAGCAAGAAAUCAUAGAGGAAAAUAUUCUUGAAGGCACCCAGUCAAGAAAAACAUGAUGGAACGAAAAUAAACUUAAAUUCCGAAACCAGUCAACUCCAUCUGGUUCAAAAUAAAACCACCACAAUUACAAAUUCAUUAGUCGAUGUAAUAUUACCCAAUACAAUAACUAUCAAAUAACCAAUUCAUCACACAAUCCUCAGAAACGUCCUCGCCAUCUGACAUUAGGAAGACAGCGACGAUGAAGGAUGUCGUUCAUUGACAGAAACCGGCGGUACAGCUCAUAGCUCACAUACCCUUCCUAAAGGAAAACCAAAUGAUAACAUCAAUAUCCAAAAAAAUAAAAUAAAAACAUACUGUUCUUGCAUCAAAGGCAGAAACUAACGAAAAUGAAAUCUUCACUUACAGUAGAUCCAUAUUUCAGGUGAUCAGAGGUAAGUGGCUUCCAAUCCCAGUAGUGAUGAAGAAGUUCUGGAAAAGAGGAUUCCAGCUUGGAGUAAGAUUCAUCAAUGAUGGCUCCCGCUAAGUCCUCCAUGGAAUCCCUUUCUUGACCGCCUCUUAUCAUGAACUUCUCUUGGAUGUCGACGUGGUACCCUUCUGGAAUUCUGAUGAAAUCUUGAAAAAGAGCAUCUCUAAUAUUCCUCACCCCCACACUAGAGAAAGUUAUACCUCUAUUCUCAAGGAAAUCCUUCAGGACAGGGCACUCCGUCCUGGCCUUGCAGAAGUGAUAGACCAAAACAUGAUUCCGCAUAGCCAGUUGCAUGACGGCGACUUUUCUACGCCCAUACCAAUCCUUUCAUGUGAACUCCAUGCCGAGACCAACAAACUUAUACUUCUCCUCGCGCAACCAGUCCUCGUACAAGGCAAUGAUCUCCUCCACCUUGCCAGGCUCGUUGGUGUACCACCCGUCGAGCUUCGUGUUACCAUCUGCAACUAUCGGAUGGUACUCGGUGGUGUUCAAAAAGUCAUCCAUGGCAACAAGCAGCAAGGUGCCAAUGGAGACUCCUGAGACCCUGCGACAAGGUUAGGGAGUGGUAAGGAGGGUGGGAACUGCCUGAUGUUCUGCGGCUACAAUACGACGUGGAGACCUCACAAACAUGGCCAGUAUUUAACCUUGGCGAGGGAUGUUUGGGUUACCAUACGGAUUAACGUGUGAACUAGGAGCAGCGUAUAGACAGUUGUGCUUCCGAACCUCAUGGAACCAUGCACUUCCUAAAGUCACGGUUGUGCACAAAUAAUUGAUACCGCACAGAAACCUAGGAGCCUCUAACUUUAUUUUACUGUAACUGACACACUGAAUAGUCACAUCGAACAGCCACCACAUCGGUCAUCGAUUCCUCCUUUGAACAACGACCACCGACGGAAGAAUCCAGUGAAGCAAACGAACAGCCUAUCAUAAACCUUAGAUCCGAAGGCCAGAAUUCAUCUGUCCCUCAUCUAGCUAGAUUCACACCAUCUGUCCCUCGAGAGUCAAGGCUGGUUUCACGUGAGGCACGGGUAUGCAGGCACAAGACGCACAUACAUGUCUAUUCCACAGGCAUGAGCGUACAACUUUUGCAGAUAUCGGUCGCUAUCACAAUAGGCAGAGGCGGACGACGAUUUUUUUUAAGGUGGGGCGAACUCUUAAGAAUUUUUCUUUAUGCAAAACCAUAAUACUCACGGGUGCUUGGGUUUGACCUAGUUUCUAUACCAAGUACUCCCCGUCCCAAAAUAAUUGUCUUAAUUUUGUACUAACUUAAGUACAAAUUUGUACUAAAUUUGAGACACUUAUUUUGGGAUGAAGGGAGUACUUCAUAAUAUCUUGUUAAAUCUGCAAUUCAUAUUUCAAAUUGUCACUAGAAUUACUACAAUUGCAUAUUACAAGUUGUUAAAAAAUGUCACUAAAAUCCAGAGAAAUUUACCUCUCCCCAUUCCCUUCCUCUUCAUAUUCUGUUGGUGACGAAGAUGCCGCACGAUGGUGCCGACCAUGAAGGACGCAAAGCUGGCUACCACCAUGACGUCGCUCGCUGCCGGCAGCCGCUAGACUGUAGGCGCCGCCCGCUUGUUCGACAGCCACAGCCACGGUNNNNNNNNNNNNNNNNNNNNNNNNNNNNNNNNNNNNNNNNNNNNNNNNNNNNNNNNNNNNNNNNNNNNNNNNNNNNNNNNNNNNNNNNNNNNNNNNNNNNNNNNNNNNNNNNNNNNNNNNNNNNNNNNNNNNNNNNNNNNNNNNNNNNNNNNNNNNNNNNNNNNNNNNNNNNNNNNNNNUUUGUUUUUUUAGAAUCACCACCGUUCUAGCUAGCCAGCUGAGAUUGCUGCUCUGUGUUGAUUGUGGUGUGCAUCUCAGCAUGGGGGAGGCUUUUUUUUAAGGAAACAGUAUGGGGGAGCUGGGUGUACCCUGCCGUCCUGUGUGUGCUGUACUCCAGUCCGGCGUUGGACUUAGUAAAUGACAACCAGCAUCGUGGCCCAAUGUGCUAGUGAUUUUUUCAGCGAUGGCUGUGACUAUGCGUAGCAGCGUAGGUAUACAAGAAAAUUUGUACCGAUUCAAGGUAUGGCGACCGCCAGCCCUUGCCCACUGGGGUGCUCCGCCAGUGAAAACAGGCACGUACACAUGCAGGCAGAAACUCGCCAUAAACAUGUCAAUGCAGGAAACAAAGGCACAGAAACAUAGCCUAUACAGGCACGUGCGUCGGCUUCGCGAGCCACGUGAUCUUUUCCGUCUUGUUUUUCAAUCUCGACCAAAAUCCUCUGGAUACAAAUCAUCUGAAUGCAAAAAGGAGACCUCCAAGAGGCACCGGUGACAACACUCUGUUCGAGAGUCGUGGCAUGUAUCACGUGAGAUACAUCAAUACUUGAAGCAAAUCAAUGGCACAAGUCGGAGAGCCACAGUGUUAAAGACUCCGGACACACAGGCGUGUAGAAGAACAGGCACGACGAGUAACAGCCACCGCAUCCCCUCACAGACGGACGUCUGACACCACGGGCACGAAGAGUCAUAGCCAGUGUGUCCCCUGAGUAACACGAAUGCACGCACAGGAAGCACAGAACUGCAGUGUAUACAGGCACGGAAUUGCGGCUUCUUGGCACACAGGCACGGCUUUGGAAAUGGUGUUCUCAAGGCACGGGUACAAACCAGCUGGACGCACAAAAGAGUGAUGGAAGAGGCACGGUUGUUCAGUCUCAAGAGAAACUGUCGUGUGACACCAGCACAAACAGACAUCACGUGUGUCACGUGAGGUACAGAAAUAGCGGAAAAGAAGCCACGGGAGUGAAGCCUCCGCAGACACGGAUGCCGGGCUUCUAAAGGCACGGUCCCAAGAACACAAAGACAGGGUACUGAAAUGGUGCCUCGUACGUUAGCAGACGUGCCUCUCUUGUGCGAACGUGUAAAAGACAACAAUUCAAACACAAACAAACAGCGAUGAAUAUAAGCCAAACAAAAAAACGCUUCUCCCAAACAAUACAUAUGUGUCACGUCACGGAUGGACGUCUGCACUAGAGGCACAUAGAGUCACAACCAACAUGACGCCUGAGACAAGUAAAUGCACGUACAGGAGACACGGAACUGAAGCGUAUACAGUCACGCAAUUGCGAAUUCUCGGAGUUCUCGAGGCACGGGUACAAACCAGUUGGACGCAUAAAAGAGUGAUGGAAGAGGCACGGUUGUUCAAUCUCAAGAGAAACUGCCGUGCGACACCAGCACAAACAGACAUCACGUGUGUCACGUGAGGUACAGAAAUAGCGGAAAAGAAGCCACGGGAGUGAAGCCUCCGCAGACACGGAUGCCGGGCUUCUAAAGGCACGGUCCCGAAGAACACAAAGAUAGGGUACUGAAAUGUUGCCUCGUACGUUGGCAGACGUGCCUCUCUUGUGUGAACGUGUAAAAGACAACAAUUCAAACACAAACAAACGACGCUGAAUAUAAGCCAAACAAAAAAACGCUUCUCCCAAACAAUACAUAUGCGCCACUUCAACAGGUUACCUAAAUUUACAUGAACUCGCGCAAACGUCAACAAUGAACUUGUAACAUGAAAAAACAUUAAAAAAUUAUUUACAAAUCACAUGAGACAAGCCAAACACGAUACUGAAUAACAAAACGGUACUCCAUAGGAUUAAACUAAAAGUACUCAUCGAUUAUACAAAAAAAGAAAUGAAAGUCUUCCAGGAGUCCAUUCCUCACAGAAACGUCCACACAAACGUCCACCGUGACCAUUCUACUCAGUUGGAGUUCUGCUCCGAAACAUCAACGGCAUCUGCGGUCAGGAAGACAACGGGGAUGCAUCAUGUCCUUCAUCGACAAAACUCGGCAGUAGAGCUCGUAGCUCACAUACCCAUCCUAAAACAAAAAAUGGAUGAGAAUGAAGAUAUACAUAAAGAGGAAAAGGUACUAUUGUUGUAGUAAACCAAAAAUAUAAAGACAAAAAAUCAUAAAAAAUGAAGUUUUCACUUACAAUUGCCGCAUAUUUCAGAUGUUCAAGGGAAAGCGGAUUCAAUUCCCAGUAGUCAUGCGGACCCUUGGGAAAAGACGACUUCAUACUCAAGUAAGAUUUGUCUAUGACGGCUCCUGCCAAAUCUGCCAUGGAAUCCCUAAGAUUGCCUCCUUUGAUCAUGAGCUCCUCUUGAAGAUCGAUGUGACACUCUAUUGGGAUUUUGAGGAAACUGUUUGCGAGAACAUCCCUAUCGUUCCUGACGUCGACACUAGCGAAAACGGUACCUUUGUUCCGAAGGAAAUCCUUUAGAGGAGCGCACUCCAUCCUGGCCUUGCACAAGUGAUAGACAAGACCAUGCUUGCGCAUCGCCAGUUGCAUGACGGAAACUUUUCUACUACGAUCAAAAUAAUCCUCUCGUGUGUACUCCAGAUCAAGACCAACAAACUUGUACCUGUCCUCACGCAGCCAUUCCUGAUAAAGAGAAAGAAUCUCCUCCACCUUGUAGGGCUCGUUGGUGUACAACACCUCGAGCCUGGUAUUACCAUCGGCAUAUAUAAAGAGGCGCUCAGUAUUGUUCCUGAAGUCAUCCAUGGAAAAGACGGUGACACGACAAUGGAGUAUGACUGUGCUUCUCGUACGAGACGAGGAUGAUGGGAGCUACCUGCACUUCUCUGGAGAGAAUAAGACGCGAUAACCUCCCGAAAUAGACCACUACUUAACCUUGGGGAGAGACGACUCAGUUACCAUGCACCCAUUAAAUUGCAUUGGGGAUGGUGUGAAUGGACGGUUGUGCUUCUGCAGCUUAUGAAACCAUGCACUUAAAAAGUCAAGGCUGCCACGCUAUAAUCGAGGAGCCUCUAGGUUAACUCUAGCACGGUAUCUGCCACAAUGAAUACUAACAAUAAAUAGCCAUCCCAUCGGUCACCAGCACAUCUUUUGACCGAGAGAACAAUGAGAGGAGGCAAACUAGAUGACCCUGUUGUACAAAUACUACACGGGGAGUGAACCAAAUUAAAAGCACGGUUCUGCCAGCACAAAAGCCACACGCGUGCCUCCACUUUGCUUAAAGACAAACCUCAGUGAUACCAACGGACCUGCAUCUAUAUGCCUGCACGUACCACCGAAAACAUUGCCAAAACAAAAGCACGUCCAUGCUUCUGACAUACAGAUAACUGUGCGCUAUCAUACAUAUUCCCGUCUGAACCCAACGUACAUAAAAAUAGUGGCUCCCUGGGUCAACGACUAUUGAUUUUUUUUUUGCAAUAACAGAGUCAUGAACCGUGGCUCCAUUCUAGAUGCAAAAGUGACUCUCAAUAGGAACCAUCAUGCCUCCCGUCAAUUUGCCUCCCCUGACGUAUCGACCAUGCCUUUCCUGCUACAACGACCGUGCAUUUAAUAACAUCAUCACCGUUCCUCUCCUAAAAACACACCCAACUAUACCUGAUUAAACAUGUGAUUAAAAAAAUUAAAACACAGAAGCACGAGUAUGCUUUCCAGCAUAUAUAACCGUUCCUCGCAAAAAAUAUGUAAGGCAGGAUAGGCACGUAAAAGACUCCACUGAGAGGCAGCACAGCUGGACAACUAUAAUGGGAGGCAGCUGGAUGAGUCAAACAUCUCGUGUCCCCAUAACACCUCGGAAUGCACGCACACCAUCUACAACCAGCAUUAAUUCCAUUUCAUAGAAUAAAAAAUAAAAAAAGAAACACUCAUUACUACUCUUGCUCUCUCCCGUCUCCUUUAUAUUUCAAUAAACUCCGACUCCCUCAGCCACAUCACAACUCAUUUGCCUUCUCUGCCGCCUGCUUCUAGGGUUUGUCCUUCUUCUCCGUCGCCUGCUUCUAAGGUUCGUGCUUCUUCCCAGCAAUCAAUCGAUUAAUUUCCAAGCCAUGCUUCUCUCCUACAUUGCUGGCCGUGCGUGCUUGCCCUAAGCUUCCCAUCACAACCCAUCCGCCUUAUCCGACCACCUACUUCUAGGGUUUGUGCUUCUUUCCUGCACACAUUCUCACUUCAAACAAGUUAUUGUAGAGUUUUUAUUGGGUCCCUCAAUUAACUUCCAAGCCGUACUUCUCUCGUAGAUUUGCUAGCCGUGUGUGCUUUCCCUAAGCUUCCCCUACCCCGUACUUCUCAAGUAGAUUAGCUAGCCGUGUGUGCUUGCCCUAAGCUUUCCCUACCCCAAUCUCCGCUUGUCAACCCUCAUUCUUCUUCUCUUCUAGGUAAAAAGCAUAUGCGUAAGCAGCAUGCUCCGAUCCGUAUUUACGUUUUACGUUUUGGUUUUUCAUUUGAUAGUUAUUGAAGCGUCAGAUCCGGUACAACGACUUCAUUCUCUAAAGGAAUAUAAAAACCAUUAGAAAAUCCAAACAAGUGUUCUAAACUCUGUCAUACUAAUUUUCUGGAAGGAGUAGAUGAGAAGAUUUCUGGUAAAUUUGUAGUUGUUGUCUGCCUUCAUAAGGAUAUUUUAAUAUGGCUAACAUAGUUGAAGCUAGUCGUUGUCUACCUUCAACGCUGAAGCUUGUUUUUAAAUUGUUAUCAUAUUCUUGUUUUCUUAACAUAAUUGUUCUGAAUUAUUUAGGUAUGAUUUGCCCUACCUGCCGCCAACCAGGCGGCCCUUGCGAACCACACCCUGAAGUUCUCCAGGAGUUUGAGGUUAUUCUUGAUGAAAAUUGCUGGAGACGAAUGGUUAGUAAGCAUCACUGACAUAUUAGUUGCCUACAACACACUAGAAAUUGUCACUGUUACUCAUACCGCCUUCCACCUACACUAGGUUCCCCUGUUGUCACUUCUUCGCACCUGCCUUGUGUUUUCAUUUUCUAUUAGUUUGCCUGCCUAUGCCCUAAUUAAUAUAGUCCAUUAGUUUUGCCUGCCUAUGUCUUGAUUACUAUAAUGCAUCUUCAGUUCUAAUUAAAACUAGUCAACAUAUGCCAAAAAUCUGUAUCCAUUAAUUUAUAAUACCAUUAUGUUGUUACCUGUAAUUCUUAUCAAAAAUUCAUAUCCAAAUUAAGAAAACUUCUAACAUUAAUAAUACGCGGGUUCAAAGUUAUACUUACAGGUUGUUAUUUUUACUAUUUUUCCCAGUAUGUACCUUGUAACGUCAGAGCUUUUCUCGCUGAGUACAUCGGCGAGAGGAAGGAAGAAGCAAGAAAAUUGCGUAAAGAGCAGGUAGAGCCAGCCCUUCUUACACAUGAAGGAAGGUCUUACAAUGCUUUGUUUAAGCAUGGGCCGAACUACACAAAGUUCUGCGGUGGUGAGUGGAACACCUUUGCGGAUGAUUAUCAGCUUCGUGCUGGAGACCGCAUAGAAUUUGAACUACCACACAAGGGUCUCAAUCUCGAAAUACAAAUAUAUCGCAAUGACAAAAGGCUGCUUCCAUUACCCCACGUUGGUACGUAUUUAAUAUUACAAAAUUAUCUUCUUUGGCUGUAUUUUGAUAUGCAUGCAUCGAACUGAAUAAUAUUAACCCGUAUUACAUAAAACUUUAUCUAACUUUCAAAUCUUGUUCUUUUUCUAGCUCUAGACGACCUUUCUUCAGACGAUUUCAACCAUGUUCACUGCUGUGUCUACUCUAAGGAUAUUGAGCUUACCUACAACCAGACACGAUUCUUUCUACAACGCCCUUUGGAGAUACUUUCAUCCGUUGCCGUCCAUUUGUACACGUCUUGACUCCCACUAACACCAAAGAAUGCGUCAUGGUUGGUUACAUAUGUCCUUGUUAAAAUACCAAACGUAUUUUGCUCAUAUAUAAUAUAAACAAUAUUGACGAAAUCUUGCUUAUAUGUAAAAUUAUAAAGAACCUAUUUAUUCAAACAUAAAACAACAAAACUUUUGUUGUUCUCUUAAUAUGUUGUUUCAUCUGUUUACACACAAACCUGAACAUGCCAGGAAUUAUAUUACUUGCAAUUUAGAAUUUCAUAAUGUUUGCGCACUCACUGUAUUCAGCCAUUCUUUUAUUUAUUGUCCAAGUGGCAAUUCAACGGUUUUAAUUUCCAUUUAAUUUCGAUUUCUUCUAAAAAAUUCCGAGGGGCGUAGUCUCAACACUGAAGAGAUGGGUGGACAUGCCAACCAAUGGCACGGUGACCCUUGAAGCUCCUGAUGAACCUACCCAUGUCAUCACUCCUUCGUCGUACUACAUCUGCAAAAACGACGGCCGGAUGGUAAUAGAAAAGUCUUGUUUCAAAGACUUCAUAUCAGCUACAUCCUUUGUUGAAAAGAACGUCGUUCUAAUCACUUUCAAAGAGCGCCAUGACCAUUCUGUGUCCAUCAUCAUUCAACGAAUUUUGUAGAUUCCGUCAGAACCUGCACCUAAAAUGGAAGCACAGUGUAUCUCCUAGGAUGUUCAGCGCUCAUUUCAAGAUGAUGCCUCCCAGGAGCAAAACACUGCUUUAUUUAAAAUAAGUUUGUUAGUUAGAAUGGUACAGUAAUGUAACUAUUAUGGACCAUGUGCUUGCUUAAACUAUCUGAAUGAUCUUUUGAAACUUAUGUAGCUCUUACGGACCCUCUACUCACAGUUUCAACCAUCAGAAUGAUGCUUUGCAAUAAAUGCUUCUUGAACUAUCAGAAUGAUUCAUUCGAAAAAAUGUAGUUCUAAUCCUUUGGAAAGUUUCAAAAAUCAAACAAAACAACAUUCAGUUUUUGAUCCAAAACCUACAACAAUGCCAUGUUAUCAAACUUAUUCAAACGAUCUACUGAAACAUAUCUCAAUUUAAAACCAAACAUGACUCCAUUUUCUAGUGCAAACUAUGUUUACUUCACCAACUUUUCAUGAACACACAGUUGUGCACCGAAUAACAUAACAACAAUGCCUCAUUGACCAAGGAAGAUUGGUAAUUGAAAAAAACAUUUUCACAACAAAGGCACGACCAUGCAUCUGCUGAGUGUUCUACCGUUCACAUGACUACUUUCACAGCCAAAGAUGGAAUACGCACAUAUGGAUCACACACGCAGCACGCAACAAAUAAAAAAAUUCAAAGAAUGAGAUAAGUGAAAAUCUUAAAAAAAUAGAUAAAACAAACGACUAUUUACAAAAAUCUACGCCUGGAACCGUCGGGUGACUAGAAACUGCUCUUUGGCGGUUUCCUUUUUUGCACGACAAAAGAUCCCUUUCACUUUUCCGACUCCAUUUGCAUCUUCUUCCUCCAAAGUUUCUCGCCGGCCACAGUUCACCGUCGCACACCUCCAGCCAUGGACGACAGGAAAAUAACAACAUUCACCAAGCACAUCACUACCCACGGUACAACCGUGCUGGAGGUGGUGUACACCAACGACCCAAGGACCGUGGAGCGGAUCAUCAAAAAGUACGAGGAAUGGCUAAAGGAGGAGAAGAACAAGUUCGUCGGCCUCGACCUCGAGUACACAUGUAAGAGCAGUUACGUACGACAAGGGAUCGUCGUCGUCCAACUUUCCAUGCGCGAGCAUGUCCUUGUAUACCACUACUGCAGGUCCGAGCGCUCCCAGGUGUUAGUUGACUUCCUGCAACGGAAAGCGGUAACUUUCACCAGCGUCGACACCAGGAACGACAAGACCAUGCUUGCCCGUGCAUGCAUCAGAAUUCCAGACGAGCACCACGUCGACAUCCAGAGGCUAUUCUGCAUCAAGGGUGGUGGAGAAAGGGACUCCAUGGCUGACCUUGCAGCGGCCAUCAUCGACCCCUCAUACAAGAACAUGAAGAAAUCAUUCCCAAAGGAGAAGCACCAGUUCUGGGAGUGGAAGACGCUUUCCCCGAUACACCUUGAGUACGCGGCAAAGGACGGGUAUGUUAGCUCUGAGUUGUACCAUAGAAUCCUAAUCAUCAAGAAUGGGCUACGUCACCUCCACCAACAACCAGUGAAAGAAAGACUCCGCCCAUGUAAGAACAAAGACGAGGGAUCUUCCAGCGGAUGGAAGCGCCGGAAGGGAAGCAGCGGUUGGUAAAUUGCGAGAAAAUGGAUCGUGCCGUGAUUGAUGUAUCUGCCGUGAUCAAGUGAUCAGGUGCGUGGCACAACUAUUAUGAUAAUUUAGGUUGAACGAACCCAUGUUGUAAAUAUGUUUGUUCUUGCUCAAAGAUGAUGUUUGUAUUGUAUUACUAUUUUACGUCUGAACUUUGAACACAGUGGUGUGCGUGUCUAAAUGUAAUUAGUAAGUUAUGUCUCAGUAUUGAGCAAGCAUAUAUUGUAUCCAUGACUAUAGAACGAGAGAUAUGUCGCACGACAUUGUAUUAUAAUUUUCAUACUCAACCUUUACAAGAUGCAUCAUGCAUUUACAAGAAUAUGUGAUGGUAUCGUUGCAAACUUUUAGUAGAAUGCUUAUUCAACAUUAGCAUAAACAAUUCAUAAAUAUUGCAGAAGAACAUUCGGUACACAGACGCAAGGGACAAGAACUUUGUUACUUUGACCACACCAUCCAUUCACAGGUUCCUCUCCGUACACCAGUCCUCCAUGAUGCCACAAAACUACACUACCGUGUACAACUGACCCAUGUACAACCAUGCCUCUCUAAGUGUAAACUCAACCCAUGCCUCUGGUGCCACGCACCCAUGACCUUAGAGACUUCACACCUGUGCAUCCACAACCGAGCCUCUCUAACCAAAUAUUCGAACUGAUGCCUCUGCUGACAUACAUCCAUGCCUCAAGACACUUGACAGCAGCAAGAGGGUUCAAAACCGUGCAUCCACACAACCGUGCUUGUACUGACUGCACUUCGGUGCCUCCGUUUGCUCGAUCGACGUGCAUCACAUGAAACCCACAGUAACUCUACGUGCUCCGUGCGACUGAUCGCCCGUGCCUCCACACAACCGUGCAUGUACUAACUUUAAUUAUGUGCCUCCAUUUCCUCAAUCCACGUGCCUCACAUGAAACCCACUGUAACUCUACGUGCUACACACACGUGCCUCUCGCAUGAAACCCACAGUAUCUCUGCGUGUUAGGCACCCGUCAUUGCCCUUGUAACUUUGGUAUUGCACACACGUUCCUCUCAGUAUACCCGUGUUCCAAACAAUUAUGCAUGUACUGACUGCAAUUCCAUGCCUCUGUUUGCUGAAACCACGUGCCUCACAUGAAACCCAUGGUAACUCUACGUGCCUCCACACAACCGUGCCUGUUCUGACUUCAAUUCCAUGCCUCAGUUUGCUGAAUCCAGGUGCCUCUCACAUAAAAGAGAUGCACAGCCAUGCCUCAGAGUAAACAACACACGUGCCUCUACUGUAUUUAUAACUUUGACCACAAUUAAAUAACAUCCGUCCAAAAAAACAUCAUUAAAAGAGAUGCACAACCAAGCCUCUUAUACAUCAAAAUCCAUUAUGUUCAAAGGCUAUAACUAACAUCACUGCGGCAGAAGAUUGAAGAUAACAACAAGCCUCCCAACAAGCUGUUUGAAAGUUAUCAGCACCCAGCUGUUUACUUCAAUAGACGAUGCCUGAAGAAAAUCACUGAAACCGUCAUGUUUGAACACCAUUUAUUACCCAAACCAAUGAAGUAGGAGCAAGGAGUGCUCGCAUUUAUAUCAUCAUCGCCAGAUUCCGGAGUAACUUCAAGAGUUAAAACGCCAGUUCUAGGAAAAGUCACAAACUCCUUCAAACUCCUCAUAACAAUACCAGGAAUAACCUGACAAAAAACAUCAAGCUAUCAGAAAUAGAAUAAAAAUUCAAAACUAUAAAUAGAAGAAGUAAUAAAAAUAAAUAAAUAAACAGAAACAAAAAAAACAAUGGGAAAAAAUCUGACCAUAUGAUGACCAUUAACAUUCAUGGAAUCAAUCCUGUGAACAAAAGGACAACAGGGUAUGUAGUCAUCAUCAAAUAGUUGACACCUCAUGAAAUACAUCUGCUGAUAAUUAAGAAAAACACCACGGGUGUAAUAACAACUCCCAACAAGCUCCUUCUCGGAGUCGCUCAAACCAUGUAGAGCUACAAAAUAUAAUUACACAGGCUCAAGAGAACAAAAAAAUCAAAAUGUACAAUAAAACAAGAUAAAAACAUCCUUAAAAAUAAACCUUACCAACAGACGGUAAAGGAGACAACGCAUCUCCACGACCAACACGAUAAAAAUCAAUACCAAUCCAAGUUCCAUAAUGUUCAAGCCUAAUGGUCAUUAUAUCACGAGGACGAACACCAUAAUCACUGACCAAUCGUUCCCAGGAAGGACCAUGGAAUUUGCUUCUCACACGACCAUGACUAAACAGAACACCAUACAAAUAACCCUCAUUGCACUGAAGAGCCAGAUCAGUAUCUUCGUCACCCCUCCUUAUGGCUAAAGCCCUACACUCCUCGAUGUAACGAGCAAGAUGAGCUCUAACACUGCAUGAAACAUACUGCACAACAAAUCAAAACAAGGAUCAUAAUCAAAAUCUAAACAGCAUGGGCAGCACCAAAAAAAAUAAGCGUGUGUGCCAAAAAUUGAACAACUAUAAAAUGAUUUUCUUACAACACGCCUCCAACAAUGCCGAUCCAGGACCACACUGAACCCAUCUACAGAAGAAUCAACAGAAGAACACGGGCCACCAGGCAUACGGCAAAAAGGACAAGCCAUAACUGCAAGGAACACAAUGGUUAUCAACAACUAAUCCCACAAAACCCAGUUAAAACUUGACAUCUGAUAGUGUUGGUAGUCCCCACCCGUAACUACCCCAUAAAUCUCCAUAUCCCGGUAAUAUAAUGGGAACAAAAAGAGAAACGAGAAAGGGAAACAGGGAACCCACGAAGGCAACCAGUAGGGAACGACGAUAUCGAACGGGAAAGCUCGCUCGAUGCUAAAGAAGGACUACCGUAAGAGCAGGCAACAAGCGCGGUGGCCGGAACAACUGCCACCGUAACCACGCGACAAGAGCAGCUGCGGCGACGGGCGGAGACGACGGCAAAGAACGAACAAUGCGCGACGAGGGUUCGCCCACAAUAGAAAGAAACAAGAAACAGAUCUCAAAACAGAUCAAAAGGUAUUACAAAACAUUAAAAGUAUAAGGACUAAAGUGAAAAAAGGAAAAACCAUAAGGAAAAACCGGAAACAGGAAAUCACGCGAGAAGCCGUGCGUGCGCCAAGUGUCACACGCGGAGCGCAUCCGAAAAGUCUCGGGAGCGCUCCGCGCGUGACACUUGGCGCACGCGGAGCGCUCCCCGACUAAUCGUUGCGGGGAGCGCUCCUCAAUUAGUGAUUUCACGGUGCUGAGGGCGCAGGUGUAGAUGCUCUAAGAUCAUUAAGUUGGAUGGGCUGAGGCAGUCCCACUUAAGCCCACCCCCGCCUGCAGCCUGACCGGCGUGGUGACUCUAUCCUCCCGUGCAGAGGAAGGGUUUCUAUUAAUUGCUCAUCUAAUUUCUCCGCCCUACCCAGAUCGUCCGUGUCUUCCAGUCCAGAACCGCCGCCGCCGGGAACAGAGCACCGUCGCGACGCCGCCGGAAAAUUGCCGCCAGAGCCCGCUCCAGUUUAAAUCCUAUCGGCUCUUUCCGUCCAUUCUCUCCUUUGGUUUAAGCCGGUAGAUCCGUAUAUAUAUAUAUAUAUAUAUAUAUAUAUAGAUCGCCGGAGCAGUUGUUUCUUCUUGCGCCAAAUCCGUCGCCCCAUCUGCGUUCUUCUCCGUAAUCACUGGAGCUUUUCUUUGGUUUCCCACCGCACCUUCUACUGCUGGGCUUUGAGCUCAUAAGGAUGUUGCUUUUUAUAUUUAGCGAAUUUUCCGUCUUAGGUUUGUGUAGAUUUUACAAUUAAAAUGGUUAUAAUACUAUCUUUUACAUUUUAGAUACGUGUAAAUGAUACCUAACAAUAGAUUUUUCAUAGCGUCAAGGGGCGCAACAAUUUGUUAGUGCAAAGAUAUGGGGAACCAGCACCGACGAUCUUUGUCAUAGAGGAACAUAACACCAAAAUAUCACCCGGAGUGAUUUCUUAGCAGACCCCUUUUCUUCUUUUUCGAGCGCUGUACUAAUGUUUGAUUCUUCUUGGCUUUUCCUGUCAGCGAGCAAUCAGCAUGCCGGGCAGCAGCGGCGUGACGCCUUCGACGACCUGCCUGAGUGGCUCGUCCUCAACGAGAUCCUUGUCCGCUUGCCGCCCAAGGACGUACUCCGCUGCCGUGCCAUUCGCAAGUCGUGGCGCAGCGGCACAUCCACUCACGCGUUCAUCCUCGGACACCGCCGUCACCAGCCCUCGCUCCCCAUCAUCCAACACAAAUUGGGCAUAUGCCGCGUCUUCAGAGGCUCCAAUGAUCUAAAGAUACGGCCUGUCAUUUGCCUGAUUUACAACGCAUUUCAGUUGCCUGAUUACUUUAUCCUCGCGGUGGGAUCGAGCCAGCCAAGAUGCAUCCAAUGGCCGACAGUUUCGAAACAAAAGUAUCUUCCAGCUACCCCGUCUGCCGACUGUCCGCCAGUCCAUCAUCGUGGUAGCCUGCACUGGCUAAUGGGCCUCAACAUAAUAGUAUUUGACACCGUAGCCGAGACAUUCCGGCAGAUGAGCCGCCCAACACAGUUGGGUGAUAUGGUGUCAUUGUUGGAUAUGGGCGACGCCCUUGCUUUGUGCCACACCGCCCCUGACUGCGCCGCAUUAGAUGUUUGGGUGUUGCAGGACUAUGAUGCCGGGACCUGGGGUUUUUGCUUUCGGAUUGACCUGUUAGGGAUGGAGGCAUCACCACCGGUUAAUUGGAUGUUCCAAUUUAUCCCUAGGAUAGCUCUGAUCAAUGAGCGUGAGCUGUUGAUCCAGCGGCAUAUUUACAGUCUGUUGCAUUGUGACAUUGAUGGUGUCUUUUUAGGUAAUGUGGAAAGCGAGGAGCGUUUAGCCUGCUGGACACUUACUCGGCAUUGCCUCCAAGAGAGCCUGAUUUCACUUCCAUUGUUUGAGAUGCAAGAAGAAGAAGCUGUGAACCAGGAGCCUCCAUUAUUCUCCAUUGUGUUAUAAAGAUGCCGCGCUGGCAUGCUCCAUGUUAAUGCUUUGGACUAGUUGUUUGCUGUGCCCUUAGAGUAUCUGUUCCAUAUGGGCCAUGCUUGUAUUCUUACCAUUCAGUACUUGAAUGUUGUAACUUCUAAACAAU
RNAcentral lists this long non-coding RNA (223213 nucleotides) under Triticum aestivum (bread wheat). RNAcentral describes it as "long non-coding RNA (TAES_LNC002271)". Lineage: Eukaryota; Viridiplantae; Streptophyta; Magnoliopsida; Poales; Poaceae. The record is from RNAcentral.